RNAcentral lists this long non-coding RNA (261742 nucleotides) under Capsicum annuum. Its description in RNAcentral is "long non-coding RNA (CANN_LNC009415)". The record is from RNAcentral. Lineage: Eukaryota; Viridiplantae; Streptophyta; Magnoliopsida; Solanales; Solanaceae.
GGGGAGGGAGGGACCCGCAGGGAACACAAUAUUCUCUCCGUUCUUUAUAUAUAUCACACACAGGCCCUCCUCAUCAGAGAGUAACAACAAUACCCUCACACUGACCUCACCAUCACACACCCAUAUACACUACACACUCUUAAUUCUACCGGGAUACACACAGAAACGGAUAGAUAAGAGAUGACGUGAGAAAGAGAGAGCUGUUAGAGAGUGAGAAAGAAAUCUGUGAGAGAGUGACAGAGAUUUAUGAGAGAGGGAGAGAUUCGCGAUUGAAAUCGAAAGAGAAUGAUGGCAAAGCAGUUUUCGGUGAGUGAGAGCUUGAGGAACACGAGUUUGGAGGUUUGAUUACUGUUCCGGGGAUAGGCUCGCCGGAAUAGCGUCUAGCUAUCGUAAAUUUGUUCAAAACCCAACGAAUACGUCUCAACUGAUAUAUCUUUGUCAUUUUGGUCAUAGCAGAAGUUUAUUGGGGUUACAACAACACAAAAUUAUCAAACAAACCUCGAUCUGCUUUUGAUUCCGUCCAAACCCGUUGGAAUUGGGCCGGAUUUCUCUUAUUUCUCAUGAUUUUUUGUUCGAGGUUGUGUGGGUUUGUGAGAAUCUAGUCCAGGUCUCUUUGUUUUUGUGAUUCUCAGUUUCGAGUUGGAUGAGUUCAUUUGUUUGAGGUUCGGUUCGAGGUUUCUGGGCGUGGAUUCUCUUUAUUCGAAUAACAUUGAAUUUGAAAGCUACGAAUCAAGGUCCAAUUCUAUUAUCUCUCUUUAUAUUUCAUUAUUUAAUGUAUUUUGGUGCGUUGGAUUGAAUAUUGUAUGUUUUGUUUGAUCCUUGUUGGUGAUGAAUGCGUAUUUGUUUUGAUUCGCGGUUGGUUCCUUUGAUUAUGAUUUGUAUGGUGAAAUAGCAUCUCAUUUGAUAAUUAAAAUUGGUUGUUUGGGGCGGAAUUAAAAUUGAUAAAAGUAAAUACAUAUUUGUUUUAAUUCAUUAUUAGCGGUUUAAUUUGGAAUAAGCAUGAAUUUUGUUGAAACAGAUAGGCAAAUGUAGGUUUGGGUAGGCAAAUUUAGAACUUGUGUCUGUUUGAAUGUUUGAAUGUGCGUGGGCCGUACUUGAUUCUAAUGUAUUCAUUUAGAGUAGGUGUUUCAUGUACAUCUUUAAAAGAAAACAACAAAAAAAAUAUAUUUUCCUUUAAUAGGUUCAAGUGUCAUUUUCGUAUGAAAUUCAAAAAUCGAAAAUCCAAAAAUAUUUUCUUUGGUAAUCAUAGAUUUCAUUUUGUACAGGAAUCUAAAAAAAUUUAAAAGAUUUCCCUCACUCUUUAUUUAGAGUAAGUAUACAUCUUUAAAAGAAAACUACAUAAUGAUUUUUCUUUAAUAGGUUCAAGUUUCAUUUUCAUAGGAAAUUCAAAAUGGAAAACCCAAAAAGAUUUUCUUUGGUAAUUAUAGAUUUCAUUUUGUAUAAAGAUUUAAACUUGAAAAAUACAAAAAUAUUUUUGUCAAUUCUUUUGACAAUUUGUUAUUUUCUUCUCUUUGAAGUUUCAAGAAAAAGAAUAAAAAAAAGGAGUUUAAUUGGCCAUUUUGGCAAGACUUCACGAACUAUGCAUACAUGAUUCUCCUCUUUCGGGAGUGAGAUACGUAGGCACCCUUCUUGGGUUCAGUGAUCUUUUCAAAAAAAAGGGGGAGGAGGUGGGGGGGAGGUUUUGAAAAAGUGUUGAACUCAAACACAUUUGUUGGUUUUUGUUAAGUCAGUUUAAGGUGGUUGGUUUGUGGCAUUCUGGCCGAUCCUUCACCUCACACCAAAUCCAAAGGGUUAGUUGUGUCCAACAAAGAUAUAGAGAGUGGCGUUAUGGAUCAAACAAAAAAUCAGGAAAAUGAGAGUUUUAAGCAAGAGAUUAGGUAGCUAAGACAACAAAUGACAGAAAUGCAUCGAGCUUAGGCCAGUGGGUUGCCUCCUCCUCCAUUUCCCUUUAUUGAUCCUACAAAUACCACGAGUUUUUCACCAAAAAUCUCAAAUUCAGUUUUCUACUAUUGUUGAUGCACCGCAACAUGACUCAGAAUUCAUUCCAAGCUAAAAGCAUCUCAAUACUCCCACCACUUUUCCUCUAGCUCCUCAGCAUAAGCUUGCUACAUUCAUAACACCAUAUGUCUUCUGUGAUCUUAUUGCUCAAUUCUCUACUAAGACGUCUACACUGGCUCGCACAAUGGUCGGGCAUCCCCAUGCAGCUAGUGAACCUAUAUUAAAUACUCUUGGUGAUCAUUGUUAUACUCCUGAGCCUGCUUUUAAGUUAACUGGACCACCAAAAUUUCUUAACAAAAAGUUCAGUGAGCCAGAAAAGUUGGAAAAAUGGUUGGAAAAAUGAAGAGUGCAGAAAGUGCUAUGAAAAAUUCUCUAGGACCUGCGGGUAAAGAAGAUGUUUCAUACAAAGACUGGGGCAUGCCUUCAAGCGCUAACCUUCCUCCAAUCUUUGAGAUGUCAAAAUUUGAGGAGCAAGAUGGGCAUGAGGAAUCCGUGAAACAUUUGGGACAAUAUUGCAAUCAAUUAAGGGAACCUGGAGGGAAGAAGAAUGAGAAAGAUGGCACUGCUAUUGUAGUUGGAGAACGGGCACAUCCAAUAAGACGACGUCGUCGUUUCCGUCAGUAUCAAGCCCAAGUUCAUACCCAAUCUCUCCAUAAUCACUCCCAAAAUCCAUUAUACCCUGUUUCCCCACCUCCAUAUCGAGUAUAUUGCGCACAACCAUAUGUUCAACUCCCUCUUUACCUACAAUGGCGCGCACCAACUCCUCAAAGUCAUCCUCUAAUUCCCCAAACAUACCAAAGCCCUUCUAGGCCCGAUGUUCGAUCCAAGUUAAACAAUGAAAUAAGGUAGAAAUUGAGGGAUAGUUUCACACCAAUUGGAGAGUCGUAUGCCAGUUUAUUUCAGAGAUUGGCACAAUGAGGCAUGAUUACUCCUCUCUUUGGGUAUACUCAUAACCCGCAUUCAAGAAGUUUUGAUCCUAAUGUAUGAUGUGCAUAUCAUUCUGAUGUUCAAGGUCACAGUAUUGAAGAUUGUCAUGCUUUGAAAAGAGAAAUUGAAAAGAUGAUUCAAGACAAAUUGAUUAUGGUGCAGAACAUUGAAAGUGAGGAUAACUCUAGUCAUGCUGAUAUGCAAACUAGUGGCUAAGAUGUCAGGCUGAGAAAUUGAGAAGUCACCCUUCUCCCUACUAGGAAGAGGUCUGAUAGUUUGUUUUGUUUUAUUUUCUAUUAUCCGAAUUAUUUCAGGGUUGUAGUUCGGGAUCUAUCUUGUUUUGUCCAUUUGUCAUUAUUUUCAAACCCUUCUAUCUUUUAUUUUAAUUAAAUGAAGUAUCCCUUUCUCCUUUGUGUUUUAAAUAUGUUUUUGUUUAUUUUCUUUCCACAUUACAUUUUAUGUUAACUCUAGUGAUAUGACAUGCUAACGGAAUUUUCAGUCAGAUCUUAAAAUCCAGUUUAAGCAUGAACCUUGAAUCAGAGGGUUAAAGUUAGAAAAUAGAGCAUCUGAGAAAAUAGGUAGAGUGUUGAGACAUUUGGGGACAAGUUCAAGCCUUCUUGGAAAAUUAAGGCAAUUAUUUUGAGAAUCACAAGAAUAAAUUGGUCAUUAAUUGAAAGACAUAGCUCAAUUAGGUCAAAUAAUGGCUGCGUGAACAGAAAGAAAAUCAGCUCCACGAAAGCAUGAAUAAUUCGAUGUGAGGAAUGUACAACAAAAGCGGAGUGAUAUGUUGAACAAAGUGAAAGAGUAGUGACGCAUAGACUCAGUUAAAGUUAAUGCUUAAAAAUGUCACAAAUGAUCAUCAUCUCUCACUUUUAUAUUGCAUGAUAUAUACUUGCAUUUUUAUGGAUUGAUAUGACGAAGGCAUUUGAUUCUGCUAUCCAAAUAUCGUGUCAUCCUUUGUUUACCUAAUUUGAGCUUUAGUCCUAUUUUAUUUCAUACCCCUCUUUUGGAAUCAAGAUAGAGUCAAAAGAAAAGUGUCGAGCAAAACAAUAGAGUCAGAAAAAGUUCAAAAAAAAAAUAGAAGAAAAAGAAAAUAUGUCCAAAAAGAAAAAGAAAAAGAAAAGAAAAGUGUCAGGACAAGUAGAGUCAAAAAAAUCCAAAGAGAAAAAAGUGUUAAUAAAAGAAAAAGAAUCAAAAGUCUAAAUCAUGCAAAAUAAGCUGCCAGAACUAUGCAUGACCUGAUUCUCCUCUCUCAGGGGUGAGAUAAGUAGGUUGCCCUACUAAGGGCUCAAUCCAACCAAAUAAACAAUUUAGAAUUUCGCAGUCAAAAGAAAUUGGGGCAUGAUUUAAUCUUCAUUGUUUGAGUCGAUUCCAAAAGUUGUAAGUCCUACCUCACUUCAAGUGUCUUUUAGGCCUUAUGUUAUCCUUUUCUUCUAACCUUAUCCAAAAGCCAAGAUAUAACCAAAGAAAGACCUUUAGAUCAAUCUUUGAGAAUGUUAAGACUAAGCAUGCAAUGAAUGUGAUGACACAUUUUGGGAACUACUUGUCUACUUUAGCAAUAAGAAUCGGGAGAGAAAUAAAAAUGAGAGAGUCUUAUUAGUGAAAACCCUCACGGGCACCGUAAGAUAAUGGUAAGCUGAGGGAAAUAAAAAUGAGAGAGUCUUAUCGGUGAAAAUCCUCACGUGCACCGUAUGAUGAUGGUAAGCUGAGGGAUAUAACAAUGAGAGAGUCUUAUCGAUGAAAACUCUCACGGGCACUGUAAGAUGAUGGUAAGCUGAGGGAGAUAACAAUGAGAGAGUCUUAUCGGUGAAAACCCUCACGGGCCCUAUAAGACAACAGUGAGUUGAGACAAAUAGAAAUAAGAGAGUUUCAUUGGUGAAAAUCCCUCAUGGACACCAUAGGGAAAUAGUGAGCUGGGAAAAAGAAAAUGAGAGAGGCUUGUUGGCAAAAACCAUUCAAGGGGUCACUAGCCGAAUGAGAUCUUAAAUGCAAUUGGCCUAAGGAAGCAACUCAAUUUCGAGGUCAUUAACUCAACAACAAUUGAUAGAAAGUUUUGGAUAUAAAAAUUAGGCAGUUUAAUCCGAUAUGCAUGUCAUAAUUAUUAGAGUUGACUAUCAUUUUCAGAUAAACUUUUCUUUCAUCUUUUUCAAUGGGGACAUUCAUUGUCGUUUCUUACUUCUCUUUAGUUAUAUUUUUAUUUCGUUGAGUUAGUUAUCCAAAUAAAACAAAAAUUGUUGUCAUUUUUCUAUUGUCUUUGAGUCAAGUCCAUGUCAAAACAAAUGAGAAAAGAUUUCAAAAUUGGCUACCAGCUUCUUCAAUUGCACAAAGCAAGACAAAGCGCCAACACAUAAAAGAAACAAGAUUGCAAGCUAGAACAAGGCAUGCAGAAAGUUUUGUCAAUAGAUAAGUCUGGGAACUCAUGCAAAUACCAAGGUUCAAAGAGUUUAUCUGAGUAGCAUGGCGAAGCAGAGAUACUGUGUUUGUUUUAGAGUCAUUUCCAUGAUAAAGCAGGGGAAAGUGCCAGCAAUCAGAAACAAAAUGAAGGGAAUGAACACUGGAACAGGUGUCAGGAAGGCCAAGUGCUGCAAACCACCACUAAGUUUGUGACUGAAUAAUUUUCUUUGUUGAAAUAGGGGCAAAUUCGCUUUACUUAAUUCAUCUACCAUUUGAAAUACACAUCCGUGAGAUUUCACUUUCUGUCCAGGACCCUCCUAAAAAAUGGGAUUUUACUUUUUGUUCAGGACCCUCCUAAAAAAUAAGAUUUUAUCUUCUGUUCAGGACCCUCUUGAAGAAUGGGAUUUUACCUUCUAUUCAGGACCUUCCUGAAAAAUGGGAUUUUACUUUUUGUUCAGGACCCUCCUAAAAAAUAAGAUUUUAUCUUCUGUUCAGGACCCUCCUGAAGAAUGGGAUUUUACCUUCUAUUCAGGACCCUCCUGAAAAAUGGGAUUUUACUUUAUGUUCAGGACCCUUCUGAAAAAUGGAAUUUUACUUUAUGUUUAGGACCCUCCUAAAAAUGAGAUUUUACCUUCUGUUCAGGACCCUCCUGAAAAAUAGGAUUUUACUUUCUGUUCAGGACCCUCCUAAAAAUUGGAAUUUUACUUUAUGUUCAGGACCCUCGUGAAAAUGGGAUUUUACUUUAUGUUCAGGACCCUCCUGAAAAAUGGGAUUUUACCUUCUGUUCAGGACCCUCCUGAAAAUGGGAUUUUACCUUCUGUUCAGGACCCUCCUGAAAAUGGGAUUUUACCUUCUGUUCAGGACCUUCCUGAAAAAAAAAUGAGAUUUUACUUUAUGUUCAGGACCCUCUUGAAAAAUAAGAUUUUACUUUCUGUUUAGGACUCCCCUGAAAAAUGGGAUUUCACUUUCUGUUCAGGACCCUCCUGAAAAAUGGGAUUUCACUUUAUGUCCAGGACCCUCAUGAAAAAUGGGAUUUUAAUUUCUGUUCAGGACCCUCCUAAAAAAUGGGAUUUCACUUUAUUUUUAGGUCCCUCCUGAAAAAUAAGAUUUUACUUUCUGUUCAGGACCCUCCUGAAAAAUGGGAUUUCACUUUAUGUCCAGGACCCUCAUGAAAAAUGGGAUUUUAAUUUCUGUUCAGGACCCUCCUAAAAAAUGGGAUUUCACUUUAUGUUUAGGGCCCUCCUGAAAAAUAAGAUUUUACUUUCUGUUCAGGACCCUCCUGAAAAAUGGGAUUUUACUUUUUGUUUAGGACCGUCCUGAAAAAUGAGAUUUUACUUUCUGUUCAGGACUCUCCUGGAAAAUGGGACUUUACUUCCUGUUUAGGAACCUCCUAGAAAAUGGGACUUUACUUUCUGUUCAGGACCCUCCUGGAAAAUGAGAUUUUACUUUCUGUUCAAGGCCCUCCUGAAAAAUGAGAUUUUACUUUUUGUUCAGGACCCUCUUAGAAAAUAGGCUUUUACUUUCUGUUCAGGACCCUCCAGAAAAAUGAGAUUUUACUUUCUGUUCAGGACCCUCCUGGAAAAUGGGACAUUACUUUCAGCAAAAAUGAAAUCUUUCUUUAUCAUAAUCUUUCUUUGGGAUAAUUUUCGUUCCAGUUUUGAUUUUGAUUUCAAGAGGCCGCCUGAAGAAUAGGGUGAUGGAACUGCAAGUUAGGAGCCCGCCUGAAGAACAGGGUGAUGAAGCUGUAAGUCAGGAGCCUGCCUGAAGAACAGAGUGAUGAACUUGAAAGACAAAUAUGGCAAGUUAGAAGCCCGCCUGUAGAGCAGGGCGAAUAAAUAAAAGUCCAGCAACAUGGUGAAAAAGUUGAAAGUCAAGCGACAAGGUGAAAAAAUUAAAAGUUAAACAGUUGAUGAAAUAGCAAGUGAGGAACCUGCCUGAAGAACAAGGUGAAGAAAUUAAAAACCAAGCAACAAGUUGAAGAAAUUGCAAGUCAGGAGCCCACCUGAAGAACAGGGUGAUGAAACUCAAGUCAAAAGUCCAAAAGAUUUUGUAAUUUCAUUUAUAUUUUUAACUUGUAAUUUUCAUUUUUGAUGUAAUGAUAGAUCCGCAGACCGGAGCCUCGACGGGACCUCACUCGACUCUCCAACUCGGUAGUCUUUCUACCUUCUAUUUCUUUCUUUGAAUAAUGUUCGGGUCAAAAUUUGAUCUCAUUGUCUACUUCUUUGUCUGAAAACACUUCGUGUUUACAUUCAAAGGGGGCAUGAUGUAGAUACCUAAUUUUGUCCCUCCCGAAUUUAAUUUUACCCAUUUUUUAACUUACCUUACCAUGAACCCUCAACCAUGUACUUAUCCCCCCAAAAAAUACAAAAAUAACCAAAAUCCAUAACCAAUUGAGUCAUAUCCUAACAAACCUUAUCUCAACAAAAUCACACCUCACCACCCUGCCCCUACCCCACCUCGCUACCCUACCCCCUAACCCAUUUUUUUGUCCAACAAAAAUACAUUUACGGCUACAGAAUUGAAAAGAAGAGGGAAGGGGGCCCACAUGAUAUUCCUUUUUAGUUUUUCUUUCCAAAUGGAUUAGGGGGGCCUUUUUUGCUUGGGACAUCAUCACAAAGAAUAAAAUAUAUAUACACCAUUGCACACAAUUUUCAUUUUUAGGGGGGAGGGACUCGCAGAGAACACAAUAUUCUCUCCAGUCUUUAUAUAUAUCACACACAGGCCCUCCUCAUCAGAGAGUAACAACAAUACCCUCACAGUAAUAUCACUGUCACACACCCAUAUACACUACACACUCUUAAUUUUACCAGGAUACACACAGAAAUAGAUAGAUAAGAGAUGACGUGAGAAAGAGAGAGCUACAAGAAAGUGACACAGAUCUAUGAGAGAGAUAUCUACGAGAGAGUGAUAGAGAUUUACGAGAGAGAGAGAUCUACGAUUGAAAUCGAAAGAGAACAAUGGCAAAGCAGUUUUCGGCGAGUGAGAGCUUGAGGAACACAAGUUUUGUGGUUUGAUUACUGUUCCGGCGACAGGCUCGCCGGAAUUGCGUCUAGCUAUCAUAAAUUCAUUCAAAACCCAUUGAAUACGUCUCAACUGAUAUCUAUUUGUCGUUUUGGUCAUAGCUGAAGUUUACCGGGGUUACAACGACACAAAAUUAUCAAACAAACCUCGAUCUACUUUUGAUUCGGUCCAAACCCAUUGGAAUCGGGCUGGAUUUCUCUUAUUUCUAAUGAUUUUUAGUUCGAGGUUGUGUACGUUCGUGAGAAUUUGGUCCAGGUCUCUUUGUUUCUAUGAUUCUCAAUUUUGAGUUAGAUGAGUUCGUUUGUUUGAGGUUCGGUUCAAGGUUUCCGAGUGCGGAUUCUCUUUAUUCGAAUAACAUUGAGUUUGAAAGCUACAAAUCGAGGUCCAAUUUUAUUAUCUCUCUUUUUAUUUCAUUAUUUAUUGUAUUUUGGUGUGUUGGAUUGAAUAUUGUGUGUUAUGUUUGAUCCUUGUUGGUGAUGAAUGCGUUUUUGUUUUGAUUCGCGGUUGGUUCCUUUGAUUAUGAUUUGCAUGGUGAAAUAGCAUCUCAUUUGAGAAUUAAAAUUAGUUGUUUGGGGCGGAAUUAAAAUUGAUAAAAGUGAAUACAUAUUUGUUUUAAUUCAUUAUUAGCGGUUUAAUUUGGAAUAAGUAUGAAUUUUGUUGAAACAGAUAGGCAAAUAUAGGUUUGGGUAGGCAAAUUUAGAACUUGUGUCUGGUUGAAUGUUUGAAUGUGCGUAGGUCGUACUUGAUUCUAAUGUAUUUAUUUGGCCGGGGAAUGCCCCAAGAGAUUUGUAUUGAUUUAUCCGGGGAAUGCCCCGAAGUAUCAUGUAUGCAGAGGAGGCUCGCGAUCAAGGUCCGAGGCAUCAGGUAAGGCAUUGGAACGUAGUUUUAGGAUUAGCUUAAAACAUGAUUUAUAUUUUACGGAUUUUUCUAUUUGGACUAUAUAAUUGGACUGGACACUAAAUUUUUAUUUGUUUUGUUUUUUUUGCUUGAUUUAUUGAUUUGCAUGCUUUGUGUGGUUUAUACAUUUACAAUGUCAAAUUAGCCAAUACGCUCUACCAAGUGACCGUGGUAGAACCACGGGAUCGAGGGGUGCCUAACACCUUCCCCCAGUCAACAGAAUUCCUUAUCCAGAAUCUCUGUUCGCAAACCAGUUUAAAGAGUCAAAUUGUUUUGAAAAGGGAUUUCUAAAGGUGACUUGGCACACCCGAUUUAUACCAAGUGACGACUCUGAGUUUUGAAUAUAAGAAGUCCUUUCGGAACAAGUCUUCAUUGUAUCACUUUUAUAAUAAAAAUCCUUUUGAACUAAAAUCAAAUCUUUUGGUGUUGUAAAAAAGGGGUGUGACAGCUACACUAUGGCUCCAUAGAUGACUUCAAGCUUUUUGAAUACACAUAAUGAAGUUUAGGAUGGGUGAAGAAUAAGAAGAAGGAAGGAAGGAGAGGAAGAAGAAUCUAGAGAGAGAAUUUUUGGGUGAAGUAUACCGGUAAAUAAAUAACUAUCUUUGCAAGGUGGAUCUCUAGGUAUUUAUUAACAUGAAGCAGGAUUUUGACCGCUGGCUCCUAGCUGGACGAAUAUGAUCCAUUGAUAUGAAUAGCGAACUACUAAUCUUGGCUCUUGAUAGUUCUGCUUAUUAAACGCGUGCCUCUCACGUGACCCAUUUACUUUGGAUCAUUACAGUCACCAACCGUACUUACUCAACAAGGUGGAUGACAAAGUGUAGCAAUAGUGUUAAAUACUCCCAUCGAUCCCAUUAUGUGUGCCCCUUUAUUUUUUAGUUGGGACCGGAGAAGACGCCUUUCUGUCUUUAGUAACAAUUUAACUUUAAACUUCUCAUUUUACCUUUAAAGAGUGGAUUUAUAGCCACACAAAUAUCAACCGCUUAUUUUGGACAAUAAGUUUCAAAAGUAUUUCUUUCAUUCCUCAUGACCAAUCAAACACCUAUACAUAAAUUGGGACAACGGGAGUAGUUGUGAUUAGGAUCCCCUCCAGUAUCUGUUUCCUCCUGCUGCUCCAAUAACCUUUUUGACUUUUGACAUGUGUCACUUGUUAAAUCUCAUUGGCCAAAUCAGCUACCUCUCUUAAUCAAUAUACACACACAAAGCCUCCCUCGUUUUCACUCUUCCUACUAAAGCAAGUACCAAAGCCAGCACUACUAUUGCCAUCAUAGCAAACUCUAUAUACCACAUGCCCCAAAUCAACAAGGGUACUAGAGCAACGGGAGGAAAUAGAUACUGGAGGGUAUAUCCUAACCCCUAUACUAGCAUUGAAGGUUGAAAAUAAUAUCUAAAUAUUGGUUUAAGCAGGUAUAUGAAUAUCUGUAAAGGAAAAUGACUUCUAUCUGUAACUAGGGGAAAUCUUAAUAAAAAAACAAAGUAAGCAAUCACUAGAAAAUGAUUCAUAUAUACUAUAGAACAAUUCAUAGAAAGAGAGAGAAAAUGUUUAUGGGCUAUUUAUUUUGGCUAGAAAGGUUAAAUAUCGCUAUUUGAUGUCAAAUUGGAUCAUAAAAUUAUUACAUUGUGUCAAUUUACCAUUAUUUUAUGUAAAAAUUAUUUUGUAUGUACUUUUUAAAUUAUUUAUUGUAAAUUGUAAUUGUAUUUUUUUAUAUUUAUUGAAUUAAGUUUUUAAUUGUAAGUUGUAGCAGUUUUUAAAAAAAUAUUUAAAAACUUUUUUUAAAAAUUUAUCUAUUAUAUUUAUCAAUUAAAAUCUCCCUUAAAUAUUUGCAUUUUUCUUUCUCCCUCAUAUGUUUCCUUAAAUAAAGGAUUGAUAAUAAAUUCGUAAUUUUCUCCUUAAUGUUUUACACUUUUUUUUUACUACUAGUUUAGAUGUACGCGCCUCGCGUGUGUACCUCACUUUAUUGAGUUCAAACGUAAGAAUAUUUGUUUAAAUAAUAAAUAUGAAUACAAUAAUUAAAUUCAACAUCUUUUCGAGAAUUUAUUUAAUUAAACCUAACUUUUACCAAAAAAAUUUCUCAAAGCCGAUUGACAUUCAUCUAUCAACUGUAAACUUCAACAAAAUGAUACGAUGAUAGAGACAUCAAAAUAAUGUAAUUAAAUCUAACCUUUACACAAAAAUUUCCUCAAAGUCGUCCGACACUCAUCUACCAUCUGUGAAUUAUAACAAAAUAAUACGACAAUAGAGAUAUCAAAAUAAUACAACUAAACUUUACCUUUACACCAAAAAAGUUCUCAAAACAGAGAUAUAAAAAUAAUACAAUUAAACCUAACCUUUACUUAAAAAAAUUUCUCAAAGCUGAUCGACAUUCAUCUACCACCUAUAAAUUCAUUUACGACCUGUAAACUACAACAAAAUAAUACAAUAGUGAUUACAAAGCUUCAGUUUUGAUGAAAUAAUUCUUGUUUGAGUGAAAAUUUUGACGCUAAGGAAUGAUUUGAAUGAAAACAAAGAAGAUAUAUAUACAUACACACGUUGAAUUCUAUUAUAUUGACAAAAAUAGUGAAGAAGUGGAGGGUUAGAAAAUUAAGCAUCCAUCAAUUUAGAUAUGCAACCGAAUCAUAUUUUUCCAAUAAGUAAAUCAGUUUCUUCUCUAGUUUAACGUCAUCUCAAUAUUUAUAGAAUUAUUUCAUUGAUAGAGUCCUAUUUAGGAGUAUUUUUCUAUCCUAUUUUAGGAGUAUUUUUCUAAUUGAUCAAUACAAAGGAAAAUAUUAAUUGAAUCUCCUUCCAAAUAGUUUAGGAGUCCCAUUAUUUUAGGAGUCUAGUUAAUAUAAUAAAAUAAUUAAACAGUAAAUUGAAGAAAAUAGUGAAAAGACAAUUUUGUCUAAAGAAAAUCUUUUAAUGAAGGACGAAAAGUUCAAAUCACUUUUCUAAGAUUCUUCACAUUUUUAAUAUAUUAUAGAUAUAGAUAUAGAUAUAGAUAUAGAUAUAAAUGUAAUCCCCUCAAAUCCCCCACUUAACAAAGUAAAAAAGAAAAAAAAAAAGAAAAUACGGUAAAAGGAUUAUAAGAAAUCCUAAUUUUCUUCUUCUUUCAUUUCCUUAAAUUAUUUUUUUAUAUAUCAGUUAAUCCUUUCAAAAAUUUUAAUAGUGUUGUCUUUUCAUAAAUUUCUCUCCUAUGCUUUUCUUAGUUGUUUCAUACUUUCUUUUCUUUGAUAUUAAUAAUUGUUUUAAAUUGCUUUCAUCGCAUAAACUUCUAUCAGAUUGUUGAAAUUCACAUUUUAUCCUUAAUUGUCAUACCCAUUUUUCAACUCCAAAAGAAUAGAUUUUAAGUUUCGAAAGGAUUUUUAUUACUAAGUGACAAAAGAAGAAGAUUUGUUUCGAAAAGGACUAUUUACUUUUAAACUCAGAGUCGCCACUUGACAUAAUUGGGUAUGCCAAGUCAAAUUUGGAAAUCCUUUUUCAAAACUACUCUUUUAAACUGAUCCGCGAACAGAGAUUCUGGUUAAGAAAUUCUGUUGACCGAGGGAAAGGUGUUAGACACCCCUCGAUCUCGUGGUUCGACCACGGUCGCUUGAUGGAGCAUAUCGGCUAAUUUAACACUAUGAAUGUAUAAACCACAGAACACAUAAAACAACCAAACCAAACAAACGAAAAAUCCAAAAGUUAAUGUCCAGUCCAAUUAUUAUAAACCCAAAGUAGAAAAUUGCAAAUAAUGUAAAUCCUAUUCUAACCUAUACUACUCUCCAAUGCUUCACCCGAUGCCUCGAGCCUUCAUCACGAACCUCCUUUACGUACAUGAUACGUCAGGGCAUUCUCCGGUAAAGUACAAAAGACCUCGAGGCAUUCCCCGGCCAAAUGAAUACAUAUUUUCAAUGCGAGACAACCAAACUAUUUAACAAAAUUUCAAGCAUUCAACAAAACCGCAAAUUCUAAACUUGGCCUACCCAACAUAUAUUUUCCUACCCAUUUCAAUAUGUAAUAACUCUAUCACGUUCCAACGACAUUCAAGCUUAUUAAAAUGAGACAACAAUAAACCAAAAGAAAAUCUAAGUUCACCCUUUUUAUCAAUUUUUCAAUUCUGUCCCAAACAACUAAUUUUAAUUCUCAACCAAGGUAUCAUUUCACCAUACAAUCCAUAAUCAGGGGAACAUCAAUGAAUCAGCACAAAGUGACUAUUCACCACCCACAAGGAUCAAAUAACACAUAAUAUUUCUUUCAAUGCACCAAAUAUCACAAAUAUGAGAUAAAAAAAAGAUAAAGAGUAAAAUUGGACAUCAAUUUGACGCUUUAUUUUAAUUAAUUGAUCUUUCCGAAUAGAACCGCGUUCAAAUGGAACCUCAACGUCGAACCCCAACUGACGAACUCAACUCGGUAUCGAGAAUCGCUAACCAAACAGAUCAGAAACCAACAGAAGAAUUUUAGAUCGCGGAUUUUUGACCUAACUUAAUCAAGCCUCAUCGGAAUUGAAACUGGGAUGUCAUUUUUGUAUCGCCAGAGUUCCGAUGAGAUCCAGCGAAGAGGAAAAAGAGAAGUUUUGGGUGGAUCUUUGGAAUUUUAGGUGAGUUUUAGCAGAAACGAUCAGUUUUGGACUACUUCGGGCGACCAAUGACGUUCCCCGACGUUAAAUUGCCGGAAACAACAACAACGACCGAGAUACUUUUUCGGUGGCUAAUUCGGGGAACUUUCGCUGGAUUUCCGGCGAAAAUAGUCCACUUCGCCCCUUUUUCUCUUCUUUUCUCGAUCUCUCUCCCUCUCGCUCAAUCUCGAUUUCCCUCUCCUAAUUCCCCUCUCUUCCGAAUUCCCUCUCUAUGCUCUCUCUCAACCUCCAAGCAUACGUGUGUGUGACUGUUGUUGAGAGUGAGGGUGAGUUUCUGUGUGAAUACGGAAGAUGGUUGUAUGGAGGUCCCUGUUUUUGUGGAGAAGAAGCUGUGUAUAUGGAAAAAAAAUGGAAAAAGAUGGAGCUUUUUAUUCUUUGUGGGCCCCCAAGUUGUUGUGACAUGCGUCCCCCUUCUUUUUUCUUUCAAUUUUGUUUUCUUGAGGGUGUACAUAUGUCACUGUAUGUUGAAAAUAUGUGGAAAACGUAAGUGGAAAGGGAUAGGGGUUAGGUGGGGUAAGGUAGUGGGAUAGGUUGUUAGGAUAAAGUUUGUUAGGAUAAGGUUAGGGAUUUAAUUUGUUAGAGAUUUAGUUAAGGGUUAUUAUUUUUUGUAUUUUUGUGAGAUAUAAUCAUAUGGGCGAGGAAACACAGUAAAACGGGGGUAAAAUGGUAAAAGUGUUAUUAGGGAGGGACAAAAUUAGGUGUCUACAUUAAUUUUUUCAUACACUAAAACUUAUUUUUUUCAAUAAAUUUUAUCCGUGAAUCAAAUUUUAUACAUUAGUCAACGUGAAUUUCAUAUUUUCAUUCAUGUUUAAAUUCUUUUUGUAGAAAAUAACAAAUUCAAUGAAUAACUUUUCAUGCACAGUUGAUAUAAAAUUAUUAUCUGAAGUUUUAUGAAAAUCAUAUUUUAUACCUUUCUAUGUGUAUUUAUUAACGAAUAAUACAACUUGCUAAGCAACUAACAACGCCGAAAGAUACAUCAGUUUUUAUACAAAAUUCGCAACCCAAAAAAUAAAGUACACCUAAAUUAGUGAAAUUUUGCAUAUUUUAGACACAAUCCAUACAUAAAACAUGUUUAUCUAUAUUCAUGAUUUUUUAAUGUAAUAGCGAAUUCAACGAACAAUCUCGUAUUCACGAUUCACAUCAAUUUGUAUAUAAAUUUCUUACAUACAAACACGUAUAAACAAAGAAAAAUCAAAGAUACAUAAAUUUAUAUAUAGAUUUUAAACACGUAACAAAUAAAAAAAAUGUAAGCUAAUUAUAUGUACCAUAUUUUAUACCCAUUUCAUAUACUAAAAUAUGUACAAGUAAGUCUUGAACGGAAUAUUGAUAUUUCAUAUUGAUUUUAUUUAGACUUCAUACACAAAAGUUCUGAGAAAAAUUCUAAGUAAUUUGUAUAUGAACUAUACAUAAAUUAUUCUUAAAAUUUUAAAAAUUGAAUAUUGAAAAUCAUUAAAAAUAUUGAAACAUUUUUAUUUUGAAUAGUUAAUAUUUUCAAUUGAAAUAAGAAAAAAAAUCAUUUCAGAGAGAAAUUAGGGAUGGUUGAUAACAAUUUUAGGUAAGCGACUCUCUCUGUUCUCUCUCCGGCCAACUCAGAUACAAACUUAGGGAAGCAAUGGUCGCGUCUAUCUCUCCCUAGUCUAUGGUUGUGGGAGAACUAAACCCUACUUCUAAUCCACAAACAUCAUAUUCUGGAUUACAAAAUCCAAGACAAGCUGCCCAAAAUAUGACGAGAACUCAACUAAAACCAAUUGAAUAUAUUCAUGGUGAACAUAAAGUUUACAAUGGAGGAAAGAGAAGUGUUUGCUAACGAGGAAGGGUUGCAUCGAGCAAUUGUGAUUAAACUCUCUUCAGGUGCAUCAGAUUUGAAGGACCUAAGAACAUUGCUAUCGAAACAUUUUGGAAUCAAGGGUCAUUGUCUAAUUGGUUCAUUGGCACCAUGACAACUCUUGCUAAGGUGCGAUCAAUAGGAUAAUUUUUCUUAGAAUGGAAAUGAGCACCAAUAUAGGAUAUUCCCAUUGUCUAUCGAUUUUAACCAUAAAUAAGAAACAACUAAGGCGGCAGUAUGGAUUUCUUUGCCGAACUUGGCUCCACAUCUAUUUGCCAAGAGGUCAUUAUUGUCUAUAGCAACAACAAUCGGAAAACCAAUAGCUAUAGACAAAUCAACACAAGUAAAUCCAUACCGAGCACUGCUAGACUAAUAUUUGACUUGAAAAACUUUCUGAGUGAAUAAAAUUUCAAUAUUUGACCGGGCAAUAAAACUGGUAAGCUUUUAGAAAAUUUUCAGGAAAUUGUUUAUGAUAUUCUAGCCUUGUAAUGUAUUUUUUGCAAACACAAAGGGCAUAAUGAAGGUACAUGUUUAAUAUUGAAAAAGAAGCUAGAUACUAUCCAGAAUACUGGUGGCGAAGGUUGUGAAGAAGAAGCUACUAGAGAAAAAUUUCAAAAAAUUUUGAGAGAAUUUUUGAAUGGGAAAAGAGGGUGGGAAGAUGGUGAUCGAAGACCUCAUGAAAAGAACCAACAACCAUACUUGUUGGUAAGUUCCCGUCCAGAUGUUGAGGUCCAUAACAAUGUUGCUAAGUUUGCUGCAUCGAAUGUUGAUUCUCAGCAGCAACAAACUAUUGCAAAUAAUAGCAAUAGGUGAUGUGGAUGCACGUGAGUUGGUAGUUCAAUCUCAAGAGAAUUCUAAGGUCUUAGUCUCUUCAUCAAACUAAAUAUGGACUACAAGCCAGGACUUAAUUGUUGAACAACACAUUGAUGAACAAGAUCAUAAUACAUAUUUAAAACCUCCAAAUUUGAUGACCGGUGAAACGUCAUAGUCAGAUAUGGACCAUAUUCACGAUGUUAUGGCGAGAAGUGAAUAUUUUGGGCAGUAUUCAUGGUUGAAUGUCGCUAAGAAAUUGAUGGAUAAGAAUUCAGAAGUUGAUAAUUUGCGGUUUCCUUCUAAUUCUACUCAGUUUGAACAUUCCAUCUGUAAAAAGCAUGCUACUGGUAAUGAAACAAUGAACAAAAUCAAUUUGUGUGGAUAACAGUAUUGGCAAGGACUGGACCGUGAUGGCACAUAAAAAAUAUUUAGGCAUUUGAAAUGGCUCUCCCUGCUUGCAUUAAUGUGCAGCUAGCAAGGAAUGUUCCAUGAUCUCGAGCUUCUUCUCCAAAGGACAUCUCUCUUCCAAAUCCUUUUCAUCUUCUCUCAGAUAAAGUUGGUCACAAAUUAAUCCAAAUAAUCCUACAAUGCCUGUAUCAAAUUCAGAGGUGGAUAAAGUAUUAAAUUCCUUUUCAUAGUUAUUCAUCAAGUUGCAAGCAAACUUCAAGUGGUGUAUUAAAUUCCCUUUCUCCAAUUCAUACUGCCAAACAAUUGGUGGGAAGUGAUACAUUGUCUCCAAAGAGUUUUGAAAACCUCCAAAAAGAUGACAUAUUUGAGGAAAGUGAGGAGGAAGACAUGUUGGAUAUAUUAUUUGCAAGGGCAACUAGGGAUGUUGAUAUCUCUCCUGGACAACAAAGAAAUAGAAAGAUCAAAAUAUAUCACGAUAGAAAUCGAAGUUGGGAUGAUAAGGUGACAGAGGAGUUUGUUUCAAGGCACCACUGGCAAAGCAAAAUCAUACGAUAUUGUCAAAAACUUUAAAGAAUACCCAACAAAUUCAAUAAGUGACGAAUUUUCAAGUGACUUUGUCAACAACUUUUAAGAAUACGCAACAAAUUCAAGAAGUGGUGAAUUUUCAAGUGAUUUUGAGCAGGUUCGAAGAAGAAGGCAAAGAUUGAAUAUAUCAAUGUACUUUAGAUGGGCCAACAUUCCUUUUUUGUCCAUACGUUUGUAAAAAGGAGUUCGUGAUUGAUAACUCAAACUUCUCAUUCAUUUUUAUAUUUUUUUAUUACUUAAGCAUCCUUCUUUGUAAUAUUAUCAUAGAGUGUAAUAUAAACUCUAUGAUGAUCCCAGAAUAUCUAGUUCUUAUUUUUUGCACGUUUGUUGAUUAGUCUAGGUUUUGUUACCUCAUUAAGAAUGGUAAGGUAAGGUCUAGCCCCUUUUGCCUGCACUUUUCUCUUUUGGGGUUUAAUUUUUAUUUUUUAUUUUUUAAAAAAAGAGUGGUUGAUAUCUUUUGGUAACCAAUGUCUUUUGAUAUAUUUAUGGUAUAUUUUGAUUUUUUCCCUUUUUUUUAUUUGUGGCUAAAUUAAUAUAAAGUCUAUAACUAAUAUUUAAUAAAGAAUAGAUCUUGUUUGUCCUCCGUCUAUUUGAUGGACAUACCAAAUUAAGUCUCAAUCUCUAUAAAUUGAUCCUCCCUCUGCUCAUUAGGUUUACCGCAUAUUAUCAGUAUAAUUUCAUCGCAGACGGCUCUGAUAACGAUAAUCUAGUGGCAACUGCUUAUUUUCGAAUGAUAGAUAAAGUUCGUGUGAUGCUAGUUAGUCAGAUCAAUAAUAUUGCUAUCGAGAUUGUUGAUUUUCUAAAGUGCAAGGACUAUAAAGGUAACAUCUCUAAAAAUCUAUAUUAAACUUAUAAUCUUUGAUAUAAAUAAAUUAUAUGUGAUCUUCUUUCUAAAAGAGAUUUAAUUGAUAUGCUGAUAAUUUUCUCAUCUGCGAUUUUAACAUCGAUCUCUUUUAAAAUUUUAUUUUUAUCUUAUAAAUUAUGAAUUUCUCUUUUCCUAGUUUUCAUAACAUCAUUUCUAUGUUUGUUUAUGUUGUUUUACUAGUUAAAAUGAGUUUUAUGUGUUUAUAAAGAAUUGAAUUAGAUACUUUAUUUUUAUCCUUACUAUAAACAUGCCACUUAUUCAAUUAGCUUUCCCCAUAAAUAGUAUAUGACUUUUCAGAGGAGGAUGAUAGUUCAAUUAGCUUUGAUUUUUACAAUCUAUCUACCAUUUUAAAAUGAUCGUUCGGAUGGCAGAGGCGACAUAAGUUUGGAAAUAGAGCGAGAAGAGAAAGACCAAGAGAAACACCAAUUUGAUUAUUAUUAUUAUUGAUCGCAAAAUAAUUUUUUUUUAUCUUAUAUUAGAUGUAGAAAAAAAAGGAAGAAAAUAUGAUUUUCAAGAAAAAUAAUUUUCUUUUUAAUUGAAAUUUUCCUCUUAAUUUCGAGGAGUUUUUUCUUCCUCUCUAAUUUAACAUAUUAUUUUAUCAUGGGAAAUCAUUUUGACAUCUCACGUAUUUUUACUUCUAUAAUGUUUUGACUUUAUUCUUUUCCUUCCUUAUAUAUUAAAAUUUCAAUAAACUCCAAUAUUUUCAUUAAUUUUUAUUUAAUAUUUUACCUUUAGUAAAAAUAAGUAUAUCCAAUUUUACUCAAAUAUGCUCUAUUAGAUUGUCUAGAAUUAAUAGAUAAGUUGAUCAUUUGAUGAAGAUAAGUAACACAACCACUAAAGAAUGAGGUACAGUGAAUGGGGUUACUUCUUUCUUAACUAAAGGUCUCAGAUUUGAUUCUUGAUAGGGAGUGCUUCCUCUGAAUGAACCUAACGCACACGAAUCCAGAUUAAUCGGGUUCCAAUAUAGAUGUCAAACACCAGAUUAAAAAGAAAAAGAAAAAAAAGAAAAGUAAUACACUUACACAAUAAAGGAAGUGAUAUCGUUAGUUUUGUUUUAUUUUAAUUUUCAGUAUUUUGAUUUCAAUUUUAAUUUUAUAUUAUAAACAUGACAUUUUAAUCAAUACAAUUCAAAUUAUUUUUACUUUUCCAUUUAAACAUAAUAACAAUAAUAACUCAAAAUACAUAUUCAUGUUUAAGUUUAUUUAAAUAAUCAAAUAUUGUGAAAGUGUGAUUUCAUUAUGAUAGGAUAUUUUAAUUUAAAUUUGAAUUCUCUUUGUUGAUAUCAAAAAGCUGAAUUGGCCUUUUUUCUCAAAUUUCUUGUUUUAAAUAAUUUUCAAACUUGAAAUGGUAUGAUACUUGUGUGUGUCAUCACUAUGCUUUUUCCUAUUCUAUAUAAUAGAUUCAACUAUUAAUUUUAAAUAUACGUUACUUAAUUUUUUAUGUAAAUAGGUAUUAAAUUUGUAAAUAUUGAUUAUAAUAUAAGUUUUUAUUAGUAUGUGUAGGGGUGGGCAUUCGGUUUAUUCGAUUUGAUUGUUGAAUAUCGGUUUGAUUUUUUAAUUUUCGGAGUGACGAAAAUGAAAACCAUAUCCAAACCAAAAUUAUUUUGGUUUGGUUCAAUUUUUACAAAUUCGGUUCGGUUAUUUUGGAUUUUCAUUUUGAUUUUAAAGAUUAAAGUAGUGAGCAAUUAAAAUUGAUGAUUUUUCUAGAAAAAUAAUCUUUUUUCCAAAUAUAUUUUUCAUUCCCAAAUAUAAUUAAUUCAACACGCAUGAAAUAACCAUAAAUAUCGAUCUCACUGAGUCAUCACUGUUGGCGUGACGGCAUUGGCCGCACUCGGCAGCGACUGCCGGCGGCAGUGACGAACUGAGCAAACGACUGUCGUUGGCGAUGUUGAAAUUUCAAAUGAACUGACGAACUGAGGAUGGUUGAGCGCCACUGCAGCCUUCACGUUAAUGUUAGGGUCUAAAGCAAAGCAGAAUAUUAGGAUUUAGGGCUACUAAAUAGUUAUAAUUUAUAUAUUUAUAUGUUAUAUCAGAUUAUAUUAUAUUUUUAGUAUAUUUACAUAUAUAUUAAAUUAUAUAUAUAUAUAUAUAUAUAUACAUAUUACAAUAUAUUAUUUAUACAAUUUCAGUUUUUCGAUUUAUUUGAAUUUUCUUUUUGUAAAUUGAAAAACCAAACCGUUUAACCAAAUUUCUAAAAUUUGAAAUCGAAACCAAUCCGAAAAACCAAAAAAACAAACCAAAAUUAAAUAUCGGUUCAGUUUUUUUAUUUUUUCCGUUUAAACCAAAAUAUGCCCAGCCCUAAGUAUGUGCAAUCGCAUAAAUUAAAGAGUGGCAAUAAACCCUGAAAAUUAAUAUCAAAUUUGUAUAAGAGAAAUAAAUCUUCAUAGUAAUUUUGCUUAUAAUUUAUUUUACUGAAAAUGUAUUGAUACAGUUAUCAUGAUUGAUACAUCUUCAACAACAAUGUCAAUGCUCUCGAAAGAACCUACAAAAAUUGAAAUGUCCAGUCGUCGAAUCUAGAUUCUUUUAAACUUUUGGCUAGAGCUGUGGCUUUGGAUAUAAUUCCCCUCUCUAAGUAUUUUUUUCCCUACUCUUUCACUUGUGAUAUCUAUUGUGCAUAAAUCAAAUAUGAAUACACUAUGAAAAAUAAUUCUCUCAAAUUCACCAUUAUAUAUCGUUAAAUAGUUCGGAGCUAAAAGAAUUUGACAUAAUUCAUCGUUAAAUAGAAUUAAUAAUGAAUAUUUUAUUGUUUAGCGACAUAAACUGUCCAUCGCUAACUCCUAUUUUUAUUAUGUCUUGUAAUGUUAUUUUUAUAAUUAAAAAAUUUCAUAAAUAUGUGUGAAGUUAACUAGUCUAAUGUAUGAUAUAAUUCAAUUUUAAUUGAUAUCUUCUUAAAAUAAUUGUACAGUUGUAUGUGAUGAACACAAUGAGCUCUUAGAAAAGCAGCCUAUGACAGAUAGAGCUCAUCUCUACCUCAAAAAUAACAAGGAUGUUAAACAAAAGGACAAUAUUAAGUGGACUGGGGAUCUUUAUGCCAAAUUCAUAAAAAGUUUACAACAACUUGAUAAAGAAAGUAAGUUUAUUUUACUAUUAAUUAAAUUUUUCUAUUUAUUUCUAAAGAGAAACAUGAAUAGAUAAAAUUUAUACUUAUGUCUAAUAUCAGCUUGUAUUUACAUGUGCCUCGGCUUGAUUUGAAAAUAUUAUAGUUAUUAAAUUAUAUUGCAUACUUAUGGAUCAUGUAGAAUGUUACCCAAAGGAUAUUCUGGAAAUGAUGAAUGUUCCUGGUCUUACAAGGAUGCAUAAGUCAUCUCUAGGUAUGUCUUUAAAAAAAUUGAAGUGAUAAAUUCUGUAACUUUUGAAUGCAUUUACUGCCGUUAUUCUGCAAAAGGUAAUUAUUUUAUAAAAGUUAUUUUCUCAAAUUUUUAUUUUACAAAACAUUUUGGUUGAAACUAUUUUUUAUUACACUUGUCUGAAAAGUUAUUCUUUCUACAACUAUUUAAUUUUAAAAUUUUAUAUCUAUAGCAAAAAAAGAAAAAUUAAUGUUAUAUCACUUUCCCCAAAAAAUAUUUCGACAUAUCACUUUCACCAAUAAAUAUUUUGACAUUAUUCAAACUUUAGUUUUGGAAAUCCUUAUCAAAACACUAGGUAAUUAAAAGGAUUAGAGAUAGACUUUGUUUACUGAUAAAAGUUAGUUAAUCAUUGCUAAUUUCUAUAUUUUUUUAGCGACAAUUCAAUGAAAUAACAUUAUGUUCAAUCUUUAAUUCAUAUUGUUUCAAAAGAUUGUUAUCGUUCAUUAAUCAUCAAACAUCAAAAAUAUUUUUCAUUAAAAAUGACUUAUUAGUUCAUACGAUAAUUAGAUAUAUUCAUGAUCUAACUCUUUUUUUCCUUCUACAUCUCUCAAAAAUUUCGUAGCAAUGUCAAUUGGAAAGCUCUGAAAAAGCGUGUUGAUUAACCGAGAAAUCCCUAAGUGAAUCUAAAUAAAGUAGUAUUAGAAAAUUUGGGACAAUGUUCUAUUUCUUCUACUUGACUAUUUUCAAGUUUUGAUUUAGCUGAAUGAUUGUUUUUAAAAAAAAAAAAAUUGUUGGGUUUUUAUAGCAUUUUAAUAUUAAAUUUGCUAUUGAAAUGCUGCAUGCUGGAGUAUCUUUUGAUCUUUAUCUCCCACGUUUCAUUUUGGUAAAAAUGGUCUUUUGAUUGCUCCUCUUCCAUGUUCAGUUGUGGAAGAAUGCACCUGACAUUUUUCUUCGGUAACUUUUGUUACAUCUGAGAAAAUUUGAAUGUCUAAGCUCAUUCUAUCAUUGAUGAGUUUCAUCCACCAUUGAUGAGGUCAAGGAGCUGGACAAAGUAAUGUGUAGGAAGAAGAAAAAGAACUGUUUCAUUGCAUUUUCUGAUUGAAAACUGUACAAAAUAUCUAUACACCUCACUAUUUAUAGACAAUCUUAUAAGAAACUCAACUAUACAGCUUAGCAUCAGCUCUCACUUUAAAUAACUAACUAACUCCCACUUGCACUCACUUGCAUAGUAAAAAUAGAAACUAUGAAUGAAUAGUAAAAACUAUUUUAUUUCAAUGGAACAGUAAAAAACUACUUCCUCGUCUAUCUUGAGCUUGCAAUACUCCCCCCUCAAGUUGAAGGGUGCAGGAUACUAAGCACACCAAUCUUUCCCAUCAAAUGCAAAUGUUGGGGUUGACAGAAACUUAGUAAGUAAAUCAGACACUUGAUCAUGAGUUUGAACAGAGGUGGAGCUAGCCUCCUUUAGGGGGUUCGGCGGAACCCCCUUCGAUGAAAAAAUAUACUAUUUAUACAUGAUUAAAAUUAUUUUUUAUGUGGUUAUAGUAGGUGUUGAACUCCCUUCGACUAAGUUUUCUUUGAAUAUUGAACCCCCUCGGUUGAAAUCCUGGCUCCGCCUCUGAGUUUGAACAUAAAGAGUCUCAACGAAACCAUACUUGAUCUUGUCUCGAAACAAUAUGUGGUUAUACUAGCUUGUUAGUUAGUUUUUGUGUCCGUUUGUUCGUGUUAUCGUUAUUUUGUGAUUUCCUUGUUUUUGAAUUGUAGAAUUUCUUGGUUCAAGUUCUGACAUUAUUUUCUUGAGUCUUCAAACAAAGAAUCCAUUCCGACUAAAGAGUAGACUCACCCCUCGACUCAUCACGAACUAUAAGACGACUUGCAAUACUUGUGAAUCCAAGUGUGAAAUGAUCAAGUGUGUGAGAGUGUGGUGAGGUUGUUUCGAACUAACUUGUGUUUUAUUUUGUAGACUUGUUCUUUUCUUUUUUUUAGGUGUAAUUACGAUGGAACCCGCGACUGCAAGUGCUAUUUUGGCUAAAAUUGAAGCCAUUAUUCGUCAAUGGGAAGUGAUAAAUGAAAGGUUGGAUCAUAUGGGAGUACCAAGGGAGCAAGUGGGCUACCCGGACACACGUCAAGAUGAAGAUCGUAGCUCACGUGAGCUACGAGGUAAAAAUGUUAUCCCCUAUACUCAUAUGAACGUAGUUGUGGUUUUACCUAGUGUAGGAGUGCAUGAGUCUUCAUUUUGUGAUACUCUUGAUAUUGUUAGGUCACAUGAGGACCAAACUAUUAUUAUAGGUACAUAAGCACUAGUUGAUCCUUUAGAUGACGAAAUUGAUUCUCCUCGUGAGAAUGAUUUGUGUCCAUCUGGUUCUAGCACUUACAACUUGACUAAGUUCCAUUACCAAGUGACAAGACUAUUCACACACUAGUUGACCCUUGUUAAAAACAAGGUGAGUGUACAUUGGUAUGUGAAUUACCAACAACUAGUGAGGGUAAGCAAAAUGAUCAACCGGGCGUAGAUGAUCUUGAUUUGCUUGAAUAUUUAGAAAAACCAAGUUGUGAUUGUCUUUGUGAAGAUGAUUUUGAUUGUGGUCCUUUGGCUUCCCAUGAUGGUUUGUACAUAUGUGAGGACAACUCUUGUGAAAGAGAAGGUGAUAUGUGCUUAGAAAUGCCAUCUACUUCGUCUUUAUGUGGUUCUUAUGUUGGGCAUAUUCCUAGUGGAAAUUUUGAAACUAGUAGUAAGUGCAUGCAUGGGAACCCUUUAUUUGAAGUUGACUUAUGGAACACCUUUCUCAACCCUCUCUUAGUUCAUGAUAUUUUCAAUAGUGAUAAAGAGGGCUUGCUUAAUUUCGAGGAUGACACCCUAGGGGAAAGUGAGAGUGGUAGAGACCUAAGCCCUUGGUUACGUCUCCCAUUCGAUCCUGGUAACUUCUUAGGGUGUGAAGGAUGGAUAGUUGUUGGUCUGUCCACUUUUCUGAGUGAUAUUGUUAUAUGUGUUAGGUGGACUUUACUUUCAAUUAGGACACCACCCCUUGAUGGUGAUUCCUUUCGCCAACUCCUUUGUAAUUUUUUUCUAAGUCCCUCGUGAUUAUAACAAAGGACGUGUGGUUAUAUCUCAAGUGUGUACCUCCUUGGAAUGUUGAUGUUGUUUAUUGUACUAACUCUAACCCUCAUGUCAUGAGGAUGUGGUGCUUGUUUGUCUUCUCUUUGUUCUUGCAAGGUUUGAAUUCGAGGUCGAAUCCUUUUCAGUUCCUUACUUUUUACACUGCAAAUACCUUGAGUCUUCCACCAAAAUUGCAAAGUUAGUUUCCUACUAUAGUUGAUGCACCACAAUAUGCCUCAGAAUAUAUUCCACGUCAAAUGCACCUCAAUACUUCCAUCACUAUUUCUUUAUCUCCUCAGUAUAAGUCUACCAUAUUCACAUCACCACAUACUGUUUGUACUUUUGUUGCUUAACCUUCUACUAAUGCUUCCAUUUUGUCUCUCAAUCCAACGAUUAUGCUUCCCUAGUCCACUGGUGAAUCCACGUUCAAUAUUCAUGAUGAUCAUUGUUAUACUCUUGAGCCUACAGUUAAGUUAAGUGGACCGCCAAAAUUUCUUACUAAGAAGCCUAGCAUGCUAGAAGACCCAGAGAAAAUGGUUGGAAAAGUUAAGAGUGUAGAAAAUUAUAUGAAAAUUUCCUUGGUACUUUUGGGCUAUGAAGAUGUUUCAUAUAAAAAUUGGAGUGUGUUUUCAAGUGUUAACCUUCCUCCAAGCUUUGAGACAUCAAAAUUUGAGGAGCUUGGUAGACAGAAUGAUUCUGUGAAAUAUUUGGGAUGAUAUUGCAAUCAUUCAUGGGAAACUGAAGGAAAGAAGAAGGAAAACGCAUCCGUUGUCGUGCCUGGACCAAAGCAGAGUUUGAGAGGUCCAACUCACCAAUACUGUCAGACUCAAGCCCGAGCUUACAUAUCAAAUCCACUUAUUCAUCUGUAACAAGGUUCCUCUUUUCAAAAUCCAAGGAGUUCCAUUCCACUUCCUCAAUGUCUUUUGAACAAUGCACAAUUGUGUACCCAUCCAUCUUCUUAUCUAUAAUGGCAUGCACCUGUCCCUUAACAUCGUCCUCGGCCCCCACAAAUUUACCAAGGAACCACUAAAUUCAAGUUUUAUCCGAGGCCAGAGUUCGCAAAGAGGAGGAAGGAAAAGGAUAAUUUCACUUCUAUUGGGGAGUCCUAUGCCAGUUUAUUCCAGAGAUUAAGAGAUAGGCGCAUUAUUACUCCUCUCCUUGGUUAUAUACCUGACCCAUAUUCAAGAAAUUUUGAUCCUAAUGUAUGGUAUGCAUAUCAUUCUGAUGUUUAGGGUCAUAGUACUGAAGAUUGUCGUACUUUGAAAAGAGAAAUAGAAAAGAUGAUUCAAGAUAAAUUGAUUGUGGUUCAAAACAUUGGCCCCUCGACCAUCCCACAGAGUGUUUCACCAGCACACGGUACAUCACAAUAUGUGGGAGGCAAUGAGUUAAGAAUGGGGAUCCAGAACUUAUUUGUUGAAGGAAAUGUGUCUGACAGUGGUGAAAGCUCUAGUCAUGCUAAUAUGCAAAUCAGUGGCUAAUAUAUCAGGCUAAGCAAUUAAGAAGUCACCCCUCUCCAUACUAGGAAGAGGUCUGGUAGUUUAUUUUGUUUUCUUUUCUGUUAUCCGAAUUAUUUUAGGGUGGUAGUUCGGGAUCUAUCUUGAUUUGUUCCUUUUGUCGUUUAUGGUCAAACCUUUUCUAUCUUUUAUUUCAACUAAAUAGAGUCUCCCUUUUUCCUUUGUGUUUAAAUAUAUGAUAUUUGUUUAUUUCGUUACAUAGUACAUUUUAUGUUGGCUUUAGUGAUAUGACAUGGUGGAGGAAUUCUUUGCUAGAUCUUAAAAUCCAAUUUGAGCAUGAACUUUGAAUUAGAGGGCUAAAGGUAGAAAAAGGAUGUGAGAAAUAGGUAGCAUGUUAAGACAUUUGGUGACCAUGUCGAAACCUUCUUUCAAAAUUAAGGCAAUUGUUUUGAGAAUCACCAGAAAACUUGGUCAUCAAUUGUAAGGCAUGCCUCAAUUAGGUCAAACAGUGGAUACGUGAUCCUAUAUCAAGAGGAACAAAAAGAAAAUCAGCUCCACGAAAUCAUGAGUCAUUCAAUGAAAGAAAUGUACAACAAAAGUGGAGUUGUAUGCUAGAAAAUCACAGAAGAAGUAGUGACGCAUAGACUCAGUCCAAGUUAAUGUUGUAAAAGAUGUCGCACAUGAUCUUCAUCUCCAACUUUAAAUUGCAUGUUAUGUACUUGCAUUUUCAAAGAUUGAUAUGACGAAGGCAUUGCAUUCUGUUAACCAAACAUUGUUCAUCCUUUGUUUAUCCCAUUUGAGCCUUAGUUUUAUUUUCUUUCAUACACCUCUUUUGGAAUCAAUAUAGAGUCAACAAAGAUCAAAAGAAAUGGUGUCGAGCAAAACAGUAGAGCCAGAAAAGUUUCAAAAAAAAAGAGAAAAAGAAGCGAGUCGAGAAAAAUAAAAUCGGAAAAGUCCCAAAAGAGUCAACAAAAGAAAAAAAUCAGAAUCAAGCAAAAGAACAAGCUGCCAGAACUACACGUGACCUGAUUCUCCUCUUUUGGGGGUGAGAUACGUAGGCUGCCCUACUCCGGCCUCGGUCAAACCAAAUAAACAAUUUAGAGUCACCCAGUCAAAAGAAACUAGGGCAUGAGUUAAUCCUCAUUGUUUGAAUCGACUCAAAAAGUUGUAAGUCCCACCCCACUUCAAGUGUCGAUUGGGCCUUAUGUCAUCCUUUUUUUCUAACACUAUCCAAAAGCCAAGUUACAACCAAAUAAAGACCUUCAGAUCAAUCUUUGUGGAUGUUAAGGCUAAGCAUGCAAGGGAUAUGAUGAUGCAGUUGGGAACUACUUGUCUUCCUUAACAUAAGAAAUCAGGAGAUAAAUAAAAAUGAGAGUUUUAUUGGUGAAAACCCUCACAGGCACCGUAAGACGAUGGUAAGUUGAGAGAGAUAAAAAUGAGAGAGUCUUAUCGAUGAAAAAUCUCACGGGCACCAUAAGACGACUGUGAGUUAAGGGAAAUGAAGAUAAAAGAGUCUCAUCAGUGGAAAACCCUUACAAACACCAUAAGACAAUGGUGAGCUGAGGAAAAGAAAAUGAGAGAAGUUUGUUGGUGAAAACCCUUCAAGGCACCAUUAGCCGAAUGGGGUAUUAAAUAUAAUUGACCUAAGGAAGAAACUCAGUUUCAAGGCCAUUAGCUCAACAACAAUGGGUAGAAAGUUUGGAUGAAAAGAUCAAGCUGCUUAAUCUAAACUGCAGGGCAUAAUCAUUAGUGUUGACUGUCAUUUUUAGAUGAAUUUUUCGUUUCUUUAUUUCAAAAGGGGACAUUCAUUGUAUUUUAUUUCUUCUCUUUAUUUUUAUUUUAUCUUUCUUGAGUCAAUUAUCUAAACAAAAAUUUUCAUUCUUUUUUUUCAUUUCUUGUCUUUGAGUCAAGUCCGUUUCAAAACAAGUAAGAAAAGAUUUCAAAAUCGGCUACCAGCUUCUUCAAUUGCAAAAAGUGAGACAAAAGGCCAACACAUGAAAGAGAUAUGAUUGUGAGCCGAAAUAAGGUAUACAGAAAGUUCUGUCAACAGAAAACUCAGGGACCUCAUGGAAAUACCAAAGUUCAAAGGUUUUAUAUGAGGAGCAUGGAAAAGCAAAGAUACUGUAUUUCUUUUAAAGUCUCUCUUAAUAAUCUAAGUUUGGUUAAUAAAGCAGCAAGUCAAUGACACAGGAUAAUGGUUGGAAACAAGAUUAAAUGUGAUGACAGAAAGAGCGUUUUCCACGAAUGCCAAAGACACAAACCAUCCACCAUGUUUUUAAACUCACAACCUUUCUUUGCAUGAAACAGGAACACAUGUUACCUUCAAAUCAAGGAUUUCAAAGCCUAAACAUCAAGGCCCGUAAUUUCUCCCUUUUACAAAUGCAGGAAGCAAUGUUGCUGCACAGGUUUGAUAAUUAAAUCAUGGUAAAAAUUCAUCAUCUUAUAUCCCUCGGAGACACACUUUCUUGUCUAGGGAUUUCAGUUUUCAUUUGCUGGAUGAUACACUUCUUAAAUUGAACCUUCACUCUUAGAAGACAUACCUUUUAGUCAAGUCAUUCCCUUUGAUUUCAAUAAGACGUACCUUUUAGUCAAUUCAUCUCCUUUGAUUCCUACAAUACGUACCUUUUAGUCGAGUCAUUCCCUUUGAUUCCUAUAAGACGUACCUUUUAGUCGAGUCAUUCCCUUUGAACCCUAAAAGACGUACCUUUUAGUUGAUUCAUUCCCUUUGAUUCCUAUAAGACGCACCUUUUAGUCAAGUCAUAUCCUUUGAUUCCUAUAAGACAUACCUUUUAGUCAAGUUAUUUCCUUUGAUUCCUAUAAGACGUACCUUUUAGUCGAGUCAUUCCCUUUGAUUCCUAUAAGGCGUACCUUUUAGUCGAGUCAUUCCCUUUGACCCCUAGAAGACGUACCUUUUAGUCGAGUCAUUCCCUUUGAUUCCUAUAAGACAAGAGUUGUCACACCCCUUUUUUUCACUGCCCAAAAGAAUUAAAUUUUUAAGUUUCAAAAGGAUUUUAUUAUUAAAGUGACAAAAGAUGAAAAUUGUUUCGAAAAAUGAUUCAUUAGUUUCAAAACUCAGAGUCGCCACUUGGCAUAAAUCAGGUGUGCCAAGUCACCCGUGGAUAUCCUUUUUCAAAACUAUUUUGACUCUAUAAAACAGAUCCGCGAACAAAGAUUCUUGCUAAGGAAUUUUGUUAACUGAGGGGAAGGAUUUAGGCACCCCUCGAUCCCGUGGUUCGACCCCGGUCGCUUGGUGGAGUAUAUCGGCUAAUUUGGACACUAAGAAUGUAUAAACCACACCAAACAUAAAUAAAAUGAUCAAUCAAUCAAACAAAUCCAAAAACAAUGUCCAGUCCAAUUAUACAGUCCGAAAUAGAAAAAGAAUGUGAAAAUGUAAAUCCUAUUCUACCCUACACUAAUUUUAUACUAUGCUCCCAUGCUACCCGAUGCCUCGGGCCUUCAUCACGGAUGUCCUCCCAAUACAAAAUACUUUGGAGUAUUCUCCGGCGAAUAAAUACAAGUGAUCGCGGGGCAUUCCCUAAUUAAAUGAAUACAUUUCCAAAUGCAAGAACUAAAACCAAACCGUUCAACUCAAAUUCCACAUUUAAACAUUCAACAAGAAAACUUAUUCCUAAAUUUUUACCUACCCGAACUAACAUUCGCCUAUCCAUUUCAACAUAUCAUAAUUUUAUCACAUUCCAACAAUAUUCAUGCUCAUUACGAAUUAAACAAAACAACAAUAAACCAAAGCUAAUCUAAAUUCAACUUUUUUAUCAAUUGCUCAAUUUCAUCCCCCAAAUCCAUUUUUAACGACAUUAUUAAACCAGUUCGACUAUCAAAUCACUUUUCAAAACCCAAAACCAACAACACAUACUCCAACGAAGAUUCAAACAUUUAAGCAUACCAAUCAUUCAUAUCCAUAAAAAACAAUUAACAUUUUGCUCAAAAUAUUCAAAACUGCACCACAAAAUCAGGAUAUUAACCAACUUCGAUAGAAUAAAAAAGUAGAGUUGAGAGAUGGACCUUUGAAGAAUCGAUUUCACUGAUAAUAAAAUCAAGAAAGCCCGGACUAUAGAAUUCCUAAUAGGACCUCAAAAAUGACGAACUCCAACUCCGUAUUAAAAAAUUUGACACCCAAAACUGAAGCUCUGUAAAUCCAAUCAAACCGAAAAACCAACACUCUUCACAUACUGUUCACGGUACUAUUCAUAGCACUGUUCACGAUACUAUUUCUCUCUCAAUUUUUUUCUCUCCCAUGCGAUUCUCUCUUCUCUCCCUUGGUUUUUUUUGUUCUUCUUGUGAGGAAGAUGAUUUGGUGAUUGUUGUUACUGUGGAGCAGUGAUGAUGAUGAAAGAAUGAGCCUCCCCUUUUUUCCCUAUUAGAAUUUUUCUUUUAUAUUUUUUAUUUAGUUUUUAUUUUUCGUUAUUUAGUAUCCUAUGUGGAAGCAUAUAAUUGGUGGCUUAUGGGAAUAAGUGUGUGGCAUGUGGAAAAGUUAGUGUGGCAUGUGUAAAAAUGAGUGUGGCGUGUGCCUUUUGCAUGUAUUGUAACACCCCGGAAAAUGGGUCCUGGAGCAUCACACGGUGCUUGAGGCUACGAGUAGUCCCAAGCUAACCCUUUGAGCCAUUUUCAUUCAGUUCAACAAAAAUCAACAGCGUUUCCAUAAAUAACCCUCAAGUAUCAACAAGUAAUCAUCAUCCAAGAAUAAAAGAAUUUUAGAAAGAUAAUAAAAUACGACUUAUUAGUCAACUCCCAACAUCUAUACUAGUUUGACAAGCCUCUAAGAAAAUUAAUAAAACCAGUGAGCCAUUGAGACAUGCCUCAACUGACUCAUACUUAGUUAUCAAAUGUAAAUAAUUCCGUGAAACCAAUAUCAGACAUCACGUGCUCGGAACAUGAGGACUCACCACAACAGAGGAUAUAGAACAGCGUGCCAGAAGAAUCACUGUCCAACCUGGAACUGAGCACCUGAACCUACAUUCUGAGAAAAUGCAGCCCACAUCCGAAGAUGUGGGUCAGUACCAUGGAAAGGAAUCGAGUAUAUGGGGGUGUAUGCAGUUGUAAAAACACCAUCAUCAUAAAUAUUUAUAAAAAAUAUGCAGGAUGUGUGAAAGACUCACAUAGUCGAAAAAAAUCAUCAUAAUCAUGAAAGGAUGAAAUAAGUACAAUAACACAUGUGAGUCAUCAUAUAAUUUGUCAAUCACUUUCAGUUCAUCAAGAAUAUCAAUUCUCAUAAUAUAAAUAUCAUUUAAAUCUUUCAAACGAAUAACUUUCACAAUUCCACUUUCAAAUCACUUCACCAUUCACCAUAGACACAAGGAAACACACACACACUGGGAGAUCGUAUAACCGACAUAAACCAUGUGAGCUAAAUGGAGUCCAACGUACAACCUACGUUGGGGAGAGCCAUCCUAUCCUUUCCAUCGAAGUAGGACUAUCGAUAUCAAAUCCACACAAACUAGUGAUCACUAUAUAAAUCAGCCUCAGCCUCAGCCUCACUCCUACGGGGGCACGUAGUUCUAGUGAAGUAAGGUCUCUUUAUACCUUCCACUUGGUGCUAAAGAUUUCUCCCGGACUUAGGUCAGAUCAUUUCAAAGACAAUCCAUAACAAAAAAAUUUCAGUAAUAUAUAAAUAUACAUCGGGAGCCAUCUGCUUCCCAUCUAUUAAAAUCAAACCACUUUUUGGAUUUCUUUACUCUNNNNNNNNNNNNNNNNNNNNNNNNNNNNNNNNNNNNNNNNNNNNNNNNNNNNNNNNNNNNNNNNNNNNNNNNNNNNNNNNNNNNNNNNNNNNNNNNNNNNNNNNNNNNNNNNNNNNNNNNNNNNNNNNNNNNNNNNNNNNNNNNNNNNNNNNNNNNNNNNNNNNNNNNNNUUUGAAUGAUGGUUCUUGGAGUUCUUGAACUAGGAACUUGGAAUCUUGAAGAAAUUUGCAGAAUUAAUGGUGAACUUUGGAGGUUCUUGAAGUUGGAUGUAGGAGCUUAGGGUUUUUUUUUUGAGGGAAUUUGAUGAAAUAUAAAAUAUAAUGCUUCUAAUAGGCUUUAAUAUAGAGUUUGGAUGGAUUUUGGGUGAGGGGGAAUGACCAAAACGCCCCGAAUCUAUCCUUUGGUGGAUUAUUUUGAUAGUCUGAAGUAGAUCAACCAUAGCGUUUUACUCUGAUAUCCAAAUUGGAUGAAACCAAUUUCAUUAGAAAGAGGACUCUCAUAUAUUUCCGUUGAUAUAUAGUAUCUCACCCAGAUCAUUGUGUACGAGGAGUUAUGAUCAUUUGAAGUUGACCCAAAAAUUUAUUUUUAAUAGGCUAAAGUAGAUCGACCAUAACUUUUUGCUCCGAUAGACAAAUUGGAUGAAACUAAUUUCAUUGGAAAGAGGACUCGUAGAGAUUUCCGUUGAUAUAUAUUAGAUCACCCAGAUCAUUAUGUACAAGGAGUUAUGAUCAUUUAAAGUUGGAGGAAAAAUACGUCAGGCCUCAAUAGUUUUUCCUGCACGUUUUACUGCUCACUACUAUUCACGGUUCGAUCGGAAUGUUCAUAACUCAUCACUCGGGUGUCUGUUUUGGAUGAUCCACAUAUAGUUGGAAAGCUUAUUCGAUACUCUACGCAAUGGUAGGUCAUAAUCUAAGACAUUCCAUACGGAAAAUUUAUAAUUCAUUCUAGUAGAUAGAACCCAACACGUUUACGCACAAAAUUUCAACGAAAAAUUUCCCGGGGUAUUACAUGUAUCCAAUGAAAAAUGGAAAGUGAGGUGUUGAGGUGGCAUAGUGAGGUGACAAAGAUUCUAUGUAUUUAAUUAUUUUCAAUUCUUUUUUGGGGAGAAAUUAUCAAUUAAACAAAAGUAUGGUAAGGUGAAUAAAAUAAUAAAAUAAAAAAAUAAUUAAAAUAUUUUCGAAAAAGGACAAAAUUACGUGUCUACGUUGCUCUAAUGACUCUUAUUUUAUAUUUUCAUUUUUUCUUCGUGGGCUUGUAAAGAACUUCUCAAUUGCUCUACUGUCAUAGAGUCUAAAUCCUUAGACUCCUCAAUAGCAUAUACCACAUAAUCAAAUUUGGGUGUUAAAGAGCGAAGGAUCUUUUCUACCAUACGCACAUCAUCUACUUAAUUCCCUUACCUUCUUAGUUGAUUCACAACACCCAUCACUCUUGAACAAAAAUCCAAAAUGUAUUUGGAUUCUUUCAUUUUUAAAACUUCAAAAUCAGCCCUUAGAGUUUGAAGUUUAACCUUCUUCACCUUAUCAACUCCUUAAAAAUAAUUUUGUAAAAUCUCCCAAGCUUCCUUCAAGGUGGUUGCAUCAGCCACCUUCUCAAACAUACCAUCAUCUAGAAAUUGGUGGAUGAGAGUGAGGGCCUGUUGAUCUUUCUUCCUUGUCUUAAUCAAGAAAUCUUUUUCAUUUUGAGACAGAGUCUCCUCAUUGGCGGAUUUUGUAUACCCUUUUGUAUACAAUGUCCCAAACAUCUUGAGAACCAAGAAUGACUUUCAUUCGUAGGCACCAUUUUUCAUAAUUUUCUUUUGUAAGGUGGGGGUACUGAAAAAACAAUGGACUAUUAUUUGUCAGGCUAUGAUACCACGUUAUUGGAAAAAAAUAAAUAUUUCCACACAUGAUAAUAUUCACACAAAAUAGCAACAACAAGAGAGUAACAAUGACACAAAAUAUUAUAACGGGGUAAAUAAAAUACCCCAAUGGAGGAAUACAAUAAUAGUAAUUACAACUUGACAGUGUCAAAAGACUACUACUAUUGCUCUCUCAAUUUUGGUGUACCUAAAACUGAAAUAGAAAUCAUCUAUUUAUAGAUGAAUGUCCCAAACUUUUCAGGUUGUGACACCAAUUCAAUUUCCAACUUGAUCAUGUUGCAACACCAACUUCCAAAUUCAUGUCACCACAUUAGACAUGUUGCAAUACUAAUUUUUCUUAUUAUUUUUUAAUUUAUUUUAAUUAUUUUGAUCCCACACUUAGAACACUAAAUCCACACAGUUUGGUUUGACAAUACAUUGAAAUAAUAGAUGCAUGGGCUCACUGAAAAUCAGAAUAGAUAGCUUAUUAAGAUGAUUUCAUCUACUAAUACUCAUACGCUGGUACUAGGGCAACGGGAGGAAACAUUCUGGAGGGGAUCCUAGUCCUUAUAUUUGCAUUGAAGGUCGGAAAAUAAUAUCUAAAUAUUGGUUCAAGAAAGUAUAUGGAUAUCUGUAACGUAAAAUGACUUUUAUCUAUAACUAGGGGAAACCUUAAUAAAAAACAAAGUAAGAAAUCACUAGAAAAUGAUAUAAAUAUUGUAGAACAAUUCAUAAAAAGAGAGAAAAUGUUUAUGUGAUAUUCAUUUUCGCUAGAAAGGUUAAAUAUCAUUAUUUGAUGUCAAAUUGGAUCAUAAAUUGUUACAUUGUGUCAAUUUACCAUUAUUUUAUGUAAAGAUUAUUUUGUAUGUACUUUUUAAAUUAUAUAUUGUAAAUUGUUAUUGUAUUUUUUUAUAUUUAUUGAAUUAAGUUUUUAAUUGUAAGUUGUAGCAGUUUUUAAAAAAAGAUUUAAAAACAUUUUUUAAAAAUUUAUCUAUUAUAUGUAUAUAAGUAAGUAAAUCAGACACUUUAUCAUGAGUUUGAACAGAGGCGGAGCUAGCCUCCUUUAGGGGGUUCGGCCGAACCCCUUUCGACGGAAAAAUAUACUAUUUAUACAUGAUUAAAAUUAUUUUUUAUGUGGUUAUAGUAGGUGUUGAACCCCCUUUGACUAUGUUUUCUUUGAAUAUUGAACCCUCUCAGUUGAAAUCUUGGUUCCGACUCUGAGUUAGAACCAAACCAUACUUGAUAUUGUCUCUAAUAAAGUGACAAUCACUUUCUAUAUGUUUAGUUCUCUCAUGAAACACAGGGAUUUCAGCCAGUUGAAUAACUGAUCUACUGUCACGUCACUGAUUACCUUGAUAGGUUUAGUGAGAGGUACAUUCAAGCCCUUGAACAGACCAACCAACCAAGUCACCUCUACAAUCACUGAAGCCAUGCUUCUGUACUCAGCUUCAGCUGAGCUUCUGGACACUGUCUACUACUUCUUAAACUUCCAUGAGACCAAGGAAUCUACAAACUUCACUAUAUAGCCAGUAACAAACUUCCUAGUAUUAAGAAAGGCUACCCAAUUUGAAUCACACCAAUAAAAAAGAGUCAUAACAGGUUGAGACUUCAACCAAAUACCUUGACCAAUAGUACCCUUAAGGUAUCCAACCACUCUAGUAGUAGCCUCCCAAUGAUAUCUUUUGGGAUUUUGCAUGAACUGACAAAGAUUCUGAACAACAAAACUAAUUUCAGGUCCGGUAAUAGUAGCAUACAUAAAUUUUCCAACAAACCUCUGAUAAGAGGUAAUAUCGGUCCAAAUAGCAUCUUCAGGACAACCAUUUGCAUGAUCAUGUUCCAUUAUAGUCAAUUUGAGAUUAUGACCCAUAGAGUGAAAGCAAGAUUAGCACCACUAAGACCUGUUUCUAAGAUAAGCUCCAGAAUAUAUUUCCUCUGUAUCAACAAAACACCUGUGGUUGAUCGUAGCACUUCAAUACCAAAAAAAUACUUAAACUUUUAAUUAAAUAUUAUUAUUUUUUUAAUACAUAAAUGACCUACAAUAAUUAAUUAGGAGUGAUACAGUAAAAUCAAGGUUGAAGGACGCCAACUUAAUUUAAAGCAUCAAGAGUUAAUUUAUCAUUUAUUGAUUUAAUCAUUUUAUUAAAUAUUAUUAAAUUUUUUAAUACUUAGAUGACCCAUCAUUAUUAAUUAGGAGGGAUAUUUAGUAAAAUUAUGGUUGAAGCAGCUGUAACAAACAUGUUAUAAACACGUAUUUUUCUUGUUUUAAUUAAAUACUAUUAAUAUGCUAAUACAUAAAUGGCUUACAAUAAUUAAUUAGGGGUGAUAUAGUAAAAUCAUUGUGCAGCUCUUGAAGCAGCCAUAUCGAAACCAAUGUUUUAAUUAAAUAUUAUGAAUUUUUUAAUACAUAAAUGACUUACGAUAAUUAAUUAGGGCUGAUAACGGUAAAAUCACGGUUGAAGGAGGUAAACUUAAUUUAAUACAUCAUCAACAACAACAAUAUACCCAGUGUAUUCCCACUUAGUGGGGUUUGGGGAGGGUAGAGUGUACGCAGACCAUACCACUACCUUAAGAGAUGGUCUCAUAAUAAUUAAUCAUGAGCGAUAUUUAGCAAAAUUAUGGUUGAAGCAGCUGCAGCAGACAUGUCAUCUAUUUUUUUAAUUAAAUAUUAUUAAUUUUUUAAUACAUAAAUGACUUAUAAUAAUUAAUUAGGAAUGAUAUAUUAAAAUAACGGUUAAAGCAGCUGAAAUAAACAUCAUAAAUAUCUAUUUUUAAUUAAAUAUUAUUAAUUCUAAUAUAUAAAUGAUUUAUAAUAAUUAAUUAGGGAUAAUAUAGUAAAAAAAUAUUAUUAAUUCUAAUAUAUAAAUGACUUAUAAUAUACUUACUUACUACAACAUGUGUGCCUUUUAUAGGCAGAAUGUACAUAAAGGAGUGGUUCUAAAAACUACUACGUGGCCGCAACAUAAUUGGCCGACACUUUUAGAUAAGGGAUAAGAAAGAAAAUUAUAUAUAUAUAUCAAUUAAAAUCUCUCUUAAAUAUUUGCAUUUUUCUUUCCCCCUUAUAUGUUUCCUUAAAUAAAGGAUUGAUAAUAAAUUCUUAAUUUUCUCCUUAUUGUUUUAUACUUGUUUUUAACUUAAUUCCUCAAAUCAACCCUUUCUAUAGGGACAGAACGUGAAACAUAUAACACAAAAGUAAUGUGAGAGUUUCAAAAGAAAAGGAAGUUAGAGUGGGCGAGGAGAAGGUUUGUUCAUAGAAACUCAAAAAGUAACGUGAGAGUUUCAAAAGAAAAGGAAGUUAGAGUGGGCGACGAGAAGGUUUGUUCAUAGAAACUCAGCUGUAAAUUUAUAAAUCCAGAAAUAUAUACAAAAAAAGGAAAAAUAAUCUUAAAUCAUGCAUUGGAAGGACUCAUUAAAACACAAAUUAAGAACUUUAUCUGGACUCUACUCCAGCAAAUUUAGGUUAAUAAGAUCCCUAUACGUCCCUGAAGCCUAAAGUUACUUCACCUACGACUCCAAAAACACACUUCACUAUAGAUCAGAGAGCAAUUUCUGUUUUCUCAAGUUCAAUUUCCAGGACCACUGUUUAUGCAACAUAGAUCCCUUUGCACAUCUUAGGCAUAAAUAUACAAGGCUGUUUUUCUUUUAAUUUUUGUAGUAAUAAAAAAAUACAAGACUUCAUAGGCAUCUGAAUUCAUACUACAAGCUAAAAUAACUACCUAAUCAGAAAUUUAACUGGUAUAAUCUAUAAAACUAUUGCAUAUUCACCAUACUUCAACCCAACCCGAAAUCAAGCAAAUUAGAACAACUAGAAGAAUGUCAGGAUAAUGGCAUAGUAUGUUGUUUUGGGUACACAAAAUCUGUAUGUUAGUUUACUAAACUUCAACACAAGUUCAAGACGUUUCAAGAAUACUUAUGAAGUUUUCCAACACCUUCAACACAAGUUCAAUAUGACCUAUCAAAGAAGUAUGCUAUAUUAUUAAGAAAUAAGAUGAAACAGAAUAAGUCAAGUCCUUCGCAUUCACGAAGUGUCCUUAAGGAAAUAAUUCCAUUUAAGUACUCGAGGUUGCGGAAUUUUCCUCCUAGAAUAAAAUGGCUUCAUAACCAGAAAGUAGCGGUACCUCAAAUGUUCUAGUUUUCUUUGAAAGAUGAUCACAUAGAGUUUUUAAGAAGACAAGAAGUGUUUUAAUGCAGAAAGUUUUCUUGCUAAUCUUGUGGAAAAAUACAGGUUUAUAUAGACAUGAAGUGCCUCUUCGAAAAUGAGGCAAUGGUUCAUCGAAAGGUGUAUCUUUUGUAAAUAGUCAUGUCUAUCUAUUCGAAACAGUGUGUCUUUUCUGAAAAGCCACAACCAUCCAAAUAGUCAUACCUUUUCCCGAAACAGUGUGUCACUUCCUAGAAAGGUUGUAUCCCUUCCGAGGCAGUAUUUCGCGUUUCUACAAUUAUUUCUGAACUGUAUGCAUGCACGUUAAUGGAGGAACAAAAAACUAGUGCAUUUUUUUUUUGGAUUCUGGGAUCACUUGAUUUACCGAAUAAAGUUUAUCUAAAAAAUUAAUCUCAUCAAUCAUUUGACAAAUUCGAAGCCGAGCCGAGCGAGCGACGAUGAUGGUGGCGCAAGGUUCCUCUUGGUUCUUCUCUCACUUACCAUAUGGAGUUUAUGUUUCUUAAUAUAAACACAUGAAGGUUUCAGUGUUAUCUCAAUUUUUCCUCCACUUAAUUCCCUCCAUUUUCUAUUCACACUUUUUAUCUUGAACCCAACAAUCCCCCACAUGAAUGGGGAAUGACUAUUCUUUGUAAAACUUUAUGAACAAGUAUGUGAUCAUCAAGCAAAGACUAAUUACAUCUGGAUAAGUGGGUUUUCCUUUAAACUUUCUGUAGUGAACAUUCAUCGGAUGUACUCGAUCAAUUGGUAGAUUUGAUAUCUUUGAACCGUUGAGCUUAAUGCACACCUAGAAAACACACAUCACAUAACCAGUCUUUUACAUUUUAUGGUUCUCACAGUUCUGUUUGGUUCAGCCAUGAAUUCAUGAGAUCUUAGAGACUAGGACUUUACUAACAUUUUCCUUGAAGCGACUUCCACUUCACCCUCAGAUAGGUGAUUUCUAAGUGUUUCAAUAUGAUAGAUUAAACUAUUUUUUCAAAUUUGUCAAAUUUAGAUAACCAUUAAAAGACUUUACACCAUAAGUCUUAUCCUUAUUUACUAAACAUUGUCUACAUCAUAAGAAUGAGUUUGGUAUAUUGACAAUAUUGAACCUAUCAUACAUAACUUUGUUUGAUCUCCUUGAACGUAGCUCUUGAGAUCUCUAGUCUGCUAGGUAGAGUUACUGCCAUGCUGACUUGUCUUAGGUUGUAAACCCAUUAAUUCCUUGGAUGUCCUCUCAACUCCCUCUCUAGAUAGGUCAUUUGUUACUGGAUCCGACACAUUAUCCUUUAACUUCACAUAGUCCACAGUGAUAAUUCCACUAUAGAGAAGUUCUCUAACGUUAUUAUGUCUCUAUUUUAUAUGAUAAGAUUUACUGUUAUACAUCAUGCUCUCUGCUCAUCUAUUUUUGUUUGGUUAUCACAGUGUAUACAUACUUGUUCCACUGGUUUGGUCCAAUAAGAAAUAUCUUCCAAGAAAUUUGGAGUCAUUCUGCUUUUUUACCGGCUUUAUCCAAUGCGAUAAACUCAGAUUCCACUAUGGAGCAAGCAAUAUAUGUAUGUUUAGACAAUUUUCAAGAGACUACUCUUCCACCUAUAGUAAAUACAUAUCCACUUGUUGAUUUUACUUCAUUUGAUCCAGUGAUUCAAUUUGCAUCACUAUAUCCUUCAAUUACUCUGAGAUAUGUAAUAUAAUGCAAAACAUAGUCUUAAGUGUAUUUAAGAUACCUCAAAACUCUUUUCAUUGUCAUCCAAUGAGUUUUACUGAGAUUACUCGUGUACUGACUCAACUUAGUAAUAGCACAUGCUAUGUCUGGCCUUGUACAAUUCAUGAUAUACAUCAAACAUUCUAACAUUUUUGCAUAGUCCAACUGUGAGUCACUUUCACCUUCAUUCUUUUGAAGUGCAAAGCUCACGUCCAAUAGAUUCUUGGCAAUACCAAAUUCCAAAUACUUGAAUUUGUCAAGUACCAUUUGGAUAUAAUGAGACUGUGACAGUGUCAUUCCUUAUGGAGUUCUAUAGAUUCUUAUUCCUAAAAUCACAUCCGCAACUCCAAGGUCUUUUAUAUCAAACUUGCUUUCAAGCAUUCAUUUUGUAGCAUUUAUAUUAGAAAUAUCUCUAUUGAUGAUCAACAUAUCAUCCACAUACAAACAAAUAAUGACCUUGUGAUUUGGAGUGUCUUUAAUGUAAAUACAUAUAUCACAUUUGUUUAUCUUAAACCUAUUUGCCAAUAUGGUUUGGUCCAACUUCGUAUGACACUGUUUAGGUGCUUGUUUUAGUCCAUAUAGUAACUUAACAAGUUUAUAGACCUUAUUUUUUUUACCUAGAACCACAAAAUCCUCAGAUUGUUCCAUGUAAAUUUCUUCCUCUAAUUCUUUAUUUAGGAAUACUGUUUUCAUAUCCAUUUGAUAGAUUUCAUGACCAUAUACCGCCGCUAAGGCAAUUAACAUCUGAAUUGACAGUAUCGUUAUUACAGGUGAGUAUGUAUCAAAGUAAUCAAGGCCUUCCUUUUGUUUAAAGCCUUUUACUACAAGUCACCUUGUAUUUGUCAAUAGUACCAUCCUCUUUCAUUUUCUUUUGAAGAUUUAUUUAGAACCUAAAGGUUUAUUUCUUGGAGGAUGAUCAACCAACUCCCUUGUAUGGCUGCUUAAGAUUGAAUCAAUCUCACUAUUGACUACCUCUUUCCAAAAGGAUGAGUCUGAAGACGCUAUCACUUCUUUAAAUGUUUGAGGCUCAUUUUCUAAGAGAAAUGUUACAAAAUCUAAUCCAAAUGAAGUUGACAUUCUUUGGCGUGUACUACGUCUUGGAUUUUGAUCAUUAUGUACAUCCUUACUUGGUUUAUCUCGAGUCGUUGAGGCCCCCACUAGAUUAUUCGUGUCUAGUUUUAUACGGAUAAAUGUGUUCAAAGAAUUCAGUAUUAUCUGAUUCAACUACCAUAUUUUUAGUGAUAUCUGGAUUUUUGGAUUUAUGAAUCAAAAACCGACAUGUUUUACUACUUUUAGCAUAUUCUAUAAACAUGCAGUUCACUGUCUUAGGUCCUAUCUUCUCCCUUUUAGGCAUAGGAACUUGGACUUUCACUAGACACCCCCACACUUUGAAAUAUUUCAAGUUGGGUUUCCUUCCUUUUCAUUUUUCAUAUGGAACUACUUAUUUCUUACUAUAGGGCACUCUAUUGAGUAUUCAGUUUGCUAUAAAGAUAGCUUUCCCCCACAAGUUGUGUGGUAAACCUGAACAUAUAAGUAAGGAAUUCAUCAUUUUCUUUAAGAUUUGGUUUUUUUUUUCCGCAAUUCCAUUAAAUUGAGGUGAAUACGGGGUUGUAGUUUGAUGGACAAUUACAUUCUCUACAUAUAUUUCCGCAAAUAGAGAUUCAUAUUCUCCACCCCUAUCACUUCUCAUUUUGAUCUUUUUUUCUAACUAAUUUUUAACUCCUGUUAUAUAUUGCCUAAACUCAUCUAUUAUUUCAUCCUUAUUUUUUAGCAAAUCGACAUAACAAUAUCUAGUGAAUCAUCAAUAAAAGGUAUAAAAUACUUUUUUCCACCACAAGAUGGUAUUGACUUCAUAUCACAAAUGUCAGUGUGUAUUAAGUCUAAGGGAUUGGAAUUCCUUUAAAUGGACUUAUAAUGCUUAGCAUACUUUGAUUCCACAUACGUUAGAUAUUUUGAUUUAUUGCACUCUAAGUUUGGCAAAACUUUUAAGUUAAUCAAUUUUCGCAACAUUUUGUAGUUGACAUGUCCUAAUCAUUCAUGCCCAAAUCAUUAGACACAAGCAAGUAAGAAGAAAUAAAACUUUUAUUGAUUUCAACAUUAAUUACAUUCAUCUUAAAUAGGCCCUUAGUGAGGUAGCCUUUUCCUACGUACACUUCUACUUUACUAAGUAUAAUUUUUCUAAAAAUAAAUAUACAUUUGAAUCCAUUUUUGUCAAGAAAUGAUACAAAAAUCAAGUUCUUCUGUAACUCCAGUACAUACAGGACAAUGUUCAAAGUAAACACUUUUCCUGAUGUCAUUUUCAGGCAUACCUUGUUCCUUCAACUUUUGCAGUUGUGAAGUUUACUAUAUAGACCUUGUCUUCACCUUGAGCAGGAGAAAAUGCAGCAAACAACUCCUUAUUUUCACAAACAUGGUGGGUAGCACUGAAAUCCAUCCAUCAUUCUCGAGGAUUUCCCACUAAGUUGCAUUCUGACAGCAUGACACAUAGAUUGUCCAUUUUGUUGUUGGAUUUAGCCAUAUUUGCUUGGUCCUUCUUUUUGUCUUUCUUUGGGGCACGACAAUCUGUUGACUUGUGGCCAAUCUUUCCACAAUUAAAGCAUUUGCCUUUGAAUUUCUUCUUAGAUUGAUUGCUUUUUUGUCCAGCAUUCUUUCAUUUUUUUGAGUUGUUGCAUUCGUCUUCUACAAUGUUUGCACCAUUCAUUGCAGAAUUUUAUUUCGACCUUCUUUCCAUGACUUUGUUAUCUUCUUCAAUGCGCAGUCUCACUAUAAGAUCUUUCACUAUCAUCUCCUUUUAUGUAUAUUUCAAGUAGUUCUUGAAGUCCUUCCACAUAGGUGGCAACUUCUCUAUAAUUAUUGUCGCAACUGGAAAUGCCUCGUUCACAACUAAACAUACAAUAAAGUUUAUGUGAAUAUUAAGAACAUUUUUAACAUGUUCAACUAAGGUAUUUACCAAGAUCAUAACUUUCCCAAGGAGAUCGUGGAUGAUAACUUGCAGUUACUGUACUUGAGAUAUAACCGACUUGUUGUCAAUCAUUUUAUACUCUAGGAAUCUUACAACAAAGAACUUCUUGGUUCCAGUAUCCUCAGUCUUGUAUUUUCUUUCUAGCGUACCCCAUAACUCUUUUGACGUCUUUAUUCCACUACAUACGUUGUAUAGGUCAUCUUGGAGGCCACUUAGAAUGUAAUUCCUGCAUAGGAAGUCAAAAUAUUUCCACGCCUCAAUAACGACGAAUCUCUCCUGGUCCAAAGUUCCCUUUGGUAACUUUGGAGGUUCCUCAGAUAUAAAUCUUUGAAGACAUAAGGUUGUAAGGCAGAAGAACAUCUUCUGUUGCCACCUUUUAAAAUCAAUACCUAUGAAUUUUUUGGGUUUCUCCGUUGGUGCCAUUGCCUGCAAGCACUCGUACGACUCAUUGUGACAACAUUAGUUUCUGGCACACUCGUCCCAACAUCAUUCACAUGAUUGUCAGUAGUCAUUUUCCUAUCACAAAAAGACAGUCAACUUUAGUAUACUGAAAUACUACAUAUAAAGUUGUAGAAACUUUAAACACACCUUGUUUCUGGUUUAACGAUGAUGUUUUUAUGACUUCAAAUUGUUAGCCGAAUGAGCCUUUAACUUGUGAUGAAGUUUUAAUGUCUUCAAUUACUUGUUAAGUUCAAACGGAGUAGAAAGUGUAAAGCUAUAAUCUCCAGAAAUCAAACAAUACAAAUUAUAGAUUAUUUCCUUAAGAUUGUUGUUUCGAGUAAAAAAAAUCUGUAUGUUAGUUUACUAAGCUUCAACACAAGUUCAAGAUAUUUCAAGAAAACUUAUGAAGUUUUCCAACACCUUCAACACAAUUUCACUGUGAACUAUCAAAGAAGUAUGUUAUAUUAUUAACAAAUAAUAUGAAACAGAAUAAGCCAAGUCCUUCGAAUUCAAGAAGUGUCCUUAAGUAAAUAAUUCCUCUCAAGUACCCAAGGUUGCAGAAUUUUCCUCCCAAGAUAAACGAGCUUCACAACCAGAAAGUAGCAGUACCUUAAACGUUUUGUUUUAUUUUGAACUCACUAGAUGGGAGAUGAUCACACAGAGUUUUUAAUAAGACAAGAAGUUUUUUAAUAAAGAAAAUUUUUGUGCUAAACUUGUGGAAAAAUACAGGUUUAUAUAGUCAUGAAGUGCCUCUUCGGAAAGAAGGUAGUGGUUCAUCGAAAGGUGUAUCUUUUCUUAAUAUUCAUGUCUGUCUGUUAGAGUUGUGACCUGAAUCUUGUUGAUCUAGCCCAAAAGUUUCAUGGUGUGACCCAUGUUUGUGAUUUUCAAUGGGGUCUGUGGUGGUAGCAUAGGGACGGGCCGAUAGGCCCAUGGACCUUUAUGUUUUUUGGGCCUAGGACUUUUUGUAUGCACAUAUUAUAUAAGUGUAUUUAGUGAUUUGUUUUGGGUAUCCAUAAAAUACUCAUUCUCCACAUUGUACGCCUCUCCUUUCAUUAUAGUAAAAUAUCCUCUGCCUCUGUCCGUAGUUUUUUCCAUAAGGGUUUCCACGUAAAUCUGUGUGUUCUUAUUUUCUUUAUACUUGUGGUUUGCUUUAUUUCUGCCCGAUUCUUAACAAACUAGUAUAAGAUCCUAUUCAAUUGUAUUCUAAGGGAUGACAACCAUGAAGUAUGAUAUUCCAUUGUUGGAUCGCAGUACUAGAUUUUUAUUAUGGUGGGUUAAGAUGCGGUUUGUGCUCCCACAGAUGGAUUUGGAUGAUGUUUUACUAGGGUUUAAGAAGAUUCCCUCAUCGUGGAUGAAUGAGGAAAAAUGAUGUAAGGAUCAGAAGUCUAUAUCUCAAAUCCACCUUUAUUUAUCUAAUAAAAUUCUACAGGAUGUUUUGAAGGAGACCACUUUUAAUCUGUUAUGGUUGAAAUUGGAAUCAUUGUGUAUGACGAAGAGUCUAAAAAGUAAUUUUCAUGUCAAGCAACGACUUUAUUUCCAUCGCAUGUCUGAGGGUACGUCCUUGGAGGAUCAGCUAUCUGUAUUUAAGAAAAUUAUCUCUGAUUUAGAAACUCUGGAGGUUAAGUACGAUGAGGAAGAUCGAUUGAUUUUGUUGUUUUUGAUGCCUGCAUCAUACACGACCUUUAGGGAUAUGAUUUUAUAUAGUCGUGAUACCCUGAUGAUUGAUGAAGUCUAUGAUGUGUUGUUCUCUAAGGAGAAGAUGAAACAUCUUAUGAAUGGGUCAGAGACUUAAGGAGAUAGUCUCAUUAUUCGAGGAGGAAGACUCAUGAGAGGAAUUCUGUGGGUGAUGACAAGAAUGGAUUCACUAAAGGCAUCCACUCAACUAAGGUCACACUUGAUUACAUUCAUUCUAAUCUCUGGGGUCCUGCUAGAGUACCUUCUAGAGGAGGUGCUAAUUACUUGUUCACUAUUAUUAAUCACUAUUCCAAAAAAAAUUAGUUGUUCUUUCUGAAGCAAAAGAAUGAUGUGUUGCCUACUUUUAAGGAGUGGAAGACUAUGAUUGACAAGCAGACAGGGAAGUAAGUAAAAGCCUUCGGACUGAUAAUGGUUUAUAGUUCUGUUCUAAUGAAUUUAAUGCUUUGUGCAAGUUAGAAGAAAUUGUGAGGCACUUAACAAUUCAUCAUACUCUGCACCAGAAUGGUGCGGUCAAACAAUUGAAUAAGACUAUAAUGGAAAAGGUGCAUUGUAUGCUCUCUAAUGCUGGUUUACCCAAGUCAUUUUGGGCUAAAGUUGCUUCCACAACUUGCCUUCUUAUUAACCGCUCUCCUUCAAUCGUGAUUGAUAAAAAGACUCCACAAGAGGUAUGGUCUUGUACUUCUACUAGUUAUUCUAAUUUGAGGAUAUUUAGAUGUCCUGCGUAUACUCAUGUUAAUAAUAAAAAAUUGGAACCUAGAUCUAUCAAGUGCUUAUUUAUGGAUUAUAAGCCUGGUGUUAAAGGUUAUAAGUUUUGGUGUCCAAAACUCAGAAAGGUUAUAAUUAGUAGGGAUGUUGUGUUUGAUGAAAAUGCCAUGCUUCGGGCUCCUUCCAAAUCUAGUGCUUCUCCCCAAAAUGAUCUUAGUGUCAUGAAUCAGUAAAAGUCAAGCAUCCAUGUUGAAUUGCAGAUUGGAGCAGAGUCUACACCAGUGCCUACUUCUCAGUCUAGCCCAAAGAUACAGAGUGAUACUAUUUCCUCUUCACCACCAGUGGUGCCACAAUAUUCUAUUGCUACAAAUAGGCCUAGAAGAGACAUUAGACCUUCUCAGAAGUAUGUUGAAGCUGAUUUGGUUGCUUAUGCAUUGAGUGUAGCAGAAGGUAUUGAUUUUGGUGAUGAUCCUUCUUCUUAAUCAGAGACAAUUAGUUAUGAUGAUUUCAGCCGAUGGAUGAUUGCUAUGCAGGAGGAGAUGUAAUCACUUCAUAAAAAUGGCACAUAGGAUCUAGUGAGAUUGCCUAAAGAUAAGAAAGUUGUUCGUUGCAAGUGGGUAUUCAAAAAUAAAGAAGGAACAUCGAGAGUUGAAGAUGCUAGGUACAAAGCAAGACUAGUUGCUAAAGAUUACAAUCAGGUUCCAGGUAUCGACUUCACAGAUGUGUUUUCUCCAGUUGUAAAGCAUAGUUUGAUUUGAGAAUUUCUUGGUAUUAUGGCCAUGCAUAAUCUUGAUCUUGAGCAAUUGGAUGUCAAAAUUGCAUUCUUACAUGGAGAACUUGAGGAGGACAUUUAUAUUUAACAACUAGAGAGCUUUGUAGUCUUAGAAAAUGAGGACUAUGUAUGCUUGCUGAAAAAGUGUUUUUAUGGCUUAAAGCAGUCGCCAAGGUAGUGCUAUAAGAGGUUUGAUUCUUUUAUGACCUCUCAUAUGUUUCAGAGGAGCAGUUAUGAUAGUUGUGUAUACUUCAAGGAGGUAAGUGAUGGUUCAUUCAGCAAAGGAUAUGAGAGAGAUGAUAAAAGUUAAAACCCAGGUCAGUAAGGAGUUUGAUAUAAAGAAUCUAAGUGCAACAAAGAAGAUUCUUGGCAUGGAGAUUUGGGGGAUGAAAAGAAUUGUAAGUUAUACUGGAGUCAGAAAGGAAAAAUUGAAAAAGUGUUUCACAGGUUCAAUAUGCAAAAUGCCAAACCUGUAAGUACUCCAUUGGCAGCUUACUUCAAACUCUCAGCCAUUUUAUCUCCAAAAAUUGAUGAUGAGUGUGACUAUACAUCUCGAGUUCCAUACUCUAGUGUUGUCGGGUCUCUUAUGUAUGAGAUGGUGUGUUCCCAACCAGAUUUAUCUUGUGUCGUCAGUGCAGUUAGAAGAUAUAUGGCGAAUCCUAGCAAAGAACAUUGGAAAGCAAUUCAGUGGAUUUUCAGAUACUUGCUUGGGUCUGCAGAUAUUUGUUUGCAUUUUGGGUGAAAUAGAGAUGGAGUAAUCGGGUAUGUUGAUUCUGAUUUUACAGGAGAUCAUGAUAAAAGGAGAUCACUUACAGGCUAUGUUUUCACCAUUGGUUUUUGUGCUAUUAGUUAUAAAGCUACCUUAUAGACUAUGGUUUCUUUAUCAACUACUGAGGCAAAGUAUAUGGCUAUUACAGAGGCUUUCAAGGAAGCUAUUUGGUUGAAAGGUCUAUUUAGUGAACUUAGCAAAGACUUAUAGAUUACUAUGGUCUUUUGUGAAAUUAAAAGUGCUAUCUUCCUUAUGAAAGAUCAGAUGUUUCAUGAGAGGAUAAAGCAUAUUGAUGUUCGGUAUUAUUUUGUGCGUGAAGUUAUUGCUCGUGGUGAUAUUAUGGUGUGCAAGAUUAGUACUCAUGAUAAUCCUACUGAUAUGAUGACCAAUACACUACCAAGUGCCAAGUUUGAGCAUUGCUUGGACUUGGUUAGUGUUAGCUGUUAAGAUGUGCCCUUAGGGGAUUUUGUGGAAGAGGUGGAGAGUUUGUCUUGAAAUGGAUUUGAGUUCUGAAUUAGAAUUCGUGUCAAGGUGGAGAUUGUUAGAGUUGUGACCCAAAUUUUGUUGAUCCGGCCCAGAAAGUUUCGCGGUGCAAUCUAUGUUUGUGAUUUUCAAUGGGGUCUGUGGUGGUAGCAUAGGGAUAGAGCCAAUAGGCCCGUAGACCUUUAUUUUUUUGGGGCCUAGGACUUUUUUGUAUGUACACAUUAUAUAAGUGCAUGUAGUGGGUUGUUUUGGGUAUCCUAAAAAUACUCAUUCUUCACAUUGUACUCCUCUCCUUUCAUUAUAGUGAAACAUCCUCUGCCUCUGCACGUGGUUUUCUCCGCAAGGGUUUCCACGUAAAUCUGUGUGUUCUUGUUUUCUUUCUGCUUGUGGUUUGCUUUAUUUCUGCCUGAUUCCUAACAUUGUCCAUUCGAAACAGUGUUUCUUUUCCAAACAAACACAACCAUCCAAACAAUCAUACCUUUUCUCGAAACAAUGCGUUAUUUUCUCAAAGGUUUGCAUCCCUUUCGAGGUGGCAUUUCACGUUUCUGCAGUUGUUUUUACACCACAUGCAUGCUUGUUAAUGGGGGAACAAAAAACUGGUGCAUUUUUCCUUUGGAUUAUUAGAUCAAUUGAUUUUUCAAAAAAAAAAAAAAACUGGAAAAUGAGUCAUAUUUACUGUAGAAAUUCAUAGAAAGAGAGAGAAAAAGUUUAUGGGUUAUUUAUUUUGGCUAGAAAUGUUAAAUAUUGUUAUUUGAUGUCAAAUUGGAUCAUAAAUUGUUACAUUGUGUCAAUUUACCAUUAUUUUAUGUAAAAAUUAUUUUGUAUGUACUUUUUAAAUUAUUUAUUGUAAACUGUAGCUAUAUAUUUUUUUAUAUUUAUUGAAUUAAGUUUUUAAUUGUAAGCUAUAGAAGUUUUUAAAAAAUAUUUUUAAAAAAUUCUCUUAUUUAUAUAUAUAUAUAUAUAUAUACAUACAUACAUAUUAGUCAAGUGUACGUGCUUUACACGUGUGUCACGUUAAUUAAUACUAAUAAAGUUAUGAGAAGAAGCACGUGUCUCACAUUAAUUAAUUCUAAUAGAGCUAUGAUAAGAAACUAAAAUAGUACAAAUUUAUACUGUAUAAACAUAACAUUAAAUUACUUUUGUAUAAAUCUAUACCAUGGCCUUUUACUAUAUUAGCAUUUUCAUAUCGUGUAUCUAAAUGAACACUUUCUAAUCGAUUAACUCAAAAAUCUAACCGUUAAGGACACACAUUGAUAAGAAAUAUCUUAUUGAUUUGGUUAUCGAUUUAGUACAAUAACAGCAUACCCAGCAUAUACCCACCAAACGUUGGUUAUCGAUUUAAUAUGUUUAGAAAUUUAAAACUAAUAAAAUAAACAGAUAAUGCAUAAUACCGAACUAUAAAUCAAUCGAUGGUGAAAUAUCUUAGAAAGGAGUAAAACUUGUGGCAACAAAAGAGAGAAUCAUCGUUCUCGUUAUAUAAAUUUCAAUUUCUAGGUAAGAUAAACAUUUGAUUUUUACUGCUACUUCAUUCGGCAGCAACAAGUUUGUCUUUUCCAAUUAAUACAGGAAAUUAUUAAAAGGAGAUAAGCCAUUGUCAAGUGCUAUUUUUGUAUAAUUCAUAUACAAUAUUUAAACUUAUCACUGGUGAUAAUGAAUGAAAGAAUACGACUUCAAUCAUAAUCAAAAUAAGAAGAAAGGUAUAGCAGAAGAAGUAGCAGCUUUUCUUUGUUAAAGUUUGAUCAAAGCAUUAUUUAAAUAAAAUUGUAGAAUUUUUUUAUAUAUAUAAAAUAAAAUUCUAAUUGAUUUAGAAGUCCAAAACAUUUUCUUUAAAAAAUAAAUUAUUUAAAUAUAAUAGAUUUUUACUUUUAUUUCGUAAACUAUCUAUCAAUACUUAAAUAAUAUGGAUUCCAAUAUAAACUCAUAAUUUUUUUUUAUCUUUUUGUUUACUUUUUUUUUUCAAGAUGUGUUGCUUUUUUUUUUUUCAAAUUUAUAUGCUAUCUUUUACUAUUUAAUUAAAUGGCCCAAGGAAAAAAAAAUAAGUAAAACUAACUGUAUUUAAAAGGGAUACUUAUGAUUAGCCAUGUUUACAUAUAUUUACUUUUUUUAUUAAAAAGCUAUUACUUAUCAAAAAUAUAUAUUUACUUUUCGUAAACAAUGAAUAUAAAAGAUUUAGUACAUAUAAGCUCUAAAUAUUAGUGUCAUAAUUAAUUUUUAUAUUUGUAAAUGCUUGAAAUGUGUUCUAUACGUAUAUCUCAAGUCAAUCAAUAAAAGAACAUACAAAAAAUAAAAUUAUUAAAAAAUAUCCAUUAACUUUAAAAUAAAUAAAUUCAUGAAAAGACUCUAACUUUUGCUUAUAUACAAAGAAAAAAGAAAAAAAUAGAUAGUAAAAAAGGGGUAUGUCUAAAUUUUGAAUAAAAAACAUGCUUGUAAGUUGUAAAACAUCAUUUAUUAGAGAAAGUUCUUUUAAUUGACAAUAGAAACUAAAAUUAGCUCUGGACGAGUGUUUGAUCAUAUUUUGUAUGUAUGAUAACAAUUGGAACCUAUAUCCAAAAAUAAUAAAAAAAUAAUUGAAGUAUAUGAAUAAACAUAAUGAUGAUAUGUUAAAUCUUAUGAUUUAUUUACAAUUAAAAUAAUUUCAUAUAAGCUAAAAUUUAAAAGGAGCUUUAUAUAACAAAGAAGACUAGAAAAGCUUAAAGAAUCCAAGAAGAAAACGUUAAUUAAUCAUCAAGCAAAAUCAAAACAAAACGAAGAAUAAGAAACAAAAUAUGGAAGUAUAAGAUAUUUUCUAGAAACAUUUGAUCAAAUAACUACUUAAAUAGAAUUUUAGACAUUCUUUUUUUAUAUAAGGUAAAAUUCUGUUUUAUUUAGAAGUGUUAAAUAUUAUGAAUUUUUAUGUAAAUAAAAAUAUAUUUUUUUCUUUACAUACAUAUGUUUUUUAAAAAAGUAUAUUUUGGUUCCUAAAAUUUUUCCAUUAAUAAAUUAAAUAUUUUCAUUAAUAAAUUGGUACCUUUUAUUUUCUAUCUUUUUCUUAACCAUAAUUUUUGAUUCUUCUUACCAAAAAAAAAAAAAAAAUUAACGUUUGGUUUUUAAUUUUCCAUUUUUCCUUUUCAUGGAAAAUUUUUUCCCUACGAAGUUGUGUAGGAUUCCUAAUUAAAAAUUUGCCAUAUUAUAUUUAAUUCCUUUUAAUUGAGUGAUUCUUUAUUAUUUUUCUUUUUAUAUCCUAAAUAUUUGAAUAAUAAUUUAAUGAUAAUUAUUUUUUAAAACAAGUGAAAUGACGAUUUUGUCUAUUGCGGGAUGUUUUAAUGAAGGGCAAAAAGUUCAAAUCACUUUUCUAAAAGUCUUCACACUUUUAAUAUUAUAUAUAUAUAUAUAUAUAUCAAUUAAAAUCUCCCUUAAAUAUUUGAAUUUAUCUUUCUCCCUCAUCUAUUUUCUUAAAUAAAGGAUUGAUAAUAAAUUCUUAAUUUUCUCCUUACUAUUUUAUACUUUUUUUUUACUAUGUAAUCCCCUCAAAUCCUCCACUUAACAAAGAAAAAAGAAAAAAAAAAAGAAAAUACGGUAAAAGGAUUAUAAGAAAUCCUAAAUUUCUCCUUCUUUCAUUUCCUUAAAUGAUUUUUUUAUAUUAGUUAACCCUUUCAAAAAAUUUAAUAAUGUUGUCUUUUCAUAAAUUUCACUCAUAUGCUUUUCUUAGUUCUUUCAUACUUUAUUUUCUUUGGUAUUAAUAAUUACUUUAAAUUGCUUUAAUUGCAUACACUUCAAUCAGAUUGUUGAAAUCCACAUUUUAUCCUUAAUCUUUUCAUACACUAAUAUUUAUUUUUUCCUUAUUUUUUUGCAAUAUAAAUUUUAUCCGUGAAUCAAAUUUUAUACGUUAGUCAACGUAAAUUUCAUAUAUUUUUAUACGUUAGUCAACGCGAAUUUCAUAUUUUCAUUCUUGAUUUUUAAAUUCUUCUUGUAGGAAAUAACAAAUUCAAUGAAUAAUUUUUCAUACACAGUUGAUACAAAAUCGUUAUCUGAAUUUUUAUGAAAAUCAUAUUUUAUACCUUUCUAUGUGUAUUUAUUAACGAAUAAUACAACUUGCCAAGCAACUAACAACAUCAAAAGAUACAUCAAUUUUUAUACAAAAUUCAUAACCUAGAAAAUAAAACACACCUAAAUUAGUGAAAGUUAGCAUAUUUUAGACACCAUCCAUACACAAAACAUGUUUAUCUAUAUCCAUGAUUUUUUAAUGUAAUAGCAAAUUCAGUGAACAAUCUCGUAUUCAUGAUUCACGUCAGUUUGUACAUAAAUUUCUUACAUACAAACAUGUAUAAACAGAAAAAAAAUAAAAAUGCAUAAAUUUAUAUAUAGAUUUUAAAUGCGUAACAAAUAAAAAAAACGUAACCUAAUUAUAUGUACCAUAUUUUAUGCACAUUUCAUAUACUAAAAUAUGUACAAGUAAACCUUGAGCGGGAUAUUGAUAUUUCAUAUUGAUUUUGUCCAGACUUCAUACACGAAAAUUCUGAGAAAUGUUCUAAGUAAUUUCUAUAUGAACUAUACAUAAAUUAUUCUUAAAAUUUUAAAAAUUAAAUAUUGAAAUAUAUAUUGAAAAUCAUUAAAAAUAUUGAGACAUUUUUAUUUUGAAUAGUUAAUAUUUUCAUUUGAAAUUAAAAAAAAUCAUCUAAGAGAGAAAUUAGGGAUGGUUGAUAACAAUUUUUGGUAAGUGACUCUCUCUCUCUUGUGAUACAAUCUUAGGGAAGAAAUGGCCACUAUUCUGGAUUACAAACUCUAUCUCUCCCCAGUCUAUGUUUGUGGGAGAACUAAACCUUACUUCUAAUCCACAAACAUUAUAUUCUGGAUUACAAGAUCCAUGACAAGCUGCUCAAAAUAUGACGAGAACUCAACUAAACCAAUUGAAUAUAUUCAUGGUGAACAUACACUCAAGUUUACAAUGGAGGAAAGGGAAGUGUUUGCUAACGAGGAAGGGUUGCAUCAAGAAAUUGUGAUUAAACUCUCUACAGGUGCAUCAGAUUUGAAGGACCCAAGAACAUUGCAACUGAAACAUCUUGGAAUCAAGGGUCAUUGUUCAAUUGGUUCAUUGGCACCACGAUAACUCUUGCUAAGGUGCUAUCAAUAUGAUGAAUAUGUGACUGCGUUUGCAAGACCAGUGAAUUAUUUUUCUUACAAUAAAAAAGAAAACCAAUAUAGGAUAUUCCCAUGGUUUAUCGAUUUUAACCACAAAAUAAGAAACAACUAAGGCGGCAGUGUGGAUUUCCUUGCCGAACUUGGCUCCACAUCUAUUUGCCAAGAGGUCAUUAUUGUCCAACAACAAUCAGAAAACCAACAGCUAUAGACAAAGCAACACAAGUAAGUCCAUACUGAGCACCGCCAGGGUUAAGGUAAUCCUAGACCUACUGGAAAAACUUCCGGAGCGAAUAACAUUUAAUAUUUGACCGGGUAAUAAAACUGGUUGAAAAUUCCAUUAGUAAAGAGCAUGCUACUGGUGAUGAAUCAACGAACAAAAUCAAGGGUGUGGAUAACAGUAUUGGCAAAGACUGGACCGUGAUGGCACAUAAAAAUAUUUAGGCAUUUGAAAUGGCUCUCCCUGCUUGCAUUAAUGUGUAGCUAGCAAGGAAUGUUCCACACUACUAAAAACUUGGCUAUUAGCUACCAAGAUUAGCGAGGGACAAACUGUAUAUUGUUAUUGUGAAGAACUUUGUGACGUUGUCCCUCAUACAAAUUAAAUAUUUUAAUUUUUUUUUUAAAUAAAGGAAAAGAGGGACAUCCCCACUAAAAUAUGAUGAUAAUAAAAAGUUAAUAUUAAAUUUGUUAUAGUAAGGAUUUCCCUCGCUAAAUAAUAACAAAUAAAUUCAUAUUUCAAAGAAAAUUUAAACAUAAUUUUUAUUUGUUUCUUUAGCUGUAAACAAUGCAUUAAUAAAAUAAAAAUGAAAAUGAAAUUUAUGUUAUCCAAGGAGUCCUCAAUAAGAUACAUAUAAUUAUUUUAUGAUUUUUUUCAUUGUAGUGAGGGAAGUUUCUCACUAAAUUAAAUAUGUAAAAAUUGAGUAUUUAAUAAAUAACCAUACGGAGUAAUAGAUUUGAAGAAAAAACAAUAGCAAUGAUAUCAAUUGUUUGAUCCCUCAAUAAUUGCUUUAAUUUUUUUUUUUUUCAUACUAUUAAAUUACAUUAUUUUAUAUAUAUAUAUAUAUAUAUUAGUCUAACCGCACGUGCCUCACACGUGUAAUUUUUGAUGCUUAAAGUUAAAUCAUUUUAUAUAUUGCAGGAAUUUUAAUCAAGUGUAAAAAGUUCAAAUCACUUUUCAAAAAUCCUUCAGACUUUAAUAUAUUAAUGUAAACACACACACACACACAUAUAUUUGCCACCUGAAGUUCCAAGUAGUUGAUGGAUCAUAACUUUUGCAUUUGUCAUCAAUACCUCUUUUCAUUGCUGUCAGAGAUUAAGAGAGACUCAUUAAUUUGAACCACAUCUGUGAUAUGAUUAUUUUCUUUUUUUCUAUAGUUAAAAUAUUUUCUUGUUUUUAAAGUUAAAUCUUAAUAAAAUCAUUGAUUACAUUCUUAAAAUACUUAAAAUUUUAAAAAAUUGACGCUUCUUAAAUUUUUCUUAUUCUAAUGCUUUUAUAUUUAUUUCUAAAUUUUUCAAAAGUUCUUAAAAUCAAAUUUAGUUGAUUUAGAAUUAUUAAACUAAUAGAAAAUAUAUUAGUUGUCAUUAAUUCUGAUGACUUCUUUUAAGAAUAGAUUUUACCAUAAAUAUAUUUAAUUAAUUUUCAACUCUUAAAUAUUAGGAAAAAAUAAUGAAAAGACGAUUUUGACUAAAGUAAAAACUUCUAAUGAAGGACAAAAAGCUCAAAUAACAUUUAUAAGUCCCUUCACACUNNNNNNNNNNNNNNNNNNNNNNNNNNNNNNNNNNNNNNNNNNNNNNNNNNNNNNNNNNNNNNNNNNNNNNNNNNNNNNNNNNNNNNNNNNNNNNNNNNNNNNNNNNNNNNNNNNNNNNNNNNNNNNNNNNNNNNNNNNNNNNNNNNNNNNNNNNNNNNNNNNNNNNNNNNNNNNNNNNNNNNNNNNNNNNNNNNNNNNNNNNNNNNNNNNNNNNNNNNNNNNNNNNNNNNNNNNNNNNNNNNNNNNNNNNNNNNNNNNNNNNNNNNNNNNNNNNNNNNNNNNNNNNNNNNNNNNNNNNNNNNNNNNNNNNNNNNNNNNNNNNNNNNNNNNNNNNNNNNNNNNNNNNNNNNNNNNNNNNNNNNNNNNNNNNNNNNNNNNNNNNNNNNNNNNNNNNNNNNNNNNNNNNNNNNNNNNNNNNNNNNUUGACUACUAAGUCAUACAUUGACAAUUAUACUAAACGUAAGUAUAUUAGCGAUAUCAUUAAGCAAUAUUAGCGAAUGAAAUUAAUAUAUAUUUUGACAACUAUACUAAGUAUAAGUGUAUUAAUAAUAUUUAUAAGAAUUAGUAUUGAUUUAUCAACAUAUCUAUCUAUUUAUCUAUACUAUUAUAAAAACAUGAAUAUAAAUGUUGGUUGACUAAAAUAUCCUUCUAACAUUGAAGAACUUUUAUACCCUUAAAUAUUUAAGUUAAAUUAAGAUAAAAUUAUAAAAGUACACUGCAAAAUAAUAUUAUCCUAAUUUACUUCGGCUAGGAAGUAUUCUAAUCCAAAACUUUUUCAAUAAAUUACAAAAUUCGCCUUUUCAAUAACUCUAACUCAACAAUGUAACUUUUUUUUUUAAUAUGAAUUUCCUUAAUCAUUUAUUUACAACUCACAUAUAAAGGUGUUCACGAGUUUUAUAUCUAAACUCUUCAUUGUUAUACUUUUUUAGCAAAAUUAUACUCUUCACAUAGAAUUUGAGUUUAAUUCUAAUUUCGUAAGUAAACCCUGCGUUCUAAUUUAGUCACUGUUUGGACUACUGUAGAAACUCCGACGUCACCUUGCUCUUCGUUGGGUUGGAUUUCGAUAACUUCUCCUUGAUGAUUGAGACUGUUCUUUUUAUAGUAACGGUACUUUUCACCUUACUGAAUGAGUAAUUAUGUGCCUUUUGUUUAGAAAUAUAUUUUUCUCAAUUUUUUUGGGGUGUUUUUUUUUAUUAACGGUAGAUAUGUCUUAUUCUUUGUCUUCAAUCUGAUGUUUUUUUAGGUUCUCUGUAGCUGUUUAGAUUGUAGUGUAUCAAGUGUUCCUUUUCUUUGGUCUAUUUAUCUGAUGUGAAAUGGUGUUAUCAUUCAUUAAUUGAUAAAAAAACAGCUGAUGCGCAUUUGCAAGCUCAAUUUGUUAAAUCUUGGAAACCAUCUCUGUCUAAAUACUACUAGUAUUUUGUUUGUUUGAUUUAGGUAUCUUAUUCAACAAAAUAUGAAAUCCCUUUAUUCUUUUCUUCAAUUAUAAGAAGCUAACUUGUACUCUACUUUGAUAAAUUUAAGAAAGGAGAAAUAAAUUUGUAAAAAAAUAGAUGACUUUGGAGCUGUAGGAAUAAAUUUUGCUAGGCAUAAUCUCUCUAUUGUACAAAUAAACUGGUUCAACAACUAUGGUAUUUAUCAAUUUGUAGACCCUGUUUUUGUCUUGGGGACUUCUUGCCUUAUUGGUUUCUUUACUUUUGUUAGUUAAAAUUUCUUGAAUGGCUUUUAUGUUCCCUGUCAUACAUUUUUUUUAGUAUAGAGUAUAUUGGUCUUUUGAGUAUUUUGGUUUAAAGUAGAUGUUUAUUUUCUGUUAGCUUGUUUCUAGGUAGAUUUAGGAGUAUCAUCUUUGUAUUCUUAUAUGCUAGUUGGAUUUAUCAGUUUUCUUAGUUAAACAUAGUUGUUUUUUUUACUCCCUUUAAUAAGAUUUACCGAGUAAGGGGAUCAUUUUUAAAUGAAAAAAUGAGUCAAACUUCCAACAUCUACCAUAUAGAUGAAUUCAUUUUCCAUUCAACCGUUUUACUUAGAAAAGCUACAAAUAACCAUGGGUGGAUGACUUGCUAUUCCACUUAUUCAUUUCAGAGUUUUGAGAUUUAUCAUAAUUUUUCAUAUAAGUUUCAGUAGGUUGAAAGAUGGUAGGAGCUACCAUUUCUAGAACACAAGCAACACAGUUAGCUUACUAUGAUAUUGCCCAACAUUGAGUUGUAAUCUCAGGCGUCCUCUUGUCCUCAAAACUCUUGUGAAUGAAAGACUUAAUCGAUAGGUGGAUCUUCUUGCCAUUUGUAUUCAGUUGACUUAUAAGACUUGCUCUAUGAAGUUCGGUCUUUCCAAGCACAGUGUAGAAUGUUAGAAAAGGGAUGACUUUAUCUUGGUUUGGAUGUGUUAUGAUAUUAUUGCAAGUAAUGGGACUUGAUUCCUAUAUCGAUUAAAUAGGAAACUGAUGUGGGGCUUAGAUUAACCUAGGACUAUCCCACCUCAAUAGCCAGCUUUUAGGGUGUGGUUCUCCUAAAGUUAUUUCAGGAUGAUUAAUUAGCAAAGACAUAACUAUCUAGAGGACUUGAGGUUAGCAUUUAGCUAGAUGGGUUCGCUUAAGUGCAGGGAGGGUGUAAAUUCUAUCUUUGUGGUGCUGGGUAGCUGUAGGUAUGAUGUUGAAACCUUUCACUGUGUACAGUUAUAUAACACUAGUUUAGUAAUCCUCCAGGUCCUUUAUCAGCACAAAACAUGUUUUAGUUUCAGUAUCGCUUUUAGGAUAUUACUAAUUACCUUUAGAUUUUUAACUUUAAAAUGAGUAUAUGGAGCAGAAAAAAUCAGAUCGGGAAGUAGCAGGUGUGCUUCUUCUAUUUUCUUUAGAUGGACUUAUUUCAAGUCUAAUUUAUCACCAAAGGGAGGGACACUAUCUAGAGUACCUAACAGGACAUAUAGCUUACUUGAACUAGAUUUUGCAAUUGCUACUGAAAAGGUACCAUAUUUUUGUUCAUCUAAGGCCCAGAUACGUUAUAAAGUCUUGCAGGGAUAUACAUGAAUUAGUGAUUGUGUUUCAUAAACAUGAUCUGAAUAGUUAGUCGAGUGAGAAUUGAUGUAUCUAACCUCAAAUUGCUUGAAGUUGAGGUGUAUAUAGUUGUUGCAUUUGUUCUUUUAUUUUACGAUUACAAUAUAUUAGAUGUAUCCCCACAUGCAAGGGCUUAAGGUGUUAGAAUGUCUCUUACUCUAGUUCUAGCUAAUAAUAAUAAAAGUAGUGUAUAGUACUAAGAUCCUGAGACAUAACAGAUUUUCUUAAAAAGAGAUUCAAUAACUUAAAUUAAUGUAAAAAGAAAAAAAGAUUUAUUGUAAUUGCACAGUAUCUUUUCCAACAAGGGAGACUCAAGGAUGUGUGCUGUUGUAAUUCUUGGCUUUAGCUCUAUAAGAAACUUGUUUCAUUAUUCUCUAAUGAUUGUCGCAUGUGCUGCCAUUUGUGUAUUUUAUUAGAAAUGUGCUAUGGUUAGAAAACAUCCAAAGUUACAGUUCACAAUGGUCCUUGUUCAUAAUAACUUCUGGAAUAGUAGUCUCACUUUCAAUUUCUCUAAGUUCACUGUUCCGAGUUUGAAUGUUAUUGACCUUUUCCAUCUGUUGUUGCUUCUCCUUUUAAGUUAUCUAGCAGUGUUAUUAGUCGUAAUGUUGAUUUCAUUUCGUGUCUUUUUCGUAGUAGUAUCGUUUGCUUAAACAACCAAUACUGGUUUGGAUUUGUAAUUUUCCACAUCUGAGAAGCCUGCCACAGACUAUAACAAUUCAGUAGUAGCUUCACCAGUAGGUAAGGACUUGUCUAUUCCAAAUAUGAUUCUGGUAGGAUUAUAGAUACUAGGAGGUUCACACAUGCCCCUUUAUUUCUUUUGUUAAUCCUUUCUCUUAAUUUGAGGUAAUCGACCUCUAUUUUCCAGAUUAUGAUCUAUAAGAGUAGUUCUUUUUAAGCUUCACACGUGGAUUCUUGAAUCAAUAGUAAAAGUUGUGUGGUAUCAGCUAGAGAGUUAUCUUACAUCCUUAGAAAUUCUAAUUAUUUUUUCUUUUAAUUUUCAUUUGGCACAAAACUUCUUUAUGUACAACUCUUAUUGAUGCAUCCAAUAUGUGUUAUAAGGACUUUUGAUCUAAAUCAAUUACUUAAAAUGUAUUUUCUUAAGAUAGUUGAUGGUCAAUAUGUUGAUCAAAUAUUUAAUAAUUUAAGCUACUGUCAUAUGCAGCUGUAACAAUUUGCAAAAAUUGGGAGAAAUUGUCAUAUUCAACUGUCACAACUAACAUUGCCAAUUAUCCAUUUUAUCACCAUCCUCAUAUAUAUUUAUUUGUAGAAAAGUUGUACAUGGAGCCUUUCUGAGGAUUGGGUUAUUCAAAGCAAUUUUAAGAAAAAAGUGUCUUCUCCCUUGUCUUGCAUGCUUUCUAAAGCUCGACGUAAAGGAUGGUCUGGAUGGCUUGGGUCAAAUUCUGGGGAUAAAAUUAUUGUAUGUUAGGUGUCUCCGAAGUUUCAAAAGAAGAGCGCCCAGACAAAGGCAUCUAGAAAUUCUAAGAAAAGUGGCUUAUUGCACACUUGUGGUUCGGUGUUCAUGGGGACAACUAAGUGGAAAUUGGUAAUUAUUUAUGCAUUUAGAUGGUAGUAAAUUAUUUAUGCACUUGUGGUUCACUAUGUUUAUUUCAUUUGCAGGAAGCAUCUCUUACUAGAUCAGCCACUCGUGAAGAGGUAUGGAAGAAGACCCAUAUAAAAAUUAGAGAUGAAAAAGAAGUUUGGGUUGAAACACAGACAGAGGAUACUUACGUAAGUUCAAAUCUUACUUAGAAUUUAUUUUAUAUUAUUUAUUAUAGACUAAUUUUACUUUUAAUGUAUAAUUGAUAAGUUCACAAGCUAUUGAAGAGUUCAAAACUCAAAAAGAGUUGAACGACAAAUGAUCAAGGUAAUCCAAUCAUGCCACCAGAGGAAGAAACUCUUUCCUGCUAGCUGGAUGUAGUUGGGGGCGUGUAUAUGGGAAGGGCAUACCACCUUUUUUUCUGAGAAGAACUUUCACCGUCUUUAGGGUGGAUCGCAAGGUAUGGGGAGUUCUGCCACCAUGUCAAAUCAGCAGCUUGAGGAGAUGUGACAGGAAUUUUAGGAGCUUGCUAGAAAGUACGAGGAGGAAUGAAAAAGAAGGAUGGAGGAGGAGCGGCGUAGGACGACACUUGGGUCAAACGUCAAAGAACUCAAGACUCAAGUAAAUACCUUAAUCAAGCUUCUUUGUUCUCUGCAACCUAGUUCUGAUGAUGAUAGUGGAGAGGAUGAAGAGGAUUAGGUGUUGUUGUUUUAGGUUUGAAUUAUGUUAGUUUGGAGUGUUUGAAAGAAUUUGUUUUGGUGAUUGUUUGCAUACUUUUUUUAUACUUGUUUACAUAUUUUUUAAGUUGGAUGAAUAUGUAUGAAGUUUGGUUGCUUAAUUUUAAUGUUUGAAUUGUUUCGAAAGUAUUUUUUUUAAUUGUUUUGCUGGUUAAUAUUGAUUGUACAUUUAUUUUCUAUUUAAAUAUUGAAUUUUAGUGCAAUAAAAAAACUAAUAAUAACACCAUAUUGGCAAGGGACUUUUGUAGCUAUAUCCCUCAAAAUGUUCAAACAUUAAAUUAUUUUUUUAUUUAACUUAGUGAGGGAUAUCCCUCAACAUAUUUAAAUUUAUAAUUUUUAUUAAUUUUCAUGUACCAAGGGUCAUCCCUCACUAAAUAAUAAAUUAAUAUUCUAUAUCUGUAAUAUAUUAAAAGUGUGAAGCCCCUUAGAAAAGUGAAUUAAAAUUUUUGCCCUUCAUUAAAACUAUUUGCUUUAGACAAAAUUUUCUUUUACCCUUCUCCCUACAAUUAAAUUCUAUAAAAUAAAUAUAUUAAAUUUUUCCUACAAUUAACACAACCAAAAUUUUCCUUCCAAAAAAACGUUUCUGAGAAGUUUCCUUGUUCCCCUAGCCGACCAAAAAAAAAAACCUCAAAAUUUUCCUUCCAAAAAAAAAAAUAUUUGCUCAAAAGUUUUCUUUUUCCCCAAUGAUGAAAACAACCGUCGUUUUUUUAAUAAAAAAAAACACGCUAAAAAAUUCUUAAUCCUAUUUGAUUUCUGUUUGGUUUCUUUCAGCCAAAAAACACCGAGCUUUUCCUCUCCUUCUAUAUAAAUGGUUGAGCUUUUUCGUCAUUGUUCAUUGUUAUAGACACCUGCAAUCUUUCAUUGUUUUCCAUCUCAGCACAAUUUCAACAAUUUUAUUUUCAGGUUUUUGGGCAUUAUAUCAUCUCUUCCUUUUUAUGUGAUUAAUUUAAACAUAAUAUUAAUUGUUAUGCCUGCUUAAAUUGCUUAAUUUAAUUUAGCUUAGUGUGUCCUGUUAGUUCAGGUAUAUUUUUUUGCAUCUAAUAAAUUUACAUGUAUUAUGAAAUUAUAUGUUCUUAUCAUUCUAACUUCUUUUUUUUUUACCUACCUACCAAUAAGAUUCUCAUAUUCAGGUAUAAUUUUUCUCAUCUAAUAAAUUUACAUCUACUAUGAAAUUAUACGUUCUUAUCGUUCUAACUUCUAUUUUUCUUAAAGAUUAUUACAAUGGAUUCUAUUGCCGAAGUUCUGGGUAUCAGCACUUUGAAGCCAAGGGAUUGUAUUUGGAUGAUCAAAGUCUUGGUCAUCGAAAGCGGACCUACGAAGCCAUUUAAGAAUGAAGGCGAUUCUCGAAAAAUGGUGAUAUUAGUUGAUGAGGAGGUAAUAUUAUUCUUUUAUACCUCACAUGUUUAAUAAUAUUCAGCUAUUAAAUUUUUACUGUUAAAUUUUGUGUAUUAAUCUAUGGAUUAUUCAUAAUAUUCAGCUAUUAAUCCACGGAUAAUUGACAAUUGAUAGUCAGCUAUAUCAUACUAGAUAUUAUUAAUCCAUAUCAUACUAUAUAAUAUUUAUAUUCUUAUCUGAAUCAGUUUCCUAUUUUGCUGCCAACAUGUUAUUUUGCAAAGACUAAUAUUUAGCUAAUCCACCGAUUAUUCAUAAUAUUCAGCUAUUAAUCCAUGAAUAAUUGAUAUUCAUCUAUAUCAUACUAGAUGUUACUAAUCCAUAUCAUGCUAUUAAAUUAUGAUUUUUUUUCCAGGAUACAAAAAUUAAUGGUACACUUUUCAAUGAACAUAUUGAAACAUUUGGAGAUUCUUCACAACAAUCCAAAGUUUGCUAUAUCAUAAACAGUAAUAUUAAUAGGGUCAAUCCUAAUUUUCAAUCCGUUAAUAAGGACAUUGAACUUUUGUUCUUAACGUCCACUAUAGUUCAAGAAUUUCACGGCCCUUUUUCUACAUUUUCUUUUUCCAAGAAUUUUGUUCCUUUCGGAGAUGAAAUAUUGCAUACCAAAGAAACAAUAGUAGGUAAGUCCUUUUAACUUUCAUCAAGUAAUUACCAUUGGCGUAUAUUUAAUAUUUUACUAUUAUUUAUCUACUCAUACAUACUUAAUAUUUUUUCCAGAUAUAUUUGGCAUCUUCGUCAGUUCUAAGUUAUUCACAAAAGGCACAAACCGAAGAGAAAUAGUACUUAUGAAUGAAGAGUAAGUUAAGCUCAAUUUUUUUAUGAAGUGAAAUUGUUUAUUUAAUAGAUAAAUUUUCUUAUUAAUUUAAUAAUUUAAUCUUAUCUUCUUUAUUUGAAAAAUAAAGGUGUGAUAGAAAAACUAUCACAUUAUGGGGCGAAUUCUCAAAAAUAAAUGAUGCGUUGCUAGAAAAGUUAUUUGCAGAAAAUUCUGUUUGGCAUUUUGUGAUUUAAGGACUACAUUAUAUCAAGGUACUAUCUUAGCAAUUACAAUAUUUACAAUAAAUACUAUAUUAUUUUUUUGUGCCUAAUAUAUUAUGUUGCAGGAAAUUUUGGCAUAUCUUCUACCUAUAUCAGUAGUAUGUGGGUAGACCCCACAUUUGAAAAAACAAUAACUCUCCAAGAAUGGUAAUAUAUGUCUUCAUAUUCAUGCAAACAAAAUAUAGUAGACAAUUUUUUAUUAUAAUACACUAAGUAACACAUGUGCAGGUCUAUUUUCAAGAAGAAAACUCAUAAUGAUAUUUACUUUACUGCCAACUAAACAAAUUAAGAAGGCCAAAGUAAUGACAAUUGGUAAAAUCGCAGAUUGUUUAUCUUGUGAUAAAGAGGUACUAUUUUUAACUACAAUAAUUUAAUGUUUUGUUUUUACCUUAGUGUGACGCCUAACUUUUCUUUCUUCCCUGUAGGUUAAGUAUGGGAAAUUUACUGCAACUAUCGCAGCUAUAUUGAAUAGUGAUGAACCCUACUAUGAUUCUUGCACCAAUUGCUAUAGAAAAGUGAAAAUCGCUGAUAACAUUGCAAAAUGUCCUGGCUCCCCUACUGGAAAAAUUACUUAUGUUGACAGGUGACACACAUAAGAACCAUCAAAUUACUUUCAGCCAUUUGAAAAUUCAUAAAAUGAAAUAAAUGUCUAUUUUACACUGAAUUUACAGAUUUCUUCUAAAAUUUGAUGUAUUUGCUGGGGAUGAACGUUGUUCCAUUACAUUGUUUGAGGCUGCAAAACACUUGGUUGGUUUCGAUGUUACAACAUAUAAGCAAUCAACUUUGGAAAAGGUCAUAUUACACUAUUCUUUAGCACUUAUCAAACACUAAAAUAAUCUGUUUUGUUUUGAAUUGUAUGGAUUAUCCUUUACUAAUUAAUACAUUAUUUUCAUUGACACUAUUCUUUAACACUUAUCAAGAACUAAAAUAAUCUAUUUUAUUUUGAAUUGUAUGCAUUAUCCUUUACUAAUUAAUACAUUAUUUUCAUUGAUACAGAAAGAGGAAUCCUUAUUUUAUCGUAACUUGAUGCUAAGUAUCAGCAAAGUCUACACAUUUCUUAUCAAAAUUGAUGCAAAAAGUGAAGGCGAUCGAGCUGGUAGAUGCUUCAUUGCAGAAGAAGUCCAAGAAGUUAAAUAGAUUGCUACAAUUGACAUAGUAGAUGAAGACGUCAACUCAGAAAACUCAGUCAACGGGAUCAGAAAAAUGAAAACACCGAUGACACAUUAUCUCAUAAAAGAAUCAAAGUAGAAAAGGAUUAUUCGUUUUUUGUUCUCUAGGAAUAUGUUAAUAUUUUGUAAGCCUAAAUCAAUAAAAGCAUGGUUGGGUGCUCUGGCUUUAGGCAUAACUUUCAUGUCUCCCAUCCCGGGAUCGAAUCCUUGCAGCUACACCCUUUAAUAAAUUUUUGAAGGGGAGCCUUGAGUAACUGGUAAAGUUGCUACCAUGUGACCAGGAAGUCACGGGUUCAAGACUUGGAAACAUCCUCUGGCAGAAAUGUAAGGUAAGGUUGCAUACGAUACACCCUUUUGGUGGGGCCCUUCCCCGAACACCGCGCAUAGCGAUAGCUUUAGUGCACUAGGCUGCCCCUUUUUAGAUAGUUAAUAGAUAGUUAUUCAUUCUUUGUGUUUUUUCCUAUUCUAAACACUAAGCAAAUUCUGUUGGCAUAACAAAUAAUAUUGAUUAUUAGAUCUUUGUCUAACUUGAUCUAGCUAUACACUAUUUAUUUUGACUUACUUAUAAUACGUAUUUAAUAGCUUAUUCCAUAUCGCAGGUCAUUAAUCGUUAAGCACAUGGCACAAGGUAUCUUUUAAAACUAAUUGAUACAUAACACUUUAAUUCAUUUUUUAUCACUUUUCAUCACUUUAAUAAAUAAUUUUAUUAUUUUUCCUAUAUAGAUCAAGCAAAAGUUAAUAAAGCUAUUCCAAUUCAUAACAAAUAUAUUGCUGCAAUUACAACAAAUUUAACUGCUACAAUCAACAUUUCUGGCGAACAAGAAGAUUCAGGUACCUACUUUAAAUUUAAAUCUUCUACAAUAUAGUUUUGACUAGAUACAUAAAACACAAAAAAAUAGUAGACUUAGCUCUCCACGAACAAAGAAAAAUUCACUCCUUUUAAAAAAAGAAACACAUUUACCAAUAAUAAGAAAUUAACUAGGUGUUCAUUACUAAUCUCAAAGAAGGUAAAUAAGGGAAUCCUUUCAGUGCAGAGAUUUUAUUCUUGCUAGCAGCUAAGACCUGCAAAAAAGUAUUUGUACUGUAGAUUCUAACCAUACAAGCAGGAAAAAGUAACAAAACAUGAAAAUCAAAGCUUAACUGUUACGAGGUUGACUGGCCAUUGAAAGAAACUUUUACUUUUUCUGAGAUGUCUUGUGCUACAAAACAACUUGCCUAUUACCUUCAGAUCAUACUUAGUACAUUCUACCUGAUGUCAACUUCAAAAGAAUUGAACCAAUAUACCCAACAAUCAUUAGUUCUCUUUGAAAAUAGGUGAUCAAGCCGCCCUUUCAGUAUGGUACUUGUUACAACUUGAUCAUACAAGUUCAUCUCCUGUGCAAAUGUUAAAACUGUUAGCAAAUUUCUGGUGAUAAAGAGUAUAUUCUCCUCUUUCACUGCCCUAAAAAUCCCAUCCUCAACAGUCUCACCAGGCUUGAUCUUAUCUGAUAAGGGCCUACACCAAUGCCUAACCACCCCAUUAGAUAACUACUGAAGCGAAUCAACAAGUAUUUUAUUAUCUUCCCUAAUAACUUUAAUAACCAUAACCUCAACAGUUCUCACCAGGGUCGUAUAAUCAGUCAACAAAGUCUUCCCUUCAGAUAACUCAAGCCAAAAAAGUUGGUGUAAUAGACUGAAAGGAGUAUUAGCAAUCUUAUUAGCUAAAACAAAAAGUAAAAAUGUAUUUAUUAUAACAAUGAAAGUUGAAGAAAAGAAGCUAAUGCACACUGAUUUUCAAGAUUUGAAUAAUGUUAAAGCUCAUUAUAACUUGGACUAUCAGAAUGAAACUAAAACGAUAAAUCUAUUGGAUCUUCUAUCCAUCUUUAAAGAAUGAGGAUUACAUGGAUUAAUGCAAGUAUCAACAUUAUUAUCUAUGGAUAUCCAAACUCCACUACAUAGGUAGGUCUAAGUCACACAAAAGUUAACCAGUAAAAUGUACGUUGGGUAGGAUUGGGAUAUGCAUGGGAGUAGUUUAUUUGGGUACCUUAAAGUUUUAAAAGUAUUUUAAAAAAAAUUAGACUAGGAAUGUUUAGAGUUUUAAAAGUUUGCAACUCUGUCUUUGAUUCCUUCCAAUAAUUACAAGAGAUGGUCUGUCAUGGUACUAUCAAGAUGUUUCUAUCCACUUUUCGAAGUAAGUUCAGUUACAUAAAGAAUAAGACAACUUGCUACAACAUGUUAUAUUACGUAGAUAGUAUAAAAACUUUACCUUGUCAGCAUAUAUACCCUGUAUAUUAUAACAUAAAUAAGGAGAUUAAGGAGGAGAUAUAUAUUACCAGACAAGACUGGUUGAAUGCCAUUGAGAAUGAGGGUGAAAGCUAAAAAAGGACACAAAUCAGACACUGCAUUGGCUACAGUUUCACCCUUAGUGAAUGCAUAGCUAAUAACAUUGCACAAACAUAACACGAUUAUAGCUUGCACCACAGUUAUCACAAAUGAAAUUGAUGUCACCACAAACACUAAGAAUGCUGCUGACUUUGGAUGUGCUGCUCCUAGCUCAUUUCUCACUCUCACACUAAUCAAAACGAGUCGCUUCAAUUUUGUCAUUGCAGAUCUUCAAAAUGCAAAAUUAUAACAUAUUUAUUAGAUUCCUCAAAUUCUGAAUCAAACUGAAUGUACUGUUUACUUCUUUUUAAAGGUAAUAAAAUGAUUGAGUCCAUAGAAGAUGUCGAUAUUGAAGAAACAAGACAAACAAAAAGACGCAAAAUAUAUUGGUUCCUAAAGUCUCUAUCGUAAAGGUAUGAAAUUGAAGGUAAUGCAAUUCUAUUUUAUUAAUUUAAGUUACUUACAUUUUAUUUGUGCUCACUUUAUUAUUUAUUAACAUUUCUAACAUUUUACACAACAAAUUUAGGUGAAAUUGACUACAUACCAUCAAUAUAAUGUAUUCAAAAGUUGGAAAAUCUUCUUGAAUGCACUAAUUGUCAUGCUAUAAGAUUUCAACAUGAGACUCCAACAUUUUGUUGUGACAGUGGAUCAAUAAAACUUGCAAAUACUGCAGUUCAAACUCAAUUAUAUGAUUUAUUCUUCUCUAAAUCUAAAGUAGCAAAAGAAUUUCAUAGACACAUUAGAGCAUAUAACAAAAUAUUUAGAUUUACGUCUUUUGGUGUUAAACUUGACAAUGAUCUAGCAUCUUCGUGAAAAGGAGUUUAUACAUUUUGAGCAAAGGGUCAAAUAUAUCAUGAUCUCCCCUCAUUACUACCCCAUGAUAAUAAUCCAUGCUAUUUUUAGAUGUACUUUUUUGACACAAAAAAUGAGUCUCGCAAUAGGAUUUCAAAAGUCAAAGAAGCCAAUUUAUCUGAGGAAGUUGUCGCAAUAAUUAAACAAAUAAUGGAUGGCAAUCAUUCUACACAAUUGUUUUGCCAACUAAAGGAUCAUUCAAACUUUAAGGAUUUAGAAAUUCGAAUUGCUUCCACUGCUAAACUAGAUCAAUGUGUGUACAAUAAACCAUCAGUAGAUCAAGUUGCUGCAAUUUGGAUAGAUGGAAACAACCCCAAUGUACCAUUUGAUCGGGAGAUUAUUGUUCAUGAACAUUCAGGUAAUAUUCAUAGAGUUAAACAUUAUUAUGGAUGUUAUGACCCGCUCCAGUAUCCUUUGCUUUUUCCAAGUGGUGAACUAGGAUGGCACCAAGGAAUACGAAAACAACAUAAAACAAGUAAAGGUAAGCAUGGAACUGAAGUUCCAGGCCUCAACCAGAAUAACCCUACAUUUAUGUCCGUUGAUGGGGUGUUUGACAACGAGGAACAAGGUAAAUUUUUGAAACAAAAUUUCUUAGAAUUGUGUACUUACAACUCUCAUGUCAAUAUAUUUAAAAAUAUUUUGAAGGUGUACGGCGUGGAGCUAAAAAUUAUGUCUUUUGUAGAGAGUAUUUUUGCAAGGCAUAGUUGAUAGUAUAAUGGCUGGAGAAAGAAGAGGCUCAAAAGUUGGUCAAAGAAUAAUACUUCCUGCAUUAUUUAUCAGAGGUCUUAGGGACAUGCGUCGUAGAUAUACGAAUGCAAUGGCUUUGGUUCAACAUUUUGGGAAACCAGAUUUGUUUAUCACAAUGACAUGUAAUCCAGAUUGGCCAGAGAUUCAAGAAAAUUUGAUAGAAGGACAACUUGCUCAAGACAGACCUGACUUGGUGACUAGAGUUUUCAGAUCAAAGUUACAAGAUUUAAAAGAUCAAAUCUUCAAGAAAAAAAUAUUUGGGCCUGUUGCAGCAUAUGUUUAUGUCAUUGAAUUCCAGAAAGGAGGCCUACCACACAUUCACCUUUUGUUAAUACUAGAACAAGGAUACAAGUUGACAUCACCAGAUGAUUAUGACAAGUUUAUUUCUACUAAACUUCCCGACAAAGAAGAAUUUCCAAUUUUGCAUGACUUGGUUAUCAAACAUAUGAUGCAUGGCCUGUGUGGAAAAAAAUAUCCAACAAAUUCAUGCAUGAGGGAUGUUCAGUGCAAGAGUCAUUAUCCUCGACCAUUUAGUAAUAAAUCAAUACAAGGAAAGGAUAGUUAUCCUAUUUACAAGAGGCGAAAUGAUGGAAAAAAAGAAAAAGUUAGAGGCAUGACAAUGAAUAAUCAAUGGGUUGUUCCUUAUAAUUCUUAUUUACUAAGUAGAUAUAAUUGUCAUAUCAAUGUUGAGUCUUGUGCAGGGGUAAAAGCAAUAAAGUAUCUUUACAAGUAUAUAUAUAAAGGACAUGAUAGGUGCGUUGUUUUUAUCGAAUCAAAUAAUGGAGAAAAAGCCGCUGAUGAAAUUAAGAGUUUUCAAGAUGCACGUUGGGUUGCUACACCAAAAGCGCUAUGGAUAAUUUAUGAAUUUGAUCUUAGUGAAAUGCAGCCUCUGGUCAUUAACCUUCAACUACAUCUUCCAAAUAAACAAACAGGUAAACAAUUAGGCUUCCUUAAGCUAUCUAAAUUCUACAUCUUUACCCUUCAGAUAAAAAAGUCAUAAAAUUCAAAUUGUAAUAAUCUGUUUUAAGCUAUGAAUUUAUCAUGAAAAGAAAUACAUAAAGUUAUUUGUACGAAAUAUUCUGUUAAUCUUUUUAAUAUUGUCUAUUCACAUUAUAGUGUGCCAUUGGAGCAACCAAAAUUUGAAAAAUGUUGUUUCCUGGGAAUAUGCCUCAAAAACCAUGCUUACUGAGUGUUUUCACAAAUGUUCAAUAGACAAUGAAGCGCGUAAAUACAUAUACAAGAAAUUUUUAGAGUAUUAUGUUUGAAAUGCUCAAGGUAAGCUUUGGACACAAAGAAAAACAAGAUCAAUAAUUGUUCGAAUUGCUAUUGGUAAGAAAUUCAACAUGACCACUCUUAAUAUUUGUAAACGUUCAAAUAUCAUUUAUUUGUUCUUUCUUCUUUAAUUUACAGCUAAUCCAGCAGAAGGCAAAAGGUAUUAUUUGAGAUUAUUAUUGAAUCAUAUACGAGGACCAACUUCGUUUCAAUACUUGCUAACUAUUAAUGGAAGGUUGUGUGGCACAUUCAAAGAAGUUGCAAAAGAAAGAGGUUUACCCGAGUCGGAUAAUAGCAUUUCUGAAUGCUUACGUGAAGCGGUCGUCUUCAAAAUACAUUCGGCUCUUAGAAAUUUAUUUGCAACAUUAUGGUUCAUUGUAAUCCGACGGAUGUGAGAAAGCUCUGGGAUACAAAUUAUGAUGACAUGUCAGAAGAUUUUAAGAGAAUACAUGAAAAUUCUCCUACGACUCAACUUCAAUGCACACUGAAAAGCAUAAAUCAUUUCUUAGAGAGCAUGGGAAAGAGAAUUCAAAAUUAUGACAUACCUGAACUUGAACGGAGAGUAGAUGAUAGAAUUAUAUUAGAAUGCAGAGAAAUACUAGAGGAGGAGUCUAUAAUAGUUCCUUUAGAAGAUUUGGAUGCAAAAAUAAAGCUAAAUCCUGAACAAGAGCAAGCAUUCAAGAUUAUAUUGCAAAGGUUAGAAUCUGGCCAAUCGGGAUUAUUCUUUGUCGAUGGACAUGGAGGGACCGUAAAAACAUUCCUAUAUCGUGCAUUAAUUACAAAUAUCGUAUUGAGGGGCAUGAUAGUAUUAGCAAUGGCAACAAGUGGUGUAGUAGCAGCUCUUUUAUCGGGAGGUCGUACGGCUCAUUCUAGAUUUGAGAUACUACUUCAGACAAAUGAUACAACAGUAACACGUAUGUCAAAGCAAAGUGGUGGAGCUAAAUUGAUUAAAAAAUCCAAGUUGAUUAUCUAGGAUGAAGCACCUAUGGCCAGUCGUUGGACAAUUGAAAUGGUUGAUAGGAGCUUCAGAGAUAUACUGGACAUUGACGAACCCUUUGGUGGAAAAGUAAUGGUUUUCGGAGGUGAUAUUCGUCAUGUACUGCCAGUAAUUCCAAAAUCUACAAGGGAUAAAACGGUAAAUACAAGUUUGGUAAAGUCGUACUUGUGGCAACGAAUGGAAAAGAUUAAAAUAACAAGAAAUAUGAGGGCCAGAACAGAUACAUCAUUCAGUGAAUUCUUACUACGCAUAGGUAACGGCGAGGAACCUACAAUAAGAGAUGAUUUGGUACUACUUCCAAGACAAUUGGUUAUUGAAACUACGAGUGAUAGCACUGGUUCAGAUGCCUUAAUAGAGUAAAUAUUUCCAUCGUUGCCUGAAAAAGCAAGUUCUGCAAAAUACAUGACAAAACGGCUAUCCUGGCUAGCAGAAAUGAGUAUGUCGACCAACUAAAUGAAAUAUUAAUUUCCAGAUUUCCUGGUGAAACCAGAACAUUUCUUAGUUUCGACUCUGCAGAGGAUGAUACAAAUAACUACUAUCAGGAAGAUUACUUAAAUACUCUAACACGAAACAGUCUGCCUCCUCAUAGGUACGUUCUUACAUAUUUACUAAUAUUCGAUUAUGUUUGAGAAUCAAAUGUAUAUGUAAGGUUCAUAGAAUCAAUUACAAAGAGAGGGAUACAGUGAAUCUUACUGUUAGUUAUGAAGUUAAGCUACACUUUUAUGCAUGACGAACAAAAUACUGGUUCUAAUACUGUCUUUGAGGCCCACGCAACUUAAGUCUUUCCUUUUGAUUCUUGCCAAAUCUUAACUGUAGCAAAUCAGUAACUCAUGUAAGUUUAGAAAACAUCUUCAACAUAAUGACCACUCAAUACUAAACAAAUACAAUUCUAGGUCACUAAAUAUAUUUGUACAUUUCAAAAAUGAUCAAUGUCAUCAUUCCAAAUUUAUCAACCUACAUUAGAUCUGGAUCAUUUUCAUAAUCAUAGUCUGCUUUACUUAAAUGUCUCAUUCUCUUCGCAUCACUUGCUGAGAAUUGAUACACAGGAUGGUAGAAUAUGUAAAAGGCAUUAUUACUAGCAAAGCUAUAUUUCAAACAACAUUUUCAUUUCAAAACUUAAGCAGUUGAUUAUCUCACUACUAAUACCUUAAAGGACAAGAGAUUAUCCAAAUUUGUGAUUUUUACACUACUCCCCUGAAGGGGGCCCAACAUAAUAUAAUAUUCCAGUACACCAGCACUGGUACAGUACCUGGUACAUCCAACAUAAUAUUGCCAACUUUCAAGAAACUAUACUUACCUGAUAGCUUGAAAAUUGACAUCCAAACUAAUAUCCCCUUUAUCCCCUUACUCUCUGUUUCUUUAAGCAAAUUCUUACAAACUCCAUCUCUCUAUCAAUCCCUAUUUUUCUAACUAUUAAAAAGGAUCACCAACUCUCGACACAAAGAAACAGAACAAAAACUACAUAACAACACGAUAAACAGAUAGGAACAGAAACAACACACUGAUAUACAAAUUAAGAUGCUAUACUUCAGAAUUGAAUUAAGAAGGUAGUGAAAUAUUGUUGGAAAAAGUAUAGUGACAUUCUUUUACCUAGCCACCGAUUUGUUUUUCAAAGCUUGAACCAGAUUAAGGUGUCAUUUCAUGAUCACAAUUCAUUAACAGUAGUUUCUCAGUUAUAGAAUAAAACAAAAACCAAUUCCCUUUGCCAUGAACAGCACAAGAAGAACAACAUCUACUUGAUAUCGACACGACCUUCCUGUAUUAAUCGAUAGAUCACCAACCAUACAACAUUACCUAUUAAUAUGAUAAUCAAAAUUCCUUACGCUUUCCAAGUUUUAGUAAUCCAAAUUUCUGAAUAUUCUCAUCAAUAUUACAAAUAAAGUAAACAAUUUAAAGGCAUGUCCGUUGUUUUAGGAAUUUCCUUAGUAAAUACAUAGCAAAGGAUGCCAAUUUAUCUAGAUGAUGAGCUCAUUUCACAUUAUUUUAAUUUCACACUUACCUGUAGAUAGAUCAUCUCCCUCUGUAUGUCCUUCGCAUAUCCAGUCAUAUUGGCCUUCCAAAACUUUAUGAUAGAACCUUUGAAAAUUUUGUUUAGCCACCCCAUUAGGUGAAAUACUACUGCUCAUGAUCAGCAACGCUUAUACCUACAGAAAAAAACUAAUGUUUCAGUCAAAUCUAAUCGAUUUUUUCUAUUUUGUUUUUGCAGCAUUUGGAGAUUCACACAAGUAUAAUCUUUUGAAAAUUUUUUGCUAGUUUAUGGUUGCUUAUUUACUCCAGAAACAUGUUACUAUGUAUUUGAUUUCAACUUAUGAUUAUAAACCUUCAAUCAUCAUUGGAUAUCUUUCUUAAGUGAAGUUUUUUAUUAAAGUAUCUUUUACGUAUAUGCAGAUUGGUGUUGAAAAAAAAUGUGGCUAUCAUGUUACUGAGAAAUUUAGAUGCUUCCAAUGGUUUGUGCAAUGGAACGAGAAUGAUAUGCAGAGGGUUUGACAAAAAUGUCAUACAUGCAGAAAUAAUGAUGGGCCAAAAUGCUUUCAAGCAUAUGUUUAUCCCACGAAUCCAGCUAUCACCUUCCGAAAAUGAAGGUUACCUAUUCAAAUUCAUUAGAAAAUAAUUUUCCGUGCGACUGUGCUUUUCGAUGAUGAUAAACAAAGCACAAGGACAAACAAUACCAACUGUUGGACUGUACUUGCCGCAACAUGUUUUUUCACAUGGACAACUGUACAUUACACUCUCAAGGGGAAUAUCAAUGUCAACGACUAAAGUUUUGGUUAUGACACAACAAUCAAAGCGACAAAAAGGAACAUACAACAAAAACAUCGUCUACAAAGAGAUAUUAGGUGAGAUACAAUACAUAUGAUUACCUGAUAUAAAAAAUAAAUUAGUCUUUUGAGUAUGUAAUAUGAGACUAACUUUAAAUGUUCGUGUUUGCAGGUUCUGAAGAUACGCAAUUACUUUAGAUUCAACUAUUGUCCAAGUCAUUGCAUUUCAUUUACUUUCAUAGACAUUUACAUGGACUAAUUUGUUUCAUUCUGAUAUAUGUACUUUAAGUUCUUGAUGUGUGUAUUUUGGACAAAAAGAUAUAAUCAGGGGAAAAGAAUAAGUCUAUCUUAUUUAUCUUCUUGAAAUAGAAGGUUCGAUUUUAAAGGUUCAUAAAAUCACUUCUUUUAACCAAACAGGCUUAAGAUUUUAAAGAUCGAGAUCUGGUCCUUCAUACUCAACUUCAAUCCAACAUAUUUUAUCAUUUUCUCAACACGCUCUAUCAAAAGAACGGUAAAUGAAAUGAGGCAUUGAUUAGAUCAAUAUACUCUUUCCACUAAAGCACAUCGAACUUUCAUAUUUUCUAAUUGGAUAUAGCCAUUUUAACACAGCUUAGAUGAUAAAAAGAUAAAAAAAACGUAAAUGACCAAAAUGGAAGAACAUAGUGAAUGAGGCAGAAAGCCAAAGAAGAAGAUUUUAGACACACACCUACAACUACAAAUUCUUCAACUCAAUGCAACUUUGACAUGGAAAACCGACGAAGUGAAAAUAUAGAAGGGAGACGAAAGAGUUCUACACUUAAAAGUAAAUCUUGUCAUUUGUACAGGACAAUUGGAUAGGUGUAGAUAAAAAGAAUUUAACCGGCACAGCUUAGAAAGGAAUGCACUGUGAUUGGAAUGGUGACUCUGGAAGCAAUUUUACCUAGUAGAAUGCGACUGGUUAACAGGUCUGCGCAUCUACACGGUGGGUAGCUUUGCAUUGUUCGAUGUUGGCUUUGUUGCCAUCAUUAUCAAGUAAUCAAAAACAUCAAACAAAUAAAGUUUUUGCAAAAUAUAUAUGAAUUACCUACCAGUUUUUGUUCAACUUGACGAAGGAACGUUUUCUUAAGUAAUACAAGAAAAGAUCAAAGAAGGAUAAUCAAGUACUUUGUAAUUCCGAAUCAUUUAGUGCUUGAACUCUUUCACAUCCCGAUUUUGUGCAUGAAAACAUUCUCCUAUUAAAACUUUAAUAUAUAUUUUCUUCCACAAUUUUGGAUAACUUCCAAAAAAGCAACAGAUGUGGAUGUGUAAGCAUAGUAACUUCGAAGAUUAAACCGCAAAGCAAAACUAACGGAAAUAUUUAACUACUAUUACAUGACAGAAAAGAAAAGCUAACCUGUUUCGACAAUGCAUCUAUCUCAGGAGAAGGCAGAUGAUCUGCAGCAACAUAUAUAUAAGUUCGAAUCAUGAUUCAAGUAUUCAACUAUCAUUUGUCAAGGGAACUAACAAUGCAAUUACAGUGAAUAUCUACCACAAAUAAUUUUUCAGUUUGUGUGUAAGUGUAUGAAACAAGAUCGGAAAAAGAAAAAAGACAAAGGCAGAAAAAAAUAUGUCGGAAGCUGCAGAAAGAGGAAAACAAACAAGCAAAGGAAUAGUAAAUUCCAUUAACUUAAGGUCCAAGGAAGAGGAUGAAAUUCCAAAGAAGAGCCUUACUUUCAUUCAAAAGUUCACAAAAUAAAACAAAGAGCAGCACAAAUAUUCUUUAUGACCUUGAAGGGUAAUACCUUAUAAAAAUUCAAAAGGGCACAAAAAAGUACUCGUGUCAAAACUACGUCUAAUGAAUCUUUGGAUUACUGGCAAUUAUCUGUGUACAGUACAUUAUGGAUAUCUUUUAUAUAUAUAGGAAGUGGCGUAGUCCUUUUAUGUUUCUAUUUUUGUCCUUAGUUCGUGAAUCAUAAUGGGUGCCACAGUGCAUAAAUGCAUCAAACAUAAUUUAUCAAUAACUAAAGUCUAACCUUCGGAUUAAUAUCCCUAGCAUGUUCAAACGCCUUGAGACGAUCCUCACCAGUAGGAAUGUAGUAAUUGACAAGCCUUGCAUGGCCAAAUGAAUUAUUAAGGGGGUACCACGAGAGAGAGACAGAGAGAGAUACAGAGGAGAAGGGGGAGGGGCUUGGGAAAAACAAGGAGCCUGGUCCACUUGACAAAUGAGCUCUGACUAGUCAUGCGCAUACCUAUUAAUCCAGCAUCUUUCGCACUUAUCUUUCAGCUAGUAUUGGAAACUUAUGAAUGAUAAAAGUGAUGAAUUGACUUUAAGAUAGUGGAAUAUCAGCUAAAGGGAAGCGGGAUCUAGGGAAGGGCCAAACCUCAAGGUUUUAUUUGUAUGCAACCUUACCUGCAUUUCUGCAAGAGAAUGUUACUGGAAAUAUCCAGCCGAUCUGAUAAAAUUAGAACAUAACAUAUCCUUCACCAAAUUUACAGAUUUUGUAGAAGCAAAUAUAUAAUGUGUAAUUGAGGCAUACCCUGGUAUUAUAGCAAGUCCCGUUUCAAGUAAAACCAAUACUGCAUCUUCACUUAAGUAAUGCAUCAUUAAACUAGGGAGAAAGAAAUCAAUCUAGAGAGAAAGACAAAUUAUGGCAUAAACUCAGAAGUGCAGAAGAACGUACCACAUAUCCGGAUAUCACAAGACAUUGCCAUUUCAAGUCCCCCACCCAAUGUUAUACCCUCAAUGGCAGCAAUUGUAGGGAUAUGAAGUGCCUGAGUAAAAGAAUAUUUAAUCAAAUAUAGAAAAGAAAAGAAGCGGAUAUAUACAACUGGCCUAUUUUAUGGUUGUUAAAGUAAUAUGUUUGGAAGAAGAAAUGAGAUACAGUAUGAUGUCAUGAACCCAAAAAAAGAAAAAGAACUUCUUCUUGAGCUUUAAGACUUUGUGAUCUUUCAUAUAUUAAAAGAAACAACAUCACAAGUCACUUACCUCCAAAAAAGAAAAUGUUGAUCGCAAAGUGCUAACAAAAUCCAGGACUUCCGAUGGAAUCAUAGUUUUCCAUUCCUACAUAGCGAAUGACAAUCAAUUGAAUUAGCUAUCAUUAAGUACAAAACACACUAUGAAUAAAAAAUAGUAGAAAUGCUACUGACUACAUAAAUCGACAUCUGAUAUAAAAAAUAGCAGCUUAUUCCAUCAUAUGACAAACCAAUUCUAAAUUUGAUCCCCACAAAGAUGUUAUAAGCCCCACAGAGGAUGCACUUGCAAAGUCCGAGAGAUCAAAUAACAGAUAAACUUAUCAACAUUGAAAGCUAAAUGUUUGGCUGAUGUCUCCUAGCUUGUAACUUUUUUAUUAUUUUCUUAUCAACAUUUUAUGCUAUAAAAAUAAGAAAAAAGUUGAUUGUUCGACAAAUGUCUCCUAGCUUGUGAUUUUUUAUUGUUUUUUCUUAUCAAUGUGUGAUGCUAUACAAAUAUGCGAAAGAUGUAUGUUUUGUUGAUGUCUCAUAGCUUGUGACUUUUUAUUGUUUUUCUUAUCAUCAUCUAAGACUGUACAAAUAAGAAGUCUUUUAAAGAGCAAUGACACUACAGAGACAACCUACAAAAAGAGCUAACAUGAAAUGAGAAAAUAGAUAAAACUUUCUCCUGGUUAAUAAACAUUGAUACUAGAAAAGGCUACUCUAACACCAUAUAACAUUUCCCUUAAACCUCACAGGAUAAAAUAUUAUAUAACAUCGUCUUAACUACUUUCAUAAAUAAUAAAAGUCAAUUCAAGGUAACAACACCAAUAUCCAUAUCUAGCAACAACAAUAAUUGAGGGCUCCACCCACAUGAUCUGAUUCGUAUACACUGAAUACAUACCUUAAAAAGAUUCCAAAUAUCUAUUGCUAUUCAAGAACAAAAUUUGUUUGGCAUCUGUCUAAUUGAACAUUGUCCUAUCUGUAUCCAUCUAACUAUACACAACAUACACUAGAUUACAAAUGAAACAUCAAACACUAAAGCAGUAAAGAGCUAUGAACAACAGACUUCUAUUACCACCAGUUAUUCCAAUUUCUAUAGGUUCAGAGUUCAGGAUGGAGUCGAGAUUUCAACUUUAUGAUUUCUAAAUUUUAAACAACGAAUUCAAGUACUACUAAUUAGAUUCUAAAUUUAGUACACAAACAUACUGUUUGAUCAAAAUGCUGUUACAUUUGACGGAUCUUCCUUAAUUUUUCGAAAACAAUAACAAUAGUAACCCAGAAAUGACAAACCAAAUCACAAUAUUUCUAUUUACCUACUUCUAUUUUUAUUUCAUACCUCAAAUUCAACUAUCUCAGCUGACAUGCAAACAUCAGGAUAUUCAAAAUUGUCAACAUUAAGAAUAUCGGACACAUAUUAUAUGUAAAAGUCAAACAAAUCAUACCUCAAACAAGAAAUUAAAUCAGAAUGGCUUUAAAAAAAUGAAAUCUUCGAACAUGCAAAGCAAAAGGAGGAACAAAAAUCAAAACUAGGAACAUACAAUGCAACAAUUGUUUUGCGAGAAUCAAAACAUACAAAAUCUAAUUAAAAUAAAAUAAAACAUUCAAAUGAUUUAAACACUAAAAAAAAUAAAGGAAACAAGGAAAGAAGAUGAAAUUAGACCCAAAACUUGACAUACUGUUGUUCAAUUGAUGCAGUAGGAACAUACUCUUCAAGUAAACGUUCAAUUUUAAGCUUUAUGAUUUCACCUUAUUCAUCAAUUUUUCGCUAAAAUAAUAUGUAGUAUCAUAAUAGAGAGAGUGAGGAAAUGUGUGAGGAAGGAGAGAAUGCUCAAACACUAGCCAUGGCAGAUAUGUAAAAUACCAAAGAGUGGAUUAGACACACCUUUUACGAAAUCAAUGUUGUCAAACUUUAGUUACUGGACUCAAUUUUUAGUACAAAUGGUGGUAUUAGUUUCUUAAGAAACUCAACCUAUUGAACUAGAAAAGGAAAGUAGGUAAUUACAAGUUUAGACACUUAGCUUAACAAAGGGAGAGGAAGAUAGCUGAUGAUCUGCAUAGGGUGAGAGAGAAACUAAAGCAAAUCUAUGUGAACUCAUCGACGAUCUUGGCGGAGAAGACGAUCUAUGGCUGGUUCACUUUCCAAAAGAGUUCUAAACCAUGAUUAUCAGAUAUUUUUUGUUGCAUAUGUUUGUUGGAUCCGGGUCAGGUCACUUUUAGGCCUGACCCAUUUAUUUUAAUUUGUAUUGAACUUUUUGCUUUUAAUAAAAUGGGCUAUAGCCCGAUUUAGUUUUUAAAAAAAUACUAAUAUUUUUACUUUCCUAAUUUUUUUAUUUUUUUUUGUAAUUUUCAAAUUAUUGGACCCUUUUAAGUUUGGGCAAUAAUUUUUACCAUUUUACUCUUCAAUAUACUUGUUUACGUACAUAAAAUUUUAAAAUUUUAUAUAAAUUUAACUCACUAUUUAUCAAUUUAUAUAAACUAUAUUUUAAAUGAGUACAAAAUUAAAAAAUUAAUUAUUAUGAUUUAUGAUUAAAUUAAAUUAUAUAUUUUAUGUUAUUAUAAACCAUUUCAUUAUAAUUAUAUUUUACGUAAAGUAUAAAUAUAUAAACGUCUAAGAAUAAAAAUAAAUCUUUGUAGAAAUAGAGUUAUUUUAAAAGUAGAAAAUAAGUAAGUAAGAUGAUAAAAUUCAGCUUUAAUCAACUGCAUUUUUUUAUCUUGAAAAUUUUGCGUGUUUUUCUUAACAUUUUUAUAUUUAAUGAAACAACACAUGCACAAUUAAUAAAUUUUCUACAUACGUUUUUUCUAAAAGAAAAUAUGAUACACGUGCAAUGCACGUACACUAUUAUAGUAUUUUUAAUAUAGCAAGGGUCUUCCCUCACUAAAGUAUAAAAUAAUAUUAUAUAUAUUUUUAAUAUAGCAAGGAACAUCCCUCACUACAUUAUAUUUUUGGGGAAAAUUGUGAUACCAAAAUAGAGAUGGUUGAGUGUCGGAGUCCUUCACUACUUUGUGAGGGUCUCCCUCACUAAUAAUUAGCAAGGCUCAAAUUAGCAAGACAUCUUGUAGCGGUUGCUGCCCUCACUAAAUCUUGAUUAGUGAGGGACGUCCCUCACUAAAUCACAUGGCUAAAACAAGACUUUUUAGUAGUGCCAUGAUCUUAAGCUUCUUCUCCAAAGGACAUCUCUCUCUUCCAAAUCCUUUUCAUCUUCUCUCGAAUAAAGUUGGUCAUAAAAUUAAUUCUACAAUGCCUGUAUCAAAUUCAGAUUUGGAUAAAGUAUCAAAGAAAAAUCAACUUGACUUUGGGCAGUAACAUAGUGAAUCUAUGCAACAAUUUAUAUCAUCUAUUCAUCUGGAGCAACAAAGUGAUACUGAUUUUCAUUGAUGGGUAUAGUUGGUAAAUAAAGAAGAUGAACAUCAGGAGGAUAAUAUUGGAAGGAAACUUAAAAGCUCAAGCUCUAAUUUUUCUCCCAAAUAAGUCUGCAAUUCAUAAUUAUUCAUCAAGUUGCAAGUAAACUUCAGGUGGUGUAUUAAAUUCCCUUUCUUCAAUUCAUACGACCAAAUAAUUGGUGGGAAGUGAUACAUUGUCUCCAAAGAGUUUUUAAAAUCUCCAAAAAACAAAAUGACAUAUUUGAGGAAAGUGAGUAUGAAGACAUGUUGGAUAUAUGCUUUGCAAGUGCCUCUAGGGAUGCUGAUAUCUCUCCUAGACAACAAAGAAAUAGAAAGAUCAAAAUAUAUCACGAUAGAAAUCUAAGUUGGGUUGAUAAGGUGACAGAGGAGAUUGUUCCAAGGCACCAUUGGCAAAGAAAAAUCAUGCAACAUUGUCAACAACUUUUAAGAAAACCCAACAUAUUCAAGAAGUGAUGAAUUUUCAAGUUAUUUUUAACAGGUUCGAAGAAGAAGGCAAGGAUUAAAUAUAUCAAUGUACUUUAGAUGGGCUAGCAUUCCUUUUUAGUUCAUACAUUUGUAAAAAGGAGUUCGUGAUUGAUAACUCAAACUUCUCAUUUAUUUUUAUAUUUUUUCAUUACUUAAGCAUCCUUCUUUGUAAUAUCAUCAUAGUGUAACAUAAACUCUAUGAUGAUCCUAGAAUAUCUAGUUCUCUCUAGUUUUUAUUUUUUGCACGUUUGUUAAUUAGUCGAGGUUUUGUUACCUCAUUAAGAAUGAUAAGGUAAGGUCUAGCCCCUUUUGCCUGUACUUUUCUCUUUUGAGGUUUAAUUUUAUUUUUUAUUUUUUUAAAAGGGUGGUUGAUAUCUUUUGGCAACCAAUGUCUUUUGAUAUAUUUAUGGUAUUUUUUGAUUUUUUCCCUUUUCUUAUUUGUGGCUAAAUUAAUAAAAAGUCUAUAACUAAUAUUUAAUAAAGAAUAGAUCUUAUUCGUCCAUCGUCUAUUUGAUGGAUGUACCAAAUUAAGUCUUAAUCUCUAUAAAUUGAUCCUCCCUCUGCUCAUUAGGCUUACCACGUAUUACCAAUACAAUUUCAUCACAGACGGAUCUGAUAGCGAUAAUCCAGUGGCAACUACUUAUUUUGGAAUGAUAGAUAAAGUUCGCCUGAUAUGCUGAUACUAGUUAGUCAGAUCAAUAAUAUUGCUAUCAAGAUUGUUGAUUUGCUAAAGUGUAAGGCUAUAAAGGUAACAUCUCUAAAAAUCUAUAUUAAACUUAUAAUCGUUGAUUCUCUGAUAUAAAUAAAUUAUAUGUGAUUUUCUUUCUAAAAGAUAUUUAAUUGAUAUGUUGAUAGUUUUUUCAUUGGAUAUUUUAACAUCGAUCUCUUUUAAAAUUUUAUUUUUAUCUUAUAAAUUUUGAAUUUCUCUUUAUCUAAUUGUCAUAACAUCAUUUCUAUGUUUGUUUAUGUUGUUUUACUAGUUAAAAUGAGUUUUAUAUGUUUAUAAAGAAUUGAAUUAGAUUCUUUACUUUUUAUCCUUACUAUAAGCAUGCCACUUACUCAAUUAGCUUUCCCCAUAGACUAGAGUAUGUGACUUUUCAGAGGAGGAGGAUAGUUUUAUCUUAAAAUUGGUAUCUUUCAAUUUUAUCAAAUCUCCUUGAAGGGACACUAUUUUAUUAAUUAUUUAAUCAACUUAAAAUCGUUUUACACUUGAUCUUUUAGUAGAAAAAGGGAAGAAUAAAUAAUUUUUACAAUAGGUCAAAGUGAUAUAGAAUCGGAGGAGAAAAUAAACUAAAUCUCUUAAGAAUAAUUUUUGAAGGUGCAGAUCUUUUGACUUUUACAAUUUGUCUACAAUUUUAAAAUGAUCGUUCGGAUGGUAGAGGCGAAACAAGAGUAGAAAAUAGAACGGGAAGAGAAAGAUCAAGAGAAACAUAGAUUUGAUUAUUAUUAUUAUUGAUCGCGAAAUAAUUUUUUUUUAAUCUUAUAUUAGUUGUAGAAAAAAAAGGAAGAAAAUAUCAUUUUCAUGAAAAAUAAUUUUCUUUUUAAUUGAAAUUUUCUUCUUAAUUUCGAGGAGUUUUUUCUUCCUCUCUAAUUUAACAUAUUAUUUUAUCAUGGGAAAUUAUUUUGACAUCUCACACAUCAUUCCUUCUAUUGUUAUAAAAUAAGAAAGAAUAAAGAAGAAGAGUAGAGAGAAUAGAGAGAGUGAUUCUUAUUUCUUCUCUUGAGAGAUGAGAGAUCAUAAGAUUGUAAAUACAAUUAACAAAACCUCUCUAUUUAUAGGAAAAAUUUACUCCUCGUCUGAGUAAAAGACGAAUGCUUUAAAUCUUAAUAGAUAUCAAAGUAGAUCUUGAUAGAUCUUGAUAGACAUUCACUAUAAUGUAAAUACAUUUAUAACACUCCCCCUUGAAUGUCUAAUUGGUAGAUAAUGUGCCUCCUGAAAACCUUACUAGAAAAAAUCCAGUAGGAAAAAAAUCUAGUGAAGGAAAAAGAGUACACAUCUCUAAUAAUACGCAUUUCGGCUUCCUCAUUAAAAACCUUACAAGGAAAACCCAGUGGGACAAAACCUCAUAAGGAAAAAAGAGUAUAGAGCGUAUUGACUCCCCCUAAUGAGAACAUCCUUGACCUUUGCAUCUCGAUCUUGUGCAACAUCUUCUUGAAAGUUGAAUUUGGAGAAGAUUUGGUGAAUAAAUCAGUCAAAUUGUCAGUUGAAUGAAUCUGUUUCAUUUUAAUAUCAUCAUUCUUUUGUAGCUCAUGUAUGUAGAAAAGCUUUAGCAAAAUGUGCUUCGUUCUAUCUCAAUUUAUGAAUCCUCCCUUAAGAUGUGGUAUGUAUGCUGAAUUAUCUCUGUAUAAAAUUGUGGGUAGAUUGUCAUAUUUCACACCACAUUUUUCUCGAAUGAGAUGUAUCAUGGACCUUAACUAUACACAUUCUUGGCUUGCUUCAUGAAUAGCUAUUAUCUCAGCAUGAUUUGAUGAAGUGUCUACGAUAGACUACUUUGUAUAUCUCUAAGAUAUGGUAGUACCACCACAUAUGAACGCAUAGCCUAUUUAAGAUCGAGAUUUAUGCGGGUCAGAUAAGUACCCAAUAUUAGCAUGACCAACAAGAUCGGGACUGCAAUCUUUAGAAUAAAAUAAGCUCAUAUUUUUUAUCCCAUUUUGAUGUCUCAUAGUAGGAGCAGAAAUAUACCUUGCUAACAAAUUCAAUGAAAAGGCUAUAGGCCUUGUAGUAUUUGAAAAGUACAUGAGUGCAUCAAUUGCACUAAGAUAUCGUACUUCAUAACCAAUCCAAUUCGAUAUAUUUCAAAUUUCAGCAAAUAAUCUAUUGCUUUGAAAAAUCUCCAAAAGUUCCAAUGAUGUUCAAGCAAUAAGUUUAUGCAGUAUAAUAAUUAUAAAUAAGUUUCCCAGAAACUUUUAUAUGCUUUAAGAAGUUUGAAUCCUUAAAAGUUUUCACAUAAGUUUUUUCAAGUGACAAUACUCAACAUUUCAUGAGUGACAUCUUCAACUAUCUGGACUGCAAAUCAAAUAAGUUUUACGUUACCAAAAUGCAUCCUUUCAUGUCACUUGAUAAAUGUUUUUGCAUCAGCAUGCUUAAAUAAAUGUGUAGACACCUAAUUUUGUCCCUUCCCGAUAUCGUUUUUACCCAUUUUUACUUUAUCCUACCGUGUACCCUCACCCAUGUAAUUAUACUCCACAAAAAUACAAAAAUAAAAAAAAUUCAAUAGAUCCCUAACUUUAUCCUAACAAACUUUAUCCUAAUCACCUACCCGUAACAACCUUUCUCUCACUACCCCUACACCGCAUACCCCAUGCCUUACACGUUUUCCCCAUUUCAACAAUACAAAAAAUUAUGAUUCAGAAAAAAGAAAAAAAAAGGAGGGACCCAUUCCAUUUUUCCCAAGAUUUCAUUCUCUUUUCCAUGCUCUUAUUCAUUUUAAUACAAUAGAGAAGACCAUAGAGAAAGGAGAUAGACAACAACAAUAAAGAGGGAAAGGGUCUAAAAAAAUAGGACCUGACUUUUUCUUUUGUUGAUACAUAUACCAUAUACAUACGCCAUUUUAGGGGGGAUUUUUCCUUUUUAUUCUUCACUAGUGAAACUCAUCCUCACCAACACACACACACUGAUACACCACGAUUCACAUGCACACACAGAGAUCGGAGGCAGGGGAGAAGGGAAGAUAACAACAUAUAUACACACACAGAAAAUCCAUUCCUGUUCCUCUCUUCUACACCCUCAUGAUUCACACAUGCACAAAUCCCAUUGAGAACCCAUUGAUUCUGGCUGGUCCUGAAUAUAAAAUAGUCUAUCUAUAUCAAAUCUUUGUCGUUCAUUCAACAUCAAGUUUCCAUCUCAUUGAAUUGUUUAGGUCUAGUUUUGGGUUUCGAGAUUGGUGUUCAUCUUUAGGAUAUUGAUUUGGGGGGGGGGGGUUUCUAUUUUAAGUGGUUGAUUCGGAGGUUUAUAUUGAGUUCAUGUUCUUGAAUUAAAAUUUGUUCGAAUCGGAAUUAGCGAUAUCGAGUUUGAUUUUUGUCAUUGUUGAGGCUCAAGUUGAGGUUCUUGGAAGUUGAUUUUCUUAUAAUAUUCUUCAAAAAGUUCCGAAUCAGGUCUAUUUCUAACCUCUACUAUCUUAUUUCUUUGUUUACGAUAUCCGAUAUUAUGGAUGGAAUGCUUUGGUUGAUGAUAUGAUCUUGAUUGUGUGGUUGAGCAAGUUUGAUUUGUUUUGGGUGAUUCUAUGUUGACAUUGGUUAAUUAAUCAGGAAUGAUUUAUUGUUUGAGCAUGUUCGAAUCUUUGCUAUGGGUUAGUUGAUAUUGGAUUUGUAUGUGAGAAAUUGAAUUGAUAAUCAAAGAAUUAGUCAAUUAUUUGGGGAUAGAAUUGAUAAAUUGAUUAAAAAAAAAUUGAAUUUAGAUUAACUUUGGUUUAUUGUUGUUUUGUUCAAUUUGUAAUGAGCAUGAAUAUUGUUUUGAACAUGAUUGAAUUAUGAUAUGUUAAAAUGGAUAGGCGAAUGUAGAUUCGGGUAGGCAAAAUUUAGGAAUAAGUUUUCUUGUUGAAUGUUUGAAUGUGGAAUUUGAGUUGAAUGGUUUGGUUUUAGUUCUUGCAUUUGGAAAUGUAUUCAUUUAAUUGGGGAAUGCCCCGCGAUCACUUAUAUUUAUUCGCUGGGGAAUGUCCCGAAGUAUUUUAUAUUUGGAGGACGUCCGUGAUGAAGGUCCGAGGCAUCGGGUAGCAUGGGAGCGUAGAAUAAAAUUAGUGUAGGGUAGAAUAGGAUUUACAUUUUUGCAUUCUUUUUCUAUUUUGGAACUGUAUAAUUGGACUGAACACUAAAUUUUGGAUUAUUUUGUUUGGUUUUGCAUGAUUGAUUGUUGUGCGUGCUUUAUGUGGUUUAUACAUUCGUAGUGUCAAAUUAGCCGAUAUGCUCCACCAAGCGACCGUGGUCGAGCCACGGGAUCGAGGGGUGCCUAACACCUUCCCUCGGUCAACAGAAUUGCUUAGCUGGAAUCUCUGUUCAUGGAUCAGUUUUAGAGUCAAAACCAUUUGGAAAGGAUUUUCCAAAGGUGACUUGGCACACUGGAUUAUGUCAAGUGGUUACUCUGAGUUUUGAAUAUAAAAGGUCCUUUUUGAAACAAAUUUUUAUCUUUUGUCACUUUAAUAAUAAAACCCUUUCAAACCAUAAAAUGAAUCUUUUGGAGUUAAAAAGGGGUGUGACAGCUCUGGCAACUCGGUCAAGGAAUCUUUCAGAAUUUGAGCUUGUUUAAGAGUUGUAUCGGCUUAGUUUGGCACUAUAGGUGUAUAGACAUUUUGUUUGUGCUAUUUUGUGUUAUUAUUUAUCGUUGUUGAGUGCCUACGUGCUCUUUGUUUACAGUUUUUACUUUAUGUGUUACUGCUUUAUAUCUGGCAUCAUGUGCAUAACCUGAGUCUUUCUUUCUACAACAAGUCUGUAGUACACGUGUGUACACGACCUAUAGUUGAGUCACCCUUAUUUUAGGACGGGGAGCCGUUAGGUUGUAUGAAGUUGGUGGACAGCUAAAGCAAUCCACUAUUGACCAUACGCUCUCCCGAACAACCUUGUUAGUGGACCCCAGCAUAGGUCGGCUUUUAGUUCAUGCUUAUCUGUAUCAUAUUGAGACCUAACGGGUCCCAUGCGGCCCUUUGUAGGAGACUCACCUCUAAAGCAUCCCUACGUGCUAAAUGUUGCUUCUUUAAGGGUAACGUGGUCAUUUGACGAACUGAGUUGGGGAAAGCAUGCGUUAGAAGUAAAGGGCGUAGGCAAGAAUUAUUGAAAAAAUAGAAGAACAAGUGAGUCGAAAAGAAAAAAAAAGAGUUUCAUAGUUGUCAGAGUUUUUUAUGGCUUUUGUUUUUCACAAUUCAAAAAUUUAAAAAGAUUUUUUUUACCUUUCGCACUCAUUUUCUCAAAAACAUCAAAAAGAUUUUCCUUUGUCUCAUUUAGCAUGCAUUAACAAUUCGAAAACUUCAAAAAAAAAAAUUCGUUCAUAGGAAUUUUUAUAAAAGAAAAAUGCAAAAAAAAAGAUGUUAGAAAUUUUUUACAUUUCGUAUAACGAAAAUACCAAAAAGAUUUUUCUUUCAUAGUUGUUGAUGUCAUUUUUGUAUGAAGUGUCAAAUUGAAAAAUCAAACAAAAAUAAAAAAAAAAUUGUUAUGUUGUUCAUCGUGUGUGUUUGGUCGUGUCUCAAGUCAGGGUGCAAUCUGUUAUUUAAUCAUUAAUUAUCCAAUCUGGACGAACUACGCAUCCUUGAUUCUCCUCUCGGGAGUGAGAUACGUAGGCAGCCUAUUUUGGGUUCGGGGAUCUUAUUUGAAAAAUCCAAAAAAAGAUUUUCUUCACUUCUCCUUUAAAGUUGGUGUUUCCUAUACAUCUUUAAAAGAAAAUUACCAAAAGAUUUUUUGUUAAUAGCUUCAAGUAUCAUUUUCGUAUGAAAUUCAAAAAUUGAAAACCCAAAAAGAUUUUUCUUUAGUAAUCAUAGGUUUCGUUUGGUAUAGGGAGUUUAAACCUAAAAAAUGCACAAAGAUUUUCGUCAAUUUUUUUGACAAUUUGUUAUUUUUGAAGUUCUAAAAAAAAAGGAAAAAGAGUUUAAUUGGUUAUUUUGGCAAGACUUCACGAACUACGCACACCUGACUCUCCUCUCUCGGGGGCGAGAUACGUAGGCGCCCUUCUUGAGUUCGGUGAUCUUUUUUAAAAGAAAAAAAGGUUUUGAAGAAAAAAUGUUGAACUCUAACAUAUUUGUUGCCUCUUGUUCAGUUUGUUUAAGGUGGUUGGUUUGUGGCUUCCUGGCUGGUCCUCCAUAUCACACCAAAUUCAAGGAAGGUUUGGUUGUGUCCAACAAGGAUAUAGAGAGUGGCAUCAUGGAUGAAACAAAGAGUCAGGAAAUUGAGAGUUUAAAGGAAGAGAAUUUGAGACUGAGACAGCAAAUGAUGGAAAUGUACCGAGCUUGGGCCAGUGGGCUACCUGCACCUCAGUUCCCCACUUUUGACCUUGCAAAUACCUUGAAUCGUCCACCAAAAUAGCAAAGUCAGCUUCUUACCAUGGUUGAUGCAGCACAGCAUGCCUCAGAAUCUAUUCCACGUCAAAUUCACCUCAAUACUUCCACCACUCUUUCUUUAGCUCCUCAGUAUAAGUCUAGCACAUUCACAUCACCACAUACCAUUUGUGCUUUUGUUGCUCAACCUUCUACUAAUGCUUCCACUUUGGAUAUCAAUCUAACAAUUGUGCUUCCCCAGUCCACUAGUGAAUCCACGUUCAAUACUUAUGAUGAUCAUUGUUAUACUCUUGAGCCUACAGUGAAGUUAAGUGGACCGCCAAAAUUUCUUGCUAAGAAGCCUAACAUGCUAGAAGACCCAGAGAAAAUGGUUGGGAAAGUUAAGAGUGUAGAAAAUGAUAUGAAAAGUUCCUUGGGACUUGUGGUCUAUGAGGAUGUUUCAUAUAAAAACUGGGGCAUGUUUUCAAGUAUUAACCUUCCUCUAAACUUAGAGACAUCAAAAUUUGAGGAGCUUGGUAGACAGAAUGCUUCUGUAAAAUAUUUGGGACGAUAUUGCAAUCAUUCAAGGGAAAUUAAAGGAAAGAAGAAGGAAAACACAUAUGUUGUCGUGCCUCAAUCCUAAGCUUACAUAUCAAAUCCACUUAUUCAUCUGCAACAAGGUUCCUCUUUUAAAAAUCCAAGGAGUUCCAUUCCAUUUCCUCAAUGUCCUUUGAACAAUGCACAAUUGUGUAUCCAUCCAUUUUUUUAUCCACAAUGACAUGCACCUGUCCCUUAACAUCAUCCUCGACCCCCACAAAUUUACCAAGAAACCUCUAAAUUCAAGUUUCAUCUGAGGCCAGAGUUCACAAAGUCAAGGAAGGAAAAGGAUAAUUUCACUCCUAUUGGGGAGUCCUAUGCCAGUUUUUCCAGAGAUUGAGACAUAGGGGCAUGAUUACUCAUCUCCUUGGGUAUAUACCUGAUCCACAUUCAAGAAAUUAUGAUCCUAAUGUUUGGUGUGCAUAUUAUUAUAAUGUUCUGGGUCAUAGUAUUGAAGAUUGUCAUACUUUGAAAAGAGAAAUAGAAAAGAUAAUUCAAGAUAAGUUGAUUGUGGUGCAAAACAUUGGCCCCUCGACCACCCCACAGAGUUCUUCACCAGCAUGCAGUACUGCAUAAUAUGUGGGAGGAAAUGAGUUAAGCAUGGGGAUCCAAAACUUAUUUGUUGAAGAAAAUAUAUCUGACAGUGGUGGAAGCUCUAGUCAUGUUGAUAUGCAAAUCAGUGGCUAAUAUGUCAGGCUGAGCAAUUAAGAAGUCAUCCCUCUCCCUACUAGGAAGAGGUCUGGUAGUUUGUUUCAUUUUCUUUUCUGCUAUCUGAAUUAUUUCAGGAUGGUAUUUUGGGAUCUACCUUGUUUUGUCCCUUUUGUCAUUUAUGGUCAAACCUUUUCUAUCUUAUAUUUCAACUAAAUAGAGUGUCCCUUUAUCCUUUGUGUUUAAAUAUAUGUUAUUUGUUUGUUUUCUUUACAUCGUACAUUUUAUGUUGGCUUUAGUGAUAUGACAUGAUGGUGGAAUUCUUCGCUAGAUCUUAAAAUCCAAUUUGAGCAUGAACUUUGAAUCAGAGGGCUAAAGUUAGAAAAAGAAUGCGAGAAAUAGGUAGCGUGUUAAGACAUUUGGUGACCAUGUUGAAACCUUCUUUCAAAAUUAAGGCAAUUGUUUUGAGAAUCACCCGAAUAACUUAGUCAUUAAUUGUAAGGCAUGCUUCAAUUAGGUCAAACAGUGGAUGUGUGAUCCUAUAUCAAGAGGAACAGAAAGAAAAUCAGCUCCACGAAAUCAUGAGUCAUUCAAUGUAAGAAAUGUACAACAAAAGUGGAGUUGUAUGCUAGAAAAGCACAGAAGAAGUAGUGACGCACAGACUCAGUCAAAGUUAAUGUUGUAAAAGAUGUCUCACAUGAUCUUCAUUUCCAACUUUCAAACUACAAGUUAUGUACUUGCAUUCUCAAAGAUUGAUAUGACGAAGGCAUUUCAUUCUGUUAUCCAAAUAUUGUGUCAUCCUUUGUUUAUCCCAUUUGAGCCUUAGUUUUAUUUUAUUUCAUGCACCUCUUUUGGAAUCAAUAUAGAGUCAACAAAUCUCAAAAGAAAAGGUGUCGAGCAAAAUAGUAGAGUUAGAAAAGUUUCAAAAAGAGAAAAGAGAAAAAGAAGAAAAAAAAAAAUAAAGUCAGAAAAGUCCCAAAGAGAAAAAGAGUCAACAAAAGAAAAAAAUCAGAAUCAAGCAAAAGAACAAGCUUCCAGAACUAUGCAUGACCUGAUUCUUCUCUCUUGCGGAUGAGAUACGUAGGCUGCCCUACUCUGGGCUAGGUCCAACCAAAUAAAUAAAUUUAGAAUUGCCCAGUCAAAAGAAACUGGGGAAUGAGUUAAUCCUCAUUAUUUGAGUCAAUUCCAAAAGUUGAAAGUCCCACCCUACUUCAAGUGUUGUUUGGUCCUCAUACGAUCCUUUCUUUCUAGCCGUAUCCAAAAGCCAAGUUACAACCAAAGAAAUACCUUCAGAUCAAUCUUUGAGAAUGCUCAGGCUAAGCAUGCAAUGGAUAUGGAUAACACAUUUUGGGAACUACUUGUCUGCCUCAGCAUAAGAAAUCAAGAGAGAAAUGAAAAUAAGAGAGUUUUAUCGAUGAAAACCCUCACGGGCACUGUAAGACGACGGUGAGUUGAGAUAAAUAAAAAUAAGAGAGUCUUAUCGGUGAAAACCCUCAUGGGCACUGUGAGACGACUGUGAGUUAAGAAAAAUGAAAAUAAGACUCUUAUUGGUAAAAAACCCUGUCGGAUACUAUAAGGCAAUGGUAAGGUGAUAAAAGAAAAUGAGAUAGGAUUGUUGUCUAAAACCCUUCAAGGCGCCACUAGCCGAAUGAGGUCUCCAAAUACUAUUGACCUAAGGAAGAAACUCAGUUUCAAGGCCAUUAAUUCAACAACAAUGGGUAGAAAGUUUGGAUGAAAAGAUCAAGCUGCUUAAUCCGAAAUGCAUGUCAUAAUCAUUAGAGUUGACUAUCAUUUUCAGAUAAACUUUUCUUUCAUCUUUUUCAAUAGGGACAUUCAUUAUCAUUUCUUUUUUUUUUCUAUAGUUAUAUUUUUAUUUUUCUUGAGUCAGUUAUCCAAAUAAAAUCAUUGUCAUUUUUAUCUUGUCUUUAAGUCAAGUCUAUGUCAAAACAAGUGAGAAAAAAUUUCAAAACUGGCUACCAACUUCUUUAAUUGUACAAAGCAAGGCAGAAAAGCCAAUGCAUGAAAGAUACAUGGCUGUGAGCAAAAAUGAGGAAAACAGAAAGUUUUGUCAACAAAUAAGUCUGGGAACUCAUGAAAUACAAAGGUUCCAAGGGGUCUAUCUGAGAAGCAUGGCAAAGCAGAGAUGCUGUGUUUGUCUCAGUCACUAUUAAUAAUCUGAAUUUGGUCAAUGAAGUAGAAAUUCAAUGACACAAGCUAAUGGUUGGAAGCACGGUUAAAUGUGAUGACGGCAAGAGCAUUUGCUACAAAAUCCAAAGCCACAAACCAGCAACCAUGUUUUUAAACUCACAACCUUUCUUUGCAUGAAACAGGAACACAUGUUACCUUCAAAUCAAGGAUUUCAAAACCUAAACAUCAAGGCCCGUAAUUUCUCACUUUUACAAAUGCAGGAAGCAAUGUUGUUGCACAGGUUUGAUAGUUAAAUCAUGGUAAAAAUUCAUCAACUUAUAUCCCUCAGAGACACACUUUAUUGUCCAGGGAUUUCAGUUUUUAUUUGUUGGGUGAUACACUUAUUAAAUUAAACCUUCACUCCUAGAAGACGUACCUUCUAGUCGAGUCAUUCCCCUUUGGCCCCUAUAAAAUGUACCUUUUAGUCGAGUCAUUCCCUUUGAUUCCUAUAAGACGUACCUUUAAGUAAAGUCAUUCCCUUGACCCCUAGAAGUCGUAACUUUUAGUCGAGGCAUUUUCUUUGAUUCCUAUAAGACGUACCUUUUAGUUGAGUCAUUCCCUUGACCCCUAGAAGAUGCGCCUUUUAUUCGAUUUAUUUCCUUUGAUUUCUAUAAUACAUAACUUUUAGUCGAGUCAUUCCCUUGACCCCUAGAAUACAUACCUUUUAGUCGAGUUAUUCCCUUGACCCCUAGAAGAUGUACAUUUUAGUCGAGUCAUUUCCUUUGAUUCCAAUAAGACGUACCUUUUAGUCGAGUUAUUCCCUUGACCCCUAGAAGACGUACCUUUUAGUAGAGUCAUUCCCCUUGAUUCCUAUAAGACGUACCUUUUAGUCGAGUCAUUUCCCUUGAUCCCUAGAAGACGUACCUUUUAGUCAAGUCAUUUCCCCUUGAUUUUUCUAAGACGUACCUUUUAGUUGAGUUAUCUCCCUUGAUUCCUAUAAGACAUACCUUUUAGUCGAGUCAUUCUCCUUGACCCCACGAAGACUUACCUAUUAGUCGAAUCAAUUCCUUUGAUUCCUAUCAGACGCACCUUAUAGUCGAGUCAUUCACCUUGAUUCCUAUAAUGAUGUGAAUUUCGCAAAAAUCCUUUGAUGAUAAACUGGGGCAAAAUUUAAUUCUUGUGUUGGAACUUCACUUUCCUGGCAUAGGAAAUUUAUUUAUAAUAAUCUUUGUUUGAGAUAAUUUUCUUUUUAGUUUUGAUGUGAUUUCAGGAGCCCGCCUGAAGAGCAGGGCGAAUAAAUAAAAAGUCAAGCAACAUGGUAAAGAAGUUGAAAGUCAAGAAACAUGGUGAAAAUUUGAAAUUUAACAGAUUGAUGAAAUAGCAAGUUCGGAGCCCGCCUGAAGAGCAGGGUGAUAGAAUUGCAAGUCAGGAGCCCGCCUGAAGAACACAGUGAUGAAAUUGCAAGACAGGAGCCCACCUGAAGAACAGGCUGAUGAAAUGGCAUGUUAGGAGCCCGCCCGAAGUAUAGGGCAAAUAAAUGGAAUGUUAAGCAACAAGGUGAAGAAAUUGAAGACCAAGUAACAAGUGAUGAAAAUGCAAGUUAGGAGCCCUCCUGAAGAAUAGGGUGAUGAAAAUUAAGUCAGAAGUACAACAGAAGCUGUAUAGAUAAGAUUUUGUAACUUAAUUUAUAUUUUAUUUAUAAUUUUCAUUUUGAUGUAAUGACAGAGUCAUGGAACGGAACCUCGAUAGAACCUCACUCGACUCUCCAACUCGGUAUAGUCCAUUUCCUUCCAAUCCUUUGAGACACCGUCACUUGAUUCCUCCAUAACUUGGGUGGGUAGGAUGGCUUAAGUCAGAACUCGGUUGUUCUUCUUCUUUCUGUUUCUUCCUUUAAAUAAUGGUCGGGAUAAAACUCUAUUCUCGUUCCUCUCUUCUACACCCUAAUGAUUCACACACGCAUAGAUCCCAUUGAGAACCCAUUGAUUUCGGAUGGUCCUAAACAGAAAACUGUCCAUCUAUAUCAAAUCUUCAUCAUCCGUUCAAUAUCAGGUUUCCAUCUCAUCGAAUUGUUUAGGUCUGGUUUUGGGUUUCGUGAUUGGUGUUCAUCUUUGGUUCUCAGUUUGGGGGGGGGGGGUUGUUAUCUCUGUUUUAAGUGGUUGAUUCGGAGGUGUAUAUUGAGUUCGUGUUCUUAAAUUAAAAUUUGUUUGAAUCAAAAUUUGCGAUAUCGAGUUGGAUUUUUGUCAUUGUUGAGGCUCAAGUUGAGGUUCUCGGAAGUGGAUUUUCUUAUAAUAUUCUUCGAAAAGUUCUGAAUCAGGUCCAUUUCUAACCUGUACUAUCUUAAUUCUUUGUUUAUGAUAUCCGAUAUUAUGGACGGAAUGCUUUGGUUGAUGAUAUGAUCUUGAUUGUGUGGUUGAGCAAGUUUGAUUUAUUUUGGGUGAUUCUAUGUUGAAGUUGGUUAAUUAAUCGGGAAUGAUUUGUUGUUUGAGCAUGUUCGAAUCUUUGCUAUGGGUUAGUAGACGUUGGAUUUGGAUGUGAGAAAUUGAAUUGAUAAUCAAAGAAUUAGUCAAUUAUUUGGGGAUGGAAUUGAUAAAUUGAUAAAAAAGUUGAAUUUAGAUUAACUUUGGUUUAUUUUUGUUUUGUUCAAUUUGUAAUGAGCAUGAAUAUUGUUUUGAACAUGAUAGAAUUAUGAUAUGUUGAAAUGGAUAGGCGAAUAUAGGUUCGGGUAGGCAAAAUUUAGGAAUAAGUUUUCUUGUUGAAUGUUUGAAUGUGGAAUUUGAGUUGAAUGGUUUGGUUUUAGUUCUUGAAUUUGGAAAUGUAUUCAUUUAAUCGGGGAAUGCUCCGCGAUCACUUGUAUUUAUUCGCCGGGGAAUGCCCCGAAGUAUUUUGUAUUUGGAGGACAUCCGUAAUGAAGGCCCGAGGCAUCGGGUAGCAUGGGUGCGUUGUAUAAAAUUAGUGUAGGGUAGAAUAGGAUUUACAUUUUCGCAUUCUUUUUCUAUUUUGGGACUGUAUAAUUGGACUGAACACUAAAUUUUAGAUUAUUUUGUUUGGUUUAUCUUGAUUGAUUGUUGUGCGUGCUUUGUGUGGUUUAUACAUUCGUAGUGCCAAAUUAACCGAUAUGCUCCACCAAGAGACCGUGGUUGAGCCAUGGGAUCGAGUGGUUCCUAACACCUUCCUCUCGGUCAACAGAAUUCCUUAGCCGGAAUCUUUGUUCGCGGAUCAGUUUUAGAGUCAAAACCAUUUUGAAAAUGAUUUUCCAAAGGUGACUUGACACUCCAUAUUAUGUCAAGUGGAGGCUCUGAGUUUGGAAUAUAAAAGGUCCUUUUCGAAACAAAUUUUCAUAUUUUGUCACUUUAAUAAUAUAACCCUUUCAAACCAUAAAAUGAAUCUUUUGGAGUUAAAAAGGGGUGUGCCAAAACAUAGAAUUCAAAUCCUCGUAAUAUUUCACAAUAUUUUGUCAAUAUUGUGUCAAAGAUAUUGAUGAUAUACCAUUUUGUAUCGGUUCACAAUGUGACAUAACAUUUUGAGACCUCAUCACUUCAUUAUUUUCAGGUAUAUGAACCUCUCAUAAGGUUUCAUGAAGUGUUUUGUCGUAGGCUCUUCAAGAGCUCAUUGCCUUCUUAUUAUGAUUAUUUGAUUCUUAUUUUUCAUGAAUUAUUUCAUUUGGAACCGAUUGUUCUACCAUGCUUCAUGAAUGUGUAGACUUUGUCCUUUAAGGGAACAAAAUAGGAGCAGUUGCAGCUUAAAUAUGAGAAGGGUUCGGCAUUUGACUAGAAUUAUCUUUUGAAUAAGGAUCUGAUGAUAAUUCCUAACAUAUUUCAUAGCUGCUUAUAAUCUCCCCCUUAUGUUAGGAAAACUAACAUACAUCCUUUGUCUUCUUUGAGAAAUCCAUCUUUGUGCAUCAUGGUAUAUUCAUUAAUCGUAUACCGCACAUUAACUAUUAGAUGGACAACGUGUGAUUCCUGACUUAGAAUCAACUUUGAGGGAAAAAUAAUCAUAAUUUAUUGGUUUGAUGCAUACAAUUACUUUUGUAUAUAAUAUUCAAAACCAAUACAUGAAGCUUUUUAUUCUCAAUGGUUUAACUAUUUACUGAAAGCAUUUAAUGCCAAACCAUUUUCAUCAAGAUGAAUUGUCUUGAUUGCACAAUCUGAAAGUUAUGCUCUUAACUCAAUUUCAUUGAGCAAGAAACUUUAUGAAUGUCAGACUACAGGUUGACAAUAAACACACAUGUGAUCAUCUUAUAUUGAUGCAUCUUAAUUAAUCACAUGACUGGUGAAUUGGUGAUACAAGACAGCUCAAGAACACAAGAAAAUAAACACCAAAACAGUCCACUAGUUCAAGGAACUAUGGAACUCUUUUGGUGACCCCUCUCGGAUUCAAGAACACAACAAGAACACCAUGUAAUAAAGUGUUUAACCCCUAAUUUUCAGCAGCAAACCAAACUAUAUUAUGAAAAUAAAAAUGAAGAACAACAAUGUUACAACCACAAUAACCAAGCGGCUUGAACAACAACAACACAAACUACAAGAUUAGGACAAGAAACACAGAUAGAUAGUUAGACAAGUGUUGAUGUAGUCUUAACAACCCAAGAACAUAUUCACUCUUGGACCUUCAAUAUUUCAUACAAUAAACACCUGACUCUUACAAUGACACAAGAUGGGCAUCCACCUCUCAAAGCACCAAAGUCUCAAGCUUUACAACACACAAGAGAAUCCACCCUUAUGCUAUGCCCUAAUUUCAGUUUUGAGAACUCUCUCUCACAAGAGUAGUGUCUUCAAUAUCAAGCAUUAACUAAGAAAAUAAACCCUACAAGUUUCUAUUUAUACAACGUUACAAAUAAUAGAGAAAUUACAAAAGAUCCCUUUAGUGACUAGUCUUCAAAAAUACUCAAAAGUGUCAUGAUCAUGUCAUACUUGUAUCAUCCUCUCCAUCUUGAAAUGAAUUUGACCACAAAUUCAUGGGCUCACCUCUUUUACAAAGGCACUUCACAAUCUCCUUCUUCUGUCCACACAUCUUAUCCAUACUCUUCAUUUUGCACUUCGGUUUCUUUUUGCUCUCCAUCUUACGGUUUGUCAUCAUUCUUAACCGAUUCAAUGCCCACAUCUUCUCCAAGAUAGUACAAUCUACCCUCCGCCCCUAAGGAUCAUAUUCCGCUGGUUUAGGCACUCACUAGCCUUGUGCCCCCACCCUUUGACACUUGAAGCAUUGAAACCCCUUGGGAUUGGAAGUAGAAUUCAAUUUACCUUCAUACCUUGUAGAAUGGUUUUGGAAACCCUUAGUGGCCUCGGGUUGGGUAGCCAUGAAUGAGUUCUCUUUUAGCUCCAUCUCAACCUCUAAAUCUACGUGGAAGAUUCCAUCUAUGGUGUCAAAUUUUUGAAGCGUCAUGCGAGUGGAGAUGUCCUUGUUUAACCCAACCUUGAAGCGCACAAUGUCAUGACUUACUUGCUCGCCUCGGUGGUCAAGUUUUAACAUGAAUUGUUGAAAUUCAUCAUAGUAAGCCAUGACAUUCUUGCUCCCUUGCCUCAAUUAUACAAUUUGGCAAGAAUAUCAUGCCUAUAAGUCUCGGGAAAGUACCAUUUCCACAUAAGGUUCUUCAACCGAAACCAAGGAGGAGGUUAUCCUCCAAUCAUCUCAUUCUCAAACCGUUUAACAUACUCCCACCAUGUAUUAGCAUACCCUUCAAAUUGAGCUAUAGCAUAGCAACUUUUCCUUUCUUCAGUGAGAUCAUUAAGUUGGAAGAUCUUGCCACAAGAUGACUCCUAUGCAAGGUAGGCUUCAGGAUCACUCUUACCUUUGAAAACGGGAAGGCUCACUUUGAUGGAAUUAAGACCUACAUCUCGAUUUAGAUGGACAUAUUUCACCUCUCGGUAUAAAUCCCCACGUCUACCCCUCAUUCUUUAUUCACUCAAGUAAACAUCAUCAUACGGACCAUAACCACCAUGUUGUUCUCCCCUACCAUAGCCCUCAAUAUGGAUGGGUUUAUUUGGGUUAAGUGGAGCUUGUAGUGGUGGGAUUGGAUUUGGAUAGUGAGGUCUUUGGUCAAGCAGAGUUUGGAUGAGAGGGUUCGGGUUUGGUGGUGGUAUUUGGGUUCCAAUUCCUUCUUGUUAUACUUGGUGGAGUGGAGGAUGGUUUGGUCUAUCUUGUUCUUGACUUUGGGAGUAGAGAUUGGUUGGAUUUAUGGCAAUUGGUGGAUAUAGUAUUUGGUGCAUGGUCCGGGGAGUAUUAGUUGGGGAAUUGUUUUGAGGUUUGGAAGGUCGAAUCCUUUGGAUUUCCACACGUUCUAAUCUCCCACUUAUUGAUGCCAAAUCCGUAUCUAAUUUCUCAAGACCCACAUUCAACCUAGCCACAUCUCGGGACAUAUUUUCAAGGCGAGCCAAAAUUAGAUUGAUGGCAUUAUUAUCCAUUGUUUGAGCAUUUGAAGCCUCGGUUUCCAUCGUGGUUAUACCAAAAAUAACCCUUCAAGUUACGGUCCAACAAGACACCCAAUCAGUCCACAACGCCACACACAACAAUACAAUACAAAUUCCACAAAACAAAAUACACAUGAGUUCAAAACAACCUCCCACAAUGAGAUCCCACCUUUAGGUUUCUUUAAACUCAAGCUUAACAGUGGUGGAUGACUCAAAUAACCUUCAAUUUAGCUCAAAUUCUAACCUUAUACUCCUAUAGUAUUAGAGAACACAAAUCUAACACUAAAAACACAAGAAAAACACAAAAUCAAAAACUCAAAAUUUGACCUAGGGUCAAAAACGGGUUUAGUUUUAUUUGGGUAGGGGGAUUUUCUAUUUUGACACUUCUUUUUUGUUGGGAUUUUCAAUUUCUAGACUCUAAUAGUGUUAGGGAACAAGGAUAUAACACUAGAAACACACAAAAAUCAUGUUUUUUUGAAAGACCCUAAAAACGUGAACAUUAACUUUUUUUUCUUUUUCUUUCUUUUCACUUUUUUUUUAAUUUUCAAGAUAACAAUCCCAAGAUUGAUUUUUUUUUUUUGGAACAAAAUCAAACCUUUCUUUGAUACCAAAUGAUACGAGACAUCCCAAGAACACAAGAAAACAAACACCAAAAUAGUUUACUAGUUCAAGGAACUAUGGACGUCCUUUGGUGACCCCUCUCGGAUUCAAGAUUACAAUAAGAACACCAUGUAAUGUGGUGUUUAACCCCAAAUUUCCAUCAGCAAACCAAACUAUAUUAUGACAAUAAAAAUAAAGAACAACAAUGUUACAACCAAAAUUACCAAACUUCUUGAACAACAACACAAACUACAAGAUUAGGACAAGAAACAAAGAUAGAUAGUUAGACAAGUGUUGAUGUAGUCUUAAUAACCCAAGAGCAUAUUCACUCUUCGACCUUCAACACUUCAUAAAAAAAAUACCUAACUCUUACAAUGACACAAGAGGGGCAUCCACCUCUCAAAGCACCAAAGUCUCAAGCUUUGCGAUACACAAGACAAUCCACCCUUAUGCUAUGCCCUAAUUUCAGUUUUGAGAACUCUCUCUCACAAGAGUAGUGUCUUCAAUAUCAAGCAUAAACUACAAAAAUAAACCCUACAAGGUUCUAUUUAUACAACAUUACAAAUAAUAGAGAAAUGAUAAAAGAGCCCUUUAGUGACUAGUCUUCAAAAAUAUUCAAAAGUGUUAUGAUCAUGAUCAUACUUGUAUCAAUGGGCCCAUAUUCACCUUUUAUACUUUUCAGAUUUUAAGGGAUCCAAUCCCAAUAUUAGUUGGUCCAACGAACUUUUCAUGAGAACAAGCAACAUUAAAGUUCAUGAAGAAUUUUCGAAUUCUUCAAUAUAUGUUCAAUAUUCAGUAGGCACAUGUCGACUUUUCAUGUCAAUUUAUGAUCUUUUAUUCUAGUAAACUCUAAGUUUACCUUGACAUGCACCUUUUACUUUAGUAAAUUUCAGAUUUACUACUUCAGAAGUAGAUUUUAAAAUAACUUUUCUCAAUUAUUCAGCCUCUUUCGGAGUGAGUUGUGAUACCAUCACAAUCAAGUACACGUUUGCAUUAAUAAGCUUCUCAUUCCCCAGGAAUAGAAUAUAAUCAUGUCUUAAGCGUAUCAAAUUAUGAUAGCUACUACAAAUGUAAAUUAAGACAUACAUAUGAUUUAUUGCUACCACAUUCAAUUCAAGGAAUGGAUCAUAUUUAAUAGGACAUGUUUCACCAAAUAUCCAUUAUUUUUGCCUUAGCCAUCAUAAUAUCAUUAAUAUGGUGCAUUGAGAUUCAAACUCAAUGUCUUAUCCAUAUAAAGGCGUCUUAGGCAUAAAUCGCUGGGACUUGAACCCGACAUAUUAUCAUCUCUUUUGAUAAUAUUAUUCUUGAGGAAUAAAUUUAAAACAUAAUGGUUCCAAACCAAAUAUUUUUCCUCAAAUCCAACAAUACUUAUAUUAUUAGUAACAAAAGACAGAUAACAUAAGGAAUUACUAACCUUGAAAUCCUUUAGAUUUAUAAUCUCACCUAUUUGGCAGAGUCUCGUGCUGAUAACGUGUUACAAAAUAAUAAAGGACAAAGAAAAAGAGUAGAGAGAGAAGAGAGAGUAAUUCUUAUUACUUCUUGAGGGAUGAGAGAUCAUAAGAUUGUAAAUACAAUGAACAAAACCCCUCUAUUUAUAGGAGAAAUUUACUCCUAGUCUGAGUAAAAGACGGAUGUUUCAAAUCCUAAUAGAUAUCAAAGUAGAUCUUGAUAGACAUUCACUAUAAUGUAAAUUCAUUUAUAAUAUCGAUAAUGUUUUGAAUUUAUUAUUUUCCUUCCUUAUAUAUUAAAAUUUCAAUAAACUCUAAUAUUUUCAUUAAUUUUUAUUUAAUAUUUUAUCUUCAGUAAAAAUAAGUAUAUCCAAUUUUACUCAAUAUUCUCUAUUAGAUUGUCUAGAAUGAAUAGAUAAGCUGGUAAUUUGAUGAAGAUAAGUAACACAACCACUAAAGGAUGUGUAGCGAAUGUGGCUGCUUCUUUCUUAACUAAAGGUCUCAGAUUUGAUUCUUGAUAGGGAGUUCUUCCUCUAAAUGAACCUCAUGCACAUGAAUCUAGAUUAAUCGGGUUCUAAUAUAGAUGUCAAACACCAGAUUAAAAAUAAAAAGAAAAAAAAACAAAAGUAAUACACAUACACAAUAAAGGAAGCAAUAUCGUUAGUUUUGUUUUAUUUUAAUUUUGAGUAUUUUGAUUUUAAUUUUUAAUUUUAUAUUAUAAACAUGACAUUUUAAUCAAUACAAUUCAAAUUAUUUUUACUUUUCCAUUUAAACAUAAUAACAAUAAUAACUUAAAAUACAUAUUCAUGUUUAAGUUUAUUUAAAUAAUCAAAUACUGUGAAAGUAUGAUUUCAUUAUGAUAGGAUAUUUUAAUUUAAAUUUGAAUUUACUUUGUUGAUAUCAAAAAGCUGAAUUGACCUUUUUUUCUCAAAUUUCUUGUUUUAAAUAAUUUUCAAACUUGAAAUGCUUUUACUAUUCUAUAUAAUAGAUUCAACUAUUCAUUCUAAAUAUACGUUACUUAAUUUUUUAUAUAAAUAUGCAUAAAAUUUGUAAAUAUUGAUUAUAGUAUAAGUUUUUAUUAGUAUGUGCAAUCACAUAAAUAAAGAGUGGCAAUAAACCCCGAAAAUUAAUAUCGAAUUUGUAUAUGAGAAAUAAAUCUUCAUAGUAAUUUUACUAAUAAUUUAUUUUACUGAAAAUGUAUUGAUACAGUUAUCAUGAUUGGUACAUCUUCAACAACAAUGUCAAUGCUCUCGAAAGAAACUACAAAAAUUAAUGUGAUAAUAAUAAAUGUUCACUCGUUGAAUGGCUGAACCUAGAUUCAUUUAAACUUUUGGCUAGAGCUGUGACUUUGGAUAUAAUUUCCCUCUCUAAGUAUUUUGUUCCCUACUCUUUCACUUAUGAUAUCUGUUGUGCAUAAAGCAAUUACAAAUACACUAUAAAAAAAAAUCUCUAAAAUACACCAUUAUAUAUCGUUAAAUAGUUCAAGCUAAAAGAAUUUGACAUAAUUCAUCGUUAAAUAGAAUUAGUAAUGAAUUUUUUAAUGUUUAGCGACAUAAACUAUCCAUCGCUAACUCCUAUUUUUAGUAUGUUUUGUAAUGUUAUUUUUGUAAUUAAACAAAUUUCAUAAAUAUGUUGAAGUUAACUAUUCAUAUAAUGUAUGAUAUAAUUCAAUUUUAAUUGAUAUCUUCUUAAAAUAAAUGCACAGUUGCAUGUGAUGAACACAUUGAGCUCUUAGAAAAGCAAGCUAUGAAAGAUGGAGCUCAUCUCUACCUCAAAAAUAACAAGGAUAUUAAGCAAAAGGACAACAUAAUGUGGACUGGGGAUCUUCAUGCCAAAUUCAUAAAAAGUUUACAAUAACUUGGUAAAGGAAAUAAGUUAAUUUUACUGUUAAUUAAUUUUUUUUACAAUUUAUUUCUAAAGAGCGACAUGAAUAGCUAAAAUUUUUACUUAUGUCUAAUAUAAACUUGUAUUUACAUGUAUCUCGGCUUGAUUUGAAUAUAUUAUAGUUAUUAAAUUAUAUUGCAUACUUGUGGACCAUGUAGAAUGUUACCCAAAGGAUAUUCUGGAAAUGACGAAUAUGUGAGGAUGAAAAUUGCAAUUCAUCUCUAGGUAUGUCUUUACAAAAAUUGAAAUACGUCUUUACAAAAAUUGAAGUGAUAAAUUAUGUAACUUUUGAAUGCAUUUACUGCAGUUAUUUUGCAAAAAAAAAUUAUUUUAUAAAAGUUAUUUUCUCAAAUUUUUAUUUUACAAAAUGUUUUAGUUGAAACUAUUUUUUUAUCAAACACUUGUCUGAGAAGUUAUUCUUUCUACAACUAUUUAUUUUUAAAAUUUUAUAUCUAUAGAAAAAAAGAAAAAUCAAUGUUAUAUCACUUUCACCAUUAAAUAUUUCGACAUUAUUCAACCUUUAGUUUUGGAAAACCUUAUCAAAACACUCUGUAAUUAAAAGGAUUAGAGAUAGACUUUGUUUACAGAUGAAAGUUAAUGAAUCAUUGCUAAUUUCUAUAUUUUAUAGUGACAAUUCAAUGAAAUUCCAUUUUUUUCAAUCUUUAAUUCAUAUCAUUUUCAAAAGGCGGUUAUCGUUCAGCAAUCAUCAAACAUCAAAAAUAUUUUUCAUUAAAAAUAACUCUGUAGUUCAUAUGAUAAUUAAAUACAUUCAUGGUCUAACUCUCUUUUCUGUCUUCUAACAUCUUUCAGCAAUUUCAUAACAACGUCAAUUGGAAACUCUGAAAAAGCGCGUUGAUCAAACCAGGAAUGCCUGAGUGAUUCUCAAUAAAGUAGUAAAAAGUAGUAUUAAAAAAUUUGGGACAAUGUUCUAUUUCUCCUACUGGACUAUUUUCAAGUUUUGAUUUAGUUGAAUGAUUGUUUUUUUUAAUAAAUUGUUGGGUUUUUAUAGCAUUUUAAUAUUAAAUUUUCUAUUUUAAUGUUGCAUGUUGAAGUGCAUUGAAAUGCUGCAUACCGUAUCAUCUUUUGAUCUUUAUUUCCCACGUUUCAUUGUGGUAAAAAUGGUCUCUUGAUUACUACUCUUCCAUGUUUAAUUGUGGAAGAAUGCACCUGGCAUUUUUCUUCGGUAACUUUUGUUACAUCUGAGAAAAUCUGAAUGUCUAAGCUCAAUCUAUCAUUUGAGUUUCAUCCACCAUUAAUGAGGUCAAGGGGCUGAACAGAGUAAUGUGCAGGGAAGAAGAAAAGAAACUAUUUCUUUGAAUUUUCUGAUUGAAAACUGUACAAAAUACCUAUGCACCUCACUAUUUAUCGACAAUCUUGUAACAAACUCAACUAUACAGCUCAACACCAGCUUAUUCUAACUAACUAACUCCCACUUGCACUCACUUGCAUAGUAAAAAUAGAAACUAUGAAUGAACAGUAAGAACUAUUUUAUUUCAAUGGAACAGUAAAAAAUUAGUUCCUUAUCUAUCUUAAGUUUGCAAUACUGCCCCUUAAGCUGAAGGGUGCAGGAUAUUAAGCACACCAAACGCAAAUAUUGAGGUUGAUAGAGACUCUUAGUAAGUAAAUAAACCACUUGAUCAUGAGUUUGAACAUAAAGAGUCUCAACAGAACCAGACUUAAUCUUGUCUCUAAUAAAGUGACAAUCAAUUUCUAUAUGUUUAGUUCUCUCAUGAAACACAAGGUUUGCAUCCAAUUGAAUAGCUAAUCUACUGUCACUGAUUACCUUGAUAGGUUGAGUGAGAGGUACAUCCAAGUCAUUGAACAGACCAACCAACCAAGUCACCUCUGCAAUCACUAAAGCCAUGCUUCUGUACUUAGCUUUAGCUGAGAUUCUGGACACUGUAUGUUGCUUCUUGAACUUCCAUGAGACCAAGAAAUCUCCAAAUUUUACUAUAUAGCCAGUAACAUACCUCCUAGUGCUAGGAUAGUCUUCCCAAUCUGAAUCACACCAAUAAAAAAGAGUCAUAGUAGGUUAAGCCUUUAACCAAAUGCCUUGACAAAAGUAUCCUUAAGGUAUAUAACCACUCUAGUAGCAGCCUCCCAAUGAUAUCUUUUGGGAUUUUGCAUGAACUGACAAAGUGUCUGAAUAAUAAAACUAAUAUCAGGUCUGAUAAUAGUAGCAUACAUCAAUUUUCCAACAAACCUCUGAUAAGAGGUAAUAUCGGUCAAAAUUGCAUCUCCAGGACAACAUUUGCAUGAUCAUAUUCCAUUGUAGUCAAUUUGACAUUAUGCUUCAUAGUGUUAAAGUGGGCUUAGAACCACUAAGACAUGUUUCUGAGAUAAGCUCCAAAAUAUAUUUUCACUUAUUCAGUAAAACACCUGUGGUUGAUAUUAGCACUUUAAUACCCAAAAAAAUACUUAAGCUCACCUAAGUUCUUCAAUUUAAAUUGCUUAUGUAGAACCUCCUUAGAAUUAGAUAUCAAUGAGGUAUUGCUACCAAUGAUGAGUAAGUCAUCAACAUAGACUAAAAUUAUCACUAUGUUUUCCUGUUUCUUCUAUGUAAGCAAGGAAUAGUCAUGUACACUCUCAACAAAACUAACAUUUACCAAGGCAUUAGAAAGUUUUAGGUUCCAUUGUCUGGAAGCCUAUUUAAGAAUAUAAGGAUUUCAACAAUCUGCAUACUCUCUUUUAUUGUUUGAAACCUUCUGGCAUCUCCAUUUAAACCUCUUCAUCCAUAUCACCUUGUAAGAAAGCAUUGUAGGCAUCCAUCUGACAUAGAAAUCAACCUUUUGAAGCUACUAAAGCAAUUACACUUCUAACUGUAACCAUCUUAGAUAUAUAAGAAAAGGUAUCAUGAUAAUCUAAACCUUCUUAUUGACUAUAACCUUUUGCUACCAAUCUAUCUUUGAAUAUCUCUACCUCUCUAUUAGCUUGAUACUUGAUCUUAUAAACCCACUUGGAUCUUAAAACAUUCUUUCUGGGUGGUAAAGGCACCACCUCGCAGGUCUUGUUUUAUUCAAGUGCUUGAAUCUCUAGCUUCAUGGCCUCAACUUAUCUUGAAUCUACUGCAACUUGCCUAAAAGUAUGUUGUUAAACCAAGGUGGAAAAUUUGCUUAAGUAGCUAUGAUAUGACUUUGUAGUUUUAUCAUAGAAUAGGUAGUUUGCCAUGGAAUAUCUACAUUUCUUUCCAUCUUUAGAAGUAGCAUAGUCCUUUAGCCAAACAAGUUUCCUGGACAUCAUAGAUGUUCUUCUUGGAGAACAUAUUGUAGAAGAAGAGGACAGUAGAAUAGAAGUGCAAGGGACUUCAACUUGAUCAUCAGAUGCUACAGUUUUUUGUGAGGUAGACUGGACCAUAAAAGGUUGCACAUCUACAUCAGUGCUAGAAAAUUUUAUAUCCUCUGCAAAAAAGUCAUUCUCUAAAGGAUCAUCAAUUUAAAUAGGCACAUUUGUGAGCUCUGUAUUGACAAAAUUCCACUCAGAUUGUGAAAAAUAUUACAAGAACUCAACUAAAACCAAUUGAAUAUAUUCAUGGUGAACCGUGUUGGGUUCAAUAUGUAUGAAAAAGGUGUGAAUGGAAAAUGAAGAGAAAAAUGGUGGAAGAAAGGAGACACCAAUUUAGAAGGUAUACUCCCAAAAUUGGAAAGUUCACUAAUUCUCCCACAUUGGUGGGAGAAGGGAACUAUGGAGUAUUUUUAAUAGAAAGCACUUACUCUACAUGCUAAGUGAAGAAAGAAAUAAGAAAUGCCUCGCGCUAUAAUCGUCGCUCGCUCGGCUUUGAAUUUGGAUUUAAAAAAUGAUCGAUCGAUGAGAUCUAUCUUUCUGGACAAAGUUCAUUUCACGUAAAUUUAAGCAAAAUGAUAAAAAGGAAAACACACCAGUAAUCCUCCAUUUAUACAUGCAUAUAGAUUUCGAAAUAGUAUUUUCUGAAAUGAUACACUACUUCAAAAUGAUGCAAUUGUUCAAUCAAAUGAUAUGUCUGUUCAACGAUCUGAUGUACUAUUUCUUGAACUGGUAUGUCUUUUUGGAGAAGGAAAUAUUCUUUGGGUAAACAGACAUGAAUUUCCAGAAAUAUCACACCAUUUAAGUGAACCAAUGCCACCUUUUCGAAGAGGCAUAUCACAGGCUAUAUAAACCUACUUUCAUUCACAGGUUUUGAGAUGAAUUUUUCUGCAAUAAACUCUCUUCUUGUCUUUACAAAUACUCUGUGUGAUCAAUCAAUCUGUUAAGUGAGUUCUACGAUAUUCCAAUUGUUUGAGGUACCGCUACAGUUGGUAUGUUUGGCCAUUUUAUCCUGGGAGAAAAAUUCUGCAACCUCGGAUACAGUGAGAGGAAUUAUUUCCUUAAGGAAAGUCCAUGAAUUCGGGUGACUUGGCCAUUUCUGUUUUCAUCUUUAUUUCUGAAAAUAAAAUACACUUCUAAGAAAGAUCACUUUGAUCUUGUGUUGAGGGUAUUUACUGCACUUCAUUGUGUUCUUGUUUUUAAACAUAGAACUAACGUUGAAGUUGUUGUUCUACAUAUACAAAUUCUGCGUACCCGUAGAAGGAAAUAACAAUCUUAAGAAAAUAAUUUUCAGAAUCUGUAUAGCUUAUUUUUGGAGAUUAAAGUUUUAAAUUUCUACUCCGCCUGAACUUAACUAGUGAUUUGAAGUCAUAAAAACUUCAUCACAAGUUAAAGAUCAUUCGGUUGACUAUUGGAAGUCAUAAAAACUUCAUUGUCAACUAGAAACAAGAAGAAAAGUUUCAAGUUGCUUAACUUUAUAAGUAGAAUUUUAAAAAUACUAAGUAGUUUUUGUCUUGUGGUAACAAGAGAAAUGACAAGCGAUAGUCAAAUGUAAGAUACAGCAACGUCUUUGGGGGGAACUAAUAUUGCCACAUCAAGUCACACAAAUUCUCCGCCUACAAUGGCACCAGCGAAGAAGCCCAGAAAAUUUAUGGGCAUUAACUUUAAGCGAUGGCAGCAAAAGAUGUUCGUUUACCUCACCACUUUGUGUCUGCUACGGUUCACUAGUGAAGACACUCCUGAGGUGCCCGAGGGAACCUCAGACAAAGAGCGUUUCAUAAUUGUAGAAGCUUGGAAACAUUCAGACUUUCUUUGCAGGAAUUAUAUUCUUAGUAGUCUCCAAGACCACCUCUACAAUAUUUACAGUGGACCUAAGACAUUGAAGGAAUUGUGGGGGGCACUUGAACAAAAAUAUAAAGUAGAGGAUGUGAGAAUUAGGACAUUCGUUGUUGCAUGGUUCCUAGACUUAAAAUGAUAGAUAGCAAAUUGGUUGUCUCUCAAGUGCAGGAGUUGUAAGUCAUCAUACAUAAUCUCCUAGCAAAAGGUAUAUCUUUGAAAAAUACCUUAGUUGAACAAAUUAAAAAUGUUCUUAAUACUCACAUAAAUUGUUUUGUAGGUUUGAAUGUGAAUGAUGCAUUUCAAGUAGCACCGAUAGUUGAGAAGCUACCACCUUUAUGGAAAGGCUUCAAAAACUACAUGAAGAAUAAAUGCAAGGAGAUAACUGUCGAAGAUCUUAUUGUCCGACUACGUAUUGAAGAGGACAAUAAAGCUAUUGAGAGAAGGUCAAAACGAAAUUCUACAAUUAAUUGAGCAUAUAUUGUAGAAGAUGACCAAAAUAAUUCUAAGAAAAGAAAAAAAGUUGGACAAGGAAGCCAUCAACCCAAGAAGAAAUUAAAGGGAAAAUGCUUCAAUUGUGGCAAGGUUGGCCACAAAUCCAUGGAUUGUCGAGCCCCGUAGAAAGGAAAGAAGAAGGAUCAAGCAAAUAUGAUUAAUCCAAUAAAUAAUGCGAUGAUCUGUGUGCUAUGUUCUCAGAAUGCAACUUGGUGGGGAAUCCUCGCGAAUGGUGGAUGGAUUAUUGUGCCACCCGCCAUGUAUGUGCCAAUAAAGAGUUGUUUUCGUCAUUCGCUCUGGCUUAAGUAGAAGAAAUAAUCUACAUGGCUAACUCUGCUACUGCUAUGAUAGAAGGAAUAGGAAAAAUAUGCUUGAAAAUGACUUCAGGAAAGGUUUUGACACUUAACAAUGUCUUGUAUGUUUUGGAGUUAUGUAGGAAUUUAAUUUCUGUUUCACUUCUAGAUAAGAACGGAUUCAAAUGUGUAACCAUUUUUGGAAAAAUUGUAAUUAGCAAAGGAGAAAUGUAUGUAGGAAAAGGCUAUCUGACGGAAGGCCUUUAUAAGAUGAAUGUAAUGACUGUUUAAAUAAAUAAAAGUUUAAAUUCUUUUUAUUUGCUUGAGUCUUAUGAUUUAUGGCAUGAACUUUUAGGCCAUGUUAAUUACAAAACGUUAUGAAAACUGAUUAACUUAGAAGUUUUGCCAAACUUUGAGUGAAAUAAAUCAAAGAGUCAAACGUGUGUGGAAUCGAAGUAUGUAAGGCAUCCUUAUAAGUCUGUUGAAAGGAAUUCCAAUCCCUUAGACUUAAUACAUACUGACAUUUGUGAUAUGAAGUCAACACCAUCACGUGGUGGGAAAAAGUAUUUCAUAACUUUUAUUGACGAUUGCACGAGAUAUUUUUAUGUCUAUCUUCUAAAUAGUAAGGAUGAAGCAGUAGAUGUGUUUAGACAAUAUAAAAUUAAAGUUGAAAAUCAGUUAGAUAAAAAGAUAUAAAUGAUAAGAAGUGAUAGGGGUGGAGAAUAUGAAUCUCCCUUCACCGAAAUAUGUGUAGAAAAUGGAAUCAUCUAUCAAACUACGGCCCCGUAUUCACCUCAAUCUAAUGAAAUUGCGGAAACGAAAAACCAAACUUUGGAGCAAAUGAUGAAUGCCUUACUUAUAAGUUCUGGUUUACCGCAAAAUCUUAUGGGGAGAGGCUAUCCUUACAGCCAAUUGUAUACUCAACAGAGUUCCCCAUAGUAAAACACAAUCCAUUCCUUAUGAAAAAUGGAAAGGAAGGAAACCCAACUUGAAAUAUUUCAAAGUGUGGGGAUGUCUAGCAAAGAUCAAAAUUCCUAUGCCUAAAAAGGUUAAGAUAGGACCUAAGAUGGUGGACUGCGUGUUCAUAGGAUAUGCUAAAAGUAGUAAAGCAUGUCAAUUUUUGGUUCAUAAAUACGGAUAUUAAUGAAAAAAUGGUAAUUGAAUCAGACAAUGUUGAAUUCUUUGAAAACAUUUACCCGUAUAAAAUUAGACAUGAACAGUUUAGUGGAGGAUCUAAAUGACCUCGAGAUUAACCAAGUGAGAUUCUACAUAAUGAAGAAAAUCCAAGACAUAGUAUACGUCAAAGAACGUCUACUUCAUUUGGAUCGGAUUUUGUAACAUUUCUCUCCUCAAACAUUUAGGGAAGUGAUGGCAUCUUCGGACUCAUCCUUUUGGAAAGAGGCAGUCAAUAGUGAGAUUGAUUAAAUUUUAAGCAACCAUACAUGGGAAUUGGUUGAUCUUCCUUCCGAAAAUAAACCUUUAAGUUCUAAAUGGGUUUUCAAAAGGAAGAUGAAAUGGAUGGUACUAUUGACAAAUACAAGGAAAGACUUGUAGUAAAAGACUUUAAACAAAAAGAAGGCCUUGAUUACUUCGAUGCAUACUCGCUAAUAACAAGGAUAACAUCGAUUCAAAUAUUAAUUGCCUUGGAUAUGGUAUAUGGUCUUGAAAUCACUUAAAUGGAUGUGAAAACCACUUUCCUAAAUGGAGAAUAGGAGAAAGAAAUUUACAUGGAACAACCUGAAGGAUUUGUGGUUCCAGGGAAGGAGAAUAAGGUGUGUAGACUUAUUAAUUCAUUGUAUGGACUAAAGCAAGCACCUAAACAAUGGCAUGCGAAGUUUGACCAAACCAUGUUGGCAAAUAGGUUCAAGAUAAAUGAAUGUGAUAAAUGUGUUUACAUUAAAGACACUCUAAAUCACCAAGUCAUUGUUUGUUUAUAUGUGGAUGAUAUGUUGAUAAUAGCAGAGACAUUUCUGACAUAAAUGCAACAAAACAAAUGUUCGAGAGUAAGUUUGAUAUGAAAGACCUUGGAGUUGCAGAUGUGAUCUUAGGUAUAAGAAUCCAUCGAACUCUACAAGGGUAGCAUUGUCACAGUCUCAUUAUAUUGAAAAAGCACUUGACAAGUUCAAGUAUAUGGAAUUCGGUAUUGCCAAGACUCCAUUGGAUGUGAACUUUGCACUUCGAAAGAAUGAAGCUAAAAGUGACUCACAAUUGGAGUAUGCAAGAGUAGUGGGAUGUUUAAUCUAUAUAAUGAACUGUACACGACCAGAUAUAGCAUGUGUUAUUAGUAAAUUGAGUCGGUACAUGAGUAAUCCUAACAAAAUUCAUUGAAUGGCAAUGAAAAGAGUUUUGGGGUAUCUUAAAUACACUCAAGAUUAUGCUUUGCAUUAUAAUAAAUAUCCUGCGGUACUUGAAGGAUAUAAUGAUGCAAAUUGGAUCACCGAAUCGAACGAAGUAAAAUCCACAAGUGGAUAUGUAUUUACUAUUAGUGGAGGAGCAGUCUCUCGGAAAUCAUCCAAACAGACUUGUAUUGCUCGCUCUACAAUAAAAUCUGAAUUUAUCACAUUGGAUAAAGCUGGUGAAGAAGAAGAAUGGCUCCAAAAUUUCUUAGAAGAUAUUCCUUAUUAGCCUAAGCCAGUGGCACCAGUAUGUACACAUUGUGAUAGCCAAGCAGCAAUAGGUAGGGCAGGGAGCUUGGUGUACAAUGGUAAAUCUCAUCACAUACGAUGGAGACAUAAUACCGUUAGGGAAAUUAUCUCUAGUGGAAUUAUCACUGUUGACUAUGUAAAGUCAAAGGAUAAUAUGUCAGAUCCACUUAUAAAAGGCCUAUCUAGAGAAGGAGUGGAAAGGACAUCCAAGGAAAUGGGUUUAAGGCCUAGGACAAGUCAGCAUAGCGGUAACUCUACCUAGCAUACUGGAGAUCCCAAGAGCUAGGUUUAAGGAGAUCAAACAAAUUUGUGUCUGAAAGGUUCAACAUUGUCAAUUACCCAACCCAUUCUUAUGAUGUUAAAAAUGUAUAGUAAUCAAGGAUAAGACUUAAAGUGAAAAGUCUUUUAAUGAUUAUCUAAAUUUGACCAAAUAGUUUCAUAUAUAGGAUUGAACGAUUAGAAAUCACCUAUGUGAGGGCGAAGUGGAAGCCGCUUCAAGGAGAAUGUUAGUAAAGGCCUAUUCUCUAAGCUCUCAUGAAAUCGGGAUGUGUUCAUGGCUGAAAAGAACAAAACCAUGAGAACCAUAAAACGGUAAAAGCCUGGUUGUGUGACAUGUGUUGUCUAGGUAUACAUUAAAGCCCGAUGGUUCAAAGAUAUCAAAUAUACCGAUUUACCGAGUGCAUCCCAUGCAUGUUCACUACGAAAAGUUCAAAGGAAAACCUACUUAUCUAAAUGCAAUCAGUCUUUGCUUGAUGAUCACAUACUUGUCCGUAAAACUUUUAUGAAAAAUAGUCAUUCUCCAUUCAUGUGGGGGAUUGUUGGGUUCAAUAUAUAUGAAAAAGGUGUGAAAGGAAAAUGGAGGAAAAAAUAGGGGAAGAAAGGAGAUACCAAUUUAGAAGGUGUACUCCCAAAAUUGGAAAGUUCACUAAUUCUCCCACAUUGGUGGGAGAAGGGAACUAUGGAGUGUUUUUAAUAGAAAGCACUUACUCCACAUGCUAACUGAGGCAAGAAAUAAUAAAUGUCUCGCACUGUUGUCGUCGCUCGGUCGGCUUCGGCUUCGGCUUUGGAAAAUGAUUAAUCGAUGAGAUCUAUCUUUUUGGACAAAGUUUAUUUCACAUAAAUUUAAUCUGAAUGCCAAAAAGGAAAACGCACCAGUAAUCCUCCAUUUAUACAUGCAUACAGAUUUCAAAACUGUAUUUUCUGAAAUGAUACACUGCUUCGAACUGAUGCUGAUAUAUUUGUUCAACCAUCUGAUGUACUGUUUCGUGAACUGGCAUAUCUGUUUGGAGAAGGACACAUUCUUUGGGUAAAUAGACAUGAAUUUCCAGAAAUAUCACACCAUUUAAGUGAACCAAUGCCACCUUUUCAAAGAGGCAUCUCACAGGCUAAAUAAACCUGCUUUUAUUCACAGGUUUUGAUAUGAAUUUUUCUACAAUAAACUCUCUUCUUGUCUUUACAAAUACUCUGUGUGAUUAAUCAAUCCAUUAUGUGAGUUUGACGAUAUUCCAAUUGUUUGAGGUACGGCUACAGUUGGUUUGUUUGGUCAUUUUAUCCUGGGAGAAAAAUUCCGCAACCUCGGGUACAGUGAGGGAAAUUAUUUCCUUAAGGAAAGUCCUUGAAUUCAGGCGACUUGGCCAUUUCUGUUUUCAUCUUUAUUUCUGAAAAUUAAAUAAACUUCUAAGAAAUAUCACUUUGAUCUUGUGUUAAGGGUAUUUACUGCACUUCAUUGUGUUCUUGUUUUUAAACAUAGAACAAAUGUUGAAGUUGUUGUUCUACAUAAACAGAUUCUGCGUACCCGUAGAAGGAAAUAACAAACUUACACUCAAAUUUACAAUGGAGAAAAGAGAAUAAUUUGCUAUCGAGGAAGGGUUGCAUCAAGCAAUUGUGAUUAAACUUUCCUCAGGUACACCAGAUUUGAAGGACCUAAGGACAGUGUUGCCGAAACAUCUCAGAAUCAAGGGUCAUUGUCUAAUUGGUUCAUUGGCACCACGACAAAUCUUGAUAAGGUGCAUGUGAUCAAUAUGAUGAUUAUGUGACUGCUUUUGCAAGAUCAGUGAAAUAUUUUUCUUACAAUGGAAAGGAGCACUAAUAUAGGAUAUUCUCGUGGUUUAUCAGUUUUAACUACAAAGAAGAAACGACUAAGAUAGCAGAGUGGAUUUCUUCACUGAACUUGGAUUGGAUCUAUUCGUUAAGAGGUUAUUAUUGUCUAUAGCAGAAGCCAUCGAAAAACCAAUAGCUAUAGAUAAAGCAACACAAGUUAAGUCCAGACCGAGCACCGCUAGGAUUAAGGUGAUCCCAGACCUACUAGAAAAACUUUUAAAGAGAAUAAUAUUUCGAUAUUUCGACAAUAAAAAUGGUAAGUUUGUAGAGAGUUUCCAAAAAAUUAUUUAUGAUAAUUGUAAUACCCCGGGAAAUUUUUUGUUGAAAUUUUGUGCGUAAACGUGUUGGGUUCUACCUUCUAGAAUGAAUUAUAAAUUUUCCCUAUGGAAUGUCUUAGAUUAUGACCCACCAUUGCGUAGAGUAUCGAAUAAGUUCUCCAACAAUAUGUGGAUCAUCCAAAACAGACACCCGAGAGACGAGUUAUGAACAUUCCGAUCAAACCAUGAAUAGUAGUGAACAGUAAAACGUCCAGGAAAAAGCACUGAGGCCUGACGUAUUUUUGCUCCAACUUUAAACGAUCAUAACUUCUUUUAUAUAAUAAUCUGGGUGAUCUACUAUAUAUCAACGGAAAGAUCUAGGAGUCCUCUUUCUAAUGAAAUUGGUUUCAUCCAAUUUGUCUAUCGGAGUAAAAAGUUAUGGUCCAUCUACUUCAGCCUAUCAAAAGCAAAUUUUCGGCUCAGCUUCAAAUGAUCAUAACUCCUCGUACACAAUGAUCUGGGUGAGAUACUAUAUAUCAACAGAAAGAUAUGAGAGUCCUAUUUCUAAUGAAAUUAGUUUCAUCCAAUUUGAAUAUCAGAGUAAAACGUUAUGGUUGAUCUACUUCUGACUAUCAAAAUAGUCCAUCAAAGGACAGAUUCGAGAAUUAUUUGGUUUUUAGGGGCAUUUUGGUCAUUCCUCCUCACCCAAAAUCCGUCCAAACCCUAUAUUAAAGCCUAUUAGAAACAUUAUAUGUUAUAUUUCAUCAAAUUCCCUCAAAAAGAAAGCCCUAAGCUCUUACAUCCAACUUCAAGAACCUCCAAAGUUCACCAUUAAUUCUGCAAAUUUAUUCAAGAUUCCAAGUUCCUAGUUCAAGAACCUCCAAAGUUCACCAUUAAUUCUGCAAAUUUAUUCAAGAUUCCAAGUUCCUAGUUCAAGAACUUCAAGAACCUCCAAAGUUCACCAUUAAUUCUGCAAAUUUAUUCAAGAUUCCAAGUCCCUAGUUCAAGAACUUCAAGAACCUCCAAAGUUCACCAUUAAUUCUGCAAAUUUAUUCAAGAUUCCAAGUUCCUAGUUCAAGAACUUCAAGAACCUCCAAAGUUCACCAUUAAUUCUGCAAAUUUAUUCAAGAUUCCAAGUCCCUAGUUCAAGAACUUCAAGAACCUCCAAAGUUCACCAUUAAUUCUGCAAAUUUAUUCAAGAUUCCAAGUUCCUAGUUCAAGAACUUCAAGAACCUCCAAAGUUCACCAUUAAUUCUGCAAAUUUAUUCAAGAUUCCAAGUUCCUAGUUCAAGAACUUCAAGAACCUCCAAAGUUCACCAUUAAUUCUGCAAAUUUAUUCAAGAUUCCAAGUUCCUAGUUCAAGAACUUCAAGAACCUCCAAAGUUCACCAUUAAUUCUGCAAAUUUAUUCAAGAUUCCAAGUUCCUAGUUCAAGAACUUCAAGAACCUCCAAAGUUCACCAUUAAUUCUGCAAAUUUAUUCAAGAUUCCAAGUUCCUAGUUCAAGAACUUCAAGAACCUCCAAAGUUCACCAUUAAUUCUGCAAAUUUAUUCAAGAUUCCAAGUUCCUAGUUCAAGAACUUCAAGAACCUCCAAAGUUCACCAUUAAUUCUGCAAAUUUAUUCAAGAUUCCAAGUUCCUAGUUCAAGAACUUCAAGAACCUCCAAAGUUCACCAUUAAUUCUGCAAAUUUAUUCAAGAUUCCAAGUUCCUAGUUCAAGAACUUCAAGAACCUCCAAAGUUCACCAUUAAUUCUGCAAAUUUAUUCAAGAUUCCAAGUUCCUAGUUCAAGAACUUCAAGAACCUCCAAAGUUCACCAUUAAUUCUGCAAAUUUAUUCAAGAUUCCAAGUUCCUAGUUCAAGAACUUCAAGAACCUCCAAAGUUCACCAUUAAUUCUGCAAAUUUAUUCAAGAUUCCAAGUUCCUAGUUCAAGAACUUCAAGAACCUCCAAAGUUCACCAUUAAUUCUGCAAAUUUAUUCAAGAUUCCAAGUUCCUAGUUCAAGAACUUCAAGAACCUCCAAAGUUCACCAUUAAUUCUGCAAAUUUAUUCAAGAUUCCAAGUUCCUAGUUCAAGAACUUCAAGAACCUCCAAAGUUCACCAUUAAUUCUGCAAAUUUAUUCAAGAUUCCAAGUUCCUAGUUCAAGAACUUCAAGAACCUCCAAAGUUCACCAUUAAUUCUGCAAAUUUAUUCAAGAUUCCAAGUUCCUAGUUCAAGAACUUCAAGAACCUCCAAAGUUCACCAUUAAUUCUGCAAAUUUAUUCAAGAUUCCAAGUUCCUAGUGUGGAGUGGCAUGAAGAAAGAUAUAGCAGCGUUUGUAGCUAAGUGUGCAACAUGCCAACAGGUUAAGGUUGAACACCAAAGACCUGGUGGUAUGAUGCAAGAGUCUAGUAUUCCCACCUGGAAGUAGGAAGACAUAAAUAUGGACUUCGUGAUUGGUUUACCUCCUUUCCGACGCCAUCAUGAUUCCAUUUGGGUUGUGGUUGAUAGGUUGACUAAGUCUGCUUAUUUCUUGCCUGUUUAUACUUUAUAUACUUCUGAGGAUUACACUAGAUUGUAUAUCUAAUAGCUAGUCAGACUACAUGGAGUUCCCUUGUCUAUCAUUUUGGAUAGGGGUACUCAGUUCACUUCGCAAUUUUGGAAAGCUUUUUAGAAGGGUCUUGGUCCCAAGUGCUUUUGAGUUCUGCUUUUCAUCUGCAGACCGAUGGUCAGGCUGAACGGACCAUCCAGACCUUAGAGGAUAUGUUGAGAGCUUGUGCACUUGACUUUAAGGAAAGUUGAGAUGAUCACUUGCCGUUGAUAGAAUUUGCUUAUAACAACAGCUUUCACUCUAGUAUUGGUAUGACUCCAUUUGAAGCCUUGUAUGGGAGGAAGUGUAGAUCACCCAUAAGUUGGUUCGAGGGGGGUAAAGCAGCUGUGAGUGUUCUUGAUUCGGUAUUCGAGGCUAUGGAAAAAGUUAAGUUGAUUAGGGAAAGGUUGAAAACUGUACAGAGUCAUCAGAAGUCAUAUGCGGAUGUUAGAAGGAGAGACCUUGAGUUUGAAGUUGGUGACCUAGUGUAUCUGAAAAUUUCACCCAUGAGGGAGUGAAGAGAUUCGGAAAGAAGGGGAAGCUUAGUCCCCGUUAUGUUAGUCCUUACAAAAUUCUUAGCCGUGUUGGUAAGGUAGCUUAUGAGGUCGAGUUUUCUUCCGAGUUGUCCUCUGUUCAUCCAAUAUUCCAUGUCUCCAUGCUUAGAAAGCAUAUUAGUGAUGCUGUGGUAUUGGAUUCCUCUGUGAGUGCUGACAUUCAACAAAAUUUUUCUUUUGAUGAUAUUCCUAUUAAGAUUCUUGAUUUCAGUGUCUGAAGACUAAGGAACAAAGAAGUUCCCUUGGUCAAGGUGUUGUGGCGAAACCAAUCUGUUGAGGGUGCAACUUGGGAAGUUGAGGCGGAUAUGCGAUCCAAGUACCCGCACCUAUUUUCCGCGAACUUCGAUCAAGCAGAAGGUACCAUUCUUUCCUAAAUCAUUCACUUUUGAUAAAAGUUGCAGCAGUUCAACUGUCAUUUAUUAUGUGUUCAGCUGUAGUUUCUUGAAUUUAUGCAUUCUAUGUUGCAUUCGGAGUGGAAACAAUGUGGUGAUGAUUCUAACGAAUGGUUUCAGCUGUAUAAUCUAUUCCCUAUCUAAUCUUGGCAUGUCUAGCGUCAUUCAGGGAUGAAUUUUUCCAAGGGGGGGAUGAUAUAAUACCCCGGGAAAUUUUUUGUUGAAAUUUUGAGCGUAAACGUGUUGGGUUCUAUCUUCUAGAAUGAAUUAUAAAUUUUCCAUGUGGAAUGUCUUAUAUUAUGACCCACCAUUGCAUAGAUUAUUGAAUAAUCUUUCCAACGAUAUAUGGAUCAUCCAAAAUGGACACCCGAGCGACUAGUUAUGAACAUUUCGAUCGAACCGUGAAUAGUAAAACGUGCAGGAAAAAGUCCUGAGGCCUGAUGUAUUUUUGCUCAAACUUUAAAUGAUCAUAAAUUCUUGUACAUAAUGAUCUGGAUGAUCUAUUAUAUAUCAACGGAAAUAUCUGCGAGUCCUCUUUCCAAUGAAAUUAUUUUCAUCCAAUUUGUCUAUCGGAGCAAAAAGUUAUGGUCGAUCUACUUCAGCCUAUCAAAAGCAAAUUUUUGGGUCAAUUUCAAACGAUUAUAACUCCUCGUACACAAUGACCUGGGUGAGAUACUAUAUAUCAACGGAAAGAUAUGAGAGUCCUCUUUCUAAUGAAAUUGGUUUCAUCCAAUUUGAAUAACGGAGUAAAAUAUUAUGGUUGAUCUACGUCAGACUAUCAAAAUAGUCCACCAAAGGACAAAUUUGAGAAUUAUUUGUUUUUUAGGGGCGUUUUGGGGAUUCAUGACUCAAAUAUCAAAAUCAUGACUCAAUUUUGAUCCAGCAGCAACAAAUUAUUGCAAACAAUAAUGCAAUAGGUGAUGUGGAUGCACGUGAGUUGAUGGUCUAAUCUGGAGAGAAUUCUAAGGUCUUAGUCCCUUCAUCUCAAACAAAAUAUAGACUACAAGUGAGGAACUUAAUUGUUGAACAAUACACUGACGAACAAGAGCAUAAUACAUCUUUAAAACCCAUAAAUUUGAUGACCCGUGAGAUGUCACAAUCAGAUAUGCACCAUAUUCACGAUGUUGUGGCGAGCAGUGAAAAUUCUGGACAGCAUUCGUUCUUGAAUGUCUAAGAAAUCAUUGGAUAAAAAUUUAGAAGUUGAUAAUUUGCGGUUCCCUUCUAAUUCUACUUAUUUUGAACAUUCCAUCAGUGAAAAGCAUGUUACUGGUGAUGAAUCAGCAAACAAAAUCAAGGGUGUGGAUAGCAGUAUUGGCAAGGACUGGACCGUGGUAGCACAUAAAAAAUAUUUAGGCAUUCGAAUUGGCUCUCCUGCUUGUGUUAAUGUGCAGCUAGCAAGGAAUAUUCCAUAUGCUCGAGCUUCUUCCCCAAAGGAAAACUUCUUUUCCAAAUACUUUUGAUUUUCUCUCAGAUAAAGUUGGUCAUGAAAUUAAUCCAAAAAACCUAUAGUGCUUAAAUUAAAUCCAGAUGUGGCUAAAGUAUUAAAGAAAAAUCAAUAACCUGAUUCUGUUAGGAGCAACAAAGUGAUACUAGCUCUCAUUGUUAGGCAGAUUUUGUAAAUAAAGAAGACGAACAUCAGGCGGAUAAUAUUGGCAGCAAACUUAAUGCUCAAGCUUCAAUUUUUGUCCCAAAUAAAUUUGCAAUUCGUAAUUAUUCAUCAAGCUACAAGCAAACUUCAGGUGGUGUAAUAAAUUUCCUUUAUCCAAUUAAUACUGCCAAAGAAUUGGUGGAAAGUGAUACAUUGUCUUCAAAGAGUUUUGAAAACCUCCAAGACAACUACAUAUUUGAGGAAAGUGAUGAAGACAUGCUGGAAAUAUGCUUUGCAAGUGCAGCUCGGGAUGUCGAUAUCUCUCCUGGGCAAGAAAAUAGAAAAAUAAAAAAAUAUCACGUUAAAAAUCAAAGUUGGGAUGGUAAGGUGACAGAGGAGCUUGUUCCAAGACACCACCGACAAAGCAAAAUCAUGCGACAGUGUCAACAACUUUAAUAAGACCCAACAGAUUCAAGAAGUGAUGAAUUUUCUAGUGAUUUUGAACAAGUUCGAAGAAGAAGGUAAGUAUCGAAUAUAUCAAUGUGCUUUAGAUGGGCCAGCAUUUCUUUUUAGUUCAUACAUUUGUAAAAAAGGAGUUUGUGAUUAAUAACUCAAACUUCACAUUCAUCUUUAUAUUUUUUCAUUACUUAAGCAUCCUUCUUUGGAAUAUCAUCAUAGAGUGUAACAUAAACUCUAUAAUGAUCCUAAAAUAUCUAGUUCUCUCUAGUUCUUAUUUUUACACGCUUGUUGAUUAGUUGAGGGUUUGUUACCUCAUUAAGAAUGGUAAGGUAAGGUCUAACCCUCCUUGCCUAUAUUUUUCUCUUUUGAGGUUUAAUUUUUUUUUAAAAAAAAAGAGGGUGGUUGAUAUCUUUUAGUAACCAAUGUCAUAUUUUAAGUUUUUUUUUUUACAAAAAUAAAAAAAUUAUUUAUUCAUAUUUUAAAAAUUGCUAUGACCUCCAAUCUAAAAAGUAUUGUUAUGACUUACAAUAAACAACCUAAGGUUGUAUAUUUUAUUUUUUUUUCCUUUUUUUAAAUUUGUGGAGCAAUUAAUAUAAAAUCUAGAACUAAUAUUUAAUAAUGAAUAGAUCAUGUUCGUCCACCGUCUAUUUGAUAGACGUACCAGAUUAAGUCUCAAUCUCUAUAAAUUAAUCCUCCUUAUGCUCAUUAGGGUUACCGCAUAUUAUCAAUACAAUUUCAUCGCAGACAGCUCUGAUAGCGAUAAUACAGUGGCAACUACUUAUUAUGGAAUGAUAGAUGAAGUUCGCGUGAUGCUAGUUAGUCAGAUCAAUAAUAUUGUUAUCAAGAUUGUUGAUUUGCUAGAGUGUAAGGACGAUAAAGGUAACAUCUCUAAAAGUUUAUAUUGAACUUAUAAUUUUUGAUUAUUUGAUAUAAAUAAAUUAUAUGUGCUUUUCUUUUUAAAAGAGAUUUAAUUGAUAUGUUGAUAAUUUUCUCAUUUGCGAUUUUAACAUCGAUCGCUUUUUUUUAAAAAAUUAUCUUAUAAAUUUUGAAUUUUUCUUUUCCUAGUUGUGACAACAUCAUUUCUAUGUUUGUUUAUGUUGUUUUACUAGUUAAAAUGAAUUUUAUGUGUUUAUAAGGAAUUAAAUUAGAUUCUUUAUGAGCAUGUCACUUACUCCAUUACCUUUCCCUAUGACUUUUCAGAGGAGGACGAUAGUUUUACUUAAUAUUUGUAUCCUUUAAAAUUUAUCAAAUCUCCUUGAAGGGACACCAUUUUAUUAAUUAUUUAAUGACCUUAAAAUUGUUUUAGGCUUGAUCUUUUUGAAGGAAAAGGGAAGAAAAAAUAUUUUUUGUCAAUAGGUCAAAGUGAUAUAGAAUCAGAGGAGAAAAGAAAUUAAAUAUCUUAAGAAUAAUUUUUGAAGGUGCAGAUCUUUUGACUUUUGCAGUCUAUCUAUCAUUUUAAAACGAUAAUUGGAUGGUAGAGGCGACACAAGAUUAGGAAAUAGAGAGGGUAGAGAAAGACCAAGAAAAACAUCGAUUUGAUUAUUAUUACUAUUGAUUGUGAGAUAAUUUUCUUUUUUAUCUUAUAUUAGAUGUAGAAAAAAAAAAGCAAGAAAAUAUGAUUUUCAUGAAAAAUUAUUUUCUUUUUAAUUGAAACUCCCCUCUUAAUUUUAAGGAGUUUUUUCUUCCACUCUAAUUUAACAUAUUAUUUUAUCGUUUUGACAUCUCACGCAUCUUUACUUCUAUAAUGUUUUCAUUUUAUUCAUUUUCUUCCUUAUAUAUUAAAAUUUCAAUAAACUCUAAUAUUUUCACUAAUUUUUAUUUAACAUUUUACCUUUAGUAAAAAUAAGUAUAUCCAAUUUUACUCAAAUAUGCACUAUUGGAUUGUCUAGAAUGAGUAGAUAAGUUGGUCCUUUGAUGAAGAUAAGUAAUACAACCACUAAAGAAUGUGGUGCAGCGGAUGGAGCUACUCCUUUCUUAACUAGAGGUCUCAUAUUUGAUUCUUGGAUAUGAAAAAAUUCUUGAUAGGGGGUGCCUCCUCCGAAUGGACCUCACGCACACGAAUUCAGAUUAAUCAGGUUCCAAUAUAGAUGUCAAACACUAGAUAGGAAAUAAAAAGAAAAAAAGAAAAGUAAUACACAUACACAAUAAAGGAAGCGAUAUUGUUAGUUUUGUUUAAUUUUAAUUUUAAUUUUGAAUAUUUUGAUUUUAUUUUUUAAUCAUUUUAAUCAAUACAAUUCUAAUUAUUUUUACUUUUCCAUUUAAAAAUAAUAACAAUAAUAAUUCAAAAUACAUAUUCAUGUUUAAGUUUAUUUAAAUAAUCAAAUAUUGUGAUAGUGUGAUUAUGAUAGGAUAUUUUAAUUUGAAUUCACUUUGUUGAUAUCACAAAGAUGAACUGGUCUUUUUUCUCAAAUGUUUUGUUUUAAAUAAUUUUCAAACUUGAAAUUGUAUGGUACUUAUGUGUGUCAUUACUACGCUUUUCCUAUUCUAUAUAAUAGAUUCAACUAUUCAUUCUAAAUUAUUAUACGUUAAUCAAUUUUUUUGUGUAAAUAUGUAUAAAAUUGUACAUAUUGAUUAUAAUUUAAGUUUAUACAUGUGCAAUUUCAUAAACUAAAGAGUAGCAAUAAACCCUUAAAAUUAAUAUCGAAAUUGUAUAUGAAAGAUAAAUCUUCAUAGUAAUUUUGCUUAUAAUUUAUUUUACUGACUUUCAUUUUUUUUGGUAAACAUUUUACUGACUUUCAAAAUGUAUUAAUACAGUUAUCAUGGUUGAUACGUCUUCGACAUCAAUCUCAAUUCUUUCCGAAGGAACUACGAAAAUUGAUAUGAUAAUAAUAAAUAUCCACUAGCCGAACCUUGAUUUUUUAAAACUUUUGGCUUGAGUUGUGGCUUUGGAUAUAAUUCCUUGAGUAAUUUUUCAUACUCUUUUAGUUAUGAUAUCUAUUGUGGAUAAAAUCAAUUAUUUUUAUAAAUACACGAUAAAAAAAUAUUAUAAAAUUCACCAUUAUAUAUAGUUAAAUAGUUUGAAGAUAAAAGAAUUUAACAUAAUCCAUCGUUAAAUAAAAUUAGUAAUGAAUUUUUUAUUGUUUUGCGACAUAAACUAUCCAUCGCUAACUCCUAUUUUUAGUAUGUUUUGUAAUGUUAUUUUUAUAAUUAAACAAAUUUUAUAAAUAUGUGUGAAGUUAACUAGUCAUAUAAUAUAUGAUAUAAUUCAAUUUUAAUUGAUAUCUUCUUAAAAUAAAUGCACAGUUGUAUGUGAUGAACACAAUGAGCUCUUAGAAAACCAAGCUAUGAAAGAUGGAGGUCAUCUCUACCUCAAAAAUAACAAGGAUGUUAAGCAAAAGGACAACAUAAAGUGGACUGGGGAUCUUCAUGCCAAAUUCAUAAAAAGUUUACAACAACUGGGUAAAGAAAGUAAGUUUAUUUUACUAUUAAUUAUUUUUUUUUCAAUUUAUUUCUAAAGAGCGACAUGAAUAGCUAAAAUUUAUACGUAUGUCUAAUAUCAGCUUGUAUUUACAUGUACCUUGGCUUGAUUUGAAAAUAUUAUAGUUAUUAAAUUUUAUUGCAUACUUGUGGACCAUGUAGAAUGUUACCCAAAAGACAUUCUGGAAAUGAUGAAUGUGUCUGAUCUUACAAGGAUGCAAAUUGCAAAUCAUUUCAAGGUAAAUCUUUAAAAAAAAUUGAAGUGAUAAAUUAUGUAACUUUUGAAUGCAUUUACUGCAGUUUUUCUGCAAAAAGAAAUUAUUUUAUAAAAUUUAUUUUCUCAAAUUUUUAUUUUACAAAAUGUUUUGGUUGAAACUAUUUUUUAUCAAACACUUGUCUGAGAAGUUAUUAUUUCUACAACUAUUUAGUUUUAAUAUUUUAUAUCUAUAGCGAAAAAAGAAAAACUAAUGUUACAUCACUUUCACCAAAAAACAUUUCUACAUAUCACUUUCACCAAUAAAUAUUUCGACAUUAUUCGACCUUUAGUUUUGGAAAGCCUUAUCAAAACACUCAGUAAUUAAAAGGAUUAGAGAUGGACUUUGUUUAAUGAUAAAAGUUAAUUAAUAAUUGCUAAUUUCUAUAUUUUUGUAGUGAAAAUUCAAUGAAAUAAUAUUAUUUUCAAUCUUUAAUUCAUAUUGUUUCAAAAGACUGUUAUCGUUCGGCAAUCAUCAAACAUCAAAAAUAUCUUUCAUUAAAAAUAACUUUGUAGUUCAUAUGAUAAUUAAAUAUAUUUAUGGACUAAUUAUCUUAUUUUUCAUCUAACAUCUCUCAAAAAUUUUGCAGCAACGUCAAUUAAAAAGCUCUGUUGAUCAGCCCAGAAAUCAUGAGUGAUUCUCAAUAAAGACGUAGUAUUGGAAAAAUGGGGACAAUGUACUAUUUCUCCUACUUAACUACUUACAAGUUUUAAUUUAGUUGAAUGGUUUUUUUGUUUUUAAUAAAUUGUUGGGUUUUUAAAGCAUUUUAAUAUUAAAUUUGCAAUUGAAAUGUUGCAUGUUGACGUGCAUUGAAGUGCUGCAUACUGAAGUAUAUUUUGAUCUUUAUCUUCCAUGUUUAAUUGUGGAAGAAUGCAUGUGGCAUUUUUCUUUGGUAACUUUUGUUACAUCUCACUAAUUAUUCACUCAUUGUUCUAUCUCUUUAUGUUUUAUAACUCAGGUAACUUAAAAGCAUUCAUCUACCCACAUUCCUCUUAUUCAUUAUUUCGCCUAUGAUAUAGAAAAAGCAAAAAAGAAAGAUAUAGUAUUUAUAUUUUCAGUUUAGUAGAUAGCUGCACCCACUACACCACUGAUCAUACCUUGCAAGAAAUCAAAAUAUUCCAAAGUAUCAGGUACAAUAUAGGAAACAUAAAGAGGCCAAAGAAUCCUUGACCUUCUUCUUUUGGAAAAAUUAGAAUGAGAUGCAAAGUGUCAGCACUAUAUUGAUUCUACAACCAUCAUAGGCUUAAUUUGUCGUCUUCAUCAAUAUCCUUUAUUCUCCAGCUUGCUGUACCCCACUGUAUAAGUCAUUCAUCUUCCUGAUGGUCCACAAAUUUAGCAUAGUAUAGUCCAAAAGUAAUACUAAUUGGAUAAGGGUGAAACUUAAAAGAGUAUGAAUGUUAUGUUUUGGAUGAGGAUGGUACUGAAAAAAAGAUUGUCCUGCUAUUAGUUAUUACUAUAGUAUUUUUGUGCCACGGUUGAUAUGCUUAAUCCACCCAAAAUUGCUCGCGCUUUGAAGCAACGGUAAAAUUGUACUCCUAUAACCUAUGAAAAAAAGAUUGUCUCUGCUAUUAGUUAUUACUAUAGUAUUUUUGUGCCGCGGUUGAUAUGCUUAAAUCACCCAAAAUUGCUCGCGCUUUGAAGCAACGGUAAAAUUGUACUCCUAUAACCUAUAGAUCACGAAUUUAACCAUCAUUCUCUUGAGGUAUGACCCUUCUCUUGACUCGGCUAAAUGCAGUAUGCUUCAUCCACCGGACAAGCCCUUUUUUGGUUCCCGUAGUUCUACCUACCACAUUUUGAGGCGUGGGGACACUUAAGCAGUAGUUGAAACAGUCUAGUGGGAAAAAAAUUAGAAAAAAGACUUCGAAUCCUACUUUGAGGAGUCAGAAAAGGGACUCAAUUUAAUGUUUUGAUGACUUUACUCAUUUUUCAUGGUUCCAUUUCUCAGCUUCCUACUCUUAGUUGAGUGUAGUAAAGGAGUAAUCAUGUUUCCCACCUUUCUCGCCUUCAAUAAUAAUUAGUAGUAAUUGGAGUUCAGAGGAACCUCUUGUAUAUUCAUCUUAAAUUAUAGACCAACCCUCUUCAAUUUCCAGCAAAAAAUUGUUAUAACAAUAAGCCAUUAGCAUCCCCCAACUAACGCCAACAUAAAGUUGAGACCAUACAACAUUUUUUAACCCCCUUUCGAGAUUCAGUUCUAAUAAUUAAGUUGAUAUCCUUGUGGUAGAUUCAGUCGUGGAUUUGCGAGAAAGCAGUCACUACUAAACACUUGGCUAUUAGCUAUCAAGGUUAGCGAGGGAUAAAUUAUAUGUUGAAAUUGUGAGGGACUUUGCGAUGUUGUCCCUCAUACAAAUCAAAUAUUUUAAUUUUCAUUUUUUAAAAAAGAAGGAGAGGGACAUCCCUCAUUAAAAUUUGAUGAUAAUAAAAAACUAAUAUUAAAUUUACUAUAGCGAGGGAUUUCCCUUGCUAAAUAAUAACAAAUACAUUCAUAUUUCAAAAAAAAUUUAAAUAUAAAUUUUAAUAUUUUUAUUUUCAUCUUUUCUAAAAUGCGAAGAGGGACGUCCCUCACUAAAAUAUGCUGAUAAUAAAAAAUUAAUAUUAAUUUGUUAUAGCGAAGGAUUUCCCUCGCUAAAUAAUAACAAAUACAUUCAUAUUUCAAAGAAAAUUUAAAUAUAAUUUUAAUAUUUUUAUUUUCAUCUUUUCUAAAAUGCGAAGAGGGACGUCCCUCACUAAAAUAUGCUGAUAAUAAAAAAUUAAUAUUAAUUUGUUAUAGCGAAGGAUUUCCCUCGCUAAAUAAUAACAAAUACAUUCAUAUUUCAAAGAAAAUUUAAAUAUAAUUUUAAUAUUUUUAUUUUCAUCUUUUCUAAAAUGCGAAGAGGGACGUCCCUCACUAAAAUAUGAUGAUAAUAAAAAACUAAUAUUAAAUUUGUUAUAGAGAGGUAUUUACCGCACUAAAUAAUAAAAAAUAAAUUUAUAUUUCGAAGAAAAUUUAAAUAAAAUUUUUAAUAUUUUUUUAGUUGGUGACAAUGCAUUAAUAAAAAAAAUAAAUAAAAAUGAAAUAUAAGUUAUCCAAGGAGUCCUCCAUAAGUUACACAUAACUAUUUUGUGAUUUUUUUCAUUGUAGUGAGGGAAGUUUCUCACUAAAUUAAAUAUGCAAAAUUGAAUAUUUAAUAAAUAACCAUAUUAUAGAUUUGCAGAAAAAACAAUAGCAAUGAUAUCAAUUAUUUGAUCACUCAAUAAUUGCUUUAAAACUUUUUUUUCUUUUCAUACUAUUAAAUUACAUUAUUUUUCUACACAUAACCAAAAGCAUAUGUGUGUGUGUGCGCGCACGCGCGUGUGUGUAUAUAUAUGUUUUAGUGAUAAUUAGAAUAAGUAGAAAUGUUUUAGUCGUAUUCUUAAUAAAAGUUGAUGAAUUAUAUUAACUUAUAAUUAAUUUGAUAAUGGAAAAAAAUGGUCUAUUAGUGGUAUAAGUAAUACUAUAAGUAAUGGAUUAGCUUAUAAUUGAUAUUGUAUUAAUAGAAGUGAACUAGUGAUAUUUUUAUGUAAUGUUAUUGACUGAUCGUCGAAUAAUUUAAUGACUACACUAAGUAGAGAUAUACCACGAGAUAUUAUUGAUUGAUUAAUCUAUAUAUCAAUAACUACAGCAAAAUAAAAGUGUAUCUUUAAUAUCUUUAUUAAAAUAAUAUUGAUUGAUUAACUUAUACGAUAGUUAAACUAAGUAAAAUUUAUUAAUGAUUUUUAGAAAUAUUAUUGACUGGUAAGUUAUACAUUGACAAUUAUACUAACUGUAAGUAUUAGCAAUGUCAUUAAGUAAUAUUAGUGAAUAAUAUAUUAAUAUAUAUUUUGACAACUAUACUAAUUAAUAUUAGUGUAUUACUAAUAUUUUUAAGAAUUAUUAUUGAUUUAUCAACAUAUCUAUCCAUUUAUCUAUACUAUUAUAAAAAUAUGAAUAUAAAUGUUGGUUGACUAAAAUAUACUUCAAAUAUUGAAGGACUUUUAUACUCUAAAUAUUUAAGUUAAAUUAAGAUAAAUUUGCCAAAGANNNNNNNNNNNNNNNNNNNNNNNNNNNNNNNNNNNNNNNNNNNNNNNNNNNNNNNNNNNNNNNNNNNNNNNNNNNNNNNNNNNNNNNNNNNNNNNNNNNNNNNNNNNNNNNNNNNNNNNNNNNNNNNNNNNNNNNNNNNNNNNNNNNNNNNNNNNNNNNNNNNNNNNNNNNNNNNNNNNNNNNNNNNNNNNNNNNNNNNNNNNNNNNNNNNNNNNNNNNNNNNNNNNNNNNNNNNNNNUUAAUAUAUAUUUUGACAACUAUACUAAUUAAUAUUAGUGUAUUACUAAUAUUUUUAAGAAUUAUUAUUGAUUUAUCAACAUAUCUAUCCAUUUAUCUAUACUAUUAUAAAAAUAUGAAUAUAAAUGUUGGUUGACUAAAAUAUACUUCAAAUAUUGAAGGACUUUUAUACUCUAAAUAUUUAAGUUAAAUUAAGAUAAAUUUGUCAAAGAACAUCGUAAAAUAGUAUUAUCCUAAUUUACUUUGGCUAGGAAGUAUUCUAAUCCAAAACUUUUUUCAAGAACUCAUAUUCUCACAAAAAAAAUAAAUAUAAGGUCAAAGGAUUAAACUAAAGAAUUAUCCAAAAGAUAAAAAAAAAUUAAAGAAAUACCCCUCAUAAUACAUAUUAUCCUAAUAUACUUUGAGUGGUGUAUCGUAAUCCACAAAUGUUUUCAAGAAAUCAAUAUUUUAGCGGUAAAAUAAAUUACAAAAUUCGCCUUUUCAAUAAUUCUAACUCAACAAUGUGAUUUUUUUUUUACAUGAAUUUACUUAAUCAUUAAUUUGCAACUCAUAUAUAUGGAUGUUCACGAGUUUUAUAUCUCAACUCUCCAUUGUUAUAUUUAUUUAGCAAAGCUUUUAGUAACAAUGGUUGAUUCACAAUCAAAAUUUUUUAAAAAAAUGAAGUACCAUCUUAUACUGACUUCUUUCCUUUUUAACUUGUCACAAUUCACAUUAUAAGAGUCAAUUUGGCAAAUAACUAUAAGAAAAAUACUAUAAGGUUUAAUGUGAUUAUUUUCAUAUUAAUAUGAUGAAAAAACACAUCUUAUAAAAUCGGUCAAGAAUCAAUUUAGCUUUUAAUGAUAUUCUCAAUAAAUAUCUCAUUAAUUAAAUAAGUAUUUAUUUACCCAUAUUUUCAUACUAGGGGGCGAGGCAUGUGUUAGCACGGGCUCAACAUCAAAUAUAUUUAAAAUUUGAUACCAAUUAGAUGCUAAAUUAUAAGAAUAAUAUAUGAUAAUUUGGGAGACUUUUUUGGUUUCUAACUAUUGUAAUUUAUAAUGUUUUUUUAUAUAAUUUUCAAAUAAUAUGCGUUACUCUCCUUGUUCAAACUUUUAUGGCAUUGAUAAUCAAUUAUAUUUUUAAAUUAAUUUAAGUUAUUAAUUAAUAUGAUUUAUAAUACUUUUCUUCUAUUUCAAUUUUAGUGGCACUGAUAUAAUUUCAUGAGUCAACCAAAUAUUCUAUAUUUUUAAAAUUUUUAAGUUGUUAAUUAUUAUAAUUUAUAGUAUUUUUUACGUACUUUUUAAAAUAUAUAACAAAUUAAUUUUUUGGGGGAUAUUUUAAGUUGUUAACUAUUGUAAUGUAUAAUACUUUUUAUGUAAUUUUCAAAUAAUAUACGUUACUCUCCUUGCCCAAACUGUUGUAGCAUUAUAGUUAAUUAUAUUUUAAAAAUAAUUUAAUUUUUUAAUUAUUGUGAUUUAUAAUACCUUUUCUUUAUUUUAAUUGAAGUGUCACUGAUAUAAUUCCAAGAAUCAACCAAAUAUUUUAUAUAUUUUAAAUUUUGUAAGUUGUUAAUUAUUGUGAUUUAUAGGAAUUUUUAUGUUGUGUUUGGAAAUAUAUAACAGAUAAAAAAAAUAAAAUGGAGAAAAAAAAUGAUGCCAAGGAAAAGGACCAAUGAAGUUAUGUCAAAGAAAACAAGUUGAUCGUUAAAUUUUUUAAGUUAUUAAUAAUUUUGAUUUAUAAUUUUCUUUUACGUAUUUUUUUGAAAUAUAUAACAAAUAAUUUAUUUUUAGAUAUUCUAAGUUGUUAACUACUGUAAUUUAUAAUACUUUUUAUGUAAUCUUCAAAUAAUAUAUAUCACUCUCCUUGUCCAAACUUUUGUGGCACUGAAAGUCAAUUAUAUUUUUAAAAUAAUUUAAGUUCUUAAUUAUUGUGAUUUACAAUACUUUUUUUUCUAUUCUAAUUUAAGUGUCACAGUUCUUAGAUGACCAUAAUAAUUAAUUAUGGGUGAUAUAGUAAAAUCAUGAUUGAGACAAUGAAGCAUACAUGUCUUAAAUGACUUGCAACAACCAAUUAGAAGUGAUAUAACAAAAUUACUAUAAGAAAAUGCUUAUGAAAAGAUUAUCAUUUUAUAUCUAUUUUAUCUUUUUUAUUAAAUAAGAUUAAUUUUUUAAUAUUUAGAUGACUUAUAAUAAUUAAUUAGGGUUGAUAUUUAGUAAAGUUACUGUUGAAGCAGCUGAAUCAGACAUGUCAUAAGAUGUCAAGUUAAUUUAAAACAUCAAGAGUUAAUUUGUUAUUUAUGUCUAUUUUAUAGUUUUUAUUAACUAUUUUUUUUUAAUGUUACAUAACUUAUAAUAAUUAAUUAGAGGUGAUAUGAUAAAAUUACGGUUAUAGCAGCUGAUGCAUACACGUCAUAAAUUUCUAUUUUAUUUUUUAUUAAAUAUUAUUAAUUUUCAAUAUAUAAAUGACUUAUAAUAAUUAAUUAGGGUGAUAUAAUAAAAUCAUGGUUGAAGCAAACAUGUUGAAGCUAGCUGCUUCAACAGGUGCCGUCAUAAAUAGUUAUUUUAAUUUUUUAUUAAAUGUUAUUAAUUCUUAAUAUAUAAACAACUUAUAAUAAUUAAUUAGGAGUGAUAUAGUAAAAUCACGAUUAAAGCAAAUAGCUGAAGCAGACGCUUCGAAACCACCUAAAUAUAGAAAUAAUUAUAUAUCAAGUAGGUGUGUAAGGAUUAUGGGUGAAUCAAUAUAUAAAAUGGCUCAUAUUUUAAUAAAAAUUAAAAUGACAAGAAUUUGAAUUAAAUUAACCCUCCAAACAAACCCAAAAAAAAACGUGGCUUAAAAUGACAAGGGUUUGGGUUAAAUUAAUUCUCCAAAUAAAAAAAAAUAUGGCUUAGCUUUUUCCUCCAACUGCUUCCCAACAUUAUUUUCCACCAUUUUUUCCCUAAGUAAAGUUAAUCAAUUUACUAAAAAUUAAAAUUGUUAGGAUUUGGUUCCCCUUCUUUCUCCCAUUAUUUCCCACCAAUUUUUUAAAAUGCUUUCAUGACAGAGUUUGGGUUAAAUUAUAAUUUCAUAUGUAAACCCUACAUUCUAAUUUGGGCGUUGGUUGGACUAGGCAGAAGCUCCGACGUCACCGUGCUGGUCGUUGGGUUGGAUUUCGAUAAUCUCUCCUUGCUAAUUGAGACUCUUUUUUCACAUUAACGAUACUUUUCACCUUUUUGAUUGAGUAAUUACAUGCCUUUUUGUUUGAAAAUAUAUUUUACCCAAUUUUUGUUUUGGGUAUAUUUAAUAACUGUAGAUAUGCUUAUUCUUUGUCAUCAAUCUAAUGUUUUUUAGAUUUUUCCGCAACUUUUCAUAUUCUAUUGUAUCUAGUAUCGUGUAUUCCAUGUCUGUUUGUGACACGAUGUAUCCUGUGAUAAUGUAUAAGUUGUAAGGGGAAAAUAUGGGCAACUUCCUUUGUUUUGAGCUAGAGAUAAUUUGAACUUUAUGUUUAGUGUUAUUGUUUGUUUUUUGUAUAUAAUUGGUGGUCAUUAUGAAUAUGAUGUUGCCAAGUACAAGUUGAACAUAUUCGGUGUUCACAUCCUAUUGAAACAACUACAAGUUUAGCUUUGAACUUACAAAGAUUUUUAAAAGCCAAAAUGUCAUGGAUUUUAGCUAGUAUUUUCUCUUAUAGACUUCUGCUUUAAAGCUAAAAGUUAGAAUUUGUUUCUACUAACUCAGCACAUUGUUGUUGGAGAAUUUUUCUCCAUAAAAACCAUCUGCAACAAUUAUUUUAGUCCAUCAAGUUCUUAUGGGAUUGAAACUAUCCCUUUUGAGGAAGAACAGGGAAGCUUGUUGUUAACAACACAACAUGAAAAGCUCCACAACUACUCUCUCAUUCUGAUCCUUUAAGCCUACUCCUAGUUUUCCUAGGUAACUUAACAGGCCCGUUUGAAAUUAAUAGAAAGGAAAAAAUUACCAGAUCAAAUAAUUGAUGCUGGGCUAAGUAUAUAGUUUUCAUAGAGGUAGCAUCAUUAGACCGAAUUCUUUCAAGAAAUUCAGAGAAUAUGAUUAGCUCUUGCUUCCAUUCCGGGCACAAAUAGGUCCUUCCAACCUGGAAGAUGGUUUAACUCGAUAUCAUGAUGUUACUAUUAUCUAAUUCCUAGCAUAUUCUUUCGCUUAAUGAUGUUGUGCCAACAUUCUUACUUAAUGUUUUGUUACCAUUAGGCGAAAGAAUAUGCUAGGAAUUAGAUAAUAGUACACUGCUGCAGUGUUGAAUAGCUAUAGCUAAGUUAAAAUAAAAGUAUUGGAAGUAUUAUUAUAGUCAAGUGCUUUCUUAAGUAUCUCUGACAAGAGGGGUUGUGCGGAUGGUAAGUACUCUCCACCUCCAGCCCUAAGAUGUGGUUUGAGUCAUUAAGAGAGCAAAAAGUGUGAGAUCCAUUGCUUUGAAUAAUAGUUAUACUUGCAGAUAGUCAUCAACACCCUCACGAGUGUGAAGAAGCUCGGUUAGCCUUGACAUAACUGUUGGUUUUCAACUAAUAAAGGAGGUAGUCAUCUAUUUGUUCCUGAUUGCUGAAGUUAGAUUGUUUUAUAAGCAAAAAUAGAAUACUUUGUGUUUAUUUUGGAAAGGUACCUUCUUUAUCAUAAAGGAGACAGAAAAAGAAUAUUCUGAAAUUGGGAACAUUCACACUUGUAAUACAACAAGAAAUGUUUUACUGAUAACUUAUUAAAACAAUGAAAGUUGGUAUCUUCUUUGUAAGAUUAAAUAGAAAACACAAUAAAUUUGAUAAAGACAAAUAGAAAGACAUUAAUGCUUAAUAGUUAAUCCUAAAGUAAACACACAGAUAUCAUAAUGAACUAGACAUAACAAGAUAUUGGUGGUGAUAGUUAAAAUGACUUUUUAAGCUCUGGGCUUGAGCCGCCCUUGUUGGCUAACUUGAAUAGAUGAGCCUGAGAUACUGCAGCCCUGUCUAAACAGAGUGCUGCAGCAAAAUUGUUCUAAAAUCAUAUCAUUAAGUGUUAUAAAAUGCUGCAUAUUGAAAUUAAGAGUGUAAACUAAUAGUCAAAUCAAGCUUAUAGGAAAAAAUGUGAUUACGCAGUCCAAAAUUAUAGCUAGCUCUCCACUUCCUUGACGGAAUAUGAGAAUUGUUUCAUACUAAAAAAGUGUCUCUUGCAAGCAAUGUCAACUCUACUGCAUCCAAAAUGUGAAAUAGUUCUAUCUCCUAUUUUCUUUCUAUAAAUUUACAUUACUUCUUUCUAAAUUAGUUGCUUAAAAUGUGUUUUUCUUAAGAUAGUUGAUGGUUAAUAUGUUGAUCAAAGUUAAGAGUAGCUAUGAGAUUCGAUAAUGAUACAACACUUUCGAAUUUAAACAAGUAAUGGAUAAUGAUUACUUUCUUCUUCCCAAACAAAACUUUAGCAUCUUUAUAUUUUAGCUUCCUUCGUUAUGACAACAUUGUGAGUUCACUGACAUCUCUUUAAGACAACUUCUAACGUCUUGGACUCGGCUUCUGUGGUCAUGUUAUCUUUAUUCUCCAUAAGUUUUUUUCCAUUGCUUUUUUCACAACCAACAUCACAUGCAUCAUUCAUCUUAUCAGGAGUUGGAAUGUCUAGGGACCCAAUGUCACUCUUUCGGGAAUUUCUUUUAGACCUUUUUAGAUGAAGAUAAACUUGUUUUGCAACCAACAUCUGAUGCAUCACUCAUCUUAUCUGGAAUUAAAACAACUAGGGACUCAAUGUCACUCUUUUUGGGCUUUCCUUUUAGACCUUUUGAAUGAAGAUACUGGUAAUUAUUUAUACAUUUUAGAUGGAAGUAAAUUUUUUAUGCAAUUGUGGUCCACUAUGUUUAUUUCAUUUACAAGAAGCAUCUCUUGAUAGAUUAGCCACUCGUGAAGAGGUAUGGAAGAAGACCCAUAUGAAAAUUAGAGAUAGAGAAGAAGUCUAGGUUGAAACACGGGCAGAAGAUACUUAUGUAAGUUCACAUCUUACUUAGAAUUUAUUUUAUAUCAUUUAUUAUAUACUAAUUUUACUUUUAAUAUAGAAUCGAUACUUUCAAGCAAUUGAAGAGAUCAAAAGGAGUCGACUGACAGAUGAUCAAGAUAAUUCAAUCAUGCCAUCUGGGGAAGAAACUCUCUCAUGCUGGUUGGAUAUAGUUGGGGGCGUAUGUAAGGAAGGGCAUAUGACCUUUUCUCUAAGAAGAACUUUUAACGUCUUUAGUGUGGAUUGCAAGGUAUAGGGAGUUCUGCCAUCAUAUGAGCAAUUUGAGGAGAUGCGACAUGAAGUUCGGGAGCUUGCUAGGAAGUAUGAGGAAGAACGAAAAAGAAGGAUGGAGGAGUGGCGUAGGGCGACACUUGAGUUAGACGUCAAAGAAUUCAAAGCUCACGUAAAUACCUUGAUGAUGAUGGUGGAGAGGAUGAAAUUGAGUAUUAGGUGGCAUUGUUGUUUUAGGUUUCAAUUUUGUUAGUUUGGAGUGUUUGAAAGAAUUUGUUUGGUGAUUCUUUGCACACUUUUUGAUACUUGUUUGCACAUUGUUUAAGUUGGAUGAAUAUGUACGAAGUUUGGUUGCUUAAUUUUAAUGUUUGAAUUGUUUCGGAAAUGUUUUUCUUAUUGUUUUGCUGGUUAAUAUUAGUUGUAUGUUGAUUUUCUAUUUAAAUAUUGAGUUUUAGUGCAGUAAAAAACUAAUAAUAAUACCAAAUUGGCAAGGGAGCUAUAUCGCNNNNNNNNNNNNNNNNNNNNNNNNNNNNNNNNNNNNNNNNNNNNNNNNNNNNNNNNNNNNNNNNNNNNNNGCCUCUCACUAAAUAAUAAAUUAAUAUUAUAUAUAUUUUAAUAUAGCAAGGGAUGCCCCUCACUAAAUAAUAAAUUAAUAUUAUAUAUAUUUUUAAAUAUAGCAAGAGACGUCCCUCACUAUAUUAUAUUUUUUUGAAAAAUUGUGAGAUCAAAAUAGCGAUGGUUGAGUGUCGGAGUCCUUCACUACUUUGCGAGAGUCUCCCUCACUAAUAAUUAGCAAGGCUCAAAUUAGCAAGAUACCUUGUAGUGAUGGCUGCCCUCACUAAAUCUUGAUUAGUGAGGGACGUCACUCACUAAAUCACAUGGCUAAAACAAGACUUUUUAGUAGUGAGUGUUCCAAAGCUUCAUUGUAUCUUUAUAAGACUCAUCCCUACCAGCUUGCAGAGUAUCAUAUAGCUGAGGCUUUACUUGUGAUAUUGAGGUCUAAACAUUGCACUUCAUAGUCAAAUGCCAAUUCAAGAAAUUGGCACUAGCUAUAAUCUGGCAAAAUACUCCAAGCAUUCGAAAGCUGAGAACUGUUCAAGUUUGCUGUUACCUUUCAAAGUUGUCAUCUGAUUGUGUUUCAAAUAGGUGUAUCAAAUCUAUCCCAUGAAAAUAUGAUCCCCAAAACAAAUCAAAUCAACCCUUUCAAUAGGGAAACACAAAACAUAGAACACAAAAGUAUUGUGAGAGUUUCAAAAGGAAGGGGAAGUUAGAGUCGGCGAGGAGAAGGUUCGUUCGUAGAAACUCAUUUGUACAGACAUAAAUUCAGAUAUAUUAAAAAAAGGAAAACUAAUCUUAAAUCAUGCACUGAAAGGACUCAGUAAAACACAAAUUAAGUACUUCAUUUGGAUUCCACUCCAGCAAAUUUUGGUUGAUUAGAUACCUCAACGUCCCUGUAGCCUAAAGUUACUUCACCUAAGACACCAAAAACACACUUCACCAUAGAACAUAGAGCAAUUUCUUUUUUCUCAAGAACAAUUUCCAAGACAACUGUCUAUGCAACAUAGAUUCCUUCUCACAUCGUAGGCAUAAAUAUACAAGGCUGUUUUUCUUUUCAUUUUUGUAGUAAUCAAAAAAUACAAGACUUCAUAGGCAUCUGAAUUCAUACUACAAGCUGAAAGAACCACCUAAUCAGAAAUUUAACUGGUACGAUCUAUAUAACUAUCGUAUACUCACCAUACUUCAACCCAACUCAAAAUCAAGAAAAUUAGAACAACCAAAAGAAUGCCAGGAUGAUGGCACAGUAGGCAGUAGCUUCUAAGCUCUCAAGUAACUGUCUCAAAGACCUCAAGCAGAAGCUGUUGCCUUCUUCCUUAGAGCUGCUUCAGUACCUGGACAAACAGCAGUUAAAAGGUGUAUUAUUAUCUCAUACAAGUUAAAGACCAAAUAUUCUUGAUCAUUAAUUGUCAAUGUCUACACCAACAACUUAGUCGAACUAAAAUAGGAAAGAUCACUCUGAAUUAUAGAUGUGCAUCUUUCACAAUCACUAACAAUUUUCAUGCAAAAUAUUUUGUGAAAAACAGCUUUAUAUUGAAAGUUUAUUUCAUAGAACUAUUUGCAGCAUUCGGUUGGGUACAAAGUCACCAACCGUACUCACUCAUACAAGGUGGACGACAAAGUGUAACAAUAGUGUUAAAUACUCCCAUCGAUCCCAUUAUGUGUGCCUCUUUCAUUUUUUAGUUAGGACCGAAGAAGGUGACUUUUUGUCUUUAGUAACAAUUUAACUUUAAACUUCUUAUUUUACCGUUAAAGAGUGAAUUUAUAGCCACACAAAUAUCAACCGCUUAUUUUGGACAAUAAGUUUCAAAAAUAUUUCUUUCAUUCCUCAUGACCAAUCAAACACCUUUACAUAAAUUGGGACAACGUGAGUAGUUGUGAUUAGGAUCCCCUCCAGUAUCUGUUUCCUCCUGCUGCUCCAAUAACCUUGUUGACUUUUGACAUGUGUCACUUGUUAAAUCUCACUGGCCAAACCAGCUACCUCUCUUAAUCAAUAUACACACACAAAGCCUCCCUCAUCUUCACUCUUCCUACUAAAGCAAGUACCAAACCCAUCACUACUAUUGCCAACAUUGCAAACUCUAUAUACCACAUGCCCCAAAUCAACAAGGGUACUAGAGAAAUGGGAGGAAACAUGUACUGGAGAGUAUAUCCUAGCCUCCUAUACUAGCAUUGAAGGUUGAAAACAAUAUCUAAAUGUUGAUUAAGUAUAUGGAUCUGUAAAGUAAAAUGACACUUAUCUAUAACUAGGGGAAAUCUUAAUAAAAAAACAAAGUAAUAGAAAGAGAGAACAUGUUAAUGGGCUAUUUAUUUCGGCUAGAAAGGUUAAAUAUCAUUAUUUGAUGCCAAAUUGGAUCAUAAAUUGUUACAUUUUGUCAGUUUACCAUUAUUUUAUGUACAAAUUAUUUUGUAAGUACUUUUUUAACUAUUUAUUGUAAAUUGUAAUUGUAUCUCUUUAUAUUUAUUGAAUUAAGUUUUUAAUUGUAAGUUGUAGCAGUUUUUUAAAAAAUAUUUUAAAACAUUUUAUUUAAAAUUUAUCUAUUAGAUAUAUAUUUUAAUUAACAUCUCCCUUAAAUAUUUGCAUUUAUCUUUCUCCCUCAUCUGUUUCCUUAAAUAAAGGAUUGAUAAUAAAUUCUAUUAUGAAAUAUAAAUAAAGAACAACAAGAAUAAAUAGAGAAAGAAGACAUAAGACUUCUUUAUUUCUCUUGAGGGAUGAGAGAUUAUAAAUUAAUAAUACAAUGAACAAAAUCCAUAGGGAAAAAUGCUCCUAGUUUCUGACUAAAAGGCAAAGACUUUAAAUUCUGAUAGAUAUCAACUAGAUCUUGAUACAUCUUAUUAUAUCUUGAUAGACAUUCACUAUAAUAUAAAUACAUUUAUAACACUCCCCCUUGAAUGUCUAGAUAGAUAAUGUACCUCGUUAAAACCUUACUAAAAAAAAUCCAGUGGAAAAAAAAUCUAGUGAAGGAAAACGAGUACACAUAUCUAACAAUACGCAUAUCGGCUACCUCAUUAAAAACAUUACAAGGAAAACCCAGUGGACAAAACGUCAUAAGGGUAAAAGAAUACAACGCAUAUUAACUCCUCCCAAUGAGAACAUCCUUGAACCUUUGCAUUCUGAACUUGUGCACCAUCUUUCUUGAAAGUUGAAAUUGGAGGAGACUUGGUGAAUGAAUCAGCCACAUUGUCACUUGAAUGAAUCUAUUGCCUGUUAAUAUCAUCAUUCUUUUGUAGCUCAUGUAUGUAGAAUAGAUUUGAUGAAGUAUGCUUCAUUGUAUCUCCUAUAAAUCCUCCAUUAAGAUGUGCUAUGCAUGAUGCAUUAUCUCCGUAUAAAAUUGUGAGUAUAUUGUCAUAUUUCACACCACAUUUUUCUCGAAUGAGAUGUAUCAUGGACCUCAACCAUACACAUUCUCAGUUUGCUUCAUGAAUAGCUAUUAUCUCAGCAUGAUUUUAAUGAAGUGGCUACGAUAGACUGUUUUGUAUAUCUCCAAGAUAUGAACCCCCCACAUAUGAACACAUAGCCUGUUUGAGAUCGAGCUUUAUGCAGUUCAAAUAAGUAUCCAGCAUCAGCAUGACCAAUAAGAUUGAGACUGCAUUCUUCAGAAUAAAAUAAACUCAUGUGUUUUAUCUCAUUAUGAUGUCUCGUAGUAGGAGCAGAAAUAUACCUUGCUAACAAAUUGAUUGGAAAAGCUAUAUUAGACCUUGUAGUAUUUGCAAGAUACAUGAGUGCACCACUUGCACUAAGAUAUGGUACUUCAUAACCAAUCUAAUUCGGUAUAUUUCUCAUUUUAGUAAAUAAUCUAUUUCUUUGAAAACUCUCCAAGAGUUUCAAUAAUUUUCAAGCUAUAAGCUUAUACAAUAUAAGGAUUAUCAAUAAGUUUGCCAGAAACUUUUAUAUUUUGAAUCCCUAAAGAAUUUUUCAUAUAAGUUUUGUCAAGUAACAAUAUUCAACAUUUCAUGUGUGACAUCUUCAAGUGUCUAGACUGCAAAUCAAAUAAGUUUUACGUUUACUAAGAUGCAUCCUUUCAUGUCAAUUGAUAAAUGUUUCUACGUCAGUCUGCUGAAAUAAAUGUAGAAUUCAAAUCCUCAUAAUCUCUCACAAUAUUGCGCUAGUAUUGUGGUUCCUGACUCAAAACCAACUUUGAGGAAAAAUUAAUCAUAAUUUAUUACUUUAAACAUACAAGUACUUUUGUAUAUUAUAUUUCAAACCAACACAUGAAACUUUUGUUCUCAUUAGCAAUGGUUCAGCCAUUUAUCGAAGGCAUUCAAUGCUAAACCAUCAUCAUCAAGAUAAAUUUUCUUGAUUACACAAUCUGAAAAUUAUGCUCUUAACUCAAUCUUAUUGAGCAGUAACUUUAUAAAUGUCAAACUGCGAGUUGACAAUAAACGUACAAGUGAUCAUCUUAUAGCAAUGCAUCUUAAUAGAUCACAUGACAGGUGAACGGAUUCUUAUUCACCUUUUAUAGUUUUCAGAUUUGAAGUGAUCCAAUUCCAAUAUUAGUUGGUCCAACCAACUUAUCAUGAGAACAAACAACAUAAAUAAUUCUUGAAGAAUCUUCUAUUUCUUCAACAUAUGUCUAAUACUCAAUCUGAAUAUUUUUUUUGAAAUGUCGCAAUCGUUCAUGUCAAUUUAUGUACUUUUAAUCUAGUAAACUCCAAGUUUACAUGACCUGUGCUUUUGCGUUAGUAAGUUUCAAAUUUACUAUGACAUGAGUAAAUUUUAAAUUUACUACUUCAGAAUAGAUUUUAAAAUAACUCUUCUCAGUUAUUCUUCUUCAUUCGGAGGUGAGUUGUGAUACCAUCAAUUCUCAAUUAUUAUUCUUCAUUCAGAGGUGAGUUGUGAUGCCAUCACAAUAAAUUCUCAAUUAUUCUUCCUCAUUCAGAGGUGCUUUGUGAUAUCUUCACAACAAAAAAUAUGUUAGAAUAUAUAUACAGUCACAUUCACCCCAGGGUAUAGAUCUGUAUUUAUAAUAAUUGAAAUUUGUAUUUCAAAAAAUGGAAUAUAAUCAUGCAUUAAGUGUAUCAAAUUAUGAUAGUUACUACAAAAACAAUUUGAGGCAUACAUAUGAUUUAUUGCUACCACAUUCAAUUCAAGGAAUGGAGCAUAUUUAAUGAGACAUGUUUCAUUAAAUAUCCAUUAUUUAGCCUUAGCCAUCAUAAUAUUAUCAAUAUGGUGCAUUGAGAUUUAAACUCAACGUCUUAUUCAUAUAAAGGCAUCUUAGGUUAUAAAUUGAUGGAACUUGAAUCCAACAUCUUAUUUUCAUGAUGCAUCGAGACUCUAAUUCAAUGUCUUACCCCGUUGAUGUGAUAAACUUAAAUUCAUCGUCUUACCCUCAAUCAAUAAAAAAAAAAUACCCAAUUACCCCCUAAACUAUACCCAAAAAGGCUAUGACACACCUCAACUUAAAGGGGGUCCUAUUACCUCUCUGAACUAAUUAAAAGUGUAAUUUUGACACCCUUAGUGCCUACAUGGCACAUACAUGGCACACAUGUGUGCCUACGUGGACACUUCAGUGUGUUGUGCCACGUAGGCACUAAGGGUGUCAAAAUUACACUUUUAAUUAGUUCAGGGGGUAAUAGGACCCCCUUUAAGUUGAGGUGUGUCAUAACCUUUUUAGGUAUAGUUCAAGGGGUAAUUAGGUAUUAUCUCAUCAAUAAAUAGGCUAAAAUACAUGACACAUAUUUGAUCUAUAAUAAUCACUACCCUAGAAGAAAAAAAAUUAUUUCAACAUUAUAAUAAUGUCAAUAUUUAUAACUUUUUUUUUUCUUUUUGAACUAACAAGAGAACAUAUUCUAGUUGGCAGUUCCUAGGAGUCAUGCAAGCCAAUAAAAAGUUAAUAAUCCACAACAUAACAUAUUUAUUUAAUCAUCAUAGCAUAAACUUAAAACAUAUAGAAUUACUUUUAAUUCUUAGAGUUAGCAAGUUAUAAAGAUAGGUAUCGAUAUUUGAGUAAUUUCCUAAUAACAACUUUUAUUAUGGCAAUCAAGUGCUAAACCAAAUUACAACUAAUAACUAAUUCAAGGUUAGGUACAUCAGCAGUUGCAUGGAUCUCAUAAAAAAAUGACGAUUUGCUUCUGUCAUAAUUUUAAAUACAACAGAGAGAAGCAAUAACCGGGAUAAUUAAAACGAGCUAAUGAAAAGAUGAUGUUAACAAAAUACCUGGUAUAAUUCUUACCUUGAUAUUUCUUUAACAUGUUUAUUCAAGACAUUAUCGUGCUGAUUAUUUACAUAUCUUGAGAAUUUUUUUGCCGAGUUGCUCUUUAUACUUAAUUGAGAACAAUCGUCUAAGAAUAAAGAAGAGGAACAGAGAGAAUAGAGAGAGUAAUUAUUAUUUCUCUUGAGGGAUGGAAGAUCACCUUGAUUGUUAAGAAUACAAUGAACAAAACCCCUCUAUUUAUAAGGAAAAUUACUCCUAGUUUCUGACUAAAAGACAGAUACUUCAAAUUCUGAUAGAUACCAAUUAGAUCUUGAUAGAUCUGAUUAGAUCUUGAUAGAUAUUCACUAUAAUGUAAAUACAUUUAUAACACUCCCCUUGAAUGUCUACAUAGAUAAUGUGCCUUAUUAAAACCUUACUAGAAAAAACCCAGUGGGAAAAAAAAUUUAGUGAAGGAAAAAGAGUACACAUCUCUAACAAUACGCAUAUAGGCUGCUUCAUUAAAAACCUUACAAGGAAAACACAGUGGGACAAAACCUCGUAAGGGAAAAAGAGUAUAGCACGUAUUAACUCCUUCUAAUUAGAACAUCCUUGAGUCUUUGCAUCCCAAUGUUGUGCACCAUUUUCUUGAAAGUGACAAUUGGAGGAGACUUGAUGAAUAAAUUAGCCACAUUAUUACUUGAACGAAUCUAUUGCACGUUAAUAUCACCAUAUUUUUGUAGUUCAUGUAUGUAGAAAAGUUUUGAUGAACUGUGCUUCGUUCUAUCUCCUUUUAUGAAUCCUCCCUUAAGAUGUGCUAUGCAUGCAGCAUUAUCUCUGUAUAAAAUUGUGGGUACAUUGUCACAUUUCACACCAUAUUUUUCUCGAAUGAGAUGUAUCAUGGACCUCAAUCAUACACAUUCUCGGCUUGCUUCAUGAAUAGCUAUUAUCUCAGCAUGAUUCAAUGAAGUGGCUAUGAUAGACUGCUUUGUAUAUCUCCAAGAUAUGACAGUACCCCCACAUAUGAACACAUAGCCCGUUUGAUAUCAAGAUUUAUGCAGAUUAAUUAAUUACCCAACAUCAGCAUAAUCAAUAAGAUCGAGACUACAAAUUGACUGAAAAGGCAAAUUGACUGAAAAGGCUAUAUUAGACCUUGUAGUAUUUACAAGAUACAUUAGUGUGGUGCACCAAUUGCACUAAGAUAUGGUACUUCAUAUUUCUCAUUUCAGCAAAUAAUCUUAUUGCUUUUGAAAACUCUCCAAGAGUUUUAAUGAUUUUUGAACCAUCAAUUUAUCCCCCCAAAGGAUAAUAAACAAGUUUUCUAGAAACUUUAUAUGCUUCAGGAAUUUUGAAUCCUUUAGGGAUUUUCAUAUGGAUUUUUGUCAAGUGACAAUAUCCAACAUGUCAAGUGUGACAUUUUCAAGAGUCUGGACUACAAAUCAAAUAAGUUUUACACUUACCAAAAUGCAUCUUUUCAGGUCACUUGAUAAAUGUUUCUAUGUCAGCAUGUUUAACUCAACGUAGAAUUUAGAUCCUCGUAAUCUUUCACAAUAUUGUAUCAAAGAUACCAUUGACGGUUUCUCAUUUUGUAUCGGUUCAUAAUGUGACAUAGCAUUUUGAGAUCUCAUCACUUCAUUAUUUUCAGGUACCUGAAUUUAUUAUUAGAUUUCAUGAAGUGUUAUGUUAUAAGCUCUUCAACAGCACAUUACUUUCUUAUUAUGAUUAUUUGAUCCUUGUUUCAUUUGGAACCGAUUAGUCAACCAUGCUUCAUGCAUGCAUAGACUUUUUCCUUUAAAUACACAAAAUAGAAGCACUUGCAGCUUAAAUAUAAGAUGCUUUCGGCGUUUAACUUGUAUUAUCUUAUGAAUGAGGAUCUUAUGAUAAUUCCUAACAUAUUUCAUAGCUGCUUAUAAUCUCCCCCUUAUGUUAGGAAAACUAAAAUUCAUCCUCAUCUUCUUUGAGGAUUCCAUCUUUUGUGCAUCAUGGUAUAUUCAUUAAUUGUAUACCGUACAUUAACUAUUAGAUGGACAACAUGUGAUUCCUGACUUAGAACAAACUUUGAGGGAAAAUUAAUCAUAAUUUAUUGGUUUGAUGAAUACAAGUACUUUUGUUUAUAAUAUUUCAAACCAACACAUGAAGCUUUUUGUUCUCAAUGGUUUAACUAUUUAUUGAAGGCAUUCAAUGCAAAAUAAUUUUCAUCAAGAUGAAUUGUCUUGAUUGUACAAUCUGAAAGUUAUGCUCUUAACUCAAUUUUAUUGAGCAAGCAACUUUAUGAAUGUCAAACUACAGGUUGACAAUAAACGCACAUGUGAUCAUCGUAUAUUGAUGCAUCUUAAAUGACCACAUGAUUGGUGAACGAGCCAUAUUCACCUUUUAUACUUUUCAGAUUUUAAGGGAUCUAAUUGUAAUAUUAGUUGGUCCAACCAACUUAUAGCAACAUUAAAAGUAAUGAAGAAUGUUCUAAUUCUUCAAUAUAUGUUCAAUACUCAGUAUGCACAUCUUUGGGAUGAUGCAAUUGUUCAUGUCAAUUUAUGAACUUUUAUUCUAGUAAACUCUAAGUUUACCAUGACCUAUGCUUUUGCUUUAGUAAAUUUUAGAUUUACUAUUCCAUUACUACUUUAGAAGUAGAUUUCUAAAUAACUCUUCUCAGUUAUUCUACCUCUUGCGGAGGUGAGUUGUGAUACCAUCAUAAUGAAGUGCACGUUUGCAUUAAUAUGCUUCUCAUUCCAUAGGAAUAGAAUAUAAUCAUACUUUAAACCUAUCGAAUUUUGAUAGCUUAUAACCUUUUUCAUGAUAGUGCUACUUCAAGAGCAAAUCGAGGCAUAUAUCAUAUAUUGCUACCACAUUCACUUCAAGAAUGGAGAAAUCUUUCAGACUGAUCAUAUAUUGCUACCGCAUUUCCUUAUUGGAAUGGAGCAUAAUUAAUGGGACAGAUUCAUGUCUUUUUAUAAGAAACAUAUGCACUGAGAUUCAAACUCAACAUCUUAUCCAUUUAAAGGCGUCUUAGGCAUAAAUCGACUGUCUUAGCCAUCAUUAUAUCAUCAAUAUGGUGCAUUGAGAUUCAAACUCAAUGUCUUAUCUAUUUAAAGGCGUUUUAGGCAUAAUCGAUUGUCUUAGCCAUCAUCAAUUUAAAAUUGUACAAAUUGUCGCAGUGCGAAUAUAACACUCCAAAAUAUAUUAAUGAACAUAAGUUAAUAUGAACAAACCUAAAACCGUAUAAUAAUAAAAGAAAUUUUUUUACCUUUUACAUAAAAUACUAAUAUAUGUAAGGAUAUAUGGAUUACGAAUACAAACAGAGAAAGAAAUUUUUUCUCAUUAUCCAUUGGCCUAUUGACACUGUAACUUGUUCCCUUUUCUUUAAUCUCUCUAAUUUAAUAGCAUUAAAUCUUUAAGAUAAAGCAGGUAACUCUAAUUUAAUCUUUCACAAUAUCCCCUCAAACUUACACAUCAAACUGCAGCACGAUAUAAAUUCUAUCGUCAAACAAUAUCAGCAUGCAAGUGACAAUGAAUGUAACAAUUACUAAAAGGGGUAAGAAAUUAAAUAAUCAAAACAUUAAGUAAUAAAGAUUAGUUUUGCAAAUCACCAAAAAUAAAAAUUAAUUGAAACGGGUUACCAAUUUACUUCUGUAAAAGAUAAACGAAUUAUCCACAAUCAUGAGUUUACCGUGACCAAUAGAGUUUCGUAAGGAAGAAAACAAUCGCAGAGGUUCUAAUGGCUUGUAUCUCAAAUAGCAAAUCAUGUAUUAACUAAUAUAAUACUAAUUAAUUUCUUCAUGAUUAACAAAACUGAAUGCCAACAGUAUAUAUAUCCAAAGAACACUUUAAUCAAAUCAUUAUAAUGACCAUUAUAUGCCGUGUGUAGACACCUAAUUUUGUCCCUCCCAAGUCCAAUUUUAUUCAUUUUUACCUCACUUUAUCGUAUACCCUCACCCAUGUGAUUAUACCCCACAAAAAUACAAAAAGUAACAACCCUUAACAAACCCAAUCCCCAAUUAUUCUCUUGAUAACAAAUUUUAUCUCAACCAAUUCACACCUAACUACCCUACCCCACCCUCCUACCCACGUGACCCCCUCACAUUUCUUCUCCAAAAAGAAAAAAAAGGGAUAUACACGGGACACACACACAAUUCACGGAGAGCUCACCAUUUUUUUAUACACACAGACGAAAAUAAAAGAGCUGAGGCACAUAUACACAGACCUCCAUUUUUUUUUUUUCCUUGCUCUCACCAUGAACCCACAGAUUACACAUAAAAUCCUCCAUGGAUGAAUAUUUCAACACAGUUUGAUGUUCCAUUAACACCAAAAAAACAAAAAAAAAUUAAAGAAGGCAACACCCACUCACAUACUCUCCACCCACCAUCACUCUUACAUCCCACCCAUCCACCACGGACGCACACACAGAGAGCUAGACAGAAAACACACACAAUACAUGGAGAGAUUUGAGAACGCUACAGAAAAACUAUGAGAUAAAGAAGUAGAAAAAAAUUGAGGGAAGGAAUGAAAUUUCGGAUCGCCAAUCACUAUUCCAGGGAUCUACUCGCCGAAAAAAAUUGAUACAAGCACGAUCACGAAGAUGGACACUUUUGAAUAUUUUGAAUGCAACAUACAGAGUGUAUGAGUUGAAGUGUAAAAAAGGCUCCAAAACGCCCCUCCAAAACUAGUGACUAUUUACUAGAUUGUAAAUUAGUUUUGAAAACCGUUCUUCGUGUCUACGUUCCUUUGUGUGUCUUAGUCUUUUUUUGAGUCAUUGUAAAUAUUUGGUUCACCUAUCAACACCUCUCGGAGUAAAAUCAAGCUUACAACACUUGUGAAAUUAAAGUGUGAGGAAUUUGAGAGGCAAAGAAAUAAAGGAAGAGUGUGAGGACCUUUCUUGUACAACUAAUUUGUUUGUGUUUGGUAGGUAACUUCUUGGCUACAAUGACUAACACCGUUCCUAGUGCUAACUUGGCUGGGGAUGAAACACAAUUGAGCCGAAUAAGAUUGAAGGCAAAUCUCAAAAUGGAGAGAAAGCUAAGGUGCAAGAUGAAGAUAUUUGUCGAGACUUGAAGUUGUUAUGUCCUUGGUUUCUUCUUAUUUUAUGGACUGUUUUGGGAGCCAUUUUCAUUUGGUUUGUGCCAUUACUUUGUGGUCAAAUUCCUCUCAAGAUAGAGAGGAUGAUACAAACCCGAUCACGAAGAUGGACACUUUUGAGUAUUUUGAAUGCAACAUACAGAGUGUAUGAGUUGAAAUGUAAAAAAGGCUCCAAAGUCGCCCUUCUAUUGCACUCCAUGGGUUCCAUUUUGUUCUUUUAACACUAAGGGGCACUUUUUUUAUUUUGUAUCUUAUUGUAAUAAGUCUAUAAAUAGAACAUGUUAGGGUUUUAGCUCAUUAGUUGUUGAAUGUUGAUGAUAGAACACAUCUCUUGAGAGAGAGAGCCUCCCUAGGCCGAAACUAGGAUAUAAGCAAGUGUGGAUUCACUUGUGAAUGUGUAUUGCUUGGAAACGAUGGUUCUUGAGUGAUGGAAUCCCUCUCGUGUCUUCGUAAGAGUGUGGUGUUGCUAUCAUAAGUUCUAGGGGUCCUUAGAUUUAAUAUAUCUUUGGGUUCAUGGGUAUUAUUGUAGUGUAUGUCUCACUAUCUAUCUCUACAUUUUAUGUCUUAGUGUUGUUUAGGGAAACCGUUGGUUUUUGUUGUUCAUGUAUCUUGUAACCGUUUGUUAUUGUUAUUAUCCUUAUCAUAUUAUUGUCUAUCUUCUUGUGUUCAUCAUGUUUUAGUGGCUGUUUUGGUGUAUAAAUACACCUUGUUUCCUUGUAUUUUUGUGUUGCAGUUGUUUGAUAGAAACUAGCUCUCAAAGGGGUCCUCAGAUUCCUCUUAAUUUGUGGACUAUUUUGAGCCUUUUCUUGUGUUCCUUGGUCUUCUUGUAUCAAAAAUCCACCCACAACUCGCCGGAAUCCAGCCUAUUCUAGUCAGUUUCUUGCAUUAUUAGCUCAUCAGAGUAGAUUUAUCAAGGUUCUCAGUUCUCCGUCGAGAAUUGGGUUUGAGUUUCGUCGUUGUUGUUUGAAACGGGUCGGUCAAUUUUGUUCAAUUUAGUUUGGGUUUUGGGUUAUUGAAGUCAGGAGUUCGUUGUUGGGGAGUUUCUGUUUAAGGUAUUUCGGCGCCACUCUAUCAAACAGUUCAAUUGAAAUAAUACGUAAAAUUUGAGGUCCAUUUCCAAUCUUUGCUUUUUUACUUAUUAUUUCUUUGUUCAUAAUAUUCAGUGUUAUGGUUUGGACGUUGUGUAUUGUUUGAGCAUUGUCGAUGGUGAAUAAUUGCUUGAUUUUUUAUUCAUUGAUUGAUUCCGUUGAUUAUCAAUUGCAUGAUGAAAUAGUAUUUCACAUUUAAGAAUUAAAAUUGGUUGUUUGGGGAUGAGUGGAACGAGAACUGACACUUGAUAAAAAUGUUAAUUUUGGUUGGUUUGAUUCAUGAGUUAUUGUUUGACUUGAAAUGAACAUUAAUCAAACUUGAUAGUAUCAUAAUAUGUUAAAAUGGAAAGGCAAACGUAAGUUGGGUAGACAAAGUUUAGAAUUUAUGGUUUUGUUGAAUGGUUUGGUUUUGUCACAUUGAAAAGAUGUAUUUAUUUUGCCGAGGGAUGCCUUAGGACCUUUUGUGCUUAUUUACCAGGGAAUGUACCGACGUAUCAUGUACGUAAAAGAGGUUUGUGUUGAAGGCCCGAGGCCCAGGGUAUAACAUUAGAGUAUAGUUUAGGAUUAGUGUAGGUUUAAUUUUCAAUACUUUUUUACUUCGGUUUGUAAUAAUUGGACUGAACAUUAUAUUUUGGAUUUAUUUUGUUUCGUGUGUUUGAUUGAUUAUUUUUAUGUGUUUUGUGUGGUUUAUACAUCCGUAGUGCUAAAUUAGCCGAAACAUUCCAUCAAGCGACCAUGGUCGAACCACGGGAUCGAGGGGUGCCUAACACCUUCCCCUCGGUCAACAGAAUUCCUUAGUUGGAAUCUCUAUUCACUGAUCAGUUUUAGAGUUAAAAUGUUUAAGGAUUUUUCAAAGGUCACUUGGCACACUAGGUUAUGCCAAGUGGCGACUCUGAAUAAAAAAUAUAAAUAAUCCUUCUUCGAAAUAAAUUUUCAAUCAUUUUAUCAUUUUAAUCAUAAAAACCCUUUCGAAACUUAAAAUGAAUCUUUUUUAUCGAUUAGAAAAGGGGUGUGACAGCUCUGGCGACUCUGCUGGGGACUUUUCAGAAUUCGAGCUUAUUUUUGGAAUUGUAUCGGCUUAGUUUGACAUCAUAGGUUUAUAAACAUUGUUUGUGUUAUCGUUUGUGUUGUCGUUUGUGUUAUUGUUUUUGAGUGCCUACGUGCUCUUCGUUUAUAGUUUUUCUCUUAUGUGUUACCAUUUUAUAUCUGGCAAUAUGUGCAUAACCCGAGUCAAUUCUUUCUGCAACAAGUUCUGUAGUACACGCUAUGUACACGACCUAUAAUUGAGUCACCAUUAUUUUAGGAGGGGGAGCCGUUGGCUGGUAUGGAGUAGGUGGAAAGCAAAGCAGCCACUAUCAACCAUACGUUCCCCUGAAUAGCCUUAUUAGUGAACUCCAGCGUAGGUCGCCUUUAGGUCAUGCUUAUGUGCAUCAUAUUGAGAUCUACCAGGGCCCACUUGGUCCUUUGUAGGAGACUCACCUCUAAAGCAUCCCUAUGUGCUAAAUGUUGCAUCUUGGAGGGUAAUAAGGUCAUUUGACAGACUGAUUUGGGCAAAAACAUGUGUUAGAAGUAAAGUAUGUAUGCAAGAAAUUAUUGAAAAAAAAGUGAAAAGAAGAGAGUUUCGUAGUUUUUUAGAGUUACUUUAUGGCUUUUAUUUUUUUUUAUAAUUCAAAAAUUCAAAAUGAUUUUCUUUCCUUUAUCACACAUUUAUUCAAAAACAAAAAAAUCCUCAAAAAGAUUUUCCUUUUAUCUCCUUUAGCAUGCAUUCAUAAUUCAAAAAAUUUCAAAAAUAUUUUUAGAAGAUUUUUAUAAAAUGAAAAUUCAAAAAAAAAAUGGCAGAAGUUUUGUACAUUUCAUAUAACGAAAAUAUCAAAAAGAUUUUCUCUUUCAUAGUUGUUGGUGUCAGUCUUAUGUGAAGUGUCAAACUAAAAACUCAAAAAGAUUUUUUUGUUUUUCAUCUUCUAUUUGUGGUCGCGUUUCUCAAGUCAGGGUUCAGUUGGUUAUUUAAUCCUUAAUUGUCCUAUCUGGACAAACUACACACCCCUAAUUCUCCUCUUUCAGGAGUGAGAUACGUAGGUAGCCUAUUGUUGGUUCGGAGAUCUUAUUUGAAAAAUCCAAAAAGAUGUUCUUCACUCUUUAUUUAGAGUAAGUGUUUCAUGUACAUCUUUAAAAGAAAACUGCAAAAUGAUUUUCCUUUAAUAGGUUCAAGUUUGAUUUUCAUAUGAAAUUCAAAAUUCAAAACCCAAAAAAAAAAAAAAAAUUCUUUGGUAAUCAUAGAUUUCAUUUUGUAUAGGGUUGUUAAAGCUGAAAAAUUCAAAAAGAUUUUCGUCAAUUCUUUUGACAAAUUGUUAUUUUCUUUUCUUCUUAAAGUUUUAAGGAAUAGAAAAAGAGUUUAAUUUGGCCAUUUUGGAAAGACUUCACGAAGUACGCACACCUGAUUCUCCUCUCUGGGGGUGAGACACGUAGGCGCCCUUCUUGGGUUCGGUGUCAUUUUAAAAAAAGAUUUUGAGAAAGUAUUGAACUCUAACGCAUUUGCUAUUGCUUGUUCAGUUAGUUUGAGGUGGUUGGUUUGUGGCAUUUUGGAUAGUCCUCCAUAUUGCACCAAGUCACAGAGAAAGUUAUGGCCAACAAGGAUACCGAGUUUGUUGUCACUAAUCAGAUAAGGAGUUCGGGAAAUGAGAAUUUAGGAUCAAAUGAAGAUAUUCAGAAAUUAAGGCAGCAAAUGAUAGAAAUGCAUUGAGUUUGGGCUAAUAGGUUGCCGCCUCCCCAGUUCCCACUAAUAAUUUGGAAUAUCUUUUUAGCUUGCCUCCCGUAUCACCUGCCCAAUUUCUCAUUUUUAUUGAUAUGCCACAACAUGCAUAAGAAUCAACUCUGGGGCAACAAUAUCCAACUACUUCAAAUGUUUAUUUCCUCAUUCCCCAAUCCAAGACUACCACAUACUCAUCUCCAUCUAUUUUUCAUGCUUUUAUGGCACCACCUCCACCUGAAGCUUCUAUUUUUUAUGUUCAUCCAAAAGUUUUGUCUCCCUACUCUUCAAGAAAGCCUGUAUUGAAUAUUACUGGUGAUCAGCGUUACACUUUUGAGACUACAUUCAAGUUGACUGGUCUUUAUGGUGACACUCACCCACCUGAAUUUCCUCCUAAUACUGAGAAGCGUAUUAUGAAAGAAGAACGAGAUGAAAUAACUAGAAAAUUGAGAAAUUUGGAACUGGCUAUGAGGAACUUGCAAGGACUUGGGGGUUACAAAAGUUUCUCAUAUAAAGACUUAUGCAUGUUUCCAGGUGUCAACCUUCCUCCGGGUUUUAAAAUGCCAAAGUUUGAGAAAUAUGACGGAUAUGGAGUCCUAGUGGCACAGUUGAGGUGCUAUCAUAACCAAUUAAGGGUCGCUGGAGGGAAGGAAGAACUACUCAUGGCUUAUUUUGGGGAGAGUCUUUCAGGCCUAGCUUCAAAAUGGUUUGUUGACCAAGACAUUGACAAGUGGAUUAGUUGGGAUGACCUAGCUAAUGAAUUUGUGCAACAAUUUCAAUACAAUAUAGAUUUGAUCCCUGACGAAAAAUCCCUAACUAGUAUAAAAAAGAAGAACUCUGAAAAUUUCAGAGAAUAUGCGAUUAGAUGGCAUGAACAAGCGGCUAGAAUAAAACCUCCAAUGAAAGAAAGUAAGAUAGUUGAGGUAUUUAUUCAAGCGUAGGACGAAAUUUAUUAUCAACACUUGUUACCUACAUUAGGCAAGCCAUUUAUUGAGGUCCUUAAAAUGGGGGAGAUGACAGACGAGGGAAUUAAGACUGGUUGCAUUGUGAGUUUUGCAACAUUGAAAGCGACUACUCAAGAAAUUCAAAAUGGUUCAGGAAGUUUUGGGGCGAAAAAGAAUGAGGAAGAUGCAUCUGCUAUUGUAGUUGGAUAGCAGGAAAGGUCAAGGAAACCACGUCAUCGUCGCUCUCAGGCUCAAACCCAAGUUCAUGCCUAAGCUCCAAAUAAUCACUCCAAAAAUUCCAUUAUACUUUGCUUCUCCACAUUCAUAUCUAGUAUAUAACGCAUAGAUAUAUGUUCAACCCCCAUCUUACUCACAGUGGAACACACCAACUUCUCAGAGUCGUCCUCUGACUCCACAAAUAUACCAAAACCAUUCUAAGCCUAAUUUUUAAUCUAAGCCAAAUGACAAAAUGAGGCAGAAGUCGAGAGAUAGAUUCACACCAAUUAGAGAGUCGUAUGCCAGUUUAUUUCAGAGAUUGGUACAGUGAGGCAUGAUCACUCCUCUCUUUGGGCACACUCUUAAUCGGUGUUGAAGAAAAUUUGAUCCUAACGUGCGAUGUGCGUAUCAUUGUGAUGUUCAGGGUCAUUGUAUUAAAGAUUGUCGAGAUUUGAAAAGAGAAAUUGAAAAGAUGAUUCAAGAUAGAUCAAUUAUGAUGCAAAACAUUGAAAGUGAGGAAAGCUCUAGUCAUGCUCAUAUGCAAACCAGUGGGUUAGUUGUUAGGCUGAGCAAUUAAGAAGUCAUCUCUCUCCCUACUAGGAAGUGGUUUGGUAGUUUGUUCUGUUUUCUUUUCUGUUAUCUGAAUUAUUUUAGGGUUUUAGUUUGGGAUCUGUUUUGUUUUGUACCUUUUUCAUUAUGUUCAAACCCUUCUAUCUUUCAUUUUAAUAGAAUGAAGUGUCCCCUUUUUUUCCUGUGUUUUAAAUAUGUGUUGUUUGUUUGUUUUCUUUAUACAGUACAUUUUAUGUUGAUUUUAGUGAUAUGAAAUGCUAGCGGAAUUUUUAGCCAGAUCUUAAAAUCUAACUUAACCAUGAAACAUUGAAUCGGAGGGCUAAAGUUAGGAAAAACAUCUGAGAAAAUAGGUGGAGUGCUGAGACAUUUGGUGACAAGUUGAAGCCUUCUUUGAAAAUUAAGGCAAUUAUUUGAGAAUCACAAGAAUAACUUGGUCAUCAAUUGAAAAACAUAGCUCAAUUAGGUCAAAUAGCGGAUGUGUGCUCCCGAGGAACAGAACAAAAACCAACUCCAUGAAAGCAUGAGACAUUCAAUGUGAGGGAUGUACAACAAAUGUGAAGUUGUUGUUCGACAAAUGCAGAGGAAGAGGUGGCACAUAUUCUCGGGGAAAGUUAGUGUUGUAAAACGCGUCAUAAGUGAUAUUGAUUGUGUACUUUUACAUUGCAUGCUAUGUAUUGUAUUUUCAAGGAUUGAUAUGACAAAGACAUUUCAUUCUGCUAUCCAGAUAUUGUGACAUCCUUUGUUUAUCCCAUUUGAGCCUUAGUAUUAUUUUCUUUCAUUCCCCUUUUUUGGAAUCAAGAUAGAGUCAGCUAAACUCAAAAGAAAAGUAUCAAGCAAAAUAGUAGAGUCAGAAAAAAAAUAUGUCCAAAAAGAAAGUAAAAAAGAAGAGUGACGAGACAAAUAGAAUCAGAAAGUUUCAAAGAGAAAAAAAGUCAAUAAAAGAGAAAAGCAAAAAAAAAUUUGAAUCAAGCAAACGAACAAGUUGCCAGAACUACGCAUGACCUGAUUCUCCUCUCUCAGGGGUGAGAUACGUAGGCUGCCCUACUCUGGGCUCGAUCCAACCAAAUAAAUAAUUUAGAAUUUCCCAGUCAAAAGAAAGUGGGGCAUGAGUUAAUCCUCAUUGUUUGAGUCAAUUUUAAAAGUUGUAAGUCCUACCCUACUUCAAGUGUCAUUUGGGCCCCAUGCCAUCAUUUCUUUCUAACCCUAUCUAAAAGCCAAGUUACAACCAAAGAAAAACCUUCAGAUCAAUCUUUGAGGAUGUAAGGGUUACGCAUGCAAGGGAUAUGAUGAUGCAUUUGGGAACUACUUGUCUUCCUCAGCAUAAAAAAUCAGGAGAGAAAUAAAAAUGACAGAGUCUUAUUGAUGAAAACCCUCACGGGCAUUGUAUAAUGAUGGUAAGUUGAGAGAGAUAAAAAUGAGAGAGUCUUAUCGGUGAAAACUCUCACGGGAACCGUAAGACGACUAUGAGUUAAGGGAAAUGAAGAUAAGAGAGUCUCAUUAGUGGAAAACCCUUAUAGACACCAUAAAGCAAUGGUGAGCUGAGGAAAAAAAAAUGAGAGAAGCUUGUUGGCGAAAACCAUUUAAGGUGCCCGACGUAUCAUGUACGCAAAGGAGGUUUGUGUUGAAGGCCCGAGGCACAGGGUAUAGCAUUGGAGCAUAGUUUAGGAUUAGUGUAGGUUUACUUUUAGUACUUUUUUUACUUCGGUUUGUAAUAAUUGGACUGAACAUUGUAUUUUGGAUUUGUUUUGUUUCACGUGUUUGAUUGAUUGUUUUUGUGUUUUGUUUUCUUUAUACACCCGUAGUGUUAAAUUAGCCGAUACAUUCCACCAAGCGACCGUGGUCGAACAACGGGAUCGAGGGGUGCCUAACACCUUUCCCUCGAUCAACAGAAUUCCUUAGUUAGAAUCUCUGUUUGUAGAUAAGUUUUAGAGUCAGAACGUUUUGAAAAGGAUUUUUCAAAGGUCACUUGGCACACCGGAUUAUGCCAAGUGGUGACUCUGAAUUAAAAAUGUAAAUAAUCUUUCUUCGAAAUAAAUUUUCAAUCAUUUUAUCAUUUUAAUUAAAAACUCUUUCAAAGCUUAAAAUGAAUCUUUUUUUCGAUUAGAAAAGGGGCGUGACAACUUUGGCGACUCCGCUGGGAACUUUUUAGAAUUCGAUCUUAUUUUUGAAAUUGUAUUAGCUUAGUUUGACAUCAUGGGUGUAUAAACAUUGUUUGUGGUAUCGUUUGUGUUAAUGUUUAUGAGUGCCUACGUGCUUUUUGUUUAUAGUUUUUCUCUUAUGUGUUACCGCUUUAUAUCUGGCAUCAUGUGCAUAACCCGAGUCAAUUCUUUCUGCAACAAGUUUUGUAGUACACGCUGUGUACACGACGUAUAGUUGAGUCAUAUUUAUUUUAGGAGGGGGAGCCGUUGGCUGGUAUGGAGUAGGUGAAAAGCAAAGCAGCCACUAUCGACCAUACGCUCCCCUGAACAGCCUUGUUAGUGAACUCCAGCGUAGGUCAGCCUUUAGGUCAUUUUCAUAUAAAAUUCAAAAUUGAAAACCCAAAAAAAAAAAAUUCUUUUGUAAUCAUAGAUUUCAUUUUGUAUAGGGAUGUUAAAGCUGAAAAAUUCAAAAAGAUUUUCGUUAAUUCUUUUGACAAAUUGUUAUUUUCUUUUCUUCUUAAAGUUUCAAGGAAUAGAAAAAGAGUUUAAUUUGUCCAUUUUGGCAAGACUUCACGAACUAUGAACACCUGAUUCUCCUAUCUAGGGUGAGAUACGUAGGCGCCCUUCUUGGGUUCGGUGUUCUUUAAAAAAAGAUUUUGAGAAAGUGUUUAACUCUAACGCAUUUGCUAUCACUUGUUCAGUUAGUUUGAGGUGGUUGGUUUUUGGCAUUUUGGAUGGUCCUCCUUAUUGCACCAAGCCACAGAGAAAGUUAUGGCCAACAAGGAUAAUGAGUUUGUUGUCAUUAAUCAGAUAGGGAGUUCAGGAAAUGAGAAUUUAGGAUCUAAUGAAGAGAUUCAGAAAUUAAGGCAGCAAAUGAUAGAAAUGCAUCGAGCUUGGGCUAAUGGGUUGCCGCCUCCCCCAGUUCCUACUGAUAAUCUAUAAUAUCUUUCUAGCUUGCCUCCCGUGUCACCUGCCCAAUUUCCCAUUUUAUUGAUAUACCACAACAUGUAUCAGGAUCAACUCUGGGGCAAUAAUAUCCAACCACUUCUAAUGUUCAUUUCCUCAUUCCUCAAUCCAAGAGUACCACAUACUCGGCUCCACCUGUUGUUCUUACUUUUGUGGGGCCACCCCCACCUGAAGCUUCUAUUUUUUAUGUUCAUCCACAAGUUGUGUCUCCCUACUCAACAAGAGAGCCUGUAUUUAAUAUUACUGGGGAUUAGCGUUACACUUGUGAGCCAAUAUUCAAGUUGACUGGUCUUUAUGGUGACACUCACCCGCCUGAAUUUUCUUCUAACACUGAGAAGCCAGUUAUGACAUAAGAACAAGAGGAAAUGACAAGAAAAUUGAGAAGUUUGGAACUGUCUAUGAUGAACUUGCAAGGACUUGAGGGUUACAAAAGUGUCUCAUAUAAAUACUUAUGCAUAUUUCCAGGUGUCAACCUUCCUCCCAAUUUUAAAAGGCCAAAGUUUGAGAAAUAUGAUGAACAUGGGGACCCAGUGGCACAGUUGAGGUGCUAUUGUAACCAAUUAAGGGGCGCUGGAGGGAAGGAAGAACUACUCAUGGCUUAUUUCGGGGAGAGUCUUUCAUGCCUAGCUUCAGAAUGGUUUGUUGACCAAGACAUUGACAAGUGGAUUAGUUGGGAUGACCUAGCUAAUGAAUUUGUACAACAAUUUUAAUACAAUGUGGAUUUGAUCCCUGAUGAAAAAUCGCUAACUAGUAUAAAAAAGAAGAACUCCGAAAGUUUCAGAGAAUAUGUUAUUAGAUGGCGUGAACAAGCGGCUAGGGUGAAAUCGCCAGUGAAAGAAAGUAAGAUAGUGGAGGUAUUUAUUCAAGCGCAGGACGAAAUAUAUUAUCAAAACUUGUUACCUGCAUUAGGCAAGCCGUUCAUUGAGGUCCUUAAAAUUGGGGAGAUGACAGAAGAAGGAAUUAAGACUGGUCGCAUUAUGAGUUUUGCAACAUUGAAAGCGACUACUCAAGCAAUUAAAAAGGGUUCAGGAAGUGUUAGGGAGAAAAAGAAUGAGGAAGAUGAAUUUUCUAUUGUAGUUGGACAGUAGGAAACGUUAAGGAGACCACGUCGUCUUCGCUCUCAGGCUCAAACCCAAGUUCAUGCCGAAGCUCCACAUAAUCACUCCCAAAAUCCAUUAUACUCUGCUCCUCCACCUCCAUAUCUAGUAUAUAACGCAUAACUACAUGUUCAACCCCCCAUCUUACCCACAGUGGAACACACCAACUCCUCAGAGUCAUCUUCUAACUCCACAAACAUACCAAAACCCUUCUAAGCCUGAUUUUCAAUCCAAGCCAAACGAUGAAAUAAGGUAGAAGUUGAGAGAUAGCUUCACACCAAUUGGAGAGUCGUAUGCCAGUUUAUUUCAGAGAUUGGUACAGUGGGGCAUGAUUACUCCUCUCUUUGGGCACACUCUUAAUCGACGUUCAAGAAAUUUUGAUCCUAACAUACGAUGUACGUAUCAUUGUGAUGCUUAGGGUCAUAGUAUUGGAGAUUGUCGAGAUUUGAAAAGAGAAAUUGAAAAGAUGAUUCAAGAUAGAUCAAUUAUGAUGCAAAACAUUGAAAGUGAGGAAAGAUCUAGUCAUGUUGCUAUGCAAACCAGUGGAUAAGUUGUCAGGCUGAUCAAAAGAAUUUCUUAGUCGAAAUCUCUAUUCGCAGAUCAGUUUUAGAGUCAAAACAUUUUGAAAAGGAUUUUUCAAAGAUGACUUGGCACACCAGAUUAUGCCAAGUGGAGACUCUAAAUAAAAAAUGUAAAUAAUCCUUCUUCGAAAUAAAUUUUCAAUCAUUUUGUCAUUUUAAUUAUAAAAACCCUUUCGAAGCUUAAAAUGAAUCUUUUUUCGGUUAGAAAAGGGAUGUGACACCAUGAUUAUAAAAGAAAUUAUAAAAAAUGUGUCUACCAAAUUGUGAUGACCACAUAACUUUGUGAUUUUAUCUUCUCCAUCUUUCGAUUCAAUUUUCUUUUCAAAAUUAAAUUAAUGGUAAUGGUAGAGAUUCGUGCUGAUAAUGUGUUAUGAAAUAUAAAUAAAAAACAACAAGAAUAAAUAGAGAAAGAAGACUUCUUUACUUUUCUUGAGGGAUGAGAGAUUAUAAGAUUGAUAAUACAAUGAACAAAAUAAAAGUACUCUUAGUUUCUGACUAAAAGACAAAUACUUCAAAUCCUGAUAGAUAUCAACUAAAUUUUGAUAGAUCUUAUUAGAUCAUGAUAGACAUUCACUAUAAUGUAAAUACAUUUAUAGAAAAUUCUUAAUUUUCUCCUUAAUGUUUUAUACCCUUUUUACUAUGAAAACCCUUCAAAUCCCCCAAUGAACAAAGUGAAAAGAAAAAAAGAAAAUACGGUAAAAGGAUUAUAAGUAAUCCUAAAUUUCUUCUUCUUUCAUUUCCUUAAAAAAUUUCUUUUUAUAUUAGUUAAUCCUUUCAAAAAAAAUUUAUAGUGUUGCCUUUUCAUAAAUUUCUCUCAUAUGCUUUUUUAGUUCUUUCAUACUUUCUUUUCUUUAAUAUUAAUAAUUAUUUUAAAUUGCUUUCACCGCGUAAAUUUCUAUCAGAUUGUUGAAAUUCACAUUUUAUUCUUAAUUUUUUCAUAAACUACUAUUUUUUUUCCUUGUUUUUUUGUCAAUAUAAAUUUUAUCCGUGAAACAAAUUUUAUACAUUAGUCAAUGUGAAUUUCAUGUUUUCAUUCAUGAUUUUUUAAAUUCUUUUUGUAGGAAUAACAAAUUCAAUGAAUAACUUUCAUACACAGUUGAUAUAAAAUAGUUAUCUAAAGUUUUAUGAAAAUCAUAUUUUAUACCUUUCUAUGUGUAUUUAUUAACGAAUAAUAUAACUUGCUAGCAACUAACAACGUCGAAUGAUACAUCAAUUUACUUACAAAAUUAAUAACCCAGAAAAUAAAAUACACCUAAAUUAGUUAAAUUUAGCAUAUUUUCAACACAAUAUAUACAUUAACCAUGUUUAUUUAUAUCCAUGAUUUUUUUAAUGUAAUAGCAAAUUUAGUGAACAAUCUCGUAUUCAUGAUUCACAUCAGUUUGUAUAUAAACUUCUUAAAUACAAACAUGUAUAAACAAAAAAAAAUUAAAGAUACAUAAAUUUAUAUAUAGAUUUUAAACACGUAACAAAUAAAAAAAAAACGUAAGCUAAUUAUAUGUACCAUAUUUUAUACACAUUUCAUAUACUAAAAUAUGUGCAAGUAAGACUUGAGUGGACUAUUGAUAUUUUAUAUUGAUUUUAUCCAGACUUCAUACACGAAUAUUUUGAGAAAAAUUCUAAGUAAUUUGUAUAUGAACUAUUUUGAAUACUGAAUAUUGAAAAUAUAUAUUGAAAAUCAUUAAAAAUAUUCUUAAAAUUUUUGAAAAUUCUAAGUAAUUAGUAUGAACUAUUCUUAAAAUUUUAAAAAUUGAAUCUUGAAAUAUAUAUUGAAAACCAUUAAAAAUAUUGAAACAUUUUAAUUUUGAAUAGUUAAUGUCAUUUGAAAUAAGAAAAAAAAAACAUCUAAGAGAGAAAUUAGGAAUGGUUGAUAAUAAUUUUAGGUAAGCGACUCUCUCUCUCCUCUCUCCAUUCAACUCUGAUAUAAACUUAGGGAAGCCACGGUUGUACCUAUCUCUCCUAGUCUAUGAUUGUGGGAGAACCAAACCCUACUUCUAAUCCAUAAAUGUCAUAUUUUGUAUUGCCAAAUCCAAGACAAGCUGCCCAAAAUAUGAUGAGAACUCAGCAAAAAUCAAUUAAAUAUAUUCAUGGUGAACCUACACUGAAGUUUACAAUGGAGGAAAGAGAAGCAUUUGCUAACGAGGAAGGGUUGCAUAGAAUAAUUGUGAUUAGACUCUCUUCAGGUGCACCAUAUUUGAAGGACCUAAGAACAUUGCUUCAGGUAGCGGUGUGGAUUUCUUUGCCAAACUUGGCUCCAGAUCUUUUUUCCAAGAGGUCAUUAUUGUCUAUAGCAACAAUAAUCGGAAAACCAAUAGCUAUAGACAAAGCAACACAAGUUAAGUCCAUACCAAACACCGCCAGGGUUAAGGUGAUCCUAGACCUACUGGAAAAACUUUCGAAGCGAAUAACAUUUCAAUAUUUGACCAGGCAAUAAAAUUGGUUAGUGUUUAGAGAAUUUUCAGGAAAUUGUUUAUGAUAAUCUAACCUUGUAUUGUAAUUUUCGCAAACACUAAGGACAUAAUGAAGGUACAUGUCGGUUGAUAUUGAAAAAAAACUAGAUACUAUCCAGAAUGCAGGUGGUGAAGGUUGUGAUGAAGAAAAUACUAGAGAAAAAUUUCAAGAAAAUUUAAGAGAAUUUUUGAAUGAGAGGAAAGGGUGGGAAGAUGGUAAUAGAAGACCUCAUAGAAAGAACCAACAACGAGACUUGUUGGCAAGUUCCCAUCCAAAUGUUGAGGUCCAUAACAAUGUUGCUAAGUUUGUUAGGGUUUUUGCCCUGAUUUUCUUACCAAAAUUAAGUUCUACUUUUUAUUGAAAGGAAAAUAAAAGUAACCAUAAUUACUUUACUUUUUCUGAAAGGAAAAUAUAAAAAUUUUCCAUAUUUGGCUAACCUCUUUCUAACAGUAAAGGUUUUAAACAUCUAUAAAUAGAAGAUCCCCUUCUCAUGCCAUAACAUAAUAAAAUUCACAAUGUAGUCAUUUAAAGAGUCUUGUUUAGGGGAGAUUUUAUCCCAAUAGAUUUUAAGUUUAUUUUGAUUUAGUUUUAAAUAUGUAGGCCAAUUGGCCAAAUCAUAUUCAAUAAUAUGUUUUUAGUAUAUUUUUGUGUCAUCUGAUUAAUCAUCUCUAUGGUUUGCAAACUUUAAGCGUCCGCAUGAUGCCCUCUCGAUUUCGAUCCCAACAAGUGGUAUCAGAGCCUACAGUUCAAAGAUCCAAUGAAUUGAUGAAACGAGAUUAAACAGGUUCAAAGCGGUUUCAAAUCAAGUUGCAACCAAUUUGGCGAUAAUGAUGUCUUUGUCCAAUUACAUGUGGAGAUGAUAUUUCAAUCAUAUUUUCAUAUAUUUAAAAAUAAAGCUUAAUUUUAACCCUACAAAGGGUUCCAAUAUUUUUAACCCAAAAAUGACUCAUAUACUUUUAACCCAAAAGCUCCAUUUUUAAGCAUGUCAAGACUAUGUGAUGAACAAAUAUCAAAGAUGUGAGAAGGCAGAUCAAGUGAAGAAAAUCAAGCCAAAAAGGAGUGAUUUGUUAGGUUUUUGCCCUGAUUUCUUACCAAAAUUAAGUUUUACUUUUUUUUUGGAAGGAAAAUAAAAGUAACCAUAAUUACUUUUACUUUUCCUGAAAAUAUAAAACUUUUUCAUAUUUGCCUAACCUCUUCCUAAGAGGAAAUAUUUUGGACAUCUAUCAAUAAAACACCCCUUUAUCAUGCCAUAACAUAAUAGCAUUCACAAUGUAGUCAUUUAAAGAGUCUUGUUUAGGGGGAGAUUUUCUCCCAAUAGAUUUUAAGUUUAUUUUAAUUUAGUUUUAAAUAUGUAGGCCAAUUGGCCAAAUCAUAUUCAAUAAUAUGUUUUAGUAUAUUUUUGUGUCAUCUGAUUUAUCAUCUCUAUGGUUUGUAAGCUUUAAGCUUCCGCAUGAUGGCCACGAUUUCGAUCCCAACAAAUUUUGUUGCGUUGAAUGUUGAUUCUCAGCACCAACAAACUGUUGUAAAUAAUAGCAAAAGGUGAUAUGGAUGCAUGUGAGUUGAUGGUUCAAUCUUAAGAGAAUUCUAAGGUCUUAGUCUCUUCAUAGAAAGCUAAAUAUGAACUACAAGCGAGGAACUUAAUUGUUGAACAACACAUUGAUGAACAAGAUCAUAAUACAUCUUUAAAACCUCCAAAUUUGAUGGCCGGUGAGACAUCACAGUUAGAUAUGCACCAUAUUCACGAUGUUGUGGCGAGUAGUGAAAAUUCUGUGCAGUAUUCGUUGUUGAAUAUCUCUAAGAAAUCAUUGGAUAAAAAUUCGAAAGUUGAUAAUUUGCAGCUCUCUUCUAAUUCAACUCAGUUUGAACAUUCCAUUAGUAAAAAGCAUGCUAUUGGUGAUGAAUCAACAAACAAAAUCAAGGAUGUCGAUAAUAGUAUUGGUAAAGACUAGACUGUGAUGGAACAUAAAAAAUAUUUAGGCAUUUGAAUUGGCUCUCCCUGCUCGCGUUAAUGUGCAGCUAGCAAGGAAUGUUCCAUGUGCUCGAGCUUCUUCCCCAAAGGACAUUUCUCUUCCAAAUCCUUUUGAUCUUCUCUCAGAUAAAGUUGGGUAUAAAAUUAAUUGGCAUAAUACAUAAAUAUGACCCUAAACUUGAAACCAAAUUAUAAAUUUCAGCUUAAACUUUGAUAGUGCACAAAUAUGACCUUUAACUAUUCAAAACUGGACAAAUAUAACCUACGAUCCUGUGUGGCAAAACUGGUCGCGUCCAGCUUAAAAUCUAAGGGAAUAAUACAUAAAUAUGACCCUAAUCUUGACACCAAAUUAUAAAUUUGACGUUAAACUUUGACAGUGCACAAAUAUGACCUUUAACUAUUCAAAACUGCACAAAUAUGACCUUUAAAUGACUUUUCACGAUUAUUUUUUCAUUAUUUUUGGAUCAAAGAUGAAAAUGGUAUCUAAUUUCUUUUGUCAUGGCGGAAAAAGACCAAUAUUAAAGAUUUAUUAAUUAGGUGGGUCAGCCUCAUACGAAAAAAUCGUUCAGGUAUGUAUAUAUAUUAUAAAGUAAAGGGCGAAUUUAUGUUAUAUAAUAUAUCUAAAUAUAAUUUAUUUAAUCAUUAAAUUAAAGAUGAAACUAUACUAAUGAUUUUCUUUUUUUAUAGUUUUAAUAACGUUAUUAAAUUAACGUUAUUAAGGAUAGUAGUAGUAGUAUAUUAAAUUAACGUUAUUAAAAUGUUAUUAUUAAAUUAAAGUUAUCAAAACGUUAUUAAAUUAAUGCAGGGGCGGACCUACGUGGUUGCCAUGGGGUUCACCCGAACCCCUUCGGUAAAAAAAUUAUGUUGUAUAUAUAAGGUAGAAAAUCUAUAUUUAUGUACGUAUAUUAAUGUUGAACCACAUGAUAAUAAUAAUAAUAUAAUAAGUAAUAAAAAUGAUGUCAUUUUAACACAAAAAGCAAAACUUUGAUAGUGCACAAAUAUGACCUCUAACUAUUCAAAACUGCACAAAUAUGACCUCCCUCCAAGUCAGCCAUUUUAACGACGUGGCACCAUGUGAUUGGAUGAGCUUUCCACGUAGCUGCGAGUGAAACUCACGCAUGGGGUUGCAAAAUUAGAGAUCAUAUUUGUUCAGGUUUUGAAUAGUUAAAGGUUCUAUUUGUGCACUAUCAAAGUUUAAGGCCAAAGUAAUAAUUUGAUGUCUUAGGGUCAUAUUUAUGUAUUAUACCAAAUUAAUUCAAAUAAUCCUACAAUGUCUGUAUCAAAUUCAGAGGUGGAUAAAGUAUUAAAGAAAAAUCAACAACUAGAUUUUGGGCAGCAACAUAGUGAAUCUGUACAGCAAUUUAUAUCAUCUAUUCAUAUGGAGCAACAAGGUGAUAUUGGCUUUCAUUGAUGGCAGCAGUGGCAGACCCAGGAUUUAAGGCUUGUGGGUGCUUAAAAAAAUAAAAAUCUUAAAAAAUAAAAAAUCACAUCAACAAGGUUUGAACUCGGGAUAUCCCUUUAGUGGAGAAGCUUAAGACCAACGUAAAUGCCAAUGCACCCGACCAACUUUUAUUUUAAUGGGUGCAUUUAUAUGUUUUAUACCGAUUUUUGUAUAUUUUUUAUGUAAUUAUACCUAUUUCACGUCGAGCUUACUGGGUGCCAGAGCACCCCAAAAUUAUAUGUAGGUCUGUCCCUGGAUGGCAGAUUUGGUAAAUAAAGAAGAUGAACAUCAGGCGGAUAAUAUUAGUAGUAAACCUAAUGCUCAAGCUCCAAUUUUUGUCUCAAAUAAGUCAGCAAUUCGUAAUUAUUCAUCAAGUUUCAAGCAAACUUCAGGUGGUGUAUGAAAUUUCCUUUCUCCAAGUCAUAUUGCCAAACAAUUCAUGGGAAGUUGUCUCCAAAGAGUUUUGAAAACCUCCAAAAAAAUAUGAUAUUUAUGGAAAGUGAGGAUGAAGACAUGUUGGAUAUAUGCUUUACAAGUGUAGCUAGGGAUGCUGAUUUCUCUCAUGGACACCAAAUAAAUAGAAAAAUUAAAACAUAUCACGAUAGGAAUCAAAGUUGGGAGGAUAAGGUGAUAGAGGAGUUUGUUCCAAGGCACCACUAGCAAAGCAAAAUCAUGUGACAGUGUCAACAACUUUUAGGAAAGACCCUACAAAUUCAAGAAGUGAUGAAUUUUCAAGUGGUCCUGAACAGGUUCGAAGAAGAAGGCAGGGAUAGAAUAUAUCAAUGUACUUUAGAUGGGUCAACAUUCCUUUUUAGGUCAUACAUUUGUAAAAAGAAGUUCGUGAUUGAUAACACAAACUUCCCAUUCAUUUUUAUAUGAGAUAAUACAUAAAUAUGACCUAAACUUGACACCAAAUUAUAACUUUAACCUUAAACUUUGAUAGUGCACAAAUAGAACCUUUAACUAUUCAAAACCUGAACAAAUAUGAGCUCCGAUUUUGCAAUCCCCAUGCGUGAGUUUCACUCGUGUCUAUGUGGAAAGGUUAUCCAAUCACACUAUGCCACGUCGUUAAAAGGGCUGACUUGGAGGGAGGUCGUAUUUGUGCAGUUUUGAAUAGUUAAAAGUCAUAUUUGUACACUGUCAAGGUUUUUUUUUUGAGUUAAAAUGGUGUCGUUUUAUUAUUAUUAUUAUUAUUAUUAUUUUAUUUAUUUAGGGAUCAAAGCCGCGCAGUAGGCUGAAGGAAGCGCCCAAGAAGAGCAAAUAACAUCACUGGGCUAUCUAAGUGUCUUGUUUCAUGUGGUUCAACAUUAAUAUAAGUACAUAAAUAUAGAUUUUCUACCUUAUAUAUACAACGUAAUUUUUUCACCGAGGGGGUUCGGGUGAACCCCAUGGCAACUACGUAGGUCCGCCCCUACAUUAAUUUAAUAACGUUUUAUUAACGUUAAUUUAAUAAUAUUUUAAUAACGUUAAUUUAAUAUACUACUACUAUGCUUAAUAAUGUUAAUUUAAUAACGUUUUAUUAAAACUAUAAUUUUUUUUAUUAUUAGUAUAGUUUCAUCUUUUAUUUAAUAUUUAAAUAAAUUAUAUUUAGAUAUAUUAUAUAAUUUAAAUUCAUCCUCUGCUUUAUAAUAUAUAUAUACAUAUCCGCGCAAUUUUUUUGUAUGAGGUUGACUCACCUAAUUAAUAAAUCUUCAAUAUUGCUCUUUUUCCGCAAUGACAAAAGAAAUUAGAUGCCAUUUUAAUCUUUGAGCCAAAAAUAAUAAAAAAUUAAUAGUGAAAAGUCAUUUAAAGGUAAUAUUUGUGCAGUUUUGUAUAGUUAAAGGUCAUAUUUGUGCACUGUCAAAGUUUAAGGUCAAAGUUAUAAUUUGGUGUCAAGCUUAGGGUCAUAUUUAUGUAUUAUGCCCUUAGAUUUUAAGUUGGACUCACCCAGUUUUGCAUGUUGAACACACAUUUUGCCACAUAGGAUCAGAGGUCAUAUUUGUGUAGUUUCGAAUAGUUAAAGGUCAUAUUUGUGCACUGUCAAUGUUUAAGGUCAAAGUUAUAAUUUGGUGUCAAGUUUAGGGUCAUAUUUAUGUAUUAUCUCUUUUUAUAUUUUUUCAGUACUUAUGAUGAUCCUAGAAUAUCUAAUUCUCUCUAGUUCUUAUUUUUUACACGUUUGUUGAUUAGUCUAGGUUUUGUUACUUCAUUAAGAAUGGUAAGGUAAGGUCUAACCCCUUUUCUCUUUUGUGGUUUAAUUUUUUUUUUUUUUUAUAAAAAAAGGGUGGUUGAUAUAUUUUGGUAACUAAUGUUUUUUGAUAUAUUUAUGGUAUAUUUUGAUUUUUUCUCCUUUUUCUGAUUUGUAGCUCAAUUAAUAUAAAAUCUAUAACUAAUAUUUAAUAAAGAAUAGAUCUUGUUUGUCCACCUUCAAUUUGAUGGACGUACUAGAUUAAGUCUCAACCUCUAUAAAUUAAUCCUCCCUCUGCUUAUUAGGGUUACCGCAUAUCAUCAAUACAAUUUCAUCGAAGACGUCUCUGAUAACAAUAAUCCAACGACAACAACUUAUUUUGGAGGUAUAGAUGAAGUUCGCGUGAUGCUAGUUAGUCAGAUGAAUAAUAUUGCUAUCGAGAUUGUUGAUUUGCUAAAGUGUAAGCACUAUAAAGGUAACAUCCCUAAAAAUCUAUAUUGAACUUAUAAUCUUUGAUUCUUUGAUAUAAAUAAAUUAUAUGUGAUUUUCUUUCUAAAAGAGAUUUAAUUGAUAUGUUGAUAAUUUUCUCAUCUGCGAUUUUAACAUCAAUCUCUUUUAAAAUUUAAUUUUUAUGUUAUAAAUUUUAAAUUUCUCUUUUCCUAGUUGUCAUAACAUCAUUUCUAUGUUUGUUUAUGCUGUUUUACUAUAGUUAAAAUGAGUUUUAUGUGUUUAUAAAGAAUUGAAUUAGAUACUUUAUUUUGGAUCCUUACUAUAAGCAUUCCACUUACUCAAUUAGCUUUCUCCAUAGCGAGUAUAUGACUUUUCAUAGGAGGACGAUAGUUUUAUCUUAAAAUUUGUAUCCUUUCAAUUUUAUCAAAUCUCCUUGAACGGACACCAUUUUAUUAAUUAUUUAAUCAAAUUAAAAUUGUUUUACGCUUGAUCUUUUUGUUGAAAAAGGGAAGAAUAAAUCAUUUUUGUCAAUAGCUCAAAGUGAUAUAGAAUCGGAGGAAAAAAUAAAUUAAAUCUCUUAAGAAUAAUUUUUAAAGGUGUAGAUCUUUUGACUUUUACAAUCUAUCUAUCAUUUUAAAAUAAUCGUUUGGAUGGUAGAGGCGACACAAGAUUAGGAAAUAGAGCGGGAAGUGAAGGACCAAGAGAAACACUGAUUUGAUUAUUUUUACUAUUGAUCGUGAGAUAAUUUUCUUUUUUUAAUCUUAUAUUAGUCGUAGAAAAUAAAAGCAAGAAAAUAUGAUUUUCAACUUUCAUGGAAAAAAAUUUCCUUUUUAAUUGAAAUUUCCCUCUUAAUUUUGAGGAUUUUUUUCUUCCUCUAUAAAUUAACAUAUUAUUUUAUCAUUUUGACAUCUCAUCCAUCUUUACUUCUAUAAUGUUUUGACUUUAUUCUUUUUUUUCUUAUAUAGUAAAAUUUCAAUAAACUCUAAUAUUUUCAUUAAUUUUUAUUUAAUAUUUUACCUUCGGUAAAAAUAAGUAUAUCCAAUUUUACUCAAUUAUUCACUGUUAGAUUGUCUAGAAUAAAUAGAUAAGUUGAUCCUCUAAUGAAGAUAAUACAACCACUAAAGAAUGUGGUGCAAUGGAUGGGGCUGCUCCUUUCUUAACUAAAGGUCUCGGAUUUAAUUCUUGGGUAUGAAAAAAAUUCUUGAUAGGGAGUGCUUCCUCCGAAUGGACCUCACGCACACGAAUCUAGACCGGGUUCCAAUAUAGAUGCCAAACACUAGAUAGGAAAUAAAAAGAAAAAGAAAAGUAAUACACAUACACAAUAAAGGAAGCGAUAUUGUUAGUGUUUUUUAAUUUUAAUUUUGAAUAUUUUGAUUUUAUUUUUUAAUUUUAUAUUAUAAACAUGAUAUUUUAAUCAAUAGAAUUCAAAUUAAUUUUACUUUUCCAUUUAAACAUAAUAACAAUAAUAAUUCAAAAUACAUAUUCAUGUGUAAGUUUAUUUAAAUAAUCAAAUAUUGGGAAAGUAUGAUUUCAUUAUGAUAGGAUAUUUUAAUUUGAUUUGGAUUCACUUUGUUGAUAUCAAAAACUGAAUUGACCUUUUUUUCAAAAUUUUUGUUUUAAGUAAUUUUCAAACUUGAAAUUUUAUGAUAAUUAUGUGUGACAUCAAUAUGCUUUUUGUAUUCUAUAUAAUAGAUUCAAUUAUUCACUCUAAAUUAUACGUUAAUUAAUUUUAAUGUAAAUAUGUAUAAAAUUGUACAUAUUGAUUGUAAUAUAAGUUUAUUAAUAUGUGCAAUUGCAUGAACUAAAGAGUAGCAAUAAACCCUCAAAAUUAAUAUCAAAAUUAUAUAUGAAAAAUAAAUCUUACUUAUAAUUAUAUAUGAACUAAAGAGUAGCAAUAAACCCUCAAAAUUAAUAUCAAAAUAAAUUAAUAUCAAAAUUAAUUUUGCUUAUAAUUUAUUUUACUGACUUUCAAAAUGUAUUAAUACAAUUAUCAUGGUUGAUACGUGUUCGACAGCAAUGCUAAUGCUUUCGAAAGAAACUACAAAAAUCAAUAUGAUGAUAAUAAAUAUCCACUCGCCGAACCUAUAUUUUUUUAAACUUUUGGCUUGAGUUGUGUCUUUAGAUAUAAUUCCCUAAGUAAUUUUUUUCAUACUCUUUUAGUUAUGACAACAAUUGUGAAUUACCCAAAAAAAUAAAGAUAUCUAUUGUGGAUAAAAUCAAUUAUUUUUAUAAAUACAAAAUAAAAUAAUUUUACUCUAAAAGUCACCAUUAUAUAUCGUUAAAUAGUUCGGAGCUAAAAGAAUUUAACAUAAUCCAUCAUUAAAUAGAAUUAGUAAUAAUUUUUUUUAUUGUUUAGCGACAUAAACUAUCCAUCGCUAACUCAUAUUUUUAGUAUGUUUUGUAAUGUUAUUUUCAUAAUUAAACAAAUUUCAUAAAUAUGUGUGAAGUUAACUAUUUAUAUAAUGUACGAUAUAUUUCAAUUUUAAUUGAUAUCUUCUUAAAAUAAUUGCACAGCUGUAUGUGAUAAACACAAUGAGCUCUUAGAAAAGCAAGCUAUGAAAGAUGGAGCUCAUCUCUAUCUCAAAAAUAACAAGGAUGUUAAGCAAAAGGACGACAUAAAGUGGACUGUGGAUCUUCAUGCCAAAUUCAAGAAAAGUUUGCAAGAACUUGGUGAAGGAAGGAAGUUGAUUUUACUACUAAUUAAUUUCUUUACAAUUUAUUUUAAAAGAGCUACAUGAACAACUAGAAUUUAUACUUAUAUCUAAUAUGACUGAUAUUUACAUGUAUCUUGGCUUGAUUUAAAAAUAUUAUAGUUAUUAAAUUAAUAGCAUACUUAUGGACCAUGUGUAGAAUGUUACCCAAAGGAUAUUCUGGAAAUGAUGAUUGUGCUUGGUCUUACAAGGAUGCAAAUUGCUAGUAAUUUGUAGGUACGUCUUUAAAAAAAUUAAAGUGAUAAAUUAUUUAACUUUUGAAUGCGUUUGUGCAGUUAUUCUGGAAAAAAGAAAUUAUUUUCUAAAAGUUAGUUUCUCAAUUUCUUAUUACAAAAUGUUUUGUUUGAUACAAUUUUUCAUCAAACAGUUGUCUCAGAAGUUUUUUCUACAAAUAUUUAAUUUUAAAAUUUUAUAUUUAUAGAAAAAAAAGAAAAAUCAAUGUUAUAUCACUUUCACCAAUAAAUAUUUUGACAAAUAACUUUCACCAAUAAAUAUUUCGACAUUAUUCAACCUUUAAUUUUGGAAAGACUAAUCAAAACACUCAGUAAUUAAAAGGAUUAGAGAAGACUUUGUUAAAUGAUAAAAGUUAAUUAAUCAUUCUAAUUUCUAUAUUUUUUUUAGUGACAACUCAAUAAAAUACCAUUGUUUUCAUUCUUUAAUUCAUAUUGUUUCAAAAGAAUGUUAUCGUUCAGAAAUCAUAAAAAUAAAAAAUAUUUUUCAUUAAAAAUAACUCUAUAGUCCAUAUGAUAAUUAAAUAUAUUCAUGGUCUGACUCUUUUUUUUUCCUUCCAACAUCUUUCAGAAAUUUCGUAGUAACGUCAAUUGGAAAGCUUUGAAAAAGCGCAAUGAUCAGCCAGGUCUUUGAGUGAUUUGCAGUAAAGCAGUAUUAGAAAAUUUGGGACAAUGUUCUAUUUCUCCUACUUGACUAUUUUCAAGUUUUGAUCUAGUUGAAUGAUUGAUUUUUUUUAAAUAUAAAUUGUUGGGUUUUUAAAGCAUUUUAAUACUAAAUUUGCUAUUGAAAUGUUGCAUGUUGACGUGCAUUAAAGUGUUGCAUACUGGAGUAUCUUUUGAUCUUUAUCUCCCACGUUUCAUUGUGGUAAAAAUAGUCUUUUGAUGACUCCUCUUCCAUGUUUAAUUGUGGAAGAAUGCACCUGGCAUUUUUCUUUUGUUACAUUUCACUAAUUAUUCACUAAUAGUUCUACCUUUUUUAUGUUUUAUAACUCAUGUAACUUAUAAGUCAUUCGUCUCCCCACAAUCCUCUUAUUCAUUAAGAGGAAGAAUCCAAUUAUGGAUCCAACAAUUACUCCAUCUCCACCCUAAUUCCAGUUCCUGAAAUACAUAUAAAAUUCAUUAGUAGCAUACAUCUAAUUCGUGUUAAUUUCACAUAUGUAAUAUUGAAGUGACAAAAUUAUCUUGUCACAUCAAAAUUACCGAAUGUCACCUACUAUAAUAGUAAAUCACAUAACUAGUUUUUGUUACUUUUAAGUAAUUGAACUAUUAGAAUUGCUCAAUAACCAGAAGGUGAACAACUCCAGCAGUAAAGAGUGAUACUUUCAGCAAGCUAACCUCAAUGUUCUUAUGAAUUAAAUGCAUUAAUAUGCAAUGUUCUAUACUUUGAAAUCAUUAACAGAGAGACUGGCUGGAGCAAGGGAGAAAUGGGGAUGGUACUGAAAAGAGGCUGUCCCUACUAUUAGUUAUUACAAUAGUAUUUUUGUGCUGCGGUUGAUAUACUUAAUUUACCAAAAGUUGCUAAAAGUCUUGAAGCAACGGUAAAAUUGUACCCCUAUAGCCUAUAGAUCACGGAUUUAACCAUCACUCUCUUAAGGUAUGGCCCUUCCCCAGACAUUACUAAAUGCAGUAUGUUUCGUCCACCGAACAAGCCUUUUUUUGUUCCCUUAGUUCUACCUACCACAUUUUGAGGUGUGGAGACACUUCUCAGUUAAAGCACUAGUUCAACCAGUCCAGUUGAAAAAAUCAGCAAAAAGACCUCGAAUCCUACUUGAGGAGUCAGAAAAGGGAAGAAAUUUAAUUGGUACAUGUUGGGUUAAUAGUAUAUGAAAGAAGUGUGAAUGGAAAAAAAGAGAAUAAAAUAGUGGAGGGGAAGAAGACACUAAAAUGAAAAGUGUACUCCCAAAUUAGAAAGUUUACUCUUUCUCUGACUUUGGUGGAAAAAGAGAACUUGAAAGUGUUUAUAAUCAAGAACACUUACUCCACAUGGCAAGUGUGGCAAGAAAUAAUAGAUUCCUCGCCCUAUUGUCAUUAUCGCUCGCUCAGCUUCGGACUUGGAUUUGUCAAAUGAUCGAUCGAUGAGACCUAUCUUUUUGGACAAACUUUAUUUGAAUUCUGAAGAAUGCCAAGGAAAAAUGUAGUAAAAACUUUUCUGCCGUUUUGAACCUCCAUUUAUACAUGCAUGCAGAAGUUCGAACUGAUGUAAUACUUCAUCAAACUAGUGCCAAUGUUUCAGUUCUGAGGCACUGUUUCGGUGAACUGAUGCAUUAUUUCAGUAAACUGAUGCACUGCUUCAUAACUGAUGCAUUGUUUCGAUGAACUGACACACUUAUUCACAAAAUGGAAUGACUUUUCAGAACAGUCACAUUGUUUGGACGAAUGGACAUGAAUUUUCAGAAAAGGUUACACCUUUUAGAUAAACCUUUGCGUCUUUUUAGAAGAGGCAUGUUGUGGCUAUAUAAACCUGGUUUAUUCCAUAGGUUUAGUACAAAAUUUUUAGAUUAAAAACUUUCUUCUUGUCUGAAAAAUAUUCCGUGUGAUCACUCAAAAUAUUCUGUGAGUUCGAAGAUAUUCCAACCAUUUGAGGUACCGCAACUGUUGGUUUAUUAGUCAUUUUAUCCUGGGAGGAAAAAUUCCAUAACCUCGGGUAUAGUGAGGGGGAUUAUUUCCUUAAGGAAAUUUUGUGAAUUCGGACGACUUGGCUAUUUUUUGUUUCAUCUUAAUUUCUAUAAAAUAAAAUACACCUUUUGGAAAGGUCAUUUUGAUCUUGCUUUGAGGGUAUUUGAUAUACUUCAUUGUGUUCUUGUUUAUACUUGAACUCUAGUUGAAGUUGGUGUUGUAAUAUAUAGAUUCUCUGUACCCGAAGUACAAACGAAUAACUAUCUUAAGGAAAUAAUUUUACAGAAUCUGUAUAACUUGUUUUUAGAGAAUAAAGCUUUAAGCUUUCUACUCUGUUUGAAUUUAACUAGUGAUUAGGAGACAUAAAAAUUUUGUCACAAGUUAAAGUUCAUUCGGUUGACAAUUGGAAGUCAUAAAAACUUCAUUGUUAACUAGAAACAAGAAGAAGUAAAAAAAAUUAUAGUUGCUUAAUUUUUAUAAGUAGUAUUCUUAAAAUACUAAGUAUUUUUUUGUCUUGUGGUGAUAGAAAAAUGGCAACUGAAAGUCAAAUGAUAGAUGUGAAAACGUCUAUAGGGGCAACUAAUAUUUCCACAUCAAGUCACACAAAUGCUCCGCCAAAAAUGGCACCGGCGGAGAAGCCCGAAAAAUAUUCGGGCAUUGACUUCAGGCGGUGGCAACAAAAGAUGUUCUUUUACCUCACCACUUUAUGUUUGCAAUGGUUCACUAGCGAAGAAGCUCCUGAGGUACCUAAGGGAACCUCGGACAAAGACCGCUUCGUUAUUGUAGAAGCUUGGAAACAUUCGGACUUCCUUUGCAGAAAUUAUAUUCUGAGUGGUCUCUCAGACAACCUCUACAAUGAUUAUAGUGGAACCAAGACUUCAAAAAAACUGUGGGGAGCACUUGAACGAAAAUAUAAGACGGAGGAUGUGGGAAUUAAGAAAUUCCUUGUUGCACGGUUCCUGGACUUCAAAAUGAUAGAUAACAAAUCUGUUGUAAUUAGCAAAGGAGAAAUGUAUGUAGGAAAAGGCUAUCUGAUGGAAGGCCUUUAUAAGAUGAAUGUAAUGACUGUUUAAAUAAAUAAAAGUUCAAAUUCUUCUUAUUUGCUUGAGUCUUAUGAUUUAUGGCAUGAACGUUUAGGCCAGGUUAAUUACAAAACGUUAUGAAAACUAAUUAACUUAGAAGUUUUGCCAAACUUUGAGUGCAAUAAAUCAAAGUAUCAAACAUGUGUGGAAUCGAAGUAUGCAAGGCAUCCUUAUAAGUCCGUUGAAAGGAAUUCCAAUCCCUUAUACUUAAUACACACUGACAUUUGUGAUAUGAAGUCAACACCAUCACGUAGUGGGAAAAAGUAUUUCAUAACUUUUAUUGAUGAUUGCACUAGAUAUUGUUAUGUCUACUUGCUAAAUAGUAAGGAUGAAGCAAUAGAUGCAUUUAGGCAAUAUAAAACUGAAGUUGAAAAUCAGUUAGACAAAAAGAUCAAAAUAAUAAGAAGUAAUAGGGGCGGAGAAUAUGAUUCUCCCUUUGCACAAAUAUGUGUAGAGAAUGGAAUAAUCCAUCAAACUACGUCCCCAUAUUCACCUUAAUCUAAUGGAAUUGCGGAAAGGAAAAGCUGAACUUUGAAGGAAAUGAUGAAUGUCUUACUUAUAAGUUCUGGUUUACCACAAAACUUAUGGGGGGAGGCUAUCCUUACGGCCAAUCGUAUACUCAACAGAGUUCCCCAUAGUAAGACACAAUCAAUUCCUUACGAAAAGUGGAAAGGAAGGAAAUCCAACUUGAAAUAUUUCAAAGUGUGGGGUGUCUAGAGAAGGUUCAAGUUCCUAUACAUAAAAGGGUUAAGAUAGGACCUAAAAUGGUGGACUGUGUAUUCAUAGGAUAUGCUAAAAGUAGUAAAGCAUGUCAAUUUUUGGUUCAUAAAUCUGAAUAUCCGAAUAUUAAUGAAAAUACGGUAAUUGAAUCAGACAAUACUGAAUUCUUUGAAAAUAUUUACCCGUAUAAAAUUAGACAUGAACAGUCUAGUGGAGGAUCUAAACAACCUCGAGAUGAACCAAGUGAGAAUGUACAUAAUGAAGAAAAUCCAAGACGUAGUACACGUCAAAGAACAUCAACUUCAUUUGGAUCUGAUUUUGUAAUAUUUCUCUCAGAAAAUGAGCUUCAAACAUUUAAAGAAGCGAUGUCAUCGUCAGACUCAUCCUUUUGGGAAGAGGCAGUCAAUAGUGAGAUAGAUUCAAUAUUAAGCAACCAUAUAUAGGAAUUGGUUAACCUUACUCCCAGAAAUAAACUGUUAGGUUCUAAAUGGAUCUUCAAAAGGAAAAUGAAGGCGAAUGGUACUAUUGACAAAUACAAGGCAAAACUUGUAGUAAAAGGCUUCAAACAAAAGGAAGGCCUUGAUUACUUUGAUACAUACUCGCCAGUAAAAAGGAUAACCUUGAUUCGAAUGUUAAUUGCCUUGGCGGCGGUAUAUGAUCUUCAAAUCCAUCAAAUAGAUGUGAAGACCGCAUUUCUAAAUAGAGAUUUGGAGGAAGAAAUAAACAUGGAACAACCUGAGGGUUUUGUGGCUCCAGGAAAAGAAAAUAAGGUCUGUGAAGUUGUUAAGUCAAUUUAUAGACUAAAAUAAGCACCUAAGCAAUGGCAUGAAAAGUUUGACCAAACCAUGUUUGCAAACGGAUUCAAGAUAAAUGAAUGUGAAACAUGUGUAUAUAUUAAAGACACACCAAAUCACCAAGUCAUUAUUUGUUUAUAUGUGGAUGAUAUGUUGAUUAUCAGUAGAGAUAUUUGUGACAUAAAUACAACCAAAUGAAUGCUCGAGAGCAAGUUUGAUAUGAAAGACCUUGGAGUUGCAGAUGUGAUCUUAGGUAUAAGAAUCCAUCGAACUCUACAGGGGUUAGCAUUGUCACAGUCUCAUUAUAACAAAAAAGUACUUAACAAGUUCAAGGAUAUGGAAUUCGGUAUUGCGAAGACUCCAUUGGAUGUGAACUUUUCACUUUGAAAGAAUGAAGGUGAAAGUAACUCAUAAUUUGACUACACAAGAGUAUUGGGAUGUUUAAUGUAUAUAAUGAACUGUACACGACCAGACAUAGCAUGUGCAAUUAGUAAAUUGAGUCAGUACACGAGUAAUCCCAACAAAACUUAUUGGAUGGCAAUGAAAAGAGUUUUGGGGUAUCUUAAAUACACUCAAAACUAUGCUUUGCAUUACAAUAAAUAUCCUGUGGUACUUGAAGGAUAUAGUGAUGCAAAUUGGAUCACCGGAUCAAACAAACUAAAAUCCACAAGUGGAUAUGUAUUUACUAUUGGUGGAGGAGCAGUUUCUUGGAAAUCAUCCAAAUAGACUUGUAUCACUCGCUCUACAAUGGAAUAUGAAUUUAUCGCAUUAGAUAAAGUCGGUGAAGAAGCAGAAUGGCUCUGAAAUUUCUUGGAAGAUAUUUCGUGCUGGCCUAAGCCAGUGGCACCAGUAUGUAUACACUGUGAUAGCCAAAUGGCUAUAGGUAGGGCAGGGAGCAUGAUGUACAAUGGUAAAUCUCAUCACAUACGAUGGACACAUAAAACCGUUAGGGAACUUCUCUCUAGUGAUAUUAUCACUAUUGACUAUGUAAAGUUAAAUUAUAACGUGUCAGAUCCACUUACAAAAGGCUUAUCUAGAGAAGGAGUGGAAAGAACAUCCAAGGGAAUGGGUUUAAGGCCUAGGAUGAGUUAGCAUGGCGGUAAAUCUACCUAGAAGACUAGAGAUCCCAAGAUCUAGGUUUAAGGAGAUCAAACAAAGUUGUGUCUGACAGGUUCAAUAUUGUAAAUUACCCAACCCAUUCUCAUGAUGUAGAAAAUGUAUAGUAAACUAGGAUAAGACUUAAGGUGAAAAGUUUUUAGUGAUUAUCUAAAUUUAGCAGAUUUGACCAAAUAGUUUAAUCUAUAGGAUUGAACAUCUAGAAAUUACCUAUAUGAGGGUGAAGUGGAAGCCACUUCAAAGAGAAUGUUAGUAAAGGCUUAUUCUCUAAGCUCUCAUGAAAUCGGGACGCGUUCAUGGUUGAAAAGAAUAAAACCAUGAGAACCAUAAAUGUUUAAAGGCUGGUUAUGUGACAUGUAUUAUCUAGGUGUACAUUAAUGCUCGACGGUUCAAAGAUAUCAAAUCUACCGAUUGACCGAGUGCAUCCGAUGUAUGUUCACUAUGGAAAGUUCAAAGGGAAACCCAUUUAUCUAGAUGCAAUCAGUCUAUGCUUGAUGAUCACAUACUUGUCUGUAAAAAAUUUAUGAAAAAUAGCCAUUCCCCAUUCAUGUGGGGGAUUGUUGGGUCCAUAGUAUAUGAAAGAAGUGUGACUGAAAAAAAGAAGAAUAAAAUGGUGGAGGGGAAGGAGACACUAAAAUGAAAAGUGUACUCCCAAAUUAGAAAGUUUACUCUUUCUCCCACAUUGGUGGAAGAAGAGAACUUGAAAGUGUUUAUAAUCAAGAACACUUACUCCACAUGGCAAGUGAGGAAAGAAAUAAUAGAUGCCUUGCUUCGUCGUCGUCGUCGCUUGCUCGGCAUGACUUCAGAUUUGGAUUUGGAUUUGGAACAUGAUCAAUCGAUGAGAUCUAUAUUUUUGGACAAACUUUAUUUGAAUUCUGAAGAAUGCCAAGGAAAAAUGCAGUAAAUUUUUUUUGCUGUUUUGGACCUCCAUUUAUACAUGCAUGCAGAAGUUUAAACUGAUGCAAUACUUCAUCAAACUGGUGCCAAUGUUUCGGUGAACUGCGGAACUGUUUCGGUGAACUGAUGAAUUAUUUCAGUAAACUGAUGCACUUCUUCAGAACUGAUGCAUUGUUUUGAUGAACUGACACACUUAUUCACAAAAUGGCAUGCGUGUUCAGAAUAGUCACAUUGUUUGGACGAAUGGACAUGAAUUUUCAUAAAAGGUUAUACCUUUUAGAUGAACCUUUUCCUCUUUUCAGAAGAGGCAUGUUGUGGCUAUAUAAACCUGGUUUAUUCCAUAGGUGUAGUAUGAAAUUUUUAGAUUAAAAACUCUCUUCUUGUCUGAAAAAUAUUUUGUGUGAUCACUCAAAGCAUUCUGUGAGUUCAAAGAUAUUCUGACCAUUUGAUGUACCGCUAUUAUUGGUCUGUUAUCCAUUUUAUCUUAGGAGGAAAAAUUCCACAACCUCGGGUACAGUGAGGGGGAUUAUUUCCUUAAGGAAAAUUCGUGAAUUCGGACGACUUGGCUAUUUUUUGUUUCAUCUUAAUUUCUGCAAAAUAAAAUACACCUCUUAGAAAGGUCAUUUUGAUCUUGUGUUGAGGGUAUUUGAUAUACUUCAUUGGGCUCUUGUUUAUACUUGAACUCAAGUUAAAGUUGAUGUUGUAGUAUAUAGAUUCUGUGUACCCAAAGUACAAAUGAAAUAACAGUACAAUCUAUAUAACAUUUGCAUAUUCACCAUACUUUAACCCAAAAUCAAGCAAAUUAGAGCAACCGAAAAGAUACUAGGAUGAUGGCAAGUAGGCAGUACCUUCAGCAGCUUCACUAUUAUAAUCGGGCAGAAUAAGUAAUACCACAAAACAAAAUAAAAUAAGAAUAAGACAUGCAGAUUUAUGAGGAAAUCCUUGCAGGAAAAACCAUGAGCAAAGGCAGAGGAAAUUCACUAUGAAGGAUGGAGAAUAAAAUGAGGAGAAUGACGUAUUAAAAACAUCCAAAACGACCCACUAAAUUGAACUUACAUAAUAAGUGCGUACAAAUAAAUCCUAGGCCCAAAAACAUACAAACAUGGGUCGCACCUUCAACUUUUCAGGGCUGGAUCAACAGAAUUUAGGUCACAAACACUAACAAUAUCCACCUUGACACGACUUCUAAUAAAGAACUCAAAUCUGUUUUAAGAAAACUCUCCAUUUCUUCUACAAAAACCCUUAAGGGCAUAUCUUAACUGCUGACACCAACCAAGUCCAAGCAAUGCUCAAACUUGGCACUUGGUAGAGUCUUGGUCAUCAUAUCAAUAGGGUUAUCAUGGGUACUAAUGUUUCUUAACACAAUAUCACCACAAGCAAUAUCUUCACGCACAAAAUGAUACCGAACAUUGAUGUGCUUUGUCCUCUCGUGAAACAACUAUUUUUUUGUAAGGAAGAAGCACUUUGAAUGUCACAAAAGAUUGUAGUAAUCAGGGACAGCUUUACCUUAGAAAAAAAUAGGUGGUCGCCUUAGGCCCCCAAAUUUUACGGGCCUCAUUUUUCACGAUAAUAUAUUAUAGAUUUUUAAAAAAAAUAUAUUAUCUAUUGAAAAAUUAUUUUUUUAUAUAUAAAAAAAGAAUUAUUAGAAGUUCAUAUAUCUAGAGUAUUAUGUCUCAAGAAAGAUUAAAUGCAUUAAUUAUAUUGUUACUUAAAAAAAGAAUAAUUAGAAAAAAUCGAUUAUAUAAUUUUGAAAAUAGAGAUAGCGAAAAAAUAUCAUUUUUUUAAAAAAAGUUUAAGGCUUCUAUUUGAUUUUCGCCUUAGGCCACCAAUACGCUUGAGCCGCCCCUGGUAGUAAUCUAUAAGUCUUUGCUAAGUUCACCAAACAGACCCUUUAACCAAAUAGCUUCCUUGUAAGCAUUUGUAAUAGCUAUGUACCCUACCUCUGUAGUUAACAAAGAAACUGUAGUCAGUAAAGUAGCUUUCCAACUAAUAGUACAACCACUAAUGGUGAAAACAUAGCCUGUAAGGGACCUCCUUUUAUCAAGGUCUCCUACAAAAUUAGAAUCAACAUACCUGAUCACUCCAUCUCUAUUUUGUCCAAACUGCAAACAAACAACAAUAGAUCCAUGCAAGUAUCUGAAAAUCCACUGAACAGUUUUCCAAUAUUCUUUACCAGGAUUUGCAUGUAUCUACUAAUUGUACUGACAGCAUACGAUAAAGCUGGUUGUUAACACACCAUCGCAUACAUAAGAGACCCAACGACACUAGAGUAUAGAACUUGAGAUAUAUAGUCACGCUCAUCAUCUGUCUUUGGAGAUAAUGUAGCCUCGAAUUUGAAAUGAGUUGCCAAUAGAGUACUAAGAGGUUUGGCAUUUUGCAUAUUGAACCUGUGAAGCACUUUCUCAAUGUACCUUUUCUAACUCAAGUAAAAUUAAACUUCUCUCUAUCCCUUAGAAUUUCCAUUCCAAGGAUCUUCUUUAUUGCUCCUAAAUCCUUUAUCUUAAACUCUUUACUGAGUUGGGCUUUGACUUUUCUUAUCUCUCUCAUAUCCUUCACUGCAAUCAACAUAUCAUCAACAUACAAGAGAAGAUACACGAAUGAACCAUCACUUACCUCCUUAAAAUAGAUACAACUAUCAUAACUACUCCUCCUAAACAUAUGAGAAGUUAUAAAAGAGUCAAACCUCUUAUACCACUAUCUGGGAGACUGUUUUAAGACAUAAAAGGGACUUUUUCAACAAGCAUACAUCGCCCUACUUUUCCGAGACUACAAAACCCUCUGGUUAUUGCAUAUUGAUGUCCUCUUUAAGUUCUCCAUGUAUGAAUGCAGUUUUGACAUCCAACUGCUCUAGCUCAAAAUUGUGCAUAGCCACGAUAUCAAGCUUGGCUCGAAUCAAACUAUGCUUUACAACUGGAGAAAACACAUCUAUGAAGUCAACACCUAGAACCUAACUGUAACCUUUAGUAACUAGUCUUGCUUUGUACCUAGCAUCUUCAACUCCCAAUGUUCCAUUUUUUUUAAUUAUCCACUUGUAACAGAUAUCUUUCUUAUCUUUAAGGAAUUUCAAUAAAUCCCAUCUGUCAUUCUUAUGAAGUGAUUUCAUUUCCUCCUGCAUAGCAAUCAUUCAUCAGCUAGAAUCAUCACAAGUAAAUGUCUAUGUGUAAGAAGAAGGUUCUUCACUAGAAUCAAUACUUUCUGCUACAUUCAAUACUUAAGCAACCGAUUCAUCUUGCACCAUACUUCUGAGGAGGUCUAAUAUCUCUCCUAGGUCUAUCUUUAGCAAUAGAAUAUUGUGGUUUCACUGGUAGUGAAGAAGAAGUAGUAUCACUAUGCAUCUCCAGGCUAAACUGAGAAGUAGGCACUGGUAUGGCUCAAAUUUGUAAGUCAACGUGUGUUCUUGACUUUUGCUAAUUCAUGUUACUAGGCUCAUCUGGGGGUGAAGCCCAAAGCAUGGUAGUUUUAUCGAACACAACAUCCCUGCUAAUUAUAACCUUUCUGUUUUCUGGAAACCAAAGCUUAUAUAAUUUAAUACUAGACUUAUAACCCAUAAAUAAGCACUUGAAAGAUCUAGGUUCCAUCUUUCCAUUAUCAACAUAAGCAUAAGAAGGACAUCCAAAUAUCUUCAAAUCAGAGUAACUGGAAGGAAUACUGAACCAUAUCUCUUGUUGAGUCUUUUUGUUAAUCCUAACUGGAGGAGAGCGGUUAAUAAGAAGACAAGUUCUGGAAGAAGUUUCGGCCCAAAAAGACUUGGGUAAACCAGCAUUAGAGAGAAUACAACAUACCUUCUCUAUUAUAGUCUUAUUCAUUUAUUCGGCCACACCAUUCUGCUGUGGAGUAUGACGAACUGUUAAGUGUCUCACAAUUCCUUCUGACUUGCACAGAACAUUAAAUUCAUUAGAAUAGAGCUCUAAACCAUUAUCAAUCUGAAGAUGUUUGUAACACCCCGCAUUUUGGGCUAGAAUAAAAACCUUGACUCUGAUGCGUUGAUAAUCCUAGAGCCCUAGAUCCUAUGCCAAUUUGGCAUAUUUAUGUAGUAUGUGAAUCCAUUUGAUCAUGAAUUUAGACCAUAGAGGUCCUUUAACUCAAGGACGAUUUGAAAACUACUUCGAUCGAUUAAGUUUAAGUGGACAUUAUAAUUUAUGUCAACUUCUAUCGACCAUGACUCUUGGUAUAUGUCAAAUUAGAAAGCCAACUAUGUGUCAAAUGAUAGGUCUUCGAGUUAACUUUCGAACGAUACCAAUUUUGCUAAAAUCCGACACCCAAGCAAGGAGUUAUGGCCUUUUAAAGUAGUAUGCGUCGCCUAACCAAUUGCACAUGGCCACUGGAAAACAUAGGUGAUAGCAUAGGCGGUGCCUAUGUAAACAUAGGCAAUAGCAUAGGCGGUGCCUAUGUAAACAUAGGCAAUAGCAUAGGCGGUGCCUAUGUAAACAUAGGCGAUAGUAUUGGCACCGCCUAUAUAAUCAUAGGCGAUAGCAUAGGCGGCGCCUAUGUAAAGGUUUCAAGUGACUUAAACACUCCAUUUUUGGGGCAAAAUGGUCCUUUUCCCACCUUAUCUAGCCAUAAACACGAAAUUUAGUUCCCAAAGACCCCAAAAUACACCUUCAUUCAUCAAAUUGUUCAAGAACUCUCUCUAGGGUUUCAAAAUAAAAACCCAAGUAGUUCAAGAUUCAACCAUGGGUUUACAAAACAAAUUAGAGAUUUGGAAUUCCCAAGCCACAAGCUUCAAGAAUCAUCCGUUACUUUCUAAAAUAGAGGUACGCGGGGUUUUCCUAAAUUCUCAUGGGCUUAGAAAAAUCAUGUUUUAGAAUGGGGUUUUCGAAACUAUAUAUAUAUAUAUAUAUAUUCAUGUAUUAGAUGUUUUAACAUCAUUGUUUUGGUCUUUUGACCUUCCCCAAAGUGAUUUGAGAAUAUGUAAGUAUGAAAAUAUGAAUUUAAGAAUGAAUUCUUGUUGAGAGCAUGACUUUUGGUGAAUUCUCUCUUAUUAUGAAUUUUCAUAUUUUUCAUAGCAUAUGAAUUGUUUUGCAAUGCAUUCUUGAAAAGCACUAUAUGAAAUGGUUGAGCUCUUGUUAUGAUUUAAAGGUGGUUUUAAAUCUCUAAAGAGGGAAUUUAGCAUGAAUGUUUAAUGUUCGUAAUGCAUGUAAUAAAAGAGUGCAUGGAUUUGCUAAAGGCAUUAGACCACCAUGUGUUUGAUGAAGUUUUUGCACGGUUUUGACUUGAGUUUUGGAAUACGAAAUCUUUUAUGCAAAUUACAUAUUUGGAUAGUCUGAAACUAUAUUUUAUGAAAGAUCAUGCUUAAUGAAUUAUGGAUCAGAAAUAGGACUUGCAAGUCUUGGUAUGAUGAUACCAAACUCAGAAAAUGCCAUAACAGACACAGACGAAUACAGAAAUCAGACUUUAUCAGAUUUGCAUAUUUUAGAACUUCAGAAUGAUGCGUGUUCAGAAAAGGCUAAAAUAGGGCAUAAUGAGAGCUUAGGUGGUUCCCCGAGGAAGGUGUGAGUCCAGACAACUCUUUGCCCAAAAUCGUGGUUUACCAGCUCGGGUAUAUUAUUAUACGCUGGCUUAAGUGUCGUGUGGCGUGUCAGAUUCAGGAACUCCAACCCUUGCGGCACACUUGGGUUGGAGGCUUCCAGUCAAUGGCGGAUUCCAUAUCGCCCAUGGAAUAUCUGGUUUGUAGGGGAUACCACCAACUCAGAAGUAAUACACAGAUCAGAAUUUGAAAUUUACAGAUAGGUUACAUGUUUUCAGAAGGUGCCCAUAUGUUUUUUAGAAACUGUUUUAUGCAUGAUGUUUUGAUGAAAAUUGCUCUCAUGUAUUAUAUAUAUAUAUAUAUAUAUAUAUAUAUAUAUAUAUAUAUAUAUAUAUAUAUAUAUAUAUAUAUAUAUUUUCAAUUACUCUAUUUUGGAUUGCUUCACAUGCCAGUACUUUUGUGCUGACCCCCCCUCCUUCCAGGUUUUGAGACUCAGUCUAGGGGUCCAGAUGAUUAGUAGAUAUUUUAGAUCGUAGAUUAGAUUGUGCAGUGGUGAUCCUUCUAUAUUCCAGAAGGCCUGUUUACUUUCAGAUAUUUAUCUCUAGUCAUGUUUUAGUCUACUGAGGGCCUUGUCCCAUAUUUCAGACUAUUGCUAUUAGUCAUGUAGUAGAGAUUUCACAAACGGAUUUCAGAUAUUGAUAGAUGUUGUGGGGCUUUAUUUCCCAUUAUUGAUUUUAUUAGACUUAUGACCAUGUUUCCAUAAUAUUGUGUAUCUUCCGUAUUUCUUUUAUCAUAUGAAUUAUAUGUAUGAUUACCAGAUAGACAGGGGUGUUUUAGGCCUUCAUGGUUCGGGAUGCUCGUCAUGGCCAGGGCCCCGAUUCGGGCCGUGACAAUAUUUCCCUGCUUCCCUAUUUGUUUUUCAAUUAUAGUCUUCCACUCCUUGAAAAUAGACAAUACAUCAUUCUUUUUCUUCAGGAAGAACACCCAAACCUUUUUGGAAUAGUCAUCAAUAAUAGUCAACAUGUAAUUAGAACAUCUUCUAGAAGGUACUCUAGAAGGACCCCAGAGACAGAAUGAAUGUAAUCAAGUGUGCUUUUAUUAGAGUGGAUGCUUUUAGUGAAUCUGACUCUCUUCUGCUUCCCAAUAAUGCAGUGCUCACAGAACACUAAUUUGGUAAUACUCUAGCCAUCAAGAAGGCCUCUCAUACUUAGUUCAACCAUACUAUUUUCACUCAUAUGUGCCAGACGUAUAUGCCAAAGCUUAGCAACAUCACUAUCUGAUAGAGAGAGUAGAAAAAACAACAUCACCUGUAACUGUAAAGCCUUGCAAGACGUACAAAUUAGCUUUUUUUUCUCUCUCCUUUCAUCACAACAAGAUCACCUUUACUAACCUUCAGGACUCUACCUUCACUAGUGUACUCAUAUCCAUUCGAAUCAAGGGUACUCAAGGAAAUAAGAUUUUUCUUUAGGUUUGGGACAUACCGCACAACAAAAAAUGUCCUCACAACCCCAUCAAACAUCUUGAUCCUAAUUGUUCCAAUACUAGCUAUAUUAUAAGGUGUGUUAUUUUCCAUCAACAUAGCACCUUUAGAUACCAUUUCAUAUAUUGUAAACCAAUCCCGAUUGCGACACAUAUGAAAUGUGCAAGUUGAAUCAAGAAUCCAAUUCUCACAGGGUUUAGAGUUACCAUUAGAAACUACCAAGAGUUCUCCAUCACUACUGCCAUCUUCAAUAAAAUUAGCUUCACCGAACUUCUCUGGUUGUUUUCCUUUCUGGUUUUCAGCUUCCUAUUUAUUUCCAUUCUGUAACUUAUAAUAUUCAAAUUUGAUAUGACCCUUCUUCUGGUAGUAAUUAUAGGUUUUGUUUCUGUUUCUAGAUUUUGACCUAUUCUUGUCAUCACCUUCAGAGUUCCUCUCAUGAGUUCUUCCUCAAACAAUGAGACCAUCUCCUUGAGUCACUGACCCAUUCACAAGAUAGUUUAUCUUCUCCUUAGAGAACAACGCAUCAUAGACUUCAUCUAGGGUUAGGGUAUCACGACUAUAUAAAAUUAUAUCCCUAAAGUUUGAAUAUGAUGCAGGCAGCAAACAUAGCAAAAUUAACCCUAGAUCUUCCUUAUUGUACUUAACCUCCAGAGUUUCUAAAUCAGAGAUGAUUUCCUUAAAUAAAGUUAGGUGAUCAUUCUAAGACACACCCCUAGACAUGUGAUGGGAAUAAAGUAGUUGUUUGAGAUGCAACUUACUAGUUAGGCUCUUUGUUAUACAUAACGAUUCUAGUUUAAACCAUAACGCAACGGCAGUGGUCUCCUUCAAAACAUCUUGUAGAAUCUGAUUGAUUAGAUGAAGGUAGAUCUGAGAUAAAGCCUUUCGAUCCUUACGCCAUUUAUCCUCUAUUGUCCACAAUGAGGGAAUCUUAUCAAACCCUAAUAGAGCAUCAUCCAAAUCCAUCUUUACGAGCACAACCCUUAUCUUAACCUGCCAGAACAAAAUCUGGUGUUGGGGUACAAUAACGGAAUAUCAUAUUUCAUGAUUGCCAUCCCUGAGAAAAUAACAUUUCUUUGAUACCAAUUUGUUAUAAUCAGGCAGAAUAAGAAAUACACAAAAUAAAAGAAAACAAGAAGAAGACACAAAUUUAUGUGGAAACCCUUGUGGGAAAAACCACGGGCACAGGUAGAGGAAAUUCACUAUAAAGGAUGGAGAAUACAAUGAGGAGAAUGACAUAUUAAAAACGUCCAAAAUGACCCACUAAAUUGCACUUAUAUAAUGCGUGCGUACAAAUAAAUCCAAGCCCCAAAUCAGCUCGAUCCCUUCGUUACCACCAUAGACCCCACAAAAAAUCACAAACAUGGGCUGUACCGCAACCUUUUCAGGGCCGGAUCAACAGAAUUUGGGUCACAAACUCAAACAUUCACAAAUGGGCAAAGAGAAACACCAAGUAACAAGAAGAAGCACAAAUGAAUUGCAAACAGAUGAUUCAUCACUUCUCAUCCAAUACAACAAUAAAUUUGAAAUAAGAAUUUGAACAACCUCCUGGCAACAAUAAAAUAAAUGGAAUCAUUUCACAUGGCAACACAUUAGAGAUGAGCAAUUUGAACAACCUGUAAACAUAAUAACUGGAUAGGCAGCUCAAAUCCAAUAAGUAAUGGAAGUCUCAAGAUCCUUUCUUUAUAAAAAUAUCAAGUUGGAAUACAUACUUCAAGAAUUUUAAGCACAUUAAUCUUUCAAAGGGCAAUAAACCCAAGAUAGAAGGUUCCCCAAAAUUUCUCUUAACACUUGAAAUAUUAAAAUAAAGCUACACUAAUAGCCUCUCAGUUCUCAAGUAACUGUCUCAAAGACCUCAAACAGAAGUUGUUGCCUUCUUCCUUGGAGCUGCUUCAGUAUCUGGACAAACAACAGUAAAAAGUGUAUUAUUAUCUUAUACAAGUUAUGACCAGAUAUUCUUGAUCAUCAAAUUUCAUUGUCUAAACCAAAAUCUUAGUCAAACUAAAACAAGAAAGAUCACUCUGAAUUAUAGAUGUGCAUCUUUCACAAUCACUCAUAAUUUUCAUGCAAAAUAUUUUUUAAAAAUAGUUUUAUCUUGAAAAUUUAUUUUCUAGAACUAUUUACAGCAUUCGGUUGGGUACAAAGUCACCAACCAUACUCACUCAUACAAGGUGGAAGAUAAAGUGUAACAAAAGUCUUAAAUACUCCCAUCGAUCCCAUUUGUUUGUGCUUCUUUCAUUUUUAGUUGGGAUCGAAGAAGACACCUUUCUGUCUUUAGUCAUAAUUUAACUUCAAACAUUUCAUUUUACCCUUAAAUAAUGAAUUUAUGGCCACACAAAUAUCAACCUCUUAUUUCGGACAAUAAGUUUCAAAAGUAUUUUUUCAUUCCUCAUGACCAGUCAAACACCUUUACAUAAAUUGAGACAACGGGAGUAGUUGUGAUUAGGAUCCCCUCCAGUAUCUGUUCCUCCUGCUACUCUAAUAACCUUGUUGACUUUUGACACGAGUCACUUGUUAAAUCUCACUGGCCAAAUCAGCUACCUCUCUUAAUCAAUAUACACACACAAAGUCACUCCUCCUACUAAAGAAAGUACCAAACCUAGCACUACUAUUUCCAUCAUUGCAAACUCUAUAUACCACAUGCCAUGGUUUAUUUCAGAACACAUCCCCUAACCCAGAUUUAUUAGAAACAAGUUCCUCUUUAAUAUGAACAAAACCAUAGUGGUUCCAUCCUAGAAUGUGCACAAAUAAUCUAUUCUACUCCACCUCCAUAUUCUUAGUGUUGGGAAAAUAAAUAUUCCCACCCAGGAUAUUAUCCACACAAAAUAGCAAUAACAAGAGAGUAAAAAGGACACCAAAUAUUAUAACGGGGUGAAUAAAAUACUCAAUGGAGGAAUACAAUAAUAGUGACUAAAACUUGACAGUGUCAAAACACUACUACUAUUUAUAAACAAAACAACACACUUUUAUUUCUCAAAACUCACUACAAUAUUACUCCUACACUAUUAUCUCACAGACUAUAGAAUAUCUGUGGAUUACUCUCUUUCCUCUCUAUUGGUCUCUCAAUUUUGUAGUACCUAAAACUGAAAUAAAAAUCAUCUAUUUAUAGAUUAACAUCCAAAAUUUUUAUGUUGCGGCACCAAUUUCCAACUUGAUCAUGUUGCAACACUAACUUCCAAAUUCAUGUCACCACAUUACACAUGUUGAAACACUAAUUUUUCUUGUUAUUUUUUAAUUUAUUUUAAUUAUUUUGAUCCCACAAAUCUCUCCCUUAAUUUUAAUUCUUCUUCUUCAUUGUAAGACUUGAUGUCUAGUUGAUGAAUUUUUCACUUUAUUUGUAAAGCCAAAGAGAUCAGCAGGCAUAUCAUCUCCAUGCGGGCAAUAGGUGCAUAGACUUCUUCUUAGUCAAUGCCAUGUCUUUUCUUGUAGCCUUUAGCUAUGAGUCUUACCAUGUAUCUCUCUACUUUUCCAUGAGCAUUCUUCUUUGCCUUGUAUACUCAUAGAAUCCAAUUGCUUGAUGAUAUUUAGGAAGAGUUGUUAAAUCUCAAGUGUUUUUCUUUUUUAUCGACUGAAUUUCUUCCUCAAUGGCUUGUCUCCAUCUUUUGUCUAUAAUAGCUUUAUUAAAAUUCAUUGGUGCACUAUCAGCAUAGAGACAACACAAAAAAUCAAAAUUAGUAACUUCUUCUGUGUCAUCAUAGGGUUCUUGGAUGCUCUUCAUCCUCUGUAGCCUUUCACUUGAACUCUGAUCUUGAGAAAAAGAAAAUGCAACAUUUGCUGGUAGGGUUGCAUCCUGUGCAGGUCCCAUGGUAUCUAGCUCUUCUUCAUCUCCAAAGUAUGGAAGAAAAUCAUAUGUUCUUUCUUUCUGAGCCUCCUGGCCUUCCUAAUUUCAUGACGCUUCUUUAUCAAAUUCAACAUCACGACUUACCACCACUUUGUUGUCACUUGAAUUAUAUAGCUUGUAGACUUUUGAACUAGUGUCAUAGCCAAUAAACAUAUACCUGAUGCUUUGAUCAUCAAGUUUAGCUCUCCCUGUGGAAUAUAAGCAUAGUCUAUGCUUUCAAAAAUUCUCAAGUUCUUGAAACUUGGAGUUUUUCCGCUCUAUGCUUCUUGAGGUGUUUGAUCUUUCUCAUUUCUUUUUGGAUACUUGUUGCUUAAAUAAACUACACAUGAAAAAGCUUCGGUCCAAAAUUCUUUUGGUAUAUUUUUAGCUUUCAACAUACAUCUUGCCAUAUUAAGAAUUGUUCUAUCCUUUCUUUCUAUAACUCUAUUUUGUUGGGGCGAGUAAGGUACCGUUAGAGGGAGACGAAUUCUAUGAGACUAACAAAAGUCACUAAAUUCUUUUAAAGUGAAUUCGCCUCCUCUAUCGGACCUUAGGGCUUUUAUUUCAUAGCCACUCUCUUUUUCUACAAGUGCUCAGAAAUUUUUAAAGGCAACAAAAGCUUUUAAUUUUUGCUUCAAGAAAUAUACUCAAGUCUUUCUACUGAGAUCAUCAAUAAAGAGUAAGAAGUAUUUACUUUUACCAAAAGAAUGCGGAUCGAUUGGACCACACAAAUCGAUGUGAACAAGCUAAAGUGGAUUAAUUGCUCUUGACGUGGUUUCCUUCGAAAACCCCUCCUUUCAUGUUUUCCAAGAAGACAAGCUUCCCAUAGUUGAUUGGGAUGAUUGAUUGAUGGAAUUCCAUCAACCAUGUUCUUGUCUCCCAUUGAUUUGAGAGCUUCAAAGUUCAAAUGUCCAAAUCGCAUAUGACAACACCAAGACUCAUCUUGCACAUUAGCCUUCAAACAUUUUUGCAUUAAUGGUCUUAAGAUUCAAAAGAAAUAAUCUAUUUUUUGCCAUAUGCACUUCGGGAAUUAAAUGAUUACUUGAAUCUCUAAGCCAAAGAUGUAUAUUUUUUAUAUGAAUAUCAUUCCUUUUUCAAAAAGUUGGCCAAAACUCAAAAUAUUAUUUUUUUAGUUUUGGCACAUAGUCUUAUUGAUCAAUUUUUUAUCACCAUUUUUACAGGAUAUCAAAAUCGUAUCUAUUCCUUCAAUUUGAAUCUCUAGGGUAUCUCCAAAAAACACAUUAUCUCUCGUCGUCUUCUUGAUCUCCAUAAACUUGUCUUCGUAUCCACACAUAUGAUUACUUUCCCCAUUAUCAAGAUACCAUGAACUAUAAUCAUCUGUAUCAUCUACUGUGAGAGCCAUUAACAAUGUUGACUCAUCUUCUUCUUUGUUGUAGUCAAUGUCACACCCCUUUUUUUUUUCACUUCAAAAAGAUUCAUUUUAAAUCUAAAAGAGUUUUAUUAUUAAGUGACAAAAGAUGAAAAUUUAUUUCAAAAAUGGAUUAUUUACAUUUAAACUCAGAGCCGCCACUUGGCAUAGACCGGUGUACCAAGUCACCUUUGGAAAAUCCUUUUCAAAAUGAUUAGACUCUUGAAACUGGUUUGCGAACAGAGAUUCUGGUUAAAGAAUUAUGUUGACCGAGGGGAAGGUGUUAGGAAACCCUCGAUCCCAUGGUUCGACCAUGGUCGCUUAGUAGAGUGAAUCAGCUAAUUUGGCACUACGAUGUAAAAACCACAUAAAAACAUGUAAAACAAUCAAACAAACAAACAAAACCAAACGAAUCCAAAAUAUAGUGUCCAAUCCGAGUUAUACAGUCCCAAAAUAGAAAAAUACAAAAAUGUAAAUCAUAUUCUAAACUAAUCCUAGACUAAGCUCUAAUGCCUCAUCCGAUGCCUCGGACUUUCAUCACGAACGUCCUCCAAGUGCAAGAUACUUCGGGGCAUUUCCCGUAUAAAUCAAUACAAAUACCUCGAGGCGUUCCCCGGCUAAAUGAAUACAGUAGAUCCAAAUGCGGUAAACAAAAACUUUCAACACAUAAUCCAAACAUUCCACAAUCCACAAGUUCUAAAUUUGCCUAUCUGAGCCUACUGUUUGCUUACCCAGCACGACCAAUCAUGGCACUAUUACAAUCAGUGACAUCAAUGAAUCAAAAUGACAAUAUUCAUUUUUGUCAACUUUCAAUUCCCGCCCCACUUUUAUCGAUUUAAUUCUCAAAUAAGAUAUCAUUUUAUUGCACAACACAUAAAUAAUAAAUCAACACCAAGUAAUUAUUCACCAUCAACAAGGAACAAACAACACUCAAACAUUCAAACUAUAACAUCGAAUAUCAUAAAGAGUGAAAUAAAAAGAGAGGGAGAAGAGAAUCAGACCUCACUUAUCAAUUUAAAUGUAGUGUUAUUCAAUUAAACAAGACAGAGUCCAGUCGAGAACCUCAAAUUGAACUUCAACCGUGACCCACCAACUCGAAUCCAAACCGAAUGGAACUCAACUAACGACUGUGAAUACCCGAGAUCAACAACCAGACAGAUUUCAAACCCAAAAAUAAAGACCUCAAUAUGAAAACCAAGACCCGAACCCAAAAUGAUGACUAAUGAAAAUCAAAAUCCAAUUUUGAUUUUAAAUCACCAAAAUAGAUGAACCCAAGCUGCAAAAAUCUGAUAAAAAACUAAGUACCCACACGACUUGAACUUCGGUGAGCUAACAGUGCCCAAAAUAGAUGGAAGUAGGACUAAUUCCAGAGAGUUUGAAUAUUUUUGAAACGAGGUAGCUCGAAAACUUUCAAAAACAGACUGUUCUGGUGAUAUUCUUGUUUCCCUAUUGGACUCAUCUAGAAAUGAACAGAGGACGAUGAGAUUCCGGCAAAAUAGUCACUGGAACAAUGACCAAACCCAUUGAAACCCAUUUUUGAGUAACCCAAAAUCAAUACAGUUUUCUUCUCCAUUUAAGAUCUCAACUUUGAAUCUCUCUCUCGCACGCGCGAAUCUCUCAGUGUGUGUAUCCCCUAUUGUGCAUGCGUUCAAUAGGUGUAUAUAGUAGCUCUAUGUGUAUCUCCUAUGUGGAGAAGAAAAGGAAAGUUGGGGUCUCUCUGUAUUUCUGUUUGUGUAUGUAAGGAUGAUGAUGAUCUCCUUCCGUUAAUAGUGGUGUGUUCAAAAGAAAAACAAGAGUUAGACCGUGUUCCAUGCUUUUUUCAUCAAUGGAGAAUAUCGAUUCAUGAUGUAGUGGGUAUUGUGUGUAGCGCGUGACUAUGAAAAUGAGGGUGGGUCAGUGAAUUGUCAGUCCCCCUGUGAGUGAGAAUUGUUUUCUUUUUUAAUUAUUUUGUGGGCCCUUAAAAGUGUCUAUCCAAAAAUGGAAGAAUUUUUUUUUGUCCCCUCUCUGUUAAAUAAUAAUUAAAAUAUAAAGGGAAGGGUGGCAUGUGGGGUAGGUGGUGAGGUGGGGUAUGUGAGGUGUUAAAAUUUAAUAGGGAGGGGUUGUUAGAAUAAGAUAAAAUUAGUUAGGGGUUGUUAUUUUUGUAUUUUUGUGGGAUAUAAUCACAUGGGUGAGGGCACGCAGUAAGACAGAGGUAAAAUGGUAAAAAUGUUUUUGGGCAGGGAAAAAAUAAGAUGUCUACAUCAUGCCCUCUUUGAAUGUAAACACGAGAUGUUUUCAGGUAAAGAAGUAGACAAUGAGACCAAAUUUCAACCUGGCCAUUAUUUAAGGAGAGAAACAUAAAGAAGAAGAGAAACUGGAUCUUAACUUUGGAGAUCCUACCUACCCAAGUUAUGAAGGAAUCAAUUGACACACAUCUCAAAGGGUUGGAAAGAGAAGGACUAUAUUGAGUUGGAGAGUCGAGUGAGGUUCCAUCGAGGUUUCGGUCCGCUGCUCUAUCAUUACAUCAAAACAAAAAUUACAAGUUAAAACAUAAAUGAAAUUACAAAAUACUAUCUAUGCAUCUUUUUUGGACUCUUGGCUUGAGUUUCAUCACCCUAUUCUUCAGGCAGACUCCUGACUUGCAAUUUCUUCAACUUGUUGCUUGACUUCCAAUUUCCUUACCCUGUUCUUCAGAUGGGCACCUGACUUGUAAUUUUUCAAUUUGUUAACUUUAAAGUUCUUCACCUUGUUGCUUAACUUUUAACUUCUUCACCUUGUUGUUUGACUUAGGCUCCAGAAAUCACAUCAAAACUAAAAAGAAAAUUACCCCAUACAAAUAAAUGCAUCUUUAAUGAGUUAAUUAGAAUGAUUUGACUAAAAGGUAUGUCUUAUAGGAGUCAAGGGGAAUGACUCGACUAAAAGAUAUGUCUUACACGAAUCACAGGGAAUGACUCGACUAAAAAGUACAUCUUCUAGGGGUCAAGGGGAAUGACUCGACUACAAGUUACGUCUUCUAGGGGUCAAGGGGAAUGACUUAACUAAAAGGUACGUCUUAUAGGAAUCAAGGGGGAUGACUCGACUAAAAGGUACGUCUUAUAGGAAUCAAAGUGGAUGACUCGACUAAAAGGUACAUCUUAUAGGAAUCAAGGGGAAAGACUGACUAAAAGGUACGUCUUCUAGGGGUUAAAGGGAAUGAUUCGACUAAAAGGUAUGUCUUAUAGGAAUCAAAGGGAAUGACUCGACUAAAAGGUACAUCUUGAUGGGGUCAAAGAGAAUGACUCAAAUAAAAAGUAUGUCUUAUAGUAAUCAAGGGAAAUGACUCGACUAAAAGUUACGUCUUAUAGGAAUCAAGGGAUAUGACUCGACUAAAAGGUACGUCUUAUAGGAAUCAAGGGGGAUGACUCGACUAAAAGGUGCGUCUUAUAGGAAUCAAGGGGGAUGACUCGAAUAAAAGGUACGUCUUAUAGGAAUCAAAGGGGAUAACUCGUCUAAAAGUUAUGUCUUAUAGGAAUCAAAGGGGAUGACUCGACUAAAAGGUACAUCUUCUAGGGGUCAAAGGGAAUGACUUGACUUAAAGGUAUGUCUUAUAGUAAUCAAGGGAAAUGACUCGACUAAAAGGUAAGUCUUUUAGGAUUUAAAGGUAAUGACUCGACUAAAAGGUACGUCUUAUAAGAAUCAAAUGGAAUGACUCGACUAAAAGGUACAUAUUAUAGGAAUCAAAGGGGAUGACUCGACUAAAAGGUACGUCUUAUAGGAAUCAAGGGGGAUGACUCGAUUAAAAGGUACGUCUUAUAGGAACCAAAGGGAAUGACUCGUCUAAAAGGUAUGUCUUAUAGGAAUAAAAGGGGAUGACUCGACUAAAAGGUAUGUCUUCUAGGGGUCAAAGGGAAUGAUUUGACUAAAAGGUAUGUCUUAUAGUCAUCAAAGAAAAUGACUCGACUAAAACGUAUAUCUUAUAGGAAUCAAAGGAGAAUGAAUCGACUAAAAGGUACAUUUUAUAGGAAUCAAGGGAGAUGACUUGACUAAAAGGUAUGUCUUACUAGGAAUCAAGGGAGAUGACUCAACUAAAAGGUACGUCUAAUAGGAAUCAAAGGGAAUGACUCGACUAAAAGGUACGUCUUCUAGGGGCCAAAGGGAGUGACUCGACUAAAAGGUGUGUCUUAUAGGAAUCAAAGGGAAUGACUCGACUAAAAGAUACAUCUUAUAGAAAUCAAAGGAGAUAACUCGAUCAAAAGGUACAUCUUAUAUGAAUCAAGGGGGAUGACUCGACUAAAAGAUACGUCUUAUAAAGAUCAAAGGGAAUGACUCGACUAAAAGGUACGUCUUCUAGGAAUCGAAGGGGAUGAAUCAACUAUAAGGUACAUCUUCUAAGGGUCAAGGGGAAUGACUCGACUAAAAGGUACGUUUUAUAGAAAUGAAGAGAGAUGACUCGACUAAAAGGUACGUCUUAUAGGAAUCAAGGGGGAUGACCCGACUAAAAGGUAUGUCUUAUAGGAAUCAAAGAGGACAACUCGUCUAAAAGUUAUGUCCUAUAGGAAUCAAAGGGGAUGACUUGACUAAAAGGUACAUCUUCUAGGGGUCAAAGGGAAUGACUUAACUUAAUGGUAUGUCUUAUAGUAAUCAAGGGAAAUGACUUGACUAAAUGGUACGUCUUAGAGGAAUCAAAGGGAAUGACUCGACUAAAAGGUACGUCUUAUAGGAAUCAAAUGGAAUGACUCGACUAAAAGGUACAUCUUAUAGGAAUCAAAGGGGAUGACUCGAGUAAAAGGUACGUCUUCUAGGGUUCAAGGUUAAUGACUCGACUAAAUGAUACGUCUUAUAGGAAUCAAAGGGAAUUAAUUGACUAAAAGGUACAUCUUCUAGGGGUCAAGGGAGAUGACUCGACUAAAAGGUACAUCUUAUAGGAAUUAAGGGAGAUAACUCAACUAAAAGGUACAUGUUAUAGGAAUCAAAGGAAAUGACUCGACUAAAAGGUAUGCCUUAUAGGAAUCAAAGGGAAUGACUCGACUAAAAGGUAGGACUUCUAGGGCUCAAGGGGAAUGACUUGACUAAAAGGUACCUCUUAUAGGAGUCAAAGGAACGAUUCGACUAAAAGGUACAUCUUAUAGGAAUCAAAUGGAAUAACUCGACUAAAAGGUAUGUUUUCUAGGGGUCAAGGGGAAUGACUCGACUAAAAGGUACCUCUUAUAGGAGUCAAAGGAAUGACUCAACUAAAAGGUAUGUCUUCUAGUAGUAAAGGUUUAAUUUAAGAAGUGUAUCAUCCAACAAAUGAAAAAUGAAAUCCCUAGACAAGAAGGUGUGUCUCCGAGGGAAAUAAGAUGAUGAAUUUUACCGUGAUUUGACUAUCAAACCUGUGCAACAACAUUGCUUUUUAUAUUUGUAAAAGUGAGGCAUUUCAACCCUUGAUAUUUAUGCUCUGAAGUCCUUACUUUGAAGGUAAUAUGUUUCCUAUUUCAUCAAAGAAAACUUGUGAUUUUAAAACAUGGUGGCUGGUUUGUGGCUUUAGCUUUCAUGGAAAUCGCUCCUACCCCUGUCACAUUUAAUCUUACUUUCAAUCAUUCAUGUGUCACUGACUUACUACAUCAUUGACUCGAACUCAGAUUAUUAAGAGUGACUUUAAAAUAGAUACAAUAUCUUUUCUUUGUCAUGCUUCUCAGAUAAACUCUUUGAACCUUAGUAUUUUCAUGAGUUCCCAGACUUACCGAUUGAUAAAAAAUUUGCAUGCCUUAUUUUGGCUCACAAUCAUGUCUCUUUCAUAUGUUGGCCUUUUGUCUUACUUUGCGCAAUUGAAGAAGCUGGUAGCUAAUUUUGAAGUCUUUUCUGACUUAUUUUGAUAGGACUUGACUCAAAGACAAGAGAAAAAAUGACAAUGAUUUUUAUUUGGACAACUGACUAAAGAAAAUAAAACAAAAAUAAAGAAAAUAAAGGAAAGACAAUGAAUAUCCACAUUUGAAACAAAGAAACAAAAAAUCAAUCUAAAAAUGACAGUAAACUCUAAUGAUUAUGCCAUGCAUUUUGAAUUAAGCAGCCUGAUCUUUUCAUCCAAACUUUCUACCAAUUGUUGUUGAGUUAAUUGCCUUGAAUCUGAGUUGCUUCCUUAGGUCAAUUGUAUUUAAGACCACAUUCGGCUAGUGGUACCUUGAAGGGUUUUCUCCCACAAGAUUCUCUCAUUUUCUUUUCCUCAGCUCACCAUUGUCUUAUGGUGUCUGUAAGGGUUUUCCACUAAUGAGACUCUCUUAUCUUCAUUUCCUUUAACUCAGAGUCGUCUUAUGGUGUCCGUGAGAGUCUUCACCAAUAAGACUCUAUCAUUUUUAUCUCUCUCAACUUACUAUCAUCUUACGGUGGUCGUAAGGGUUUUCACCAAUAAGAUUCUCUUAUUUUUAUUCCUCUCCUGAUUUUUUUUGUUGAGGAAGACAAGUAGUUCCUAAAUGCAUCAUCAUAUCCCUUGCAUGCUUAGCCUUAACAUCCUCAAAGAUAGAUCUGAAGAUGUUUCUUUGGUUGUAACUUGGAUUUUGGAUAGGGUUAGAAAGAAAGGAUGGCAUGGGGCCCAAACAACACUUGAAGUAGGGUAGGACUUACAACUUUUGGAAUCGACUCAAACAAUGAGGAUUAACACAUGCCCCAAUGUCUUUUAAUUGGGUGACUCUAAAUUGUUUAUUUGGUUGGACCGAGCUAGGAGUAGGGCAACCUACGUAUCUCACCCUCGAGAGAGGAGAAUCAGGUCAUGCGUAGUUCUGGUGGAUUGUUCUUUUGCUUGAUUCUGAUUUUUUCUUUUUUUUUGUUGACUUUUUAUUGACUUUUUUUUCUUUUUGGGACCUUCUGACUCUAUUUUUUUCUUGAUGCUCUUUUUUUUUCCUUCUUUUGGACAUAUUUUUUCUAUAAUUUCUUUUUGAAACUUUCUGACUCUAUUGUUUUGCUCGACACUUUUCUUUUGAGCUUUGCUGACUUUAUCUUGAUUCCAAAAGAGGGGUAUGAAAGAAAAUAGUACUAAAGCUCAAAUGGGGUAAACAAAAGAUGACACAAUGUUUGGAUAGCAUAAUGAAAUACCUUCGUCAUAUCAAUCCUUGAAAAUGCAAGAACAUAACAUGCAAUUUGAAAGUUGGAGAUGAAGAUCAUGUGCGACAUCUUUUAAAACAUUAACUUUGACUGAGUCUAUGCGUCACUACUUCUUCUGCGCUUUUCUAGCAUACAACUCCACUUUUGUUGUACAUUUCUUACAUUGAAUGACACAUGAUUUCGUGGAGCUGGUUUUCUUUCUGUUCCUCUUGAUUAGGAUCACACAUCCACUGAUUGACCUAAUUGAGGUAUGCCUUACAAUGGAUGACCAAGUUAUUCUGGUAAUUCUCAAAACAAUUGCCUUAAUUUUGAACGAAGGUUUCAAUAUGGUCACCAAAUGUCUUAAUACGCUACCUAUUUCUCACAUGCUUUUUCUAACUUUAGCCCUGUGAUUCAAAGUUCAUGCUCAAAUUGUAUUUUAAGAUCUAACGAAGAAUUCUGCCAACAUGUCAUAUCACUAAAGCCAACAUAAAAUGUACUAUGUAAAGAAAACAAACAAAGAACAUAUAUUUAAACACAAAGGAAAAAGGGACACAAUAUUUAGUUGACAUAAAAGAUAGAAAAGGUUUGACCUUAAACGACAAAAGGGACAAAAUAAGAUCGAUCCCGAACUACCACCCUAAAAUAAUUCAGAUAACAGAAAAGAAAACAAAACAAAUUACCAGACCUCUUCCUAGUAAGGAGAGGGGUGACUUCUUAAUUGCUCAGCCGGACAUAUUAGCCACUGAUUUGCAUAUCAGCAUGACUUGAUCUUUCACCACUAUCAGACACAUUUCCUUCAACAAAUAAGUUCUGGAUCCCCAUGCUUAAAUCAUUACCUCCCACAUAUUGUAUAGUACUGCAUGCCGGUGAAGAACUCUGUGGGAUGGUCGAGGGGCCAAUGUUUUGCACCACAAUCAAUUUAUCAUGAAUCAACUUUUCUAUUUUUCUUUUCAAAGUAUGACAAUCUUCAGUACGAUGACCCUGAACUUCAGAAUGAUAUGCACACCAUACAUUAGGAUCAAAAUUUCUUGAAUGUGGGUCAAGUAUAUACCUAAGGAAAGGAGUAAUCAUGCCCCUAUGUCUCAAUCUUUGGAACAAACUUGCAUAGGACUCCCCAAAUAGGAGUGAAAUUAUCCUUUUCCUUCCUCCUCUUUGUGAACUCUGGCCUCAGAUGAAACUUGAAUUUAGGGGUUCCUUGGUAAAUUUGUGGGGGUCAAGGACGAUGUUAAGGGACAGGUGUAUGCCAUUGUGGAUAAGAAGACGGAUGGGUACACAAUUAUGCAUUGUUCAAAGGACAUUGAGAAAGUGGAAUGGAACUCCUUGGAUUUUGAAAAGAGGAACCUUGUUGUAGAUAAAUAAGUGGAUUUGAUAUGUAAGCUCGGUAUUGAGGUUGAUAGUAUUGGUGAGUUGGACCUCUCAAACUCUGCUUUGGCCCAGGCACGACAACAGAUGCAUUUUCCUUCUUCUUUUCUUCAGUUUCCCUUGAAUGAUUGCAAUAUCAUCCCAAAUGUUUCACAGAAUCAUUCUGUCCACCAAGCUCCUCAAAUUUUGAUGUCUCAAAGCUUGGAGGAAGGUUAACACUUGAAAACAUGCCCUAGUUUUUAUAUGAAACAUCUUCAUAGCCCACAAGUCCCAAGGAAUUUUCAUAUCAUUUUAUACACUUUUAACUUUCCCAACCAUUUUCUCUGGGUCUUCAAGCAUGCUAGGCUUCUUAGUAAGAAAUUUUGGCGGUCAACUUAACUUAACUGUAGGCUCAAGAGUAUAAUAAUGAUCAUCACGAGUAUUGAAAGUGGAUUCACGAGUGGACUGGGGAAGCACAAUCAUUGGAUUGAUAACCAAAGUGGAAGAAUUAGUAGAAGGUUGAGCAACAAAAGCACAAACGGUAUGUGGUGAUGUGAAUGUGGUAGACUUAUACUGAGGAGAUAAAGAAAGAGAGGUGGAAGUAUUGAGGUGAAUUUGACGUGGAAUAGAUUCUGAGGCAUGCUGUGUUCCAUCAACCAUAGUAGGAAACUGACUUUACACGUUUGGUGGAAGACUCAAGGUAUUUGCAGGGUCAAAAGUGGGGAAAUGAGGUGGAGCUAGCUCGCUGGCCCAAGCUCGGUAUAUUUCCAUCAUUUGUUGUCUCAGUUUCAAAUUCUCUUCCUUUAAACUCUCAAUUUCCUAACUCUUUGUUUCAUCCAUGGUGCCACUCUCCAUAUCCUUUUUGGGUACAACUAAACCUUCCUUGGAUUUGGUGUGAUAUGGAGGACCAGCCAGGAAGCCACAAACCAACCACCUUAAACUAACUGAACAAGAGGCAACAAAUAUUUUAGAGUUCAACAUUUUUCAAAAUCUCUCUUUUUUUUAUUUUAUUUUUUUGAAAAGAUCACCAAACCCAAGAAGGGCGUCUACGUAUCUCACCCCCUAAGAGAGGAGGAUCAGGUGUGCGUAGUUCGUGAAGUCUUGCCAAAAUAGCCAAUUAAACUCUUUUUCUUUCUAUUUUUCUUGGAACUUUAAGAAGAAAAUAAAAUAACAAAUUAUCAAAAGAAUUGAUGAAAAUCUGUUUUGUAUUUUUCAGAUUUAAAUUCCUUAUACAAAAUGAAACCUAUGACAACCAAAGAAAAAUCUCUUUUUGAAAAUUUCGAUUCUAAAUUUCAUAGGAAAAUGAAACUUGAAACUAUUAAAGAAAUUUUUUUUUGUGAUUUUCUUUUUGAAGAUGUAUAUGACACACCGACUCUAAAUGAAGAGUGAAGCAAAUCUUUUUUGGAUUUUUUUUUCAUAUUCCUAUACAAAAUAAAAUCUAUGAUUACCAAAGAAAAUCUUUUUUGGUUUUCAAUUUCAAAUUUCAUAUGAAAAUGAAAAUUGAAACUAUUAAAGAAAAUUCUUUUUGCAGUUUUCUUUUAAAGAAAUAUAUGACACCUACUCUAAUAAAGAAUGAAGAAAUUUCAUUUUUUUUUAAUUUUCAAAUAAGGUCCCCAACCCAACAAUAAGCUGCCUACGUAUUUCACUCCUGAGAGAGAAGAAUUAAGGGUGAGUAGUUCGUCCAGAUUGGACAAUUAAUGAUUAAAUCACAGAUUGCACCCUGACUUGAGACACGGCCAAAGACAAACGAUAAACAACAUACCAAAAUCUUUUUUUUUUUUGAGUUUUCAAUUUGACACUUCACAUAAAAAAUGGCACCAACAGCUAUGAAAGAAAACCUUUUUGGUGUUUUCGUUUAAUGAAUUUACAAAACUUCUACCAUAUUUUUUUGCAUUUUUUUCUUUAUAAAAAACUCCAAUUUUUAAAAAAUAUUUUUUGAAAUUUUUGAAUUAUGAAUGCAUGGUAAAGGAACAAAAGGAAAAUCUUUUUGAUGUUUUUGAGAAAAAUGAGUGCGAAAGAUAAAAAAAUCUUUUUGAAUUUUUGGAUUGUGGAAAACAAAAGCAAUAAAAAACUCUAAAAACUAUGAAACCUACUUCUUUUUUUUUCGACUCAUUUUUUCUUUCUUUUUCCUCUCUUUUUUUCAAUUUUUCCUUGCCUACACACUCGAUUUUUUUCAACUUUUUCUUGCCUAUACACUUUCUUUAAUUCUAGCACACGUUUUCCCCCAAAUCAAUCUGUCAAAUGACCAUAUUACCCUUAAAGAUGCAACAUUUAGCACGUAGAGAUGCUUUAGAGGUGAAUCUCUUACAAAGGGUCAUGUGGGUCCCGCUAGGUCUCCAUAUGAUGCAAAUAAGCAUAACCUAAAGGAUGACCUACGCUGAGGUUUACUAACAAGGCUGUUCGGGGGAUCGUAUGAUCGAUAGUGGCUGCUUUGCUUUCCACCCACUCCAUACGUCCGAUGGCUCCCCCUCCUAAAAUAAGGGUGACUCAACUAGAGUUUGUGUGCAUGACGUGCACUCCAGGACUUGUUACAGAAAGAAUAACUCGGGUUAUGCACAUGAUGCCAGAUAUAAAGCAGUAACACAUACGAUAAAAACUGUAAACAAAGAGCACGUAGGCACUCAACAAUAAUAAACAAUAACACAAAACAGCACAAACAAAAUAUCUAUACACCUAUAGUGCUAAACUAAGCCGAUACAACUCCGACAAAUAAACUCAAAUUCUGAAAAGUCCCCAGAAGAGUCGCCAGAGCUAUCACAUCCCUUUUUUUCACUCUAAAAAGAUUCAUUUUAAGUCUGAAAGGGUUUUAUUAUUAAGUGACAAAAGAUGAAAAUUUGUUUCAAAAAUGGAUUAUUUACAUUUAAACUCACAGUCGCUACUUGGCAUAAACCAGUGUGCCAAGUCACCUUUGGAAAAUCCUUUUCAAAACGAUUUGACUCUUGAAACUAGUUUGCGAAUAGAGAUUCCAGUUAAGGAAUUUUGUUGACCGAGGGGAAGGUGUUAGGCACCCCUCGUUCCCGUGGUUCGACCACAGUCGCUUGGUAGAGUGAAUCGGGUAAUUUGGCACUAUGAUGUACAAACCACAUAAAAAUAUGUAAAACAAUUAAACAAACAAACAAAACAAAAUAAAUAAAAAAUAUAGUGUCCAGUCCGAGUUAUACAGUCUUGAAAUAAAAAAAUACUGAAAUGUAAAUCAUAUUCUAAACUAAUCCUAGACUAAGAUCCAAUACCUCAUCCGAUGCCUCGGGCCUUCAUCACGAAUGUCCUCCAAGUACAAGAUACUUCGGGGCAUUCCCCAGAUAAAUCAAUACAAAAUUCUCAAGGCAUUCCCUGGCUAAAUGAAUACAGUCGAUCCAAAUGCAGCAAACAAAACCUUUCAACACAUAAUCCAAACAUUCAACAAUCCACAAGUUAUAAAUUUGCCUAUCUGAGCCUACUAUUUCCUUACCCAGCACGACCAAUCAUGGCACUAUUACAAUCAACGACAUAAAUUAAUCAAAACAAAAAUGUUCUUUUUUAUCAACUUUCAAUUCUCGCCCUAUUUUUAUUCUCAAAUUAUCGAUUUUAAUUCUCAAACAAGAUAUCAUUUCAUUGCACAACACAAAAAUAAUGAAUCAACACCAAGUAAUUAUUCACCAUCAACAAGGAUCAAACAACACGUAAAUGUUUAAUGCAUAACAACGAAUAUCAUAAAGAGUGAAAUAAAAAGAGAGGGAGAAGAGAAUCGGACCUUAAUUAUCAAUUUUAAUGUAGUGUUAUUCAAUUAAAUGAGAUAGAGUCCGGUCGGGAACCUCGAAUUGAACUUCAACCGCAACCCACCAACUCGAAUCCAAAUGGAAUGAAACUCCACCAACGAUAGUGAAUACCCGGGAUCAACAGCUAGACAGAUUUCAAACCCAAAAAUAAAGACCUCGAUAUGACAACCAAGAUCCAAACCCAAAACUACGACUGAUGAAACUCAAAAUCUAGUUUCGAUUUUGAAUUACCAAAAUAGAUGAACCCAAGCUGCAAAAAUAUGAUAGAAAACUAAGCACCCACACGGCUUGAACUCCGGUGAGCUAACAGUGCCUAAAACAGACAGAAGUAGCUCGAAUUUCGGAGAGUUUGAAUAUUUUCUAAACGGGGUCACUCGAAAACUUUUGAAAACAGACUGUUCUGGCGAUAUUCUCAUUUCCCUAUCAGACUCAUCCAAAAAUCAAUAGAGAACGAUGAGAUUUCAGCAAAAUAGUCACCGGAACAACGACCAAACCCAUUGAAACCCAUUUCCGAGUAACCCAAAAUCAACACUAUUUUUUUUUCCAUUUCAGAUCUUGACUUCAAAUCUCUCUCUCUCGUAGGAGAAUCUCUCAGUGUGUAUCCCCUGCUGUGCGUGCAUUCAACAGGUGUUUAUAGUAGCUCUAUGUUAUCUCCUAGGUGGAGAAGAAAAUGAAGGCUGGGGUCUCUCUGUAUUUCUGUUUGUGUAUGUGAGGAUGAUGAUGGUCUCCUUACAUUAAUGGUGGUGUGUUCAUAAGAAAAAAGAGAUGGACCGUGUUCCAUGCUUUUUUCAUCAAUGGAGAAUAUCGAUUAGUGAUGUAGUGGGUACUUUGUGUAGCGUGUGAGUACGAAAAUGAGGGUGGGUCUGUGAAUUGUCAGUCCCCUUAUGAGUGAGAAUUGUUUUCUUUUUUAAUUAUUCUAUGGGCCCUUGAAAGUGUCUAUCCAAAAAUAGAAGAAUUUUUUUGUCCCCUCUCUAUUAAAUGAUAAUUAAAAUGUAAAGAGAAGGGGGGUACGUAGGGUAGGUGGUGAGAUGGGGUAUGUGUGGUGUUAAAAUUUAAUUGGGAGCAGUUGUUAGAAUAAGAUAAAAUUAGUUAGAAGUUGUUAUUUUUGUAUUUUUGUGGGAUAUAAUCAAAUAGGUGAGGGCACGCAGUAAGACGGAGGUUAAAUGGUAAAAAUAUUUUCGGGGAGGGACAAAAUUAGAUGUCUACAAUCAAUAAGGUUAGAUUUUUCUUCAAUAUUACUACGGCAUUCCCAACAGUAAUGUCCAAAUUUAUGAUUGUUGUAGCACUCAAUUUUAGAUUUGUUAUACCUCAUUUCAUUGGUGCCUUGAUAAACUCCACGUCCUCUUCCUCCCCGUUGUCAACGACCAUGGACUUUAAAUGUUAAGUGGUUUUUAUCCUCAUUGUUGAAUUUAUUGAUAUAACACCUUCCUCGUCCACGGCAGUCACAGCCUCACCAUUGUCCAUUUCCUCUGUAACUUUUUUCACCUCCCAAAUCUUUGAAGGAUGCUUGAGUUUUAAGAAGUUGCUCCAAUGGCUCUUCUUUUCUUCUUUUCAUUUUUUCUUAGUGGGCUUGUAAAGAACUUUCCAAUUGCUCUAUUGUCAUAGAUUCUAAAUAUUUAGACUCCUCAAUAGCACACACCACAUAAUUAAAUUUGGGUUUUAAAGAGUGAAGGAUCUUUUAUACCUCAUGAACAUCAUCUACUUCCUCUCCGUACCUUCUUAGUUGAUUCACAACACCCAUCACUCUUGAACAGAAAUCCAAAAUGGAUUCUGAUUCUUUCAUUUUUAAAAUUUCAAAAUCAACCCUUAGAGUUUGAAAUUUUACCUUCUUCACCUUAUCAACUAUUUGGAGAGAAUUUGUAAAAUCUCCCAAGCUUCCUUCGAGGUGGUUGCAUCAGCCACCUUCUCAAACAUACCAUCAUCCAAACAUUGGUGGAUUAGAGUGAGGACCUAUUGAUCUUUCUCCCUUAUCUUAAUCAAGACAUUUUUUUCAUUUUGUGACAGAGUCUCCUCAUUGGCCAAUUUUGUAUACCCUUUGUCUACAAUGUCCCAAACAUCUUGAGAACCAAGAAUGGCUUUCAUUCGUAGGAACCAUUUUUCAUAAUUUUCUUUUGUAAGGCCAGAGUACUGAAAAGGCAAUGGACUAUUAUUUUUCAUGGAUCUGACACCACGUUGUUGGGAAAAAAUAAAUAUUUUCACCCAGGAUAAUAUCUACACAAAAUAGCAAUAACAAGAGAGUAACAACGACACCAAAUAUUAUGAUGGGGUAAAUAAAAUAUCCAAUGGAGGAAUACAAUAAUAGUGAUUACAAUUUUGCAUUGUCAAAAGACUACUACUCUUUAUAAAUGAAACAACACUCUUUUAUUUCUCACAACUCACUGCAAUAUUACUCCCACACUAUUAUCUCACAGACUAAAGAAUAUCUGUGGAUUACUCUCUUUCCUCUCUAUUGCUCUCUCAAUUUUGGUGUACCUAAAACUGAAAUAGAAAUCACUAUUUAUAGAUGAACGUCCCAAACUUUUCAUGUUGCGACACCAAUUUCCAACUUGAUCAUGUUGCAACACCAAUUUUCUUAUUAUUUUUCAAUUUAUUUUAAUUAUUUUGAUCCCACACUUAGAAAACCAAAUCCGCACAGUUUGGUUUGACAAUACAUUGAAAUAAUAGAUGCAUGGGCUCACUGAAAAUCAGAAUAGAUAGCUUAUUAAGAUGAUUUCAUCUACUAAUACAAAUACGCUGGUACUAGGGCAACGGGAGGAAACAUUCUGGAGGGGAUCCUAGUCCUUAUAUUUGCAUUGAAGGUCGAAAAACAAUAUCUAAAUAUUGGUUCAAGCAAGUAUAUGGACAUCUGUAAAGUAAAAUGACUUUUAUCUAUAACUAGGGGAAACCUUAAUAAAAACAAAGCAAGAAAUCACUAGAAAAUGAUAUAAAUACUGUAGAACAAUUCAUAAAAAGAGAGAAAAUGUUUAUGUGAUAUUUAUUUUCGCUAGAAAGGUUAAAUAUCGUUAUUUGAUGUCAAAUUUGAUCAUAAAUUAUUGUGUCAAUUUACCAUUAUUUUAUGUAUAGAUUAUUUUGUAUGUACUUUUUAAAUUAUUUAUUGUAAAUUGUGAUUGUAUUUUUUUAUAUUUAUUGAAUUAAGUUUUUAAUUGUAAGUUGUAGCAAUUUUCAAAAAAAUAUUUAAAAAUAUUUUUUUAAAAUUUAUAUAUUAGAAAUAUGUAUAUAUAUAUAUCAAUUAAAAUCUCCCUUAAAUAUUUUCAUUUAUCUUUCUCCCUCGUCUGUUUCCUUAAAUAAAGGAUUGAUAAUAAAUUCUUAAUUUUCUCCUUAUUGUUUUAUACUUGUUUUUAACUUAAUUCCUCAAAUCAACCCUUUCUAUAGGGACAGAACGUGAAACAUAUAACACAAAAGUAAUGUGAGAGUUUCAAAAGAAAAGGAAGUUAGAGUGGGCGAGGAGAAGGUUUGUUCAUAGAAACUCAAAAAGUAACGUGAGAGUUUCAAAAGAAAAGGAAGUUAGAGUGGGCGAGGAGAAGGUUUGUUCAUAGAAACUCAGCCGUAAAUUUAUAAAUCGAGAAAUAUAUACAACAAAAAGGAAAAAUAAUCUUAAAUCAUGCAUUGGAAGGACUCAGUAAAACACAAAUUAGCACUCCAUCUGGACUCCACUCCAUCAAAUUUAGGUUAAUAAGAUCCCUAUACGUCCCUGAAGCCUAAAGUUACUUCACCUAUGACUCCAAAAACACACUUCACCAUAGAUCAGAGAGCAAUUUCUUUUUCUCAAGUUCAGUUUCCAGGACCACUGUCUAUGCAACAUAGAUUCCUUUGCACAUCGUAGGCAUAAAUAUACAAGGCUAUUUUUUAAAAAAAUUUUGUAGUAAUCAAAAAAUGCAAGACUUCAUAGGCAUCUGAAUUCAUACUACAAGCUGAAAUAACCACCUAAUCAAAAAUUUAACUGGUAUAAUCUAUAUAACUAUUGCAUAUUCACCAUACUUCAACCCAACCUGAAAUCAAGAAAAUUAGAACAACCAAAAAAAAUGUCAGGAUAAUGGCAUAGUAUGUUGUUUCGGGUACACAAAAUUUGUAGGUUAGUUCACUAAACUUCAACACAAGUUUAAGAUGUUUCAAGAAUACUUAUGAAGUUUUCCAACACCUUCAACACAAGUUCACUAUGAACUAUCAAAGAAGUAUGUUAUAUUAUUAAGAAAUAAGAUGAAAUAGAAUAAGUCAAGUCCUUCGCAUUCACAAAGUGUCCUUAAGAAAAUAAUUCCCUUCAAGUAACCGAGGUUGCAGAAUUUUUCUCCCAGGAUAAAAUGGCUUCAUAACCAGAAAGUAGCAGUACCUCAAACUUUCUGGUUUUCUUCGAAUAGAUGAUCACACAGAUUUUUUAAGAAGACAAGAAGUGUUUUAAUGCAGAAAAUUUUUGUGCUAAUCCUGUGGGAAAAUGCAGGUUUAUAUAGUCAUGAAGUGCCACUUCAGAAAGAAGGCAAUGGCUCAUCAAAAAGUGUAUCUUUUCUAAAUAGUCAUGUCUAUCCAUUCGAAACAGUGUGUCUUUUUCGAACAGCCACAACCAUCCAAAUAGUCAUACAUUUUCCCAAAACAUUGUGUCAUUUCCAAGAAAGGUUGUAUCCCUUUCGAGGCUGUAUUUUGCAUUUCUACAGUUGUUUCUGCACUAUAUGCAUAUAUGUUAAUAGAGAUUCUGCACUGUAUGCAUGCACGUUAAUAGAGGAACAAAAAACUCGUGCAUUUUUCCUUUGGAUUCUUGGAUCACUUGAUUUAACAAAUAAAAUUUAUCUAAAAAAUUAAUCUCAUCGAUCAUUUGACAAAUUCUAAGCUGAAGCCGAAGUCGAGCCGAGCGAGCGACGAUGAUGGCGGUGCAAGGUGCCUCUUGGUUCUCGUCUCACUUACCAUGUGGAGUUUGUGUUUGUUAAUAUAAACACAUGAAGGUUUCAGUCUCCCACCAAUAUGGGAGAAGUAGUAGACUUUCCUUAUUUUUUAGUACACUUUCCUUUUUAAGUGUUAUCUUAAUUUUUUCGCCACUUAAUUCCCUCCAUUUUUUAUUCACACUUUUAAUCUUAAACCCAAUAAUCCCUCACAUGAAUGGGGAAUGGCUAUUCUUUAUAAAACUUUACGAAAAAGUAUGUGAUCAUUAAGCAAAGACUGAUUGCAUCUGGAUAAGUAGAUUUUCCUUUAAACUUUCUGUAGUGACCAUGCAUCGAAUGCACUCGAUCAAUCUAUAGAUUUGAUAUCUUUGAACCAUCGAUCUUUAAUGUACACCUAGACAACACACAUCACAUAACCAGUCUUUUACCAUUUAUGGUUCUCACAAUUUUGUUCGGUUCAGCCAUGAAUUCAUGAGAGCUUAGAGAAUAGGACUUUAAUAAUAUUUUACUUGAAGAGACUUCCACUUCACCCUCACAUAGGUGAUUUCUAAGCGUUUCAAUCCGAUAGAUUAAACUAUUUGGUCAAAUCUAUCAAAUUUAGAUAAUCAUUAAAAGACUUCACACCAUAAGUCUUAUCCUUGUUUACUAAAUAUUGUCUACAUCAUGAGAUUAGGUUGGGUAUAUUGACAAUAUUGAACCUAUCAGACACAACUUUGUUUGAUCUCCUUGAACCUAGCUCUUGAGAUCUCCAGUAUCCUAGAUAGAGUUACCGUCAUGCUGACUUGUCUUAGGUCAUAAACCCAUUCUCUUAGAUGUCCUCUUAACUUAUAAUACCCCGGGAAGUUUUUCAUUGAAAUUUUGUACGUAAAUGUGUUGGGUUCUAUCUUCUAGAAUAAACUAUCAAUUUUUCGUGAGGAAUGUCUUAGAUUAUGACCCACCAUUGCGUAGAUUAUCGAAUAAGAUUUCCAAAGAUAUGUGGAUCAUCCAAAACGAACACCCGAGCGACAAGUUAUGAACAUUCCGAUCGAACCGUGAAUAGUAGUGAACAGUAAAAUGUGCAGGAAAAAGUACUGAGGCCUGGCGUAUUUUUUGUACAAAUUUAAACAAUCAUAACUCCUUGUACAUAAUGAUCUGGGUGAUCUACUAUAUAUCAACGAAAAUAUUUGCGAGUCCUCUUUCCAAUGAAAUUGGUUUCAUCCAAUUUGUCUAUUCGGAGGAAAAGCUAUGGUCGAUCUACUUCAGCCUAUCAAAAGCAAAUUUUUGGUUCAAAUUCAAACGAUCAUAACUCCUCGUACACAAUAAUCUGGGUGAGAUACUAUAUAUCAACAGAAAGAUAUGAGAGUCCACUUUCUAAUAAAAUAGGUUUCAUCCAAUUUGGAUAUCGAAGUAAACCGUUAUGGUUGAUCUACUUCAGACUAUCAAAACUGUCCACCAAAGGACAGAUUUGAGAAUUAUUUGAUUUUUAAGGGCGUUUUGGUCAUUCCUCCUCACCCAAAAACCGUCCAAACCCUAUAUUAAAUCUUAUUAGAAGUAUUAUAUGUUAUAUUUCAUCAAAUUCCCUUAAAAAUAAAACCCUAAGCUCCUACAUCCAACUUCAAGAACCUCUAAAGUUCACCAUUAAUUCUAUAAAUUUAUUCAAGAUUCCAAGUUCCUAGUUCAGGAACUCCAAGAACCAUCAUUCAAAGGCACGAUUAACAUCUCAAAAAUGAGUAUCGAUCUAAAGUUCAUCAUUCGAGGUAUGUGGAUUUUUUCAACAAGAGCUCUCUUUCGUUCUUGUGCCCAAAAGUAAUUUUCUUUACAAAGGCAUGAUUUUUAUUUUAUUUUUAUGAAUUUGAAGCAUGAACCCAUAUCUUAUGAUGAUUAUUAUNNNNNNNNNNNNNNNNNNNNNNNNNNNNNNNNNNNNNNNNNNNNNNNNNNNNNNNNNNNNNNNNNNNNNNNNNNNNNNNNNNNNNNNNNNNNNNNNNNNNNNNNNNNNNNNNNNNNNNNNNNNNNNNNNNNNNNNNNNNNNNNNNNNNNNNNNNNNNNNNNNNNNNNNNNNNNNNNNNNNNNNNNNNNNNNNNNNNNNNNNNNNNNNNNNNNNNNNNNNNNNNNNNNNNNNNNNNNNNNNNNNNNNNNNNNNNNNNNNNNNNNNNNNNNNNNNNNNNNNNNNNNNNNNNNNNNNNNNNNNNNNNNNNNNNNNNNNNNNNNNNNNNNNNNNNNNNNNNNNNNNNNNNNNNNNNNNNNNNNNNNNNNNNNNNNNNNNNNNNNNNNNNNNNNNNNNNNNNNNNNNNNNNNNNNNNNACAACGUGGUUGAUUUUGAUAGAUGGGAAGCAUGAUGUCUCCCGAUGUAUAUUUAUAUAUUACUGAAAUUAUUUUGUUGUAGAUUGUCUGUGAAAUGAUCUGAGCUAUGUCCGGGAGAAAUCUUUAGCAUCGAGUGGGAGGUAUAAAGCGACUUUACUUCCCUAGAACUACGUGCCCCCGUAGGAGUGAGCCUGAGGCUGAUUUAUAUAGUGAUCACUAUUUUGUGUGGAUUUGAUAUUGAUAGUCCUACUCCGAUGGCAAGGAUAGGAUGACUCUCCCCAAAGUGGGUUGUACGUUGGACUGCAUAUAGCUCACAUGGUUUAUGUCGGUUAUAGGAUCUCCCAGUGUGUGUGUGUUUCCUUGUGUCUAUGGUGAAUGGUAAAGUGAUUUGAAAGUGGAAUUGUGAAAGUUAUUCUUUUGAAAUAUUUAAAUGAUAUUCACAUUAUGGAAUUGAUAUUCUUGAUGAGCUGAAAGUGAUUGACAAAUUAUAUGAUGACUCACAUGUGUUAUUGUACUUAUUUCAUCCUCUCAUGAUUAUGAUGAUUUUCUUCGGGCUAUGUGAGUCUUUCAUACAUCCUGCAUAUUUCUUAUAAAUAUUUAUGAUGAUGAUGUUUAUACAACUGCAUACAUCCCUAUAUACUCAGUUCCUUUUCAUGGUACUGACCCACACCUUUGGAUGUGGGCUACAUUUUUUCAGAAUGUAGGUUCAGGUGCUCAGUUUUAGGUUCGACAGUGAUUCUUUGGGCAUGCUGUUCUACAUCCUCUGUUGUGGUGAGUCCUCAUGUUCCGAGGACGUGAUGUCUGACGUUGGUUUCACGAAAUUGUUUACAUUUGAUAACUGAGUAUGAGUCAGUUGGGGCAUGUCUCAAUGGCUCGCUGGUGUUAUUGAUUUUCUUAAAGGUUUGUCAGACUAGUAUAGAUGUUGGGAGUUGACUAAUAAGUCUUAUUUUGUUAUCUUUCUGAAAUUAUUUUAUUCUUGGAUGAUGAUUACUCUGUUGAUAUUUGAGGGUUAUUUAUGGAAACCCCGUUGAUUUGUGUUGAACUAAAAUGUCUCAAAGGGUUAGCUUGGGGAUACUCAUAGCCUCAAGCACUGUAUGAUGCUCUGGGACCCAUUUUCCAGGGCGUUACACAACUCCCUCUCUAGAUAGGUUUUUUGUAAUUGGAUCCGACACAUUAUCCUUUGACUUCACAUAGUCAACAGUGAUAAUUCCACUAGAGAGAAGUUCUAUAACGAUAUUAUAUCUCUGUUUUAUAUGAUGAGAUUUACCAUUAUACAUCAUGCUCUCUGCCCUACGUAUUGCCGUUUGGCUAUCAUAGUGUAUACAUACUGGUGCUACUGGUUUGGUCCAAUAAGAAAUAUCUUCCAAGAAAUUAGGAGUCAUUCUGUUUCUUCACCGGCUUUAUCCAAUGCAAUAAACUCAGAUUCCAUUAUAGAGAAAGCAAUAUAUGUAUGUUUGGACAACUCCAAGAGAUUUCUCUUCCACCUAUAGUAAAUACAUAUCCAUUCAUUGAUUUUACUUUAUUUGAUCUGGUGAUUCAAUUUGCAUCACUUUAUCCUUCAAUUACUACAGGAUAUGUAAUAUAAUGCAAAACAUAGUCUUGAGUGUAUUUAAGAUACCCCAAAACUCUUUUCAUUGCCAUCCAAUGAGUUUUACUGGGGUUACUCGUGUACUGACUCAACUUACUAAUAGCACAUGCUAUGUCUAGUCGUGCAUAAUUUAUGAUAUACAUCAAACAUUCUAACACUUUUGCAUAGUCCAACUGUGGGUCACUUUUACCUUCAUUCUUUUGAAGUGCAAAGCUCACGUCCAAUAGAGUCUUGGCAAUUCCAAAUUCCAAAUACUUGAACUUGUCAAGUACCAUUUCGAUAUAAUGAGAUUGUGACAAUGUCAAUCCUUGUGGAGUUCUAUAGAUUCUUAUUUCUAAAAUCACAUCAGCAACUCCAAGGUCUUUCAUAGCAAACUUGCUUUCAAGCAUUCAUUUUGUAGCAUUUAUAUCAGAAAUAUCUCUAUUGAUGAUCAACAUAUCAUCCACAGACAAACAAACAAGGAAAUGUGAUUUGGAGUGUCUUUAAUGUAAACACAUUUAUCACAUUCGUAUAUCUUAAACCCGUUUGCUAACAUGGUUUAGUUAAACUUCGCAUGACACUGUUCAAGUGUUUGUUUUAGUCCAUACAGUGACUUAACAAGUUUACAACCUUAUUUUUUUACCUAGAACCACAACACCCUCAGAUUGUUCCAUGUAAAUUUCUUCCACCAAUUCUUCAUUUAGGAAUACUAUUUUCACAUCCAAUUGAUAGAUUUCAAGACCAUAUACUACCGCCAAGGAAAUUUACAUCUGAAUUGACGUUAUUCUCAUUACAGGCGAGUAUGUAUCAAAGUAAUCAAGGCCUUCCUUUUGUUUAAAGCCUUUUACUAUAAGUCUUGCCUUGUAUUUGUCAAUAGUACCAUCCACUUUUAUUUUUCUUUUGAAGAUUUAUUUAGAACCUAAAGUUUUAUUUCCUGGAGGAUGAUCAACCAACUCCCAUGUAUGGUUGCUUAAGAUUGAAUCAAUCUCACUAUUGACUGCCUCUUUCCAAAAGGAUGAGUCUAAAGACAUUAUCACUUUUUUAAAUAUUUGAGGCUCAUUUUCUAGGAGAAAUGUUACAAAAUCUGAUCCAAAUGAAGUUGACGUUCUUUGGCGUCUACUACGUCUUGGAUUUUCAUCACUAUGUACAUCCUUACUUGGUUCAUCUCGAGGUCAUUUAAGACCCCACUAGAUUAUUCGUGUCUAGUUUUAUACGGAUAAAUGUGUUCAAUGAAUUUAGCAUUAUCUGAUUCAAUUACCGUAUUUUCAGUGAUAUCCGGAUUUUUGGAUUUAUGAACCAAAAAUCGAAAUGUUUUAUUACUUUUACCAUAUUAUAUGAACACGCAGUUCACUGUCUUAGGUUCGAUCUUUUCCCUUAUAGGCAUAGGAACUUAGAAUUUCGCUAGACAUCCCCACACCUUGAAAUAUUUCAAGUUGGGUUUCCUUUCUUUCCAUUUUUCAUAUGGAACUACUUGUGUCUUACUAUGGGGCACUCUAUUGAGUAUUCGGAGCUGUAAGGAUAGCUUUCCCCCACAAGUUAUGCGAUCAACCUGAACUUAUAAGUAAGACAUUCAUCAUUUUCUUUAAGAUUUGUUUUUUUCAUUCUGUAAUUCCAUUAGAUUGAGGUGAAUACGGGAUUGUAGUUUGAUGAAAAAUUACAUUCUCUACACGUAUUUCCGCAAAUGGAGAUUCAUAUUCUCCACCCCUAUCAUUUUUUCUCAUUUUGAUCUUUUUCUUUAACUGGUUUUUAACUUCUGUUUUAUGUUGCCUAAACGUAUCUAUUAUUCAUCCUUACUGCUUAGCAAAUUGACAUAACAAUAUCUAGUGCAAUCAUCCAUAAAAGUUAUAAAAUAAUUUUUUCCACCACAAGAUGGUGUUGACUUCAUAUCACAAAUGCCAGUGUGUAUUAAGUCUAAGUAAUUGAAAUACCUUUAAACGGACUUAUACGGAUUCUUAGCAUACUUUGAUUCCACAUACGUUUGAUAUUUUGAUUUCUUGCACUCAAAGUUUGGCAAAAGUUUUAAGUUAAUCAUUUUUCACAAUGUUUUGUAAUUGAUAUGUCCUAAUCAUUCAUGACACAAAUCAUUAGACAUAAGCAAGUAAGAAGAAAUAGAACUUUUUUUUAUUUUAACAUUCAUUACAUUCAUCUUAAAUAGGCCCUCAGUGAGGUAGCCUUUUCCUACGUACACUUCUCCUUUACUAAGUAUAAUUUUUCCAAAAAUAAAUACACAUUUGAAUCCAUUUAUGUCAAGAAAUAAUACAAAAAUCAAUUUCUUCCGUAACUCCUGUACAUACAGGACAUUGUUCAAAGUAAACACUUUUCCUGAUGUCAUUUUCAGGAAAACCUUUCUUGUUCCUUCAAUUUUUACAAUUGCGAAGUUUGCCAUAUAGAUCUUCUCUUCACCUUGAGCAGGAGCAAAUGCAGCAAAAAACUCCUUAUUUGCACAAACGUGGUGGGUAGCACCUAAAUCCAUCCAUUAUUCUCGAGGAUUUCCCACCAAGUUUCAUUCUAACAGCAUAACACACAAAUCGUCCAUUUUGUUCUUGGAUUUAAACAUAUUUGGCUGGUCCUUCUUUUUUCCUUUCUUCGGGAAUGACAAUCUGUUGACUUGUAGCCAAUCUUUCCACAAUUAAAGCAUUUGCCUUUGAAUUUCUUCAUAGAUUGAUUUCUUUCUUGUCCAGUAGUCUUCUUCUUUUUUGAGUUGUUGCAUUCAUCUUCUACAAUAUUUGCACCAUUCAUUGCAGAAUUUUCUUUUGACCUUCUUUCCAUGACCUUGUUGUCUUCUUCAAUGCGUAGUCUCACUAUGAGAUCUUCGACUGUCAUCUCCUUUUAUUUAUGUUUCAAGUAGUCCUUGAAGUCCUUCCACAUAUGUUGUAACUUCUCUAUUAUUUUCGUGACUUGAAAUGCCUCGUUCACAACUAAACUACAAUAAAGUUUAUGUGAAUACUAAGAACAUUUUUAACAUGUUCAAAUAAGGUCUUUACCAAACUCAUACCUUCCGUAAGGAGAUCGUGGAUGAUAACUUGCAGUUACUGUACUUGAGAUACACCCGACUUGUUUCCUAUUAUUUUAUAUUAGGAAUCUUGCAACAAAGAACUUCUUGGUUCCAACAUCCUCAGUCUUGGAUUUUCUUUCUAGCGUACCCCACAACUCUUUUGACGUCUUCAUUCCACUACAUACAUUAUAUAGGUCAUCUUGGAGUCCACUUAGAAUGUAAUUCCUACAUAGGAAAUCAAAAUAUCUCCACACCUCUAUAACGACAAAUCUCACCUGGUCCAAAGUUUCCUCGGGCAACUCUGUAGCUUCCUCAGAUAUAAAUCUUUGAAGGCAUAAGGUUGUAAGGUAGAAGAACAUCUUCUAUUUCCACCUUUUAAAAUUAAUACCCAUGAAUUUUUUGGGUUUCUCCGUUGGUGCCAUUACCUGCGGAGCACUUGUACGACUCGUUGUGACAAUAUUAGUUUCUACCACACUCGUCCCAACAUCAUUCACAUGAUUGUCAAGAGUCAUUUUCCUAUCACAAAAAGACAGUCAACUUUAGUGUAUUGAAAUACUACUUAUAAAGUUGUAGCAACUUUAAACACACCUUGUUUCUAGUUUAACUAUGAUGUUUUUAUGACUCCAAAUCAUGUACCGAAUGAGCCUUUAACUUGUGAUGAAGUUUUUAUGUCUUUAUAUCACUUGUUAAGUUCAAAUGGAGUAGAAAGUGUAAAGCUAUAAUCUCCAGAAACCAAACAAUACAAAUUACAGAUUAUUUCCUUAAGAUUGUUGUUUCCGGUAAACAAAAUUUGUAUGUUAGUUCGCUAAAAUUCAACACAAGUUCAAGAUAUUUCAAGAACACUUAUGAAGUUUUCCAACACCUCCAACACAAGUUCACUAUGAACUAUCAAAGAAGUGUGCUAUAGUAUUAACAAAUAAAAUGAAACAGAAUAAGCCGUCCUUAGAAUUUAUGAAGUGUCCUUAAGGAAAUAAUUCCUCUCAAGUACCUGAGGUAGAAGAACUUUUCUCCCAAUAUAAAAUGGCUUCACAACCAGAAAGUAGAAGUACUUCAAACCUUUUGGUUUUUAUCUAGUUUAACUAUGAUGUUUUUAUGACUCCAAAUCAUGUACCGAAUGAGCCUUUAACUUGUGAUGAAGUUUUUAUGUCUUUAUAUCACUUGUUAAGUUCAAAUGGAGUAGAAAGUGUAAAGCUAUAAUCUCCAGAAACCAAACAAUACAAAUUACAGAUUAUUUCCUUAAGAUUGUUGUUUCCGGUAAACAAAAUUUGUAUGUUAGUUCGCUAAAAUUCAACACAAGUUCAAGAUAUUUCAAGAACACUUAUGAAGUUUUCCAACACCUCCAACACAAGUUCACUAUGAACUAUCAAAGAAGUGUGCUAUAGUAUUAACAAAUAAAAUGAAACAGAAUAAGCCGUCCUUAGAAUUUAUGAAGUGUCCUUAAGGAAAUAAUUCCUCUCAAGUACCUGAGGUAGAAGAACUUUUCUCCCAAUAUAAAAUGGCUUCACAACCAGAAAGUAGAAGUACUUCAAACCUUUUGGUUUUUAUUGAACUCAUUAAACGGGAGAUGAUCACACAGAGUUUUUAAGAAUACAAGAAGUGUUUUAAUAAAGAAAAUUUCCAUGUUAAACCUGUGGAUAAAUGCAGGUAUAUAGCCAUGAAGUGCCUCUUCGAAAAGGAGGCAGUGGUUCAUCGAAAGAUGUAUCUUUUCUGAAUAGUCAUGUCUACCUGUUAGAGUUAUGACCCGAAGCUUGUAGAUUCGGCCUAGAAAGUUUUGUAGUGUGACCCAUGUUUGUGGUGGUAGCAUAGGGAUCGGGCCGAUAAGCCUGUGGACCUUUAUAUUUUUUGGGCCUAGGACUUUUUUGUAUGCAUAUAUUAUUUAAGUGUAUUUAGUGAGUUGUUUUGGGUAUCAAGAAAAUACUCAUUUUCCAUAUUGUACUCCUCUCCUUUCAUUAUAGUGAAAUAUCAUCUGCCUCUGCCCGUGGUUUUUUCCCGCAAGGGUUUCCAGAUAAAUCUGUGUGUUUUUAUUUUCUUUAUGCUCGUGGUUCGCUUUAUUUCUACCCGAUUCCUAACAAACUGGUAUCGGAGCCUGUUCGAUUAUUUUCUCAGGGAUGACAACCAUGAAGUAUGAUAUUCCGUUGUUGGAUUGCAACACCAAAUUUUUUUAUCAUGGGUUAAGAUGCGGGUUGUGCUCCCACAGAUGGAUUUGGACGGUGCUUUAUUAGGGUUUGAGAGGAUGCCCUCAUCGUAGACGAAUGAGGACAAAUGACAUAAGGAUCAGAAGUCUCUAUCUCAAAUCCACCAUUAUUUGUCCAAUCAAAUUCUACAGGAUGUUUAGAAGGAGACCACAGUCGAUGCGUUGUGGCUAAGAAUGGAAUUACUGUGUAUGAUGAAGAGUCUAAAAAGUAAGUUGUAUCUCAAGCAAUGACUUUAUUCCCAUCAUAUGUCUGAGGGUGUGUCCUUGGAGGAUCACCUAUCUGUAUUUAAGAAAAUCAUCUCUGAUUCAGAAACUCUAGAGGUGAAGUACGAUAAGGAAGAUCUAGGAUUGAUUUUGUUAUGUUUGAUUCCAGCAUCAUACAUGACCUUUAGGGAUACGAUUUUAUAUAGUCAUUAUUCCCUAAUGAUUAGUGAAGUCAAUGAUGCGUUGUUCUCUAAGGAGAAGAUAAAACAUCUUAUGAAUGGGUCAGAGACUUAAGGAGAUAGUCUCAUUAUACGAGGACGAAGGACUCGUAAGAGGAAUUCUGGAGGUGAUGACAUGAAUAGGUCAAAAUCCAAAAAUAGAAAUAAAACCUGUAAUUACUACAAGAAGAAGGGUCUUAUCAAAUAUGAGUGUUGAAAGCUACAAAAUAGAGAGAAAAGAGAAACUCCAAAAUCGGAGGGAAACCAACCAGAGAAGUCUAGUGAAGUCAACUUUGUGGAAGAUGGUGGUAGUGAUGGAAAAAUCUUGGUAGUUUCUAAUGGUAACUCCAAACCCUGUGAGAAUUGGAUUCUUGAUUUAGCUUGUAUGUUUCACAUGUGUCAUAAUCGAGAUUAGUUUACAACAUAUGAAUCAGUCUCUAAAGGUACUGUGUUGAUGGGAAAUAAUUAACACACCCUAAAAGAUAGCUGGAAUUGGAAAAAUCAGGAUUAAGAUAUUUGAUGGGGUUGUGAGGACACUUGGUGAUGUGCGGUAUGUCCCAGACCUAAAGAGAAAUCCUAUUUCCUUGAGUACCCUUGAUUCAAAUGGUUAUAGGUACACUGGUGAAGGUGGAAUCCUAAAAAUUACUAAAGCUGAUCUUGUUAUGAUGAAGGGACAGAGAAAGUCUACAAAUUUGUAUGUCCUGCAAGGCUCUAACGUUAUAGGUGAUGCAACUAUUUCUACCUCAUCUCUAUUAGAAAGUGAUGUUGCUAAACUUUGGCAUAUGCAUCUGGGCCAUAUGAGUGAAAAUGAGAUGGCUGAACUAAGCAGGAGCGGACUUCUUGAUGGGCAGAGUAUUACCAAAUUAGAGUUUUGUGAGCAUUGUGUUUUUGGGAAGUAAAAGAAAGUUAGAUUCACUAAAAGCAUCCACUCAACUAAGGCCACACUUGAUUACAUUCAUUCUAAUCUCUAGGGUCCUGCUAGAGUACCUCUAGAGGAGGUGCUAAUUAUUUGUUGACUAUUAUUGAUGACUAUUCAAGAAAAGUUUGGGUGUUCUUUUUUAAGCAAAAGAAUGAUGUGUUGCCUACUUUCAAGGAGUGGAAGACUAUGAUUAAAAAGCAGACAGGGAAGCAAGAAAAAUACCUUCGGACCGAUAAUAGUUUACAGUUCUGUUCUAAUGAAUUUAAUGCUUUGUGUAAGUCAGAAGAAAUUGUGAGGCACUUGACAUUUCAUCAUACUCCGCAUCAAAAUAGUGUGGCCGAACGAAUGAAUAGGACUAUAAUGGAGAAGGUGCAAUGUAUGCUCUCUAAUGCGGGUUUACCUAAGUCUUUUUGGGCUGAAGCUGCCUCUACAGCUUGCUUUCUUAUUAACUGCUCUCCCUCAGUCUUGAUUGAUAAAAUGACUUCAAAAGAGGUAUGAUCUUAUACGCCUACUAGUUAUUCUGAUUUGAGGAUACUUAGAUAUCCUGCGUAUGCUCAUGUUAAUAAUGGAAAGUUGGAACCUAGAUCUGUCAAGUGCUUAUAUAUGGGUUAUAAGCCUGUUGUUAAAAGUUAUAAGCUUUGGUGUCAAAAUAGCAGAAAGGUUAUAAUUAGCAGGGAUGUUGUGUUUGAUGAAACUCCCCAGAUGAGCUUAGUGACAUGAAUCAGAAAAAGUCAAGCACCCAUGUUGAAUUACAGAUUGGAGCAGAGUCUACACCAGUGCCUACUUCUCAGUCUAGCCCAAAGAGACAGAGUAAUACUAUUUCUUCUUCACCACCAGUGAUGCCACAAUAUUCUAUUGCUGUAGAAAGGCCUAGAAGAGAUAUUAGACCUCCUCAGAAGUAUGUUGAAGUAGAUUUGGUUGCUUAUGCAUUGAGUGUAGCAGAAGGUGUUGAUUCUGGUGAAGAUACUUCUUCUUAAUCAGAGGCAGUUAGUUGUGAUGAUUCCGGCCGAUAGAUGAUUGCUAUGCAGGAGAAGAUGAAAUUACUUUAUAAAAAUGGCACAUGGGAUCUAGUGAGAUUGCCUAAAGAUAAGAAAGUUGUUCGUUGCAACUGGGUGUUCAAAAAGAAAGAAGGACUAUUGGAAGUUGAAGAUGCUAGGUACAAAGCAAGACUAGUUGCUAAAGGUUAUAGUCAGGUUCCAGGUAUCGACUUCAUAGAUGUGUUUUCUCCAGUUCUAAAGCAUAGUUCGAUUCUAGCAUUGCUUGGUAUUGUGGCCAUUCAUAAUCUUGAGCUUGAGCAGUUGGAUGUCAAGAUUACAUACUUACAUGGAGAACUUGAGGAAAUCUAUAUGUAACAACUAGAGGGCUUUGUAGUCUUAGGAAAGGCUGACUAUGUAUGCUUGCUGAAAAAGUCACUUUAUGGCUUAAAGCAGUCGCUUAGGCAGUGGUAUAAGAGGUUUGACUCUUUUAUGACCUAUCAUAUGUUUCAGAGGAGCAGCUACGAUAGUUGUGUAUACUUCAAGGAGGUAAGUGAUGGUUCAUUUGUGUAUCUUAUCUUGUAUGUUGAUGAUAUGUUGAUUGCAGCAAAGGAUAUAAGAGAGAUAAUAAAAGUUAAAACCCAUCUCAGUAAGGAGUUUGAUAUGAAGAAUAUAAGUGCAGCAAAGAAGAUUCUUGGCAUAGAGAUUCUGAGGGAUUGAAAGAAUUACAAAUUAUACUGGAGUCAGAAAGCAUAAAUUGAAAAGUGUUUCAUAGGUUUAAUAUACAAAAUGCCAAACCUGUAAGUACUCCAUUGGAAGCUCACUGCAAACUCUCAGCCACUUUAUCUCCAAAAACAGAUGAUAAGUGUGACUAUACGUCUCGAGUUCCAUACUCUAGUGUUGUCGGGUCUCUUAUGUAUGCGAUAGUGUGUUCACAACCAGAUUUAUCUUAUGUCGUCAGUGCAGUUAGCAGAUACAUGGCAAAUCCUAGCAAAGAACAUUGGAAAGCAGUUCAGUGGAUUUUUAGAUACUUGCAUGGAUCCGCUGAUGUUUGUUUGUAUUUUGGGCAAAAUAGCGAUGGAGUAAUCGGGUAUGUUGAUUCUGAUUUUACAGGAGAUCAUGAUAAAAGGAGAUCCCUUAUAGUCUAUGUUUUCACUAUUGGUUAUUGUGCUAUUAGUUGGAAAGUUACCUUACAGACUAUGGUUGCUUUGUCAACUACUGAGGCAAAGUAUAUCGUUAUUACAGAGGCUUUCAAGGAAUCUAUUUGGUUGAAAGUUCUGUUUGGUGAACUUAGCAACGACUUACAGAUUACUACGGUCUUUUGCGAUAGUCAGAGUGCUAUCUUCCUUAUGAAAGAUCAGAUGUUUCACGAGAGGACAAAUCACAUUGAUGUUCAGUAUUAUUUUGUGCGUGAAAUUAUUGCUCGUGGUGAUAUUAUGGUGAGCAAGAUUAGUACUCAUGAUAAUCCUGUUGAUAUGUUGACCAAGACACUACCAAGUGCCAAGUUUGAGCAUUUCUUGGAUUUGGUUAGUAUUAACUGUUAAGAUGUGCCCUUAAGGGCUUUUGUGGAAGAGGUGGAGAGUUUGUCUUGAAAUAGAUUUGAGUUCUGAAUUAGAAUUCAUGUCAAGGUGGAGAUUGUUAGAGUUGUGACCCGAAUUUUGUUGAUCCGGCCUAGAAAGUUUCACGGUGCGAUCCAUGUUUGUGAUUUUCAAUAGGGUCUAUGGUGGUAGCGUAGGGAUCGGGCUGAUAGGCCCAUAGACCUUUAUGUUUUUUGGGCCUAGGACUUUUUUGUAUGCACAUAUGCACAUAUUAUAUAAGUGCAUUUAGUGGGUUGUUUUGGGUAUCCAGAAAAUACUGAUUCUCCACAUUGUACUCCUCUCCUUUCUUCAUAGUGAAACAUCCUCUGCCUCUGCCCGUGGUCUUUUUCGCAAGGGUUUCCACGUAAAUCUAUGUCUUCUUAUUUUCUUUCUGCUUGUGGUUUGCUUUAUUUCUACCUGAUUCCUAACACUGUUCAUUUGAAAUAGUGUCUCUUUUUCGAACAACCACAACCAUCCAAACAAUCAUACCUUUUCUCGAAAGUGCGUUAUUUCCUCGAAGGGUUGCAUCCUUUCCGAGGUAGCAUUUCGCAUUUUUACAGUUGUUUCUGUACCGCAUGCAUGCACGUUAAUGGGGGAACAAAAAACUGGUGCGUUUUUCCUUUGGAUUCUUAGAUCACUUGAUUUCCCAAUAAAACUGGAAAUGAUUCAUAUAUAUUGUAGAACAAUUCAUAGAAAGAGAGAGAAAAAGUUUAUGGGUUAUUUAUUUCGGCUAGAAAUGUUAAGUAUCGUUUGAUGUCAAAUAUAUAUAUAUAUAUAUAUAUANNNNNNNNNNNNNNNNNNNNNNNNNNNNNNNNNNNNNNNNNNNNNNNNNNNNUAUAUACAUAUAUAUAUAUAUAUAUCAGUUAAAAUUUCUCUUAAAUAUUUGAAUUUAUCUUUCUCCCUCAUCUAUUUUCUUAAAUAAAGGAUUGAUAAUAAAUUUUUAAUUUUCUUCUUACUGUUUUAUACUUUUUUUUUUUGCUAUGUAAUCCCCUCAAAUCCUCCACUUAACAAAGUAAAAAGAUAAAAAAAAUACAAUAAAAGGAUUAGAAGAAGUCCUAAAUUUCUCCUUCUUUCAUUUCCUUAAAUAAUUAUUUUUUAUUAGUUAAUCCUUUCAAAAAAUUUAAUAAUGUUGUCUUUUCAUAAAUUUCUCUCAUAUGCGUUUCUUAGUUCUUUCAUACUUUAAUUUCUUUGAUAUUAAUAAUUACUUUAAAUUGCUUUCAUUGCAUACACUUUGAUCAUAUUGUUGAAAUCCACAUUUUAUUCUUAAUUUUUUCAUACACUAAUAUUUAUUUUUUCCUUAUUUUUUUGCAAUAUAAAUUUUAUCCGUUAAUCAAAUUUUAUACGUAAGUUAACGUGAAUUUCAUAUAUUUUUAUACGUUAGUCAUCGUGAAUUUCAUAUUUUCAUUCUUGAUUUAUUAAAUUCUUUUUGUAGGAAAUAACAAAUUCAAUGAAUAAUUUUUCAUACACAGUUGAUACAAAAUUUUUAUCUAAAGUUUUAUGAAAACCAUAUUUUAUACCUUUCUAUGUGUAUUUAUUAACGAAUAAUACAACUUGCCAAGAAACUAACAGCGUCGAAAGAUACAUCAAUUUUUAUACAAAAUUCAUAACCCAGUAAAUAAAAUACACCUAAAUUAGUGAAAUUUAGCAUAUUUUAGACACCAUCCAUACACAAAACAUGUUUAUUUUUAUCCAUGGUUUUUUAAUGUAAUAGCUAAUUCAGUGAACAAUCUCGUAUUCAUGAUUCACAUCAGUUUGUAUAUAAAUUUCUUACAUAUAAACAUAUAUAAAUGGAAAAAAAAAUAGAGAUGCAUAAAUUUAUAUAUAGAUUUUAAACGCGUAACAAAUAAAAAAAACGUAAGUUAAUUAUAUGUACCAUAUUUUAUGCACAUUUCAUAUACUAAAAUAUGUACAAGUAAGCCUUGAGCGGGAUAUUGAUAUUUCAUAUUGAUUUUAUCCAGACUUCAUACACGAAAUCUGAGAAAAGUUCUAAGUAAUUUCUAUAUGAACUAUACAUAAAUUAUUCUUAGAAUUUUAAAAAUUGAAUAUUGAAACAGCAAUAGGUGAUGUAGAUGCACGUGAAUUGAUGGUUCAAUCUCAAGAGAAUUCUAAGGUCUUAGCCUCUUCAUCAAUCUAAAUAUGGACUACAAGAUAGGAACUUAAUUGUUGAACAACACAUUGACGAACAAGAUCAUAAUACAUCUUUAAAACCUCUAAAUUUGAUGAUCGGUGAUGUCAUAGUCAGAUAUGGAGCAUAUUCACGAUGUUGUGGUGAGAAGUGAAUAUUUUGGGCAGUAUUCGUGCUUGAAUGUCUCCAAGAAAUCGAUGUAUAAGAAUUCAGAAAUUGAAAAUUCCAUCAGUAAAAAGCAUGCUACUGGUGAUGAAUCAACGAACAAAAUCAAGGGUAUGGAUAACAGUAUUGGCAAGGACUGGACCAUGAUGGCACAUAAAAAAUAUUUAGGCAUUUGAAAUGGCUCUCCCUGCUUGCAUUAAUGUGUAGCUAGCAAGGAAUGUUCCACACUACUAAAAACUUGGCUAUUAGCUAGCAAGAUUAGCGAGGGACAAACUGUAUGUUGUUAUUGUGAGGGACUUUGCAACGUUGUCCCUCAUACAAAUUAAAUAUUUUAAUUUUUUUUUUUUAAAUAAAGGCAAAGAGGGACAUCCCUCACUAAAAUAUGAUGAUAAUAAAAGUUAAUAUUAAAUUUGUUAUAGCAAGGGAUUUCCCUCACUAAAUAAUAACAAAUAAAUACAUAUUUCAAAGAAAAUUUAAAUAUAAUUUCUAAUAUAUUAAUUUUUAUUUUUUUUAAAAGGCAAAGAGGGAGAUCCCUCACUAAAAUAUGAUGAUAAUAAAAAGAUAAUAUUAAAUUUGUUAUAGCGAGGGAUUUCCCUCACUAAAUAAUAACAAAUAAAUUCAUAUUUCAAAGAAAAUUUAAACAUAAUUUUUAUUUUUUUCUUUUAGCUGUAAACAAUAAAAUAAAAAUGAAAAUGAAAUUUAGUGAUCCAAGGAGUCCUCAAUAAGAUACAUAUAAUUAUUUUAUGAUUUUUUUCAUUGUAGUGAGGGAAGUUUCUCACUAAAUUAAAUAUGUAAAAAUUGAGUAUUUAAUAAAUAACCAUAUGGAGUAAUAGAUUUGAAGAAAAAACAAUAGCANNNNNNNNNNNNNNNNNNNNNNNNNNNNNNNNNNNNNNNNNNNNNNNNNNNNNNNNNNNNNNNNAUUAGUCAAACCGCACGUGCCUCACACGUGUAAUGUUUGAUGCUUAAAGUUAAAUCAUUUUAUAUAUUGCGGGAAUUUUAAUCAAGUGUAAAAAAUUCAAAUCACUUUUCAAAAAUCCUUCAGACUUUGAUAUAUUAAUGUAAAUACACACACAUAUAUUUGCCACCUGAAGUUCCAAGUAGUUGAUGGAUCAUAACUUUUGAUUUGUCAUCAAUACCUCUUUUCCUUGCUGCUAGAGAUUAAUAGAGACUCAUCAAUUUGAACCACAUCUGUGAUAUGAUUAUUUUCUUUUUUUCUAUAUUUAAAAUCUUUUCUUAUUUUUAAAGUUAAAUCUUAAUAAAAUCAUUGAUUACAUUCUUAAAAUACUUAAAAUUUUAUAAAAAUUGACACUUCUUAAAUUUUUCUUAUUGUAAUGCUUUUAUAUUUAUUUCUGAAUUUUUCAAAUGUUCUUGAAAUCAAAUUUAGUUGAUUUAGAAUUAUUAAUCUAAUGAAAAAUGUAUUAGUUGUCAUAAAUUCUGAUGACUUCUAAUAAGAAUAGAUUUUACCAUAAAUAUAUUUAAUCAAUUUUCAACUCUUAAAUAUUAGAAAAAAUAAUGAAAAGACGAUAUUGUCUAAAGCAAAAACUUCCAAUGAAGGAAAAAAAGUUCAAAUAACAUUUAUUAGGCCCUUCACACACACACACACACACACACACACACUAUAUAUAUAUAUAUAUAUAUAUCAAAAAUGCUAUAAUUGAAUGAGUAACUUAGAUAGUGAUAAUUCGAAUAAGUAGAAAUAUUUUAGUGGUAUUCUUAACAAAAAUUGAUGAAUUAUAUUAGCUUAUAAUUAAUUUGAUAAUAGGAAAAAGAGGUGUAUUAGUGGUAUACGUAAUAUUAUAAGUAAUUGAUUAGCUUAUAGUCGAUAUUGUAGUAAAUAGAAGUGAAUUAAUGAUAUUCUUAUGUAAUGUUAUUCACUGAUCAUCUUAUAAUUUGAUAACUACACUAAGUAGAUAUACAUUACAGAAUAUUAUUGAUUGAUUAAUCUAUAUAACAAUAAUUACAGCAAAAAAAAAGGAGUAUCUUUGUUAAAAUAAUAUUGAUUGAUUAACUUAUAUGAUAGUUAAACUAAGUAAAGUUUAUUAGUGAUUUUUUAGAAAUAUUAUUGACUACUAAGUCAUACAUUGACAAUUAUACUAAAUGUAAGUAUAUUAGCGAUAUCAUUAAGCAAUAUUAGCGAAUGACAUUAAUAUAUAUUUUGACAACUAUACUAAGUAUAAGUGUAUUAAUAAUAUUUAUAAGAAUUAGUAUUGAUUUAUCAACAUAUCUAUUUAUCUAUACUAUUAUAAAAACAUGAAUAUAAAUGUUGGUUGACUAAAAUAUCCUUCAAAUGUUGAAGAACUUUUAUACCCUUAAAUAUUUAAGUUAAAUUAAGACAAAAUUAUCAAAGUACGCCGCAAAAUAAUAUUAUCCUAAUUUACUUCGGCUAGGAAGUAUUCUAAUCCAAAACUUUUUCAAUAAAUUACAAAAUUUGCCUUUUCAAUAACUCAACUCAACAAUGUAACUUUUUUUUUUAAAUAUGAAUUUACUUAAUCAUUAAUUUGCAACUCAGAUAUAAAGGUGUUCACGAGUUUUAUAUCUCAACUCUCCAUUGUUAUACUUAUUUUGCAAAACUUUUAGUGAUAGUGACCGGUUUACAAUAUAUUUUUUUUUAAAUGAAGUACUGAUUUAUACUGACUUCUUUCCAUUUUACUUGUCACAAUUCAUAUUAUAAGAGUCAAUUUGACAAAUAACUAUAAGAAAAAAACGAUGAGCCUUAAUGUAAUUAUUUUUAUAUUAAUAUGAUGAAAAAAUACCUCUUAAAAAAUGGGUCAAAAAUAAAUUUAAUUUUUAAUGAAAUUCUUAUUAAAUAUUUCAUUAUUUAAUAUUAGUAUUAAUUCUCACAUAUUUUAAUAAUUAUUUAUAAACUAGGUUAGUAGUAGAUGUUAGUUAAUUUAAUAAAAAUUAAAAUGGCAAGAAUUUGGGUUAAAUUUAUUUUUUUUUUGGUAAAAAUCUGGGUUAAAUUAAUAUACUCCAAACAAAAGGAAACGUGGCUUAAAAAAAAAUGGGGCUUAUCUUGUUCUAGCUUCUUCCCCACAAAUUUCCCAACAUUUUUUUACUAAAAAAUUAAAAUUGUAAGGAUUUGAGUUCACCCUCUUUCCCCUUAUUUCCCACCAUUUUUAUUCAAAGUACUUUUCAAUAAUAGAAUUUGAGUUUAAUUCUAAUUUUGUAAGUAAACCCUGCAUUCUAAUUUAGUCGUUGUUUGGACUACUGCAGAAACUCCGACGUCACCUUGCUCUUCGUUGGGUUGGAUUUCGAUAGCUUCUCCUUGAUGAUUGAGAGUUGAGACUGUUCUUUUUACAUUAAGGGUACUUUUCACCUUACUGACUGAGUAAUUACGUGCCUUUUGUUUGGAAAUACAUUUUUCUCAAUUUUUUUGGGAUAUUUUUUUUAUUAAUGGUAGAUAUGUCUUAUUCUUUGUCUUCAAUCUGAUGUUUUUUAGGUUCUCCGUAGCUGGUCAGAUUGUAUUGUAUCAAGUGGUCCUUUUUUUUGGUCUAUUUAUCUGAUGUGAAAUGGUGUUAUCAUUCAUUGAUUGAUAAAAAACAACUGAUGCGCAUUUGCAAGCUCAAGUUGUUAAAUCUUGGAAACCAUCUCUGUCUAAAUACUACUAGUAUUUUGUUUGUUUGAUUUAGGUAUCUUAUUCAACAAAAUCUGAAACUCCUUUAUUCUUUUCUUCAAUUAGAAGAAGCUGACUUGUACUCUACUUUGAUAAAUUUAAGAAAAGAGAAAUAAAUUUGAAAAAAAAUGGAUGACUUUUGGGCUGCAGGAAUAAAUCCUGCUAGGCAUAAUCUCUCUAUUGUACAAACAAACCGGCUUAACAACUAUGGUAUUUAUCAAUUUGGAUAACCUGUUUUUGUCUUGGGGACUUCUUGCCUUAUUGGUUCUUUUACGUUUGUUAGUUAAAAUUUCUUGAAUGGCUUUUAAGUUCCCUGUCACAGGUUUUUUUUAGUAUAGAGUAUAGUGGUCUUUUGAGUAUUUUGGCUUAAAGUAGAUGUUUAUUUUCUGUUACCUUGUUUCUAGGUAGAUUUAGGAGUAUCAUCUUUGUAUUAUUAUAUGCUAGUUUGAUUUAUCAGUUUUAUUAGUUAAGCAUAGUUGUUUUUUACUCCCUUUAAUAAGAUUUACCGAGUAAGGGGAUCAUUUUUAAAUGAAAAAAUGAGUCAAACUUCAAACAUCUACCAUAUGGAUGAAUUCAUUUUCCAUUCAACCAUUUUACUUGGAAAAGCUACAGAUAACCAUGGGUGGAUGACUUGCUAUUCCACUUAUUCAUUUCAGAGUUUUGAGAUUUAUCAUAAUUUUUCCUAUAAGUUUCAAUAGGUUGAAAGAUGGUAGGAGCUACCAUUUCUAGAACAUAAGCAACACAGUUAGCUUACUAUGAUGUUUCCCCACAUUGAGUUGUAAUCUCAGGCGUCCUCUUGUCCCCAAAACUCUUGAGAAUGAAAGACUUAACCGAUUGGUGGAUCUUUCUACCAUCUAUAUUCAAUUGACUUGUAAGACUUGCUCUAUGAAGUUCGGUCUUCCCAAACGCGGUGUAGAAUGUUAGAAAAGGGAUGACUUUAUCUUGGUUUGGAUGUGUUACGAUAUUAUUGCAAGUAGUGAGACUUGAUUCCUAUAUCGAUUAAAUAGGAAACUGAUUUGGGGCUUAGAUUAACCUAGGACUAUCUCACCUCAAUAGCUAGCUUUUAGGGUGUGGUUCUCCUAAGGUUAUUUCAGGUUGAUUAAUGAGCAAAGACUAAUCUAUCUAGAGGACUUGAGUUUAGCAUUUAUCCAGAUGGGUUAGCUUGAGAGCUGGGAGGGUGUAAAUUCUAUCUUUGUGGUGUUGGGUAGCUGUAGGUCUGAUGUUGAAACCUUCCACUGUGUACAGUUAUGUAACACUAGUUUAGUAAUCCUCCAGGUCCUUUAGCCGCACAAAACAUGUUUUAGUUUCAGUAUUGCUUUUAGGAUAUUACUAAUUACCUUUUGAUUUUUAACUUUAAAAUGAGUAUAUGGAGCAGAGAAAAUCAGAUCGGGAAAUGGCAGGUGUGCUUCUUCUGUUUGCUUUAGAUGAACUUAUUUCAAGUCUAUUUUAUAACGAAAGGGAGGGACACUAUUUAGAGUACCCAACAGAACAUAUAGCUUAAUUGAACUGGCUUUUACAAUUGCUACUGAAAAGGUACCAUAUUUUUUAUCAUCUAAGACCCAGAUACGUUAUAAAGUCUUGCAGCGAUAUACAUGAAUUAGUGAUUGUGUUUCGUAAACAUGAUCUAAAUAGUUAGUCGAGUGAGAAUUGAUGUAGCCAACCUCAAAUUUCUUGAAGUUGAGGUGUAUAUAUUUGUUGCAUUUGUGCUUUCAUUUUAUGAUUACAAUAUAUUAGAGGUAUCGCCAAAUACAAGGUCAUAAGGUGUUAGUAUAUCUAUUACUCUAGCUCUAGAUAAUAAUAAUAAUAAAAGUAGUGUAUAGUGCUAAGAUCCUGAGACAUAACAGAUUUUCUGAAAAGGAGAUUCAACAACUUAAAAUAAUGUAAAAAGAAAAAAAGAUUUAUUGUAAUUGCACAAUAUCUUUUCCAACAAGGGAAAUUCAAGGAUGUGUGCUAUUGAAAUUAUUGGCUUUAGCUCUGUAAGAAACUUGUUUCAUUAUUCUCUAAUGAUUGUCGCAUGUGCUACCAUUUGUGUAUUUUAUUAGAAAUGUGCUAUGGUUAGAAAACGUCCAAAGUAACUUUAGACACCAAAUUUCAUCCCUCCCCGAUAUCAUUUUUACCCAUUUUUUACUUUAUCCUACCAUGUACCCUCACCCAUGUAAUUAUACCCCACAAAACUAACAAAAAUUCAAUAAAUCCCUAACCUUAUCCUAACAAACUUUAUCCUAUACCCUACCUCAUACCCCAUGCCUUACACGUUUUCCCCAUUUCAACAAUACAAAAAAGAAUGAUUCAGAAAAAAGACAAAAAAAGAGGAGGGACCCACUCCAUUUUUCCCAAGAUUUCAUUCUCUUUUCCAUGCUCUUAUUUAUUUUAAUACAAAUAGAGAAGAACAUAGAGGGAGAAGGGGGACAACAACAAUAAAAGGGGAAAGGGUCCAAAAAAAAAGGACCUGACUUUUCCUUUUGGAUUUGAUACAUAUACCAUAUAUAUACGCCAUUUUAGGGGGUAUUUUUCCUUUAUAUUCUACACCAGUGACACUCAUCCUCACCAAUAUACACACACAUAUACACCACGAUUCACACACACACACAAAGAUCGAAGGUAGGGGAGAAGGGAAGACAGCAACAUAUAUACACGCAUAGAAACUCCAUUCUUGCUCCUCUCUUCUACACCCUCACGAUUCACACACGCACAGAUUCCAUCGAGAACCCAUUGAUUCUGGCUAGUCCUGAACAGAAAACAUUCCAUCUAUAUCGAAUCUUCGUCAUCCGUUCAACAUCAGGUUUCCAUCUCAUAAAUUGUUUAGGUCUAGUUUUAGGUUUCGAGAUUGGUGUUCAUCUUCGGGAUCUCGAUUUGGGAGGUUUUUUAUCUCUGCUUUAAGUGGUUGAUUCGGAGGUCUAUAUUGAUUUCGUGUUUUGAAUAAAAAUUUGUUCGAAUCAGAAUUGGCGAUAUCGAGUUGGAUUUUUGUCAUUGUUGAGGCUCGAGUUGAGGUUCUCAGAAGUGGAUUUUCUUAUAAUAUUCUUCAAAAAGUUCCGAAUCAGGUCCUUUUCAAACCUCUACUAUCUUAUUUCUUUGUUUAUGAUAUCCGAUAUUAUGGAUGGAAUGUUUUGGUUGAUGUAUGAUCUUGAUUGUGUGGUUGAGCAAGUUUGAUUAUUUUGGGUGAUUCUAUGUUGAAGUUGGUUAAUUAAUCGGGAAUGUUUUAUUUUUUGAGCAUGUUUGAAUCUUUUCUAUGGGUUAGUUGAUGUUGGAUUUAGAUGUGAGAGAUUGAAUUGAUAAUCAAAGAAUUAGUCAAUUAUUUGGGGAUGGAAUUGAUAAAUUGAUAAAAAAGUUGAAUUUAGAUUAACUUUGAUUUAUUGUUGUUUUGUUUAAUUCAUAAUGAGCAUGAAUAUUGUUUUGAACAUGAUAGAAUUAUGAUAUGUUGAAAUGGAUAGGCCAAUGUAGGUUCGGGUAGGCAAAAUUUAGGAAUAAGUUUUCUUUUUGAAUGUUUGAAUGUGGAAUUUGAGUUGAAUGGUUUGGUUUUAGUUCUUGUAUUUGGAAAUGUAUUCAUUUAAUCGGGGAAUGCCCCGCGAUCACUUGUAUUUAUUCGUCGGAGAAUGCCCCAAAGUAUUUUGUAUUUGGAAAACGUCCGUGAUGAAGGCUCGAGGCAUCGGGCAGCAUGGGAGCAUAGUAUAAAAUUAGUGUAGGGUAGAAUAAGAUUUACGUCUUCGCAUUCUUUUUCUAUUCAGGACUGUGUAAUUGGACUGAACACUAAAUUUUGGAUUAUUUUGUUUUGAUUUCUUGACUGAUUGUUUUUUCGUGCUUUUUGUGGUUUAUACAUUCAUAGUGUCAAAUUAGCCGAUACUCUCCACCAAGAGACCGUGGUCAAACCACGGGAUCAAGGGGUGCCUAACACCUUCCCCUCGGUCAACAGAAUUCCUUAGUCGGAGUCUCUUUCUCAAACCAGUUUUAAAGAGUCAAAUUGUUUUGAAAAGGAUUGUCCAAAGGUGACUUGGCACACCGGAUUAUGCCAAGUGGCGACUCUGAGUUUUGAAUCUAAACGUAAUCCUUUUUUGGAAAAAAUAUUCAUUUUGUCACUUUAAUAAUAAAAACCCUUUCAAACCUUAAAAUGAUAUCUUUUAGGAGUACGAAAAAGGGGUGUGACAGCUCUGGCGACUCUACUAGGGAUUUUUCAGAAUUCAAGCUUAUUUUGGAGUUUGUAUCGGCUUAGCUUGGCACUAUAGGUGUAUAGACAUUUUGUUUGUGUUAUUUUGUGUUAUUGUUUAUCAUUUGUUGAGUGCCUACGUGCUCUUUGUUUUCAAUUUUUACUUUAUGUGUUACCGUUUUAUAUCUAGCAUCAUGUGCAUAACCCGAGUCUUUCUUUCUACAACAAGUUCGUAGUACACGUGUGUACACGACCUAUAGUUGAGUCACCCUUCUUUUGGAAGGGGGAGCCGUUGGGUUGUAUGGAAUAGGUGGCCAGCUAAAGCAAGCCAUUAUCAACCAUACGCUCUCUCGAACAACCUUAUUAGUAAACCCCAACGUAGGUCAGCCUUUAGGUUAUGCUUAUGUGCAUCAUAUUGAGACCUAGCGGGGACCACUUGGUCCUUCGUAGGAAACUCACCUUUAAAGCAUCCCUGCGUGCUAAACGUUGCAUCUCUGAGGGUAACGUGGUCAUUUGAUGAAUUGAUUUAGGAAAAGCAUGUGUUAGAAGUAAAGUGUGUAGACAAGGCAAUGUUGAAAAACAAAGAGAAAAAGGAAAAAGUGAGUCGAAAAGAAAAAAAGAAUUUCGUAGUUUUUAGAGAUUUUUAUGGCUUUUGUUUUCCACAAUUCAAAAAUUCAAAAAGAUUUUUCUUUAUCUCAUUUAGCAUGCAUUCACAAUUCAAAAACUUCAAAAAGAUUUUUCAUUCAUAGGUGUUUUUAUAAAAGAAAAAUGAAAAAAAAAAUGUUAGAUAUUUUUUACAUUUUGUAUAACGAAAAUACCAAAAAGAUUUUUCUUUCAUAGUUGUUGAUGUCAUUUUUCUGUGAAGCGUCAAAAUGAAAACUUAAAAUAUUUUAUUAAUGUGGUUCAUCGUCUGCCCUUGGUCGAAUCUCAAGUCAGGGUGCAAUCUAUUAUUUAAUUAUUAAUUGUCCGAUCUAGACAAACUACGCACCCCUGAUUCUCCUCUCUCAGGAGUGAGAUACGUAGGCAGCCUACUGUUGGUUCGGGGAUCUUAUUUGAAAAAUCUAAAAAGAUUUUCUUCACUGUUUAUUUAGAGUAAGUGUUUCAUAUGUAUCUCUAAAAGAAAACUACAAAAAGAUAUUUCUUUAAUAGUUUCAAGUUUCAUUUUCCUAUGAAAUUCAAAGUCGAAAACCCAGAAAAAAAAAUUCUUUGGUUAUCAUAGAUUUCAUUUUUGUAUAGGGAUGUUAAAGCUGAAAAAAUUCAUAAAGAUUUUCGUCAAUUAUUUUGACAAAUUGUUAUUUUCUUUUCUUCUUAAAGUUCCAAGGAAUAGAAAAAGAGUUUAAUUGGCCAUUUUAGCAAGACUUCACGAACUAUGCAUACCUGAUUCUCCUCUCUUGGGAGUGACAUACAUAGGCGCCCUUCUUGGGUUCGGUAUCUUUUCUAAAAGAAAAAAGGGUUUUGAAGAAAAAAUGUUGAACUCUAACAUAUUUGUUGACUCUUGUUCAGUUAGUUUAAGGUAGUUGGUUUGUGGCUUCCUGGCUGGUCCUCCAUAUCACACCAAAUUCAAGGAAGGGUUAAUUGUGUUCAACAAGGAUAUAGAGAGUGGCAUCAUGGAUGAAAAAAAAGAGUCAGGAAAUUAAGAGUUUAAAGGAAGAGAAUUUGAGACUGAGACAACAAAUGAUGAAACAUACCGAGCUUGGGCCAGUAGGCUGCCUCCACCUCAGUUCCCCAAUUUUAACCCUGCAAAUACCUUGAGUCUUCCACCAAAAUCGCAAAGCCAGUUUCCUACUAUGGUUGAUGCACCACAGCAUGCCUCAGAAUCUAUUCCAUGUUAAAUGCACCUCAAUACUUCCACCACUCUUUCUUUAGCCCCUCAGUAUAAGUCUACCAUAUUCAUAUCACCACAUACCAUUUGUGCUUUUGUUGCUCAACCUUCUACUAAUGCUUCCACUUUGGACAUCAAUCCAACGAUUGUGGUUCCCCAGUACACUAGUGAUUCCACAUUCAAUACUCGUGAUGAUCAUUGUUAUACACUUGAACCUACAUUUAACUUAAGUGAACUGCCAAAAUUUCUUACUAAGAAUCCUAGCAUGCUAGAAGACCCUGAGAAAAUGGUUGUGAAAGUUAAGAGUGUAGAAAAUGAUAUGAAAAGUUCCUUGGGACUUAUGGGCUAUGAAGAUGUUUCAUAUAAAAACUGGGGCAUGUUUUCAAGUGUUAACCUUGCUCCAAGCUUUGAGACAUCAAAAUUUGAGGAACUUGGUGGAUAAUGAUUCUGUGAAACAUUUGGGACGAUAUUGCAAUCAACCAAGGAAAACUGAAGGAAAGAAGAACGAAAACGCACCUAUUGUCAUGCCAGGGCCAAAGCAGAGAGGUCCAACCUACCAAUACAGUCAACCUCGAUCCCGAGUUUACAUAUUAGAUCCACAUAACCACUUGAAACAAGGUUUCUUUCCCCAAAAUCCAAGAAAUCCCAAUCCAUCUUCUUAUCCACAAUGGCAUGCACCUGUCCCUCAAUAUCAUCCUCGACCCCCAUAAAUUUACCAAGGAACUUCUAAAUCCAAGUUUCAUCAGGGGAUAGAGUUCGCAAAGAGGAGGAAGGAAAAAAAUAAUUUCAAUCCUAUUGGGGAAUCCUAUGCCAGUUUAGUCCAGAGAUUGGUACAACAGGGCAUGAUUAGUCCUCUCCUUAGGUAUACUCCUGACCCACAUUCAAGAAGUUUUGAUCGUAAUGUAUGAUGUGCAUAUUGUUCUGAUUUUCAGGUUCACAGUAUUAAAGAUUGUCAUGCUUUGAAAAGAUAAAUUGAAAAGAUGAUUCAAGAUAAAUCAAUUAUAGUGCAGAACAUUGACAGUGAGGAAAGCUCUAGUCAUGCUGAUAUGCAAACCAGGGGCUAAGAUGUCAGGCUGAGCAAUUGAGAAGUCACCCCUCCCUACUAGGAAGAGGUCUGCUAGUUUAUUUUGUUUUAUUUUCUAUUAUCCGAAUUAUUUUUGGGUUGUAGUUUGGGAUCUAUCUUGUUUUGUCCUUUUGUUGUUUAUGUUCAAACCCUUCUAUCUUUUGUUUCAACUAAAUGAAGUGUCCUAUUUUCCUUUGUGUUUUAAAUAUGUGUUGUUUGUUUGUUUUCUUUACAUAGUACAUUUUAUGUUGACUCUAGUGAUAUGCCAUGCUAGUGAAAUUUUCAGUCAAAUCUUAAAAUCCAGUUGUUCAAACCCUUCUAUCUUUUGUUUCAACUAAAUGAAGUGUCCUAUUUUCCUUUGUGUUUUAAAUAUGUGUUGUUUGUUUGUUUUCUUUACAUAGUACAUUUUAUGUUGACUCUAGUGAUAUGCCAUGCUAGUGAAAUUUUCAGUCACAUCUUAAAAUCCAGUUUAAGCAUGAACAUUGAAUCAGAGGUUUAAAGUUAGAAAAAGAGAGCAUUUGAGAAAAUAUAUAAAGUGUUGGGGUAUUUAGUGAUCAAGUUGAAGCCUUCUUUGAAAAUUAAGGCUAUUAUUGUGAGAAUCGUGAGAAUAACUUGGCCAUCAAUUGAAAGACAUGUCUCAAUUAGGUCAAACAGUGGCUGCGUGAUCCUAUAUCAAGAGGAACAAAAAGAAAUCAGCUCCACAAAAGCAUGAAUCAUUCAAUGUAAGGGAUGUAUAAAAAAGGUGGAGUUGUAUGCUGGACAAGGGUAGAAGAAGAAUUGCCACAUGCUCAAUUGAAGUUAGUGUUUUUAAAGUGUCACAAAUGAUCUUCAUCUUUCAUUUCAUAUUUCAUGACGUGUACUUACAUUUUCAAGGAUUAAUAUGACGAAAGCAUUUCAUUCUGCUAUCCAAACAGUGUGUCAUCCUUUGUUUACCCCAUUUGAGUUUUAGUCCUAUUUUCUUUCAUACCCCUCUUUUGGAAUAAAGAUAGAGUCAGCAAAGCUUAAAAUAAAAUUGUCGAGCAAAAAGAAUACAGUCAUAAAAGUUUCAAAAAAAAAAGAAGAAAGAGAAAAUUAUGUCAAAAAAGGAGAGUGUUAAGAAAAAAAAAGUCAGAAAAAUCCCAAAGAGAAAAAGAGUCAAGUAAAGAAAAAAAAGAGAAGAAAAGAAGUCAGAAUCAAGAAAAACAAACUGCCAGGACUACGCAUGACCUGAUUCUCUGCUCUCGGGGGUGAGAUAUGUAGGCUGCCCAGCUUCGGGCUAGGUCCAACCAAAUAAUAAAUUUAGAAUUGCCCAGUCAAAAGAAACUGGGGCAUAAGUUAAUCCUCAUUGUUUGAGUCGAUUCCAAAAGUUGUAAGUCCCACCCCACUUCAAGUGUUGAUUGGUCCCCAUGCCAUCCUUUCUUUCUAACCCUAUCCAAAAGACAAGUUAUAACCAAAGAAAGACCUUCAGAUCAAUCUUCGGGAAUGCUCAGGCUAAGAAUGCAAUGGAUGUGGAUAACGUAUUUUGGGAACUACUUGUCUUCCUCAACAUAAGUAAUAAGGAAAGAAAUGAAAAUGAGAGAGUCUUAUUGGUGAAAACCCUCAGGCAGGUUAAUCCGAUAUGCAUGUCAUAAUCAUUAGAGUUGACUGUCAUUUUCAGAUAAACUUUACCUUCAUCUUUUUCAAUGGAGAUAUUCAUUAUCACUUCUUUCUUUUCUAUAGUUAUAUAUUUAUUUUUCUUGAGUCAGUUAUCCAAAUGAAAUCAUUGUCAUUUUUCUCUUGUCUUUGAGUUAAUUCUAUGUCAAAACAAGUGAGAAAAGAUUUCAAAAUUGGCUACCAGUUUCUUUAAUUGUACAACGCAAGGCAGAAAUGCCAACGUAUGAAAGAGACAUGAUUGUCAGCCAAAAUGAGGCAAAUAGAAAGUUUUGUCAACAAAUAAGUCUGGGAACUCAUGAAAUACCAAGGUUCCAAGGGGUCUACCUGAGAAGUAUGGCAAAGCAGAGAUGCUGUGUUUGUCUCAUUCACUCUUAAUAAUCUGAAUUUGGUCAAUGAAGCAGCACGUCAAUGACACAAGCUAAUGGUUGGAAUCAAGGUUAAAUAUGAUGACGCCAAGAGCGUUUUCCACGAAAGCGAAAGCCAUAAACCAGCCACCAUGUUUUUAAACUCUUAACCUUUCUUUGCAUGAAACAGCAACACAUGUCACCUUCAAAUCAAGGAUUUCAAAUCCUAAACAUCAAGGCCCCUAAUUUUCUGCUUUUACAAAUGCAGGAAGCAAUGUUGCUGCACAGGUUUGAUAAUUAAAUCAUGGUAAAAAUUCAUCAUCUUAUAUCGCUCAGAGACACACUUUCCUAUCAAGGGAUUUUAGUUUUCAUUUGCUAGGUGAUACACUUCUUAAAUUGAACCAUUACUCCUAGAAGACAUACCUUCUAGUCGAUUCAUUCUGCUUGACCCUUAGAAGACGUACCUUUUAGUCGAGUCAUUCCCUUUGAUUCCUAUAAGACAUACCUUUUAGUUGAGUCCUCUCCUCUGAUUCCUAUAAGAUGUUCCUUUUAGUUGAGUCAUUCCCUUUGAUUCCUAUAAGACGUACCUUUUAGUCGAGUCAUUCCCUUUGACCCCUAGAAGACGUACCUUUUAGUUGAGUCAUUUCCUUUGAUUCCUAUAAGACGUACCUUUUAGUCAAGUCAUUCCCUUUGAUUCCUAUAAGACGUACCUUUUAUUUGAGUCAUCUCCUUUGAUUCCAAUAAUACGUACCUUUUAGUCAAGUCAUUCCCUUUGAUUCCAAUAAGAUGUACCUUUUAGUCGAGUCAUUCCCUUUGGCCCCUAGAAGACGUACCUUUUAGUCGAAUCAUUCCCUUUGAUUCCUAUAAGACGUACCUUUUAGUUGAGUCAUCUCCCUUGAUUCCUAGUAAGACAUACCUUUUAGUCGAGUCAUCUCUCUUGAUUCCUAUAAGACGUAUAUUUUAGUCGAGUCAUUCUCCUUGACCCCUAGAAGACGUACCUUUUAGUCUAGUCAAUUCCUUUGAUUCCUAUCAGACGCACUUUAUAGUUGAGUCAUUCUCCUUGAUUCCUAUAAUGAUGUGACUUUCACAAAAGUCCUUUGAUGAUAAACUUUGGCAAAAUUUAAUUCUUGUGUUGGAACUUCACUUUCCUGGCAUAUGAAAUCUCUUUAUAAUAAUCUUUGUUUGGGAUAAUUUUCUUUUUAGUUUUGAUGUGAUUUCAGGAGCCUGCCUGAAGAGCAGGACGAAUAAAUGAAAAUUCAAGCAACAUGGUGAAGAAGUUGAAAGUCAAGCAACAUGGUGAAAAUUUUAAAGUAAUAGAUUGAUGAAAUAGCAAGUCAGGAGCCUGCCUGAAGAACAGGGUGAUGAAAUUGCAAGUCAGGAGCCCACCUGAAGAACAGGGUGAUGAAAUUAUAAGAUAGGAGCCCGCCUAAAGAACAGGGUUAUAAAAUGGAAAGUUAGGAGCCUGCCCAAAGCACAGGGAAAAUAAAUGGAAAGUUAAGCAACAAGGUGAAGCAAUUGAAGAACAAGCAACAAGUGAUGAAAUUGUAAGUUAGGAGCCCGCCUGAAGAAUAGGGUGAUGAAACUUAAGUCAGCAGUCCAAUAGAAGCUAUAUAUAUAGGAUUUUGUAAUUUUAUUUUUGUUUUAACUUGUAAUUUUCAUUUUGAUAUAAUGAUAGUUCCGCAGAAUGGAAUAUCGAUGGAACCUCACACGACUCUCCAACUGGGUAUAGUCCAUUUUCUUCCAAUCCUUUGAGACACCGUCACUUGAUUUCUCCAUAACUUGGAUGGGUAGGAUGGAUUAAGUCAGAACUUGGUUGUUCUUUUUCUUUCUGUUUAUUUCUUUGAAUAAUGGUUGGGAGAAAAUUCUGUCGUGUUGUCUACUUCUUUGUCUGAAAACACUUCGUGUUUACAUUCAAAGAAGGCAUGAUGUAGACACCUAAUUUCAUCCCUCCCCGAUAUCAUUUUUACCCAUUUCUUACUUUAUCCUACCAUGUACCCUCACCCAUGUAAUUAUAACCCACAAAAAUACAAAAAUAACAAAAAUUCAAUAAAUUCCUAGCCUUAUCCUAACAAACUUUAUCCUAUACCCUACCCCAUACCCCAUGCCUUACACGUUUUCCCUAUUUCAACAAUACAAAAAAGAAUGAUUCAGAAAAAAAGACAAAAAAAGAGGAGGGACCCACUCCAUUUUUCCUAAGAUUUCAUUCUCUUUUCCAUGCUAUUAUUCAUUUUAAUAAAAAUAGAGAAGACCAUAGAGGGAGGGGGGGACAACAACAAUAAAAAGGGAAAGGGUCCAAAAAAAAGGACCUGACUUUUCCUUUUGGAUUUGAUACAUAUACCAUAUACAUACGUCAUUUUAGGGGGGAUUUUUCCUUUUUAUUCUUCACCAGUGAUGCUCAUCCUCACCAACACAAGUACACUGAUACACCACAAUUCACAAGCAUACAUAGAGAUCAGAGGCAUGGGAGAAGGGAAGACAACAACAUAUAUACACGCACUGAAACUCCAUUUUUGUUCCUCUCUUCUACACCCUCACGAUUCACACACGCGCAGAUUCUACCGAGAAUCCAUUGAUUUCAGUUGGUCCUAAACAGAAAAUAGUCCAUCUAUAUCGAAUCUUCUUCGCCCGUUCAAAAUUAGGUUUACAUCUCACCGAAUUGUUUAGGUCUUAUUUUGGGUUUCGAGAUUGGUGUUCAUCUUUGGAUUCUCGAUUUGGCGGGUUUGUUAUCUUUGUUUUAAGUGGUUGAUUCGGAGGUCUAUAUUGAGUUCGUGUUCUUGAAUUAAAAUUUGUUUGAAUCGGAAUUAGCAAUAUCGAGUUGGAUUUUUGUCAGUGUUGAGGCUCAAGUUGAGGUUCUUGAAAGUGGAUUUUCUUGUAAUAUUGUUCGAAAAGUUCCAAAUCAAGUCCAUUUCUAACCUCUACUAUCUUAUUUCUUUGUUUACGAUAUCCAAUAUUAUGGAUGGAAUAUGCUUUGGUUGAUGAUAUGAUCUUUGAUUGUGUGGUUGAGCAAGUUUGAUUAUUUUGGGUGAUUCUAUGUUGAAGUUGGUUAAUUAAUCGAGAAUGAUUUGUUGUUUGAGCAUGUUCGAAUCUUUUCUAUGGGUUAGUUGAUGUUGGAUUUGGAUGUGAGAAAUUGAAUUGAUAAUCGAAGAAUUAGUCAAUUAUUUGGGGAUGGAAAUGAUAAAUUGAUAAAAAAAGUUGAAUUUAGAUUAACUUUGAUUUAUUGUUGUUUUGUUUAAUUCGUAAUAAGCAUUAAUAUUGUUUUGAACAUGAUAGAAUUAUGAUAUGUUGAAAUGGAUAGGUGAAUGUAGGUUCGGGUAGGCAAAAUUUAGGAAUAAGUUUUCUUGUUGAAUGUUUGAAUGUGGAAUUUGAGUUGAAUGGUUUGGUUUUAGUUCUUGCAUUUGGAAAUGUAUUCAUUCAAUUGGGGAAUGCCCCGCGAUCACUUGUAUUUAUUCGCCGGAGAAUGCCCCGAGGUAUUUUGUAUUUGGAGGACGUCCGUGAUGAAGGAUCGAGGCAUCGGGUAGCAUAGUAUAGAAUUAGUGUAAGGUAGAAUAGGAUUUACAUUUUCGUAUUCUUUUUCUAUUCGGGACUGUAUAAUUGGACUGAACACUAAAUUUUGAAUUAUUUUGUUUUGAUUUCUUGAUUGAUUAUUUUUGCGUGCUUUGUGUGGUUUAUACAUUCGUAGUGUCAAAUUAGUCGAUACUCUCCACCAAGCGACCAUGGUCGAACCACGGGAUCGAGGGGUGCCUAACACCUUCCCCUCGGUUAACAGAAUUCUUUAGCCAGAGUCUUUAUUCACUAACCAGUUUUAAAGAGUCAAAUUGUUUUGAAAAGGAUUGUCCAAAGGUGACUUGGCACACCGGAUUAUGCCAAGUGGCAACUCUGAGUUUUGAAUGUAAACAUAAUCCUAUUUCUUAACAAAUCUUCAUUUUGUCACUUUAAUAAUAAAUACCCUUUCAAACCUUAAAAUGAUAUCUUUUCGGAGUACGAAAAAGGGUAUGAUAGUAACAGUUCAUAAUGGUCCUUGUUCAGAAUAACUUCUGGAAUAGUAGUCUCACUUUCAAUUUCUAUAAGUUCAAUGUUUCGAGUUUGAAUGUUAUCGGCCUUUUCCAUCUAUUGUUGCUUCUCCUUUUAAGUUAUCUAGCAGUGUUAUUAGCCGUAAUGCUGAUUUCAUUUCAUGUCUUUUUCUUUGUAGUAUCAUUUGCUUAAACAACCAAUACUGGUUUGGAUUUACAAUAUUCCACAUCUGAGAAUCCUGCCACAGACUAUAACAAUUUAGUAGUAGCUUCACCAGUAGGUAAGGGACUUCUCUAUUCCAAAUAUGAUUCUGGUAGGAUUAUAGAUACUAGGAGGUUCACACAUACCCCUUUAUUUCCUUUGUUAAUCCUUUCUCUUAAUUUGAGGUAAUCGACCUCCAUUUUCCAGAUUAUGAUCUGUAAUAGUAGUUCUUUUUAAGCUUCACACGUGGAUUCUUGAACCAAUUGUAAAAGUAGUGUGGUGUCGACUAGAGAGUGUUCUUACAUCCUUCUUCCAGUGAAGAAAUUCUAAUUGUUUUUUCUUUUAAUUUUUAUUUGGCACGAAACUUCUUUAUGUACAACUCUUGGUGAUGCAUCCAAUGUGUUAUAAGGACUUUUGAUCUAAAUCAGUUGCUUAAAAUGUAUUUUUCUUAAGAUAGUUGAUGGUUAAUAUGUUGGUCAAAUAUUUGAUAAUUUAAGCUACAGUCAUAUGCAGCUAUAACAAUUUACAAAACUUGGGAGAAAUUGUCAUAUUCAGCUGUCACAACUAACAUUUCCAAUUAGCUAGUUAUCACCAUCCUCAUAUAUAUUUUAUUUGUAGAAAAGCUGUACAUGGAGCCUUUUUGAGGAUUGGGUUAUUCAAAGCAAUUUUAAGAAAAAGGCGUCUUCUUCAUUUUCUUGCAUGCUUUCUAAAGCUCAACGUAAAGGACGGUCUGGAUGGCUUUGGUCAGAUUAUUGGGAUAAACUUAUUAUAUAUUGGGCAUCUCCAAAGUUUCGAAAGAAGAGCGCCCAGACAAAGGCAUCUCAAAAUUCUAAGAAAGGGGCUUAUUGCACACUUGUGGUUCGGUGUCCAUGGGACAACUAAGUGGAAAUUGGUAAUUAUUUAUGCAUUUAGAUGGUAGUAAAUUAUUUAUGCACUUGUGGUUCACUAUGUUUAUUUCAUUUGCUGGAAGCAUCUCUUACUAGAUCAGUCACUCGUGAAGAGGUAUGGAAGAAGACCCAUAUAAAAAUUAGAGAUGAAAAAAAAGUUUGGGUUGAAACACAGACAAAGGAUACGUAAGCUCAAAUCUUACUUAGAAUUUAUUUUAUAUUAUUUACUAAAUACUAAUUUUACUUUUAAUGUAAAAUCAAUAAGUUCACAACCUAUCAAAGAGUUCAAAACUCAAAAGGAUUCGACUGACAAAAUAUCAAGGUAAUCCAAUCAUGCCAUCAGAGGAAGAAACUCUUUCCUGCUAGCUGGAUGUAGUUGGGGGCGUGUAUAAGGGAAGGGCAUACCGCCUUUUUUCUGAGAAGAACUUUCACCGUCUUUAGGGUGGAUUGCAAUGUAUGGGGAGUUCUACCACCAUUUUAAAUGAGCAUCUUGAGGAGAUUGUUAGAGUACGAGCCCUACUAAUUGCCUAUCUAUGUAACAAGUAAGUAAAUGUGGUUCACAGAAGUAAAUAUUGAACACAGUGUUUUUACGUGGAAAACACCCAGCUCAAGAAAGGUGGAAAAAAAUAUGACCUGUACUUCUACAAGAUUUAACCCCAACUUCACUAUAAUACUUGAUCCUCAACAAUCAACAGAAUUAAAAGACUUUUUGUAAACUAGGAAUUAAAACUUCUAACUCCUAUCACUACGAAAACACAAAUCUUCCCAAGAUAAGUGUUUCCAAGUCUUCGAGUUCCCAAUCUUGAAGACACAAUUCCUAACUCAGUUUAUAGAUUACCGAGACUAGAACAAUAACUCAUUACAACUCAAAUAACCUACCUACUACACAAAUUGUACAACUUGCUAACUAAGAGACUAGGUUUUUCUUCAAGUAUAUGAACUGAUAUGCUGAUUGUUGAUUUUCUUUUUUGUGCUUGAGUGAGUUACUUGAUCAUUCUUUGUUGUAUAUAUGCACCCUGGUUAUCCACCUGUAAUAGAGUCCUGGUUUAUUUAUGUUUCUUUCUCCUUUCUCCUUUUUCAAGUAACUUCACUCGUUGCAGCCGUUUCUCCUUCCCUGAUUAAAUAGGACUUUUUGCUUUAUUAUUUAUCCUUGCAGACCUCUUCUCAUUGUUGGACUUCUAGAUCAACUCAACUUCUGAUCGUUGUAUUUUUCUUCCACUUUACUGAAGUGAUAAGUGUUUGAGAAGGUUCCUAAAUAUUCUUGCUUAUCCACUCCUGUUUAUAUGCAGUAUCAUCUUACCAAUAGCCUUGCCUGCAGUUUUUCUUUGUACACUUGAAUGGACCAGCUUUCACAACAUGUUGCAUUCAUAUGUCUAUCAUCAAAACUCCAUAUGCCUUAACAAAUUCCCCUUUUUUGAUGAUGACAAACAUAAUAGGACAAACAUAGCAGCAUAACAUCACAAACCCCUGACAUACUCAAUAAGGAAUUUGAAUAAGGACUAGCAUAGAAUAAAAUAGGUUAGUCAUUUAAGCAUUCCAUAUCCUACUCUUCCCCCUUUUGAAAUCAUCAAAAAUCUGGGUCAACAAGUGAAAAACGUCUAAUAAUUCAUGGUCAUUAAGGCUAUCACUAAGACAAUCAAAAUUCAGAAUAAGAGAAUAUGAAUGCAAUAUGAGAAAACAGGAGCAGAAAAUAGUAAAACAACUAAGCCUAGUUCAUUCAUUUGCAGAGAAGGCUACAUAUACCAAAAAGUAAACUAAGAGAGAACAAGUUGUCAGGAAAAGGAAAAAAAAUAGGCUUAAGAUAUUAGUGAAGAGGCUAAGUGGAAGAAGAAGAGGGAAUAAGAGAGAUGAGUUUCCUAAUAACAUCUGCAUUUUCAUCUCUCUCUUUUUCUAACAAGGAAUUAAGGGAAGCAAUUUGAGCAUGGAGGAUCCCUUUUUCUUCUUCAUGAGCACCCUUUGCAGCCUCCAAAGCUGCAUGAGCAACUUCCACCUCAGCUUGUUUCUCAGCUAGUGAAUUUCUCAAUUGUUGCAUGGAUUAUCAGCACUCUUCAUGGAAACAGGUAGCAUUAUAUGGUUUACAUGCCCUAUGAUAUCUUUGGUAGUCUAUUAAUACCACACUUAAACAGAAAUACCAAAGUCCUUAAAUAUAGGGGUGAGCAAAAAUUGAUAAGGUAGAGCAUGUCCAUUCAAUUCCUUGAGUAGAACCCUUUGCAUAUGCUUUAGUAUGAAUCAAGGCAGAUAAAUUCGUACUUCAUUAUCCAACAGCUCCAUGAAUGUAAGAUCAAGAAAACUUUCCACACACCGUCUCUCCUUCCUAGGAAUAAUAAUUUUGUGGAACAAAUAAAAAAAGAGCUAAUGUAGUGGGGACAGCUCCCUCUUAAGGACUCUUCUAUGGUGGAGCAAGUUAGGAUUGUUUGAAAAUUUUCUACAUAUGUUGAGGUUAGAGUCAAGAUUAUCUAGAGGAGGCCAAGCACCCUUGAUGUAGUGACCCCAUACCCCAGAGGGAAUACGUAAAAUCCUAGCAAUGUUAGCAACAUAAAGGUUCAUGGUAAGCUUUCUGACAGUAGUGGAGAACAAUUCACCAAUUCCCACCCCAUUCAUAAAAAACUCAUAUAUUUCAGGUUUAGCAAAUCUACACUGAAUAUCACCAUGAAGAAAUAAAUGUGACAAACCUUGAAACACUAAUUUAUCCAGUAACACUUGCAUAUCAAGCUUCCUAAAACCACUAACUACCCUUCCUCUAGCUAAUUUUUAUUUUUCAAAGUAAAGAUGAUGGUCCUUAGGAGUAUCCUGAUAAGAAGAUGAGUGGGGAACUUCAAACUUAGGUCCCAACUCAUCAGUAGCAUCUGGGGUAAAGUCAGAGUCAGAUAAGUCAGAAGAAACAGGUAGAGUGACCUGUUUCUUGGGAUGAGUAGAAGGCUUGGAAGGGGAAACUUUUGAGGGGGAGGAUCCUUUGACAGUAGAAGGAAUUUUUGAAGAGGAGGAGGCCUUCUGAUUAGGUUUAGAAGAGGGUUUCAUGGGCAAAGAGGGUUUUGAAACUUUGGCCAUGAUAGUUUUUUUCUUUCUGAUAGAUUGAAGUUAAAGAUCAGGAGAAGAUGCACAAGGAGAGGUAGGAUUAGAUAUAACCACAUAUUUUUUUUUGCUGGAUCGAAGAGCCUCAGCCAAGGAUGCAUCUUAUCAUUGUUUUCUUCCUCAAGUGUGAGGAUUACGAGGGAUAGAGACAUUUGGAAAAAGUACUGGAGGGCCAGUGUUGUCUAUAGUGAUGGGAAUGGAAAGAAGUUUUCUUGGGAGCUUGGACCUAGACCUUCUUAGGAUUAGCUCUGGGAUAGGAAGGUCAUUUUUGUCACUAGGAUUAUCAUCAGCUUUAACAAUUUAUAGUGGGAUAGGAGGAGGAAGGAGAGGUUUCAAAGAGAAUGGAGAAGGUGAAGAAAUUUGGGCAAAAGGGUUUGGGAAAUUUUUGAAAGCAGCAAAAUCGGUGAAUUUUUGGGAGAUUGAAGGAGGAAUUAAGGGAGGUAAGGUGAUAUUUGGAUGAAGGAUAAGUGCGGUGAAGGUAUUUGGAAUAGAUUCAGUAGAGGAGGAAGACGAAUAAGAGGAAGAUGAAGAGAAUGAUACCAUUUUUGAAUGAGGAAAGUGUUCUUGAGUAUGAGGAGGGUGCAGAUAAUUUGUAGGGUAGAAUCAAGACAAACGAAAGCAUAGUUAAGAGAAAAAGAUGAGGAAUUUUAAAGUGUGAGGGACUGUAUUUAGAAGAGGAGUAAUGAUGAGUGUUUCAGUCCUAAUGGGAAAGGAAGUGGCAGAUUUUUUAAAGGGAAGGGACUCUUUGUAUUUUGGCGGUUUAAAUGAACCAAGAAGGAACCAGGAAAACAACUUGUUUCUCUUUAAGCUACUUUGAAGUAAUAAUAAUCAUACCUGAAUGAAAAAAUAGACAAAAUUGAUUCUAUGAACAAAGCUUUCUACAAAAUCAGCACACACAUGAGUCAACAUACUCUAAAAUCUUGGACUUAGGAUACACAACUUAAUGUGUGAGACUGACUUAACCAACAAUCACUUGUAAAAUCAAACUAUUCUAGUCAAGCAUUGAGAGGGACUUAUGCAAUUUUAAUCAUCCCUUAGGCCAACCUAAUUUUUUCAAAGUGUUCUCUACUCAAGGCCUUAGUGAAAAUAUCAGCAAUUUGUUCCUUAGUAGAACAAAACAUAAUGGAUAUAUGACCUUUUUCAACAUUAUCUCUAAGAAAAUGAUGCCUAAUAUCAAUAUGUUUGGUUCUCUUAUGUUGAACAGGAUUUUUAACUAUGUUAAUAGCACUUGUAUUAUAACAAAAAAUAGGAACACAACCAACAUCUAUACCAAAUUCCAUGAGUUGUUGCUUAAUCCAUAGCAAUUGAGCACAACAGGAUCCUGCAGCAACAUAUUCAGCUUCAGCAGUAGACAAAGCAACUGAAUUUUGCUUCUUAGUGGACCAGGUAAUCAAACAGGAUCCAAGAAAGUGUGCCAUUCCAUUUCCUGUCCAUCAGAUAUCUUGCAUAAUCAACAUCUUAGUAACCUAUCAGAUUAAAGUUACUACCUUUGGGAUACCAUAAGCCAAGAUCACUGGUUCCCUUCAAGUAUCUAAAGAUUCUUUUCACAAAUUUUAGGAUUCUUUGGGUUUUGCUUAAAACCUAGCACAUAGACCUACAUAGAACACAAUGUCAGGCCUGCUUAAUGUGAGGUACAAUAAUGACCCAAUCAUACCUCUAUACAUCUUUUGCUCUACAUCUGAACCUAUUUCAUCUAACUCUAACUUUGUGAUAGUUGCAAUAGGAGUACUUAUCUCUUUUGCCUCUUCUAUGGAGAAGCUCUUUGACAUACUUCUGUUGGUGAAUCAUUGUCAGCUGACUACUUUAUUUGCAAGCCCAAGAAAUAAUUUAGCUCUCCCAUCAUGCUCAUCUCAAAUUCACAACUCAUGAGUUUGGCAAACUCAUGAGUCAUACUCAUAUUUGUUGAGCCAAAAAUAAUAUCAUCCACAUACACCUGCACAACUAACAAAUCCUUCCUAUUAGUUUUUCAAGAAAAGGGUAUUAUCAAUUUUACCUCUAGUAUGUCCAUUAUCUAGUAGAAACUUUGACAACCUCGCAUACCAAGAUCUAGGUGCUUGUUUCAACUCAUACAAGGCUUUAUCCAGUUUAUACACAUGAUUAGGAAACUCCUUGAUUUUGAAUCCUGAAGGUUGCUUGACAUACACCUCCUCUUUGAGAAAGCCAUUCAGAAAUGCACUCUUUACAUCCAUCUGAUAGAGUAUAAACUCCUUGUAGGCAGCAAAGGCAACAAGUAAUCUUAUAGUUUCCAGUCUUGCUACAGGAGCAAAAGUCUCAGUAAAGUCGAUUCCUUCCUCUUGUUUAUAUCCUUGGAAUACCAACAUUUCCUUGUUUCUUGUGACUGUUCCAUGCUCAUCAACUUUAUUCCUAUACACCCACUUAGUUCCAAUUACUGAUCUGCCUUUUAGAAGAGGAGCUAAGUGCCAUACUUUUCUUCUUUCAAAUUGAUUCAGCUCUUCUUGCAUAGCCAUGAUCCAAUCAGCAUGAAGCAAUGCUUCAAUUAUCUUCUUUGGCUCUAUUUCUGCCAGGAAUUCCUUGAAAGCACACGAACUUCUCAGUCUAAUCUCGUAGUAAUCCUAGAGGUGAGUUCAGUGAGAAUAUUUUCUAUAGGAUGUGAUCCUUGAUACUUGUACCCUUUUUGAACCAAGCCUAGAGAGCUACUAGGACCACUGAUGAUAUUUUGUUCUGGGGUAGUUGGUGACACAGUUCCCCCUGUCAUUGUGCCUUCAGUUUUAGUUCCCCCUGUUGAAGUGCCUCCAAGUUUGGUAGCUUCAGUCAAUGAAAUGGGUUGCGUAACCUGUUCCUCAGCAUCAUUUUCUUCCUACAGGUUAGUCUUAACACAGGAUACAUCAAAGAUCAUAUGCAUGCUUUCUUCAACAAAGUUUGUUCUGUUGUUUAAGAUCCUAUAUGUUUUACUAUGAAGUGGAUAUCCUAAAAAGAUUCCCUCAUCACUUUUAGCAUCAAAUUUUCCCAAAUUAUCCUUUCUAUUAUUAUGUAUGAAACAUUUACAUCCAAAGAUUCUAAAGUGAGAGAUGUUGAGCUUUCUUUCUUUUAGUAAUUCAUAGGGAGUCUUCUCUAAAAAAGGUCAUGCAUCUAUUUAUGAUAUAUGCUGCAGUACUUAUUUCCUCUGCCCAAAGGUUUUUAGCAUCAUUUGCUGCAAGCAUCAUUAUUCUAGCCAUAUCUUCCAAAGUUCUAUUUUUCCUCUCCACCACUCCAUUUUGUUGUGGUGUUCUAGGAGUUGAGAAGUUCUGAUUUAUACCAUUUGUUGAAUAGUAUUUCAAGAAUUUAACAUUCUUAAAUUCUGAACCAUAGUCAGACCUUAUGGAAACUAAUAAAGUGCCUAAUUUCUUUUCAAUUUUCUUAAUGAAGAUUUCAAAGACAUCAAAGGCGUCUUAUUUAGAGGCUAGAAACAAAGUCCAAGUAAACCUAGAAUAGUCAUCAACAAUCACAAACACAUACCUUUUUCCACCUAUGCUUUGAAGUAUGAUAGGUCCACAUAAGUCUACAUGAACCAAGUCAAGUCACUUGGUUGUGCUAACAUGGUUCUUCGACUUAAAAGAGGAUCUUACCUGCUUCCCCCUUACACAUGCACUACAUAGAUUUUAUUCCUUGAACUUGGUCUUGGGUAAUCCCAAUACCAUGUCUUUGGAUGAAAGUAUGUUUAGUUGUUUCAGACUUGCAUGACCAAGUCUUCUGUGCCAAAGGAGGGGAUCAUUUUCUAUAGCACUUAAAUAAGUUAGCUCAAGUCCUGGUGGUGCCAUGAUGUCAGCUUUGUAUAUAUUUUUAUAUCUCCUUACAGUGAGCACAACCUCUUUAGUAUCUAUCCUUUUUACCUUGACUCCUGCAGCAGUAAAAACAACUUUAUUGCCUUUAUCACACAGCUGUGACAUGCUCAACAGAUUAUGCUUUAAUCUUUCUACAAGAUAGACAUCCUCCACUGCUUUUGACUCAGAUGAACCAAUCUUUCCAAUUCCAGUUAUGAUUUCCUUUUUUCCAUCACCAAAAGAAACUCCUCCUCCAUUUAUUUUAGAGAGUGAAAGAAAAUUUUUCUUAUCACCAGUCAUGUGUCUUGAGCAAGCACUGUCUAGAUACAAGUGCCUUUUGUUUCCUUUCACCUUCUCCUGCAAAAAAAUUCAAAGGUUAGCCUUAGGAACCCAGACAAUAUUGGGUCUUAUUUUAUGAGUGAAUGGAUGAAUUACAAUUCUCUUAGUCCACAGGCAACAUGUAGUGCAACCUAUUUCUUUGACCAGAACUGGUUUUGUUCCUUUUGAUCUGAUAAGAUCUGUUAGUCAGGUUUUGACUAUUUAAUCUGCUUUUUGCAGCUACUGACAUUCAGUGGUGGGAUGCCCAAGGUUUCCACACAUGUAACAUAAAUCUUUUGGAUCACCAAAACUUUUUUGAAAUCUCAAACCUGCCUUUUCAUUAAAUUUUUUCUCACUUAAUUUGUGAACAAUUCUUGAGGAGUUUGUCCACCUAUUUGCCCUUUCAAGAUUCAAUUUUAGUUUAGAGAUUUCCUGAUUCAACUUAUUCAUUUUUCAGUUAAAUCAUGGCAUUCUUAUUUGUAUUUAACAAGCUCAAGUUCAGCAUGAUCUUUACUCAUGGCCUUCUUCCCAUUUUUAGUGAGAGUUAAUUUGAGAACUUCAGAUAUAAGAUUGUUGUUUUAAAUCUCAAGUUCUGCAACCUGUUUCUUGAGACUGCAAUUGUCCUUGUCGACUAUAUUUGAGAAAGACUUUAGAUCUAUGAGAUCAAAUUCAAGACUUUCUUGACUAUUGAACAAUUCAUCCUUAUCAGAGGUUUAACUCUUGGAAAUCAUCAACCAAUGCAUUCAUUAGGGAAACAAGUUUUGGCUUUGAGAAUAAUUUCAGUUUUUCUUGAGUUCAAGUAUACUUACCUCAGAAUCCUCAUCUUCUUCAUCCAGAUCUGAAUCCCCAAGGGCCAUGAAUGCAGUUUCAUUAACUUUAUCUUUAUCUGAACCAGAACCCCAGGCUACUAUAAUUUCAUGCUCCUCUUUCCUUUUUGUCUUCAGCUCCUGUUCAUCCCUUUUCUUCUUUCAUUCUAUUUCCCAGACUGGACAGUCUCUAAUCUGAUGAUCAAUUUUUCCACAUUUGUAGCACCCAUUUGGAUUGUCAUUGGAACGUUUCUUAGUACCCGUUCCCUUCUUUUUCUUGAAGAAUUUGCUAAAGUUAUUAGUUAUUAAGGCAACUUUCUCUUUAUCAAGUUCAAAUUCUUCAUCACUAUCAGAAGCUUUCAAUGCUAAAAUUUUCCCAGGAGCUGCUUGUUCUUUGAAUCCAUCAACUUCCAUUUCAUAAGUCCUUAAGUUCCCUACUAAUUCAUCCAGAGUCAUGCCUUCAAGAUCCUUAUUUGCCUCCCUGAUUGCAGUCACCUUGACAUUCUAUUUUGACUUGGGUAAUACUCUCAGAACCUUUUCAACUUGUAAAUUCAGCUCAUUUGUUAAAAUGGUAAGCCUUGUCAUCAUUUCAUGCAAGGUUUCAUUUUCCUUCAUUUUGAAUGCCUCAUACUCAGUGAAAAGUAGAGAGAUCCUAAAUUUUCUUACAUGAGAAGUGCCUUCAUGAGCAUUUACUAGUGCAACCCAAAUUUUCUUAGCAGUAGUGUAAGUGGAUACCCUGUUGUAUUCAGUAGGUCCUAGUCCAAAGACCAAGAUGUUCUUGGUGUUUGCAUUUUUCUUCAAAGCCAACAAGCCAUCAGGAGUAAAUUCACUCCUUACUUUCUUGACUUGUUCACCAUCAACCGUCUUUAUUGGAAUAGUGGGACCAUCAUUAAUCCUGUCCCAUAAUUCAUAAUAUUCUCCUUGAAUGAACAUCUCCAUCCUUGCUUUCCACCAGAUAAAAUGAGAGCCAUCAAAAAGUGGAGGUCUAGUAGUUGACUGACCUUCACUGUGACCAGUAGGAGGUGCGAAAUUCAUCAUAUUGAUCUUUUCUUAGGUACUAGCCUUAUUUAAGACAACCUCACUUUGAUACCACUUAUUGGAGUACGAGCCCCACUAAUUGCCUAACUGUGGAACAAGUAAGUAAACACGGUUCAUAGAACUAAGUACUGAACAUAGUGUUUUACAUGGAAAACACCCAGCUCAAGAAAGGUGUAAAAAACUAUGACUUGUACUUCUACAGGAUUUAACCCCAACUUCACUAUAAUACAUGAGCCUCAACAAUCAACAGAAUUACAAUACUUCUUGUAAACUAGGAAUUAAAACUUCUAACUCCUAUCUCUAUAAAAACACAAAUCUUCCCAAGAUAAGUGUUCCCAAGUCUUCGAGGUCGCAAACUUGAAGACAUAAUUCCUAACUCAGUUUAUAGAUCACUGAGACUAGAAAAAUGACUCAUUACAACUCAAAGAACCUACCUACUACACAAAGUCUACAACUUGCUAAGUAAGAGACCGGGUUCUUCUUCAAGUAUGUAAACUGAUAUGCUGAUUGUUGAUUUUAUUUUUCGUACUUGAGUGAGUUACUUGAUCAUGCUUUGUUGUAUGUAUGCACCCAGGUGAUCCACCUGUAAUAGAGUCCUGGUUGAUUUAUGCUUCUUUCUCCUUUUUCCUCUAUCAAGUAACUUCACUCUUUGUUGUAGCCGUUUUUUCUUCCCUGAUUAAAUAAGAGUUUUUGCUUUAUCCUUUAUCCUUGCAGAACUUUUCUCAUUAUUAGAAUUCUAGAUCGACUCAACUUCUGAAUGUUACAUUUUUCUUCCACUUUAUUGAAGUGAUAAGUGUUUGAGAAGGUUCCUGAAUAUUCUUGCUUAUCCACUCCUGUCAAUGUGCAGUAUCAUCUUACAAACAGCCUUGCCUGCAGCUUUUCUUUGUACACUUGAAUGGACCAGCUUUUACAACAUAUUUCAUUGAUAUGUAUAUAAUCAAAACUCUACAUGCCUUAACAGAGAUACGAUAGGAAGUUUAGGAGCUUCCUAGGAAGUACGAGGAGGAAUGAAAAAGAAGGAUGGAGGAGGAGCGGCGUAGGACAACACUUGGGUCAGACGUCAAAGAACUCAAGACUCAAGUAAAUACCUUAAUCAAGCUUCUUUAUUCUCUACAACCUAGUUCUGAUGAUGAUGGUGGGGAGGAUGAAGAGGAUUAGGUGUUGUUGUUUUAGGUUUGAAUUAUGUUAGUUUGGAGUGUUUGAAAGAAUUUUUUUUGGUGAUUGUUUGCAUACUUUUUUUAUACUUGUUUCCAUAUUAUUUACGUUGGAUGAAUAUGUAUGAAGUUUGGUUUCUUAAUUUCAAUGUUUUAAUUGUUUCAAAAGUAUUUUUUUAUUGUUUUACUGGUUAAUAUUGAUUGUACGUUUAUUUUCUAUUUAAAUAUUGAAUUUUAGUGCAAUAAAAAAACUAAUAAUAACACCAUAUUGGCAAGGGACUUUUGUAGCUAUAUCCCUCAAAAUGUUCAAACAUUAAAUUAAUUUUUUAUUUAACUUAGUGAAGGAUAUCCCUCAACAUAUUUAAAUUUAUAAUUUUUAUUAAUUUUCAUGUACCAAGGAUCAUCCUUCACCAAAUAAUAAAUUAAUAUUCUAUAUAUUUUUAAUAUAGCAAGGGUCUUCCCUCACUAAAUUAUAAAUUAAUAUUAUAUAUAUUUUUAAUAUAGCAAAGGACAUCCCUCACCACAUUAUAUUUUUGGGGAAAUUGUGAGACCAAAAUAGCAAUGGUUGAGUGUCGGAAUCCUUCACUACUUUGUAAGGGUUUCCCUCACUAAUAAUUAGAAAACCUCAAAUUAGUAAGACAUCUUGUAGCGAUGGCUGCUCUCACUAUAUCUUGAUUAGUGAGGGACGUCCCUCACUAAAUCGCAUGGCUAAAACAAGACUUUUUAGUAGUGCCAUGAUCUCAAGCUUCUUCUCCAAAGGACAUCUCUCUUCCAAAUCCUUUUCAUCUUCUCUCAGAUAAAGUUGGUCAUAAAAUUAAUCCUACAAUGCCUGUAUCAAAUUCAGAGGUGGAUAAAGUAUCAAAGAAAAAUCAACUUGACUUUGGGCAGUAACAUGGUGAAUCUAUGCAACAAUUUAUAUCGUCUAUUCAUCUGGAGCAACAAGGAGAUACUGUUUUUCAUUGAUGGGCAUAUUUGGUAAAUAAAAAAGAUGAACAACAGGAGGAUAAUAUUGGUAGGAAACUUAAAGCUCAAGCUCCAAUUUUUCUCCUAAAUAAGUCUGUAAUUCAUAAUUAUUCAUCAAGUUGCAAGCAAACUUCAGGUGGUGUAUUAAAUUCCGUUUCUCCAAUUCAUACAACCAAACAAUUAGUGGGAAGUGAUACAUUGCCUCCAAAGAGUUUUGAAAACCUCCAAAAAAAAUGACUUAUUUGAGGAAAGUGAGUAUGAAGACAUGUUGAAUAUAUGCUUUGCAAGUGCAUCUAGGGAUGUUGAUAUCUCUCCUGGACAACAAAGAAAUAGAAAGAUCAAAUUAUAUCACGAUAGAAAUCAAAGUUGGGUUGAUAAGGUGACAGAGGAGUUUGUUCCAAGGCACCAUUGGCAAAGCGAAAUCAUGCGACAUUGUCAACAACUUUUAAGAAGACCCAACAUAUUUAAGAAGUGAUGAAUUUUCAAGUUAUUUUGAACAGGUUCAAAGAAGAAGGCCAGGAUUGAAUAUAUCAAUGUACUUUAGAUAGGCCAGCAUUUCUUUUUAGUUCAUAUAUUUGUAAAAAGGAGUUCGUGAUUGAGAACUCAAACUUCUCAUUCAUUUUUAUAUUUUUUCAUUACUUAAGCAUCCUUCUUUGUAAUAUCAUCAUAGAGUGUAACAUAAACUCUAUGAUGAUCCUAGAAUAUCUAGUUCUCUCUGAUUUUUAUUUUUUGCACGUUUGUUAAUUAGUCGAGGUUUUGUUACCUCAUUAAGGAUGAUAAGGUAAGGUCUAGCCCCUUUUGCCUGUACUUUUCUCUUUUGAGGUUUAAUUUUAUUUUUUAUUUUUUUAAAAGGGUGAUUGAUGUCUUUUGGUAACCAAUGUCUUUUGAUAUAUUUGUGGUAUUUUUUUAUUUUUCCCCUUUUCUUAUUUGUGGCUAAAUUAUUAUAAAGUCUAUAAAUAAUAUUUAAUAAAGAAUAGAUCUUGUUCGUCCAUCGUCUAUUUGAUGGACGUACCAGAUUAAGUUUCAAUCUCUAUAAAUUGAUCCUCCCUCUGCUCAUUAGGGUUACCGCAUAUUAUCAAUACAAUUUCAUCGCAGGCGGCUCUGAUAGCGAUAAUCCAGUGGAAUGAUAGAUGAAAUCGCCUGAUAGGCUGAUAUUAGUUAGUUAGAUCAAUAAUAGUGCUAUCGAGAUUGUCGAUUUGCUAAAGUGUAAGGCUAAUAAGGUGACAUCUCUAAGAAUCUAUAUUAAACUUAUAAUCUUUGAUUCUUUGAUAUAAAUAAAUUAUAUGUGAUUUUCUUUCUAAAAGAUAUUUAAUUGAUAUGUUGAUAGUUUUUUCAUCGGCGAUUUUAACAUCGAUCUCUUUUAAAAUUUUAUUUUUAUCUUAUAAAUUUUGAAUUUCUCUUUUCCUAAUUGUCAUAACAUCAUUUCUAUGUUUGUUUAUGUUGUUUUACUAGUUAAAAUGAGUUUUAUGUGUUUAUAAAGAAUUGAAUUAGAUUCUUUAUAUUUUAUCCUUACUAUAAGCAUGCCACUUACUCAAUUAGCUUUCCCCAUAGACUAGAGUAUGUGACUUUUCAGAGAAGGAAGAUAGUUUUAUCUUAAAAUUGGUAUCCUUACAAUUUUAUCAAAUCUCCUUGAAGGGACACUAUUUUAUUAAUUAUUUAAUCAACUUAAAAAUUUUUUACACUGGAUCUUUUUGUAGAAAAAGGGAAGAAUAAAUAAUUUUGACAAUAGGUCAAAGUGAUAUAGAAUUGGUAGAAAAAAUAAACUAAAUCUCUUAAGAAUAAUUUUUAAGGUGCAGAUCUUUUGACUUUUACAAUCUGUCUACAAUUUUAAAACAAUUGUUCAGAUGGUAUAGGCGAAACAAGAUUAGGAAAUAGAGCGGAGAGAGAAAGAUCUAGAGAAACACAGAUUUGAUUAUUAUUAUAAUUAUUGAUCGCAAAAUAGCUUUUUUUAAUCUUAUAUUAGAUGUAGAAAAAAAAAGGAAGAAAAUAUGAUUUUCAUGAAAAAUAAUUUUCUUUUUAAUUGAAAUUUUCCUCUUAAUUUCGAGGAGUUUUUUCUUCCUCUCUAAUUUAACAUAUUAUUUUAUCAUGGGAAAUCAUUUUGACUUCUCACGCAUCGUUACUUCUAUAAUAUUUUGACUUUAUUCUUUUACUUCCUUAUAUAUUAAAAUUUCAAUAAACUAUAAUAUUAUAAUUAAUUUUUAUUUAAUAUUUUACGUUCAGUAAAAAUAAGUAUAUCCAAUUUUACUCAAUAUGCUCGAUUAGAUUGUCUAGAAUGAAUAGAUAAGUUGGUCAUUUGAUGAAGAUAAGUAACACAACCACUAAAGGAUGUGGUGCAGCAAAUGGGGCUACUUCUUUCUUAACUAAAGGUCUCAGAUUUGAUUCUUGAUAGGGAGUGCUUCCUCUGAAUGAACCUCACGCACACGAAUCCAGAUUAAUCGGGUUCCAAUAUAGAUGUCAAACACCAGAUUAAAAAUAAUAAUAAAAAAGAAGAGUAAUACACAUACACAAUAAAGGAAUCGAUAUUAUUAGUUUUGUUUUAUUUUAAUUUUGAGUAUUUUGAUUUUAAUUUUUAAUUUUAUAUUAUAAACAUGACAUUUUAAUCAACACAAUUCAAAUUCUUUUUAAUUUUCCAUUUAAACAUAAUAAUAGUAAUAACUCAAAAUACAUAUUCAUGUUUAAGGUUAUUUAAAUAAUCAAAUAUUGUGAAAGUAUGACUUCAUUAUGAUAGGAUAUUUAAUUUAAAUUUGAAUUCACUUUGUUGAUAUCAAAAAGCUGAAUUGACCUUUUUUCACAAAUUUCUUGUUUUAAAUAAUUUUCAAACUUGAAAUGGUAUGAUACUUGUGUGUGUCAUCACCAUGCUUUUCCUAUUCUAUCUAAUAGAUUCAACUAUUCAUUCUAAAUAUACGUUACUUAAUUUUUUAUGUAAAUAUGUAUAAAAUUUGUAAAUAUUGAUUAUAAUAUAAUUUUUAAUUAGUAUGUCCAAUUGCAUAAAUAAAGAGUGGCAAUGAACCCUGAAAAUUAAUAUCGAAUUUGUAUAUGAGAAAUAAAUCUUCAUAGUAAUUUUGCUUAUAAUUUAUUUUACUGAAAAUGUAUUGAUACAGUUAUCAUGAUUGAUACAUCUUCAAAAACAAUGUCAAUGCUCUCGAAAGAAACUACAAAAAUUAAUGUGAUAAUAAUAAAUGUUCACUCGCUGAACCUAGAUUCAUAAAAACUUUUGGCUAGAGCUGUGGCUUUGGAUAUAAUUUCCCUCUCUAAGUAUUUUUUUUCCCUACUGUUUCACUUAUGAUAUCUAUUGUGCAUAAAUCAAUUACAAAUACACUAUAAAAAAAUCUCUACAAUUCACCAUUAUAUAUUGUUAAAUAGUUCGAAGCUAAAAGAAUUUGACAUAAUUCAUCAUUAAAUAGAAUUAGUAAUGAAUUUUUGUUUGUUUAGCGACAUAAACUAUCCAUCGCUAAUUCCUAUUUUUAGUAUGUUUUGUAAUGUUAUUUUUAAAAUUAAACAAAUUUCAUAAAUAUGUUGAAGUUAACUAUUCAUAUAAUGUAUGAUAUAAUUCAAUUUCAUAUAUACAGUUCAACACCAGCUUACUCUAACUAACUAACUCCCACUUGCACUCACUUGCACAGUAAAAAUAGGAACUGUGAAUGAACUGUAAAAACUGUUUUAUUUCAAUGGAAUAGUAAAAAAUUACUUUCUCAUCUAUCUUGAGCUUGCAAUACUCCCCCUCAAGCCGAAGGAUACAGGAUAUUAAGCACACCAAGCUUGCCCAUUAAAUAAAAAUAUUGAGGUUGACAGAGACUCUUCGUAAUUAAAUAAACCACUUGAUCAUGAGUUCGAACAUAAGGAGUCUCAACAGAACCAGAUUUAAUCUUGUCUCUAAUAAAGUGACAAUCAAUUUCUCUAUGUUUAGUUCUCUCAUGAAACACAGGGUUUGCACCCAGUUGAAUAGCUGAUCUACUAUCAUUGAAUACCUUUAUAGGUUGAGUGAGAGGUACAACCAAGUCAUUUAAUAGACCAACCAACCAAGUCACCUCUGCAAUCACUGAAGCCAUGCUUCUAUACUUAGCUUCAGCUGAGCUUCUAGGCAGUGUCUGUUGCUUCUUGAACUUCCAUGAGACCAAAGAAUCCCCAAAUUUCACUAUAUAGCCAGUAACAUACCUCCUAGUGCUAGGACAGGCUGCCCAAUCUAAAAUACACCAACAAAAAAGAGUCACAGUAGGUUGAGCCUUUAACCAAAUGCCUUGACAAAUAGUACCCUUAAGGUAUAUAAACACCUAUGGUUAAUAUUAGCACUUUAAUACCCAAAAAAAAUACUUAAGCUCACCUAAGUUCUUCAAUUUAAAUUGCUUGUGUAGAACCUCCUUAGAAUUAGAUAUCAAUGAGGUACUGCUACCUUUGAUGAGUAAGUCAUCAACAUAGACUAAAAUCAUCACUAUGUAUUCCUGUUUCUUCUAUGUAAACAAGGAAUAGUCAUGUACACUCUCAACAAAACCAGCAUUUACCAAGGCAUUAGUAAGUUUCAGCUGCUAUUGUCUGGAAGCCUAUUUAAGAAUAUAAGCAUUUCAACAAUCUGCGUACUCUUGUGUCUCUUUUAUUGUUUGAAACCUUCUGCCAUCUCCAUGUAAACCUCUUCAUCUAUAUCACCUUAUAAGAAAGCAUUGUAGGCAUCCAUCUGACAUAGAAACCAACCUUUUGAAGCUACUAAAAAUAUUACACUUCUAACUGUAACCAUAUUAGACACAUGAGAAAAGGUAUCAUGAUAAUCCAAACCUUUUUGUUGACUAUAACCUUUUUCUACCAAUCUAGCUUUAAAUCUCUCUACCUCUCCAUUAGCUUGAUACUUGAUCUUAUAAACCCACUUAGAUCCCAAAACAUUCUUUCUGGGUGGUAAAGGCACCACCUCCCAGGUCUUGUUUUCUUCAAGUGCUUGAAUCUCUAGCUUCAUGGCCUCAACCCAUUUUGAAUCUACUUCAGCAUGCCUAAAAGUAUUUGGUUAAACCAAGGUGGAGAAUUUGCUUAAGUAGCUAUGAUAUGACUUUGUAGUUUUAUCAUAAAAGAGGUACUUAGCCAUGGAAUAUCUGCAUUUCUUUCCAUCCUUAGAAGUAGCAUAGUCCUUUAGCCAAACAGGUUGCCUGGACAUCCUAGAUGUUCUUCUUGGAGAACAUAUUCGAGGAGAAGAGGACAGUGGAAUAGAGGUGCAAGGGACUUCAACUUGAUCAUCAGAUGCUACAAUGUUUUGUGAGGUAGACUGGACCAUAGAAGGAUGCACAUCUACAUCAGUACUAGAAAAUUCUAUAUCCUCUGCAAAAAUUUCAUUCUCUAGAGGAUCAUCAAUUUCAAUAGGCACAUUUGUGAGCGCUGUGUUGACAAAAUUCCACUGUGAUUGUGCAAAAUAUUAUGAGAACUCAACUAAAACCAAUUGAAUAUAUUCAUGGUGAACCUACACUCAAAUUUACAAUGGAGAAAAGAGAAGCAUUUGCUAUCGAGGAAGGGUUGCAUCAAGCAAUUGUGAUUAAACUUUCCUCAGGUGCACCAGAUUUGAAGGACCUAAGGACAUUGUUGCCGAAAUAUCUCGGAGUCAAGGAUCAUUGUGUAAUUGGUUCAUAGGCACCACGGCAACUCUUGCUAUGGUGUGAUCAAUAUGAUGAUUAUGUGACUACUUAUUCAAGAUCAGUGAAAUAUUUUUCUUACAAUGGAAAGGAGCACUAAUAUAGGAUAUUCUCGUGGUUUAUCGAUUUUAACUACAAAGAAGAAACUACUAAGGCAGCAGUGUGGAUUUCUUCAUCGAACUUGGCUCUGGAUCUAUUUGUUAAGAGGUUAUUAUUGUCUAUAGCAGCAGCAGUCUAAAAACCAAUAGCUAUAGAUAAACCAAUAGCUACAUAUCACUUUCACCAAUAAAUAUUUCGACAUUAUUCAACCCUUAGUUUUGGAAAUCCUUAUCAAAACACUCAGUAAUUAAAAGGAUUAGAGAUGGACUUUGUUUAAUGAUAAAAGUUAAUUAAUCAUUGCUAAUUUCUAUAUUUUUGUAGUGAAAAUUCAAUGAACUAACAUUAUUUUUAAUCUUUAAUUCAUAUUGUUUCAGAAGACUGUUAUCGUUCGGAAUCAUCAAACAUCAAAAAUAUUUUUCAUUAAAAAUAACUCUGUAGUUCAUAUGAUAAUUAAAUAUAUUUAUGGUCUAAUUCUCUUCUUUUUCAUCUAACAUCUCUCAGAAAUUUUUUAGCAAUGUCAAUUAAAAAGUUCUGCUGAUCAACCCAGAAAUCAUGAGUGAUUCUCAAUAAAGACGUAGUAUUAGAAAAAUGGGGACAAUGUACAAUUUCUCCUGCUUAACUAUUUACAAGUUUGAAUUAAGUUGAAUGGUUUUAUUUUUUUAAUAAAUUGUUGAGUUUUUAAAGCAUUUUAAUAUUAAAUUUGCUAUUGAAAUGUUGCAUGUUGACGUGCAUUGAAAUGCUGCAUACUGGAGUAUCUUUUGAUCUUUAUCUUCCAUAUUUAAUUGUGGAAUAAUGCAUAUGGCAUUUUUCUUUGGUAACUUUUGUUAUAUCUCACUAAUUACUCACUCAUUGUUCUAUCUCUUUAUGUUUUAUAACUCAGGUAACUUAAAAGCAUUCAUCUACCCACAUUCCUCUUAUUCAUUAUUUCGCCUAUGAUAUAGAAAAAGCAAAAGAGAAAGAUAUAGUGUUUAUAUUUUGAGUUUAGUAGACAGCUGCACCCACUGCACCACUAAUCAUACCUUGCAAGAAAUCAAAAUAUUCCAAAGUAUCAGAUAUAAUAUAGGAAACAUAAAGAGGCCAAAGAAUACUUGACCUUCUUCUUUUGGAAAAAUUAGAAUGAGAUACAAAGUAUCAGCACUAUAUUGGUUCUACAACCAUCAUAGGCUUAAUUUGUCGUCUUCAUCAAUAUCCUUUAUUCUCCAGCUUGUUGCCCCCCACUGUAUAAGUCAUUCAUCUUCCUGAUGGUCCACGUUGAUAUACUUAAUUCACCCAAAAUUGCUCGCGCUUUGAAGCAACGGUAAAAUUGUACUCCUAUAACUUAUAAAAAAAAAAUUGUCCUUGCUAUUAGUUAUUACUAUAGUAUUUUUGUGCCGCGGUUGAUAUGCUUAAUUCGCCCAAAAUUGCUCGCGCUUUGAAGCAACAGUAAAAUUGUACUCCUAUAACCUAUAGAUCACGGAUUUAACUAUCAUUCUGUUGAGGUAUUACCCUUCUCCGGACUCGGCUAAAUGCAGUAUGCUUUUCAUCCACCAGACAAGGCCUUUUUUUGUUCCCUUAGUUCUACCUACCACAUUUUGAGGUGUGGGGACACUUAAGCAGUAGUUGAACCAGUCUAGUGGAAAAUAAUUAGCAAAAAGACUUCGAAUCCUACUUUGAAGAGUCAGAAAAGGGACUCAAUUUAAUGUUUUUGAUGACUUUACUCAUUUUUCAUGGUUCCAUUUCUCAGCUUCCUACUCUUAGUUGAGUGUAGUAAAGGAGUAAUCAUGUUUCCCACCUUUCUCUCCUUCAAUAAUAAUUAGUAAUAAUUAGAGUUCAGAGGAAACCCUUGUAUAUUCAUCUUAAAUUCUACACCAAUCCUCUUCAAUUUCAAGCAAAAAUUUGUUAUAACAAUAAGCCAUUAGUAUCCCCCAACUAACGCCAACAUAAAUUUGAAACCAUACAAUAUUUUUAAACCCUUUUCGAGAUUCAGUUCUGAUAAUUGAGUUGAUAUCCUUGUGGCAGAUUCAGUCGUGGAUUUGCGAGAAAGCAGUGUUCCAAAGCUUCAUUGUAUCUUUAUAAGACUCAUCUCUACCAGCUUGCAGAGUACCAUAUAGCUGAGGCUUUACUUGGGAUAUUGAGGUCUAAACAUUGCACUUCAUAGUCAAAUGCCAAUUCAAGAAAUUGGCACUAGCUAUAAUCUGGAAAAAUACUCCAAGCAUUCGAAAGCUGAGAACUGUUGCAAGUUUGCUUUUACCUUUCAAAGUUGUCAUCUGAUUGUGUAUCAAAUCUAUCCCAUGAAAAUAUGAUACAAGUACGAUCGUGAUUAUGAACAUUUUUUGAGUAUAUUAAAGGUAACCGAGAGAGUGCAUAAGUCUAUGUGUGAAGGUCGCCCAAAACCGCCCAUAUGGUCACUCAAUGGGCGCCCAUUUUUGAAGACUAGUCACUAAAGGGUCUUUUAGUCUUUUGUCACUUAUUUUUGUAAUGUAAUAUAAAUAGAACCUUGUAGGGUUUUAGUUACUUAGUUUUGAAUGUUAUUGAAAGAAACUUCUCUAGAGAGAGUGUGAGCAACCGUAACUAGGGUGAUACUAGUGUGGAAUCACUAGUGUUGCAAAACAUUGUUAGAAACCUUGGUGCUUGAGAGGUGGACGCCCUCUUGUGUCAUCGUAGAGUGUUGGUGUUUGAUAUUACGAGUGUUAAGGGUCUUGGUAUUUAAUAUAUACCUUGGUUCUUAUUGUUUGUAAUAUUGUAUGUCACACUUCCUAUCUUUUGUUCCUAUAAUCGUUGUACUAGUUUGUAGUUGUUUCUAGUGAAGCCGUGUGUUGUUGUUACAUUGUUCUUGUGUUCCGUUCCUAUUGUUAUCAUCUUGUUCUUCUGGUGUAGCUGCUGUUUUGGUGUUGAACACCUAGUAAUCUUGGGUUCUUGAGUUGUCAUGUUGUAGCCGUUUGGUCUCUUGUACCCUGUGGACUGUUCUGUGCGAUUUGUGGGCUGUUUUGGUGUCUUUCCUCGGUCGUUUUGUAUCAAAAUAUGAUCCCAAAACAUCAAAUCAACCCUUUCUAUAAGGAAAGAACACAAAAGUAACAAGAGAGUUUCAAAAGAAUGGGAAGUCAGAGUGGGUGAGGAGAAGGUUCGUUCAUAGAAACUCAGUUGUAAAUUUAUAAAUCCAGAAAUAUAUACAAAAAAGGAAAAAUAAUCUUAAAUCAUGCAUUGGAAGGACUCAGUUAAACACAAAUUAAGUACUCCAUCUAGACUCUACACAAAUUUUGGUUAAUAAGAUCCUUAUACGUCCUUCAAGCCUAAAGUUACUUCACCUACGACUCCAAAAACACACUCCACCAUAGAUCAGUGAGCAAUUAAUAAAUUAAUUUUACCCAUUUUUUAACUUACCUUAUCACUAAUCUUCAACCAUGUAAUUACCCCCCACAAAAAUACAUAAAUAACCAAAAUUCAUAACCAAUUGAGUCCUAUCCUAACAAACCUUAUCUCAACAAAAUCACACCUCACCACUCUGCCCCUACCCCACCUCGCUACCCUACCCCCUACGCCAUGUUUUUGUCCAAUGGAAAUACAUAUACGGCUACAGAAUUAAAAAGAAGGGGGAGGGGGGCCCACGUGAUAUUCCUUUUUCGUCUUUCUUUCCAAAUCGAUAAGGGGGACCUUUUUUGCUUGGGCCAUCAUCACAAAGAAUAAAAUAUAUAUACACCAUUGCACACAAUUUAAAUUUUUUGGGGGGAGGGACCCGCAGAGCACAAUAUUCUCUCCAUUCUUUAUAGAUAUGACACACAGGCCCUCCUCAUCAGAGAAUAACAACAAUACCCUUACACUGACCUCACCGUCACACACCCAUAUACACUACACACUCUUAUUUCCACCGGGAUACACACAGAUAUGGAUAGAUAAGAGAUGACGUGAGAAAGAGAGAGCUACGAGAGAGUGAGAGAGAUCUGCGAGAGAGAUAUCUGUGAGAGAGUGACAGAUAUUUGCAAGAGAGGGAGAGAUCCGCGAUUGAAAUCAAAAGAGAACGAUGACAAAGCAGUUUCCGGCGAGUGAGAGCUUGAGGAACACGAGUUUGGUGGCUUGAUUACUGUUCCGACGAGCCUAUCUAGUUUUCAUAAAUUCGUUCAAAACCCAUCGAAUACGUCUCAACUGAUAUCUCUUUGUUGUUUUGGUCAUAGCCGAAGUUUACCGGGGUUACAACAAACCUCGAUCUACAUUUGAUUCCGUCCAAACCCAUUGGAAUCGGGCUGAAUUUCUCUUAUUUCUCAUGAUUUUUAGUUCGAGGUUGUGUGGUUUCGUGAGAAUCUGGUCCAGGUCUCUUUGUUUUUGUGAUUCUCAGUUCCGAGUUGGAUGAGUUUGUUUGUUUGAGAUUCGUUUGUUUGAGGUUCGGUUCGAGGUUUCCGAAUGCGGAUUCUCUUUAUUCGAAUUACAGAGUUUGAAAGCUACGAGUCGAGGUCCAAUUCUAUUAUCUCUCUUUUUAUUUCAUUAUUUACUAUAUUUUGGUGUGUUGGUUUGAAUAUUGUGUGUUUUGUUUGAUCCUUGUUGGUGAUGAACGCGUAUUUGUUUUGAUUCGCGGUUGGUUCCUUUGAUUAUGAUUUCUAUGGUGAAAUAGCAUCUCAUUUGAGAAUUAGAAUUGGUUGUUUGGGGCGGAAUUAAAAUUGAUAAAAGUGAAUACGUAUUUGGUUUAAUUCAUUAUUAGCGGUUUAAUUUGGAAUAAGCAUGAAUUUUAUUGAAACAGAUAGGCAAAUGUAGGUUUGGGUAGGCGAAUUUAGAACUUGUUUGUGGUUGAAUGUUUGAAUGUGCGUGGGCAGUACUUGAUUCUAAUGUAUUCAUUUGGUCGGGAAUGCCCCGAGAGAUUUGUAUUGAUUUAUCCGGAGAAUGCCCCGAAGUAUCGUGUAUGCAAAUGAGGUUCGUGAUCAAGGCUCGAGGCAUCGGGUAAGGCAUUGGAAUGCAGUUUUAGGAUUAGCUUAAAGUAGGAUUUAUAUUUUACGCAUUUUUCUCUUUUGGACUGUAUAAUUGGAUUGGACACUAAAUUUUGAAUUGUUUGGUUUUGUUUGCUUGAUUGAUUGUUUUGCAUGCUUUGUGUGGUUUUUACAUUUAUAAUGUCUAAUUAGUCGAUACGCUCUACCAAGCAACUGUGGUCGAACCACGGGAUCGAGGGGUGUCAACACCUUCCCCUCGGUCAACAGAAUUCCUUAGCCAGAAUCUCUGUUCGCAAACCAGUUUAAAGAGUCAAAUUGUUUUGAAAAGGAUUUUCAAAGGUGACUUGGCACACCCGAUUUAUGCCAAGUGGCGACUCUGGGUUUUAAAUAUAAGAAGUCUUUUCGAAACAAAUCUUCAUUUUGUCACUUUAAUAAUAAAAACCCUUUUGAACUAAAAUCAAAUCUUUUGGAGUUGUAAAAAAGGGGUGUGAUAGCUCUGGCGACUCUGCUGGGAACUCUUCAGAAUUCGAGCUUAUUAUUGGAGUUGUAUCGGCUUAGUUUGACACUAUAGGUGUGUAGACAUUUUGUUUGAGUUCUUUUGUGUUAUUGUUUAUCAUUGUUGAGUGCCUACGUGCUAAUUGUUUAUAGUUUUUAUCGUGUGUUACUUCUUUAUAUCUGGCAUCAUGUGCAUAACUCGAGUUAUUUAUUCUGCAACAAGUCCUCGAGUGCACGUCGUGCACACAAACUCUAGUUGAGUCAUUCUUAUUUUGGAGGGGAAAUCGUCGGACGUAUGGAGUGAGUGGAAAGCAAAGCAGCCACUAUCGACCAUAUUCUCCCCCAAACAGCCUUGUUAGUAAACCCCAACAUAGGUCAGCCUUUCGGUCAUGUUUAUCUACAUCAUAUUGAGACCUAGUGGGACCCAACAUAGGUCAUGCUAAAUGUUUCAUCUUUGAGGGUAACUUGAUUAUUUGAUGGACUGAUUCAGAGAAAACAUGUGUUAGAAGUAAGGUACGUUUGAAAAAAAAAGGAAGAAAAAAGUUAGUCGAAAAGUAAAAAAAUGAGUUUCAUAGUUUUUAGAAUUCUUUAUGGCUUUUGUUUUUCCCAAUCCAAAAAUUCAAAAAGAUUUUUUUUUACCUUUUGCACUCAUUUUUUCAAAAACAAAAAUAUCAAAAAGAUUUUUCUUUGUUUCUUUAAUAAGCUUUCAUAAUUUGAAAAUUUCAAACAAAGAUUUCUUUUAAUAGGAGCUUUUUAUAAAAUUCAAAAAAUAUGGUAGAAGUUUUGUACAUUUCAUAUAAUGAAAAUACCAAAAAGAUUUUCUUUCAUAGCAGUUGGUGUCAUUUUUUAUGUGAAGUGUCAAAUUGAAAACUCAAAAAAAGAUUUUGUUAUGUUGUUCAUCGUGUGUCUUUGGUCGUGUCUCAAGUCAGGGUGCAAUCUGUAAUUUAAUCAUUAAUUGUCCAAUCUGGACGAACUACGCACCCCUGAUUCUCCUCUCUUGGGAGUGAGAUACGUAGGCACCCUAUUGUGGGUUCGGGGAUCUUAUUUUAAAAAUCCAAAAAAAAAAAAAAAUCUUCACUUUUCAUUUAGAGUAGGUGUUUCAUGUGUAUCUUUAAAAGAAAACAACAACAAAAAAAUAUUUUCUUUUAAUAGGUUCAAGUUUCAUUUUCGUAUGAAAUUCAAAAUCGAAAAUCCAAAAAUAUUUUCUUCGGUAAUCAUACAUUUCAUUUUGUACAGGAAUCUGAAAAAAUUCAAAAGAUUUUCGUCACUCUUUAUUUAGAGUAAGUAUACAUCUUUAAAAGAAAACUACAAAAAGAUUUUUCUUUAAUAGGUUCAAGUUUCAUUUUCAUAGGAAAUUCAAAAUCAAAAACCCAAAAAGAUUUUCUUUGGUAAUUAUAGAUUUCAUUUUGUAUAAAGAUUUAAACUUGAAAAAUACAAAAAGAUUUUUGUCAAUUCUUUUGACAAUUUGUUAUUUUCUUCUCUUUGAAGUUUCAAGAAAAAGAAUGAAAAAAAGAGAGUUUAAUUGGCCAUUUUGGCAAGACUUCACGAACUGCGCAUACUUGAUUCUCCACUUUCGGGAGUGAGAUACGUAGGCGCCUUUCUUGGGUUCGGUGAUCUUUUUUAAAAAAAAAAAGAGAAAAGAGGUUAUGAAAAAGUGUUGAACUCAAACAUUUGUUAUUUUUUGUUGAGUCAGUUUAAGGUGGUUGGUUUGUGGCAUUCUGGCUGAUUUUUCACCUCACACGAAAUCCAAAGGGUUAGUUGUGUCCAACAAAGAUAUAGAGAGUGACGUCAUGGAUCAAAUAAUAAAUCAGGAAAAUGAGAGUUUGAAGCAAGAGAUUAGGUGGCUAAGCCAACAAAUGACAGAAAUACAUUGAGCUUGGGCCAGUGGGUUUCCUCCUCUUCCAUUUCCCUUUAUUGAUCCUACAAAUACCUCGAGUUUUCCACCAAAAUCUCAAAGUCAGUUUUCUACUAUUGUUGAUGCAUCGCAACAUGACUCAGAAUUCAUUCCAAGCCAAAAGCAUCUUAAUACUUCCACCACUUUUCGUCUAGCUCCUCAGUAUAAGCCUGCUACAUUCACACCACCAUAUGUCGUCUGUGAUCUUAUUGCUCAAUCCUCUAAUGGGACUUCCACACUGGCUCGCCCAACGGUUGGGCGUCCCUAUGCAGCUAGUGAACCUAUAUUCAAUACUCUUGGUGAUCAUUGUUAUACUCCUGAGCUUGCUUUUAAGUUAACUGGACCACCAAAAUUUCUUAACAAGAAGUCUAGUGUGCCAGAAGAGUUGGAGAAAAUGGUUGGAAGAAUGAAAAGUGCAUAAAGUGCUAUGAAAAAUUCUCUAGGACCUUCGGGUAAAGAAGAUGUUUCAUACAAAGACUAGGGCAUGCCUUCAAGCGCUAACCUUCCUCCAAUCUUUGAGAUAUCGACAUUUGAGGAGCAAGAUGGGCAUGAGGAAUCCGUGAAAUAUUUGGGACAAUAUUGCAAUCAAUUAACAGAACCUGGAGGAAAGAAGAAUAGGAAAUAUGGCACUGCUAUUGUAGUUGGAGAACGGGCACAUCCAAGAAGACGUCGUCAUUGCUGUCAGUCUCAAGCCCAAGUUCAUACCCAAGCUCUCCAUAAUCACUCCCAAAAUCUAUUAUACCCUGUUUCCCUACCUCCAUAUCUAGUAUAUUGCGCACAACCAUAUGUUCAACUCCCUCCUUACCCACAAUGGCAUGCAUCAACUUCUCAAAGUCAUCCUCCAAUUCCCCAAACAUACCAAAGCCCUUCUAGGCCCGAUGUUCGAUCCAAGUUAAACAAUGAAAUAAGGCAGAAAUUGAGGGAUAGUUUCACACCAAUUGGAGAGUCGUAUUCCAGUUUAUUUUAGAGAUUGGCACAACGAAUCAUGAUCACACCUCUCCUUGGGUAUACUCCUGACCCACAUUCAAGAAGUUUUGAUCCUAAUGUACGAUGUGCAUAUUAUUCUGUUAUUCAGGGUUACUGUAUUGAAGAUUGUCGUUCUUUGAAAAGAGAAAUUAAAAAGAUUAUUUAAGACAAAUUAAUUAUGGUGCAGAACAUUGAUAGUGAGGAUGACUCUAGUCAUGCUGAUAUGCAAACCAAUGUCUAAGAUGUCAGGCUGAGCAAUUGAGAAGUCACCCUUCUCCCUACUAAGAAGAGGUCUGGUAGUUUGUUUUGUUUUAUUUUCUAUUAUCCGAAUUAUUUCAGGGUUGUAGUUCGGGAUCUAUCUUGUUUUGUCCAUUUGUUGUUAUGUUCAAACCCUUCUAUCUUUUAUUUUAAUUAAAUGAAGUGUCCCUUUCUCCUUUGUGUUUUAAACAUGUUUUUGUUUGUUUUCUUUCCACAUUACAUUUUAUGUCGACUCUAGUGAUAUGACAUGCUAAUGGAAUUUUCAGUCAGAUCUUAAAAUCCAGUUUAAGCAUGAACAUUAAAUCAGAGGGUUAAAGUUAGGAAAAAAGAGCAUUUGAGAAAAUAGGUAGAGUGCUGAAACAUUUGGGGACAAGUUCAAGCCUUCUUGCAAAAUUAAGGCAAUUAUUUUGGGAAUCAUAAGAAUAACUUGGUUAUUAAUUGAAAGACAUGGCUCAAUUAGGUCAAAUAGUGGCUGCGUGAACAGAAAGAAAAUCAUCUCCACAAAAGCAUGAGUCAUUUAAUGUGAGGAAUAUACAACAAAAGUGGACUGAUAUGUUGAACAAAGUGCAAGAGUAGUGACGCACAUACUUAGUAAAAGUUAAUGCUUAAAAAUUGUCACAAAUGAUCAUCAUCUCUCACUUUCAUAUUGCAUGAUAUGUACUUGCAUUUUUAUGAAUUGAUAUGACGAAGGCAUUUCAUUCCGCUAUCCAAACAUUAUGUCAUCCUUUGUUUACCUAUUUGAGCUUUAGUCCUUUUUUCUUUCAUACCCCUCUUUUGGAUCAAGAUAGAGUCAGCAAAGCUCAAAAGAAAAGUGUCGAGCAAAACAAUAGAGUCAGAAAAAGUUAAAAAAAAAAUAUGUCCAAAAAGAAAAAGAAAAUAAAAGUGUCAAGACAAAUAGAGUAAGAAAAAAAUCCAAAGAGAGAAAAGUGUCAAUAAAAGAAAAAGAAUCAAAAGUGUAAAUCAUGCAAAAUAAGCUUCCAGAACUAUGCAUGACCUGAUUCUCCUCUCUCAGGAGUGAGAUACGUAGGCUGCCCUACUAAGGGCUCGGUCCAACUAAAUAAACAAUUUAGAAUUGCCCAGUCAAAAGAAACUGGGGCAUGAUUUAAUAUUCAUUGUUUGAGUCGAUUUCAAAAGUUGUAAGUCCUACUCCACUUCAAGUGUCGUUUAGGCCUCAUGUUAUUCUUUUCUUCUAAUCUUAUCCAAAAGCCAAGCUACAACCAAAGAAAUACCUUCAGAUCAAUCAUUGAGAAUGUUAAGACUAAUCAUGCAAUGAAUGUGAUGACGUAUUUGGGAACUACUUGUCUACCUCAGUAAUAAGAAUCGGGAGAGAAAUAAAAAUAAGAGAGUCUUAACGGUGAAAACCCUCACGGGCACCGUAAGAUGAUGGUAAGCCGAGGGAAAUAAAAAUGAAAGAGUCUUAUCGGUGAAAACCCUCACGGGCACCAUAAGAUGAUGGUAAGCUGAGGGAGAUAACAAUGAGAGAGUCUUAUCGGUGAAAACCCUCACGGGCAUCAUAAGAUGAUGGUAAGCUGAGGGAGAUAACAAUGAGAGAGUCUUAUCGGUGAAAACCCUCACGGGUACUGUAAGAUGACGGUGAGUUGAGACAAAUAAAAAUAAAAGAGUUUCAUUGCUGAAAAGCCCUCAUGGACACCAUAGGGCAAUAGUGAGCUGGGAAAAAGAAAAUAAGAGAGGCUUGUUGGAAAAAACCAUUCAAGGGGCCACUAGCCGAAUGAGGUCUUAAAUGCAAUUGGCCUAAGGAAGCAACUCAAUUUCGAGGUCAUAAACUCAACAACAAUUGGUAGAAAGUUUUGGAUAUAAAGAUCAGGCAGUUUAAUCCGAUAUGCAUGUCAUUAUCAUUAUAGUUGAUUGUCAUUUUCAGAUAAACUUUUCUUUCAUAUUUUUCAAUGGGGACAUUAAUUGUCAUUUCUUUCUUCUCUUUAAUUAUAUUUUUAUUUCGUUGAGUUAGUUAUCCAAAUAAAACAAAAAUUGUUGUCAUUUUUCUCUUGUCUUUGAGUCAAGUCCAUGUCAAAACAAGUGAGAAAAAGUUUCAAAAUUGGCUACUAGCUUCUUCAAUUGCAUAAAGCAAGACAAAGUGCCAGCACAUGAAAGAAACAAGAUUGCAAGCCAGAACAAGGCAUGCAGAAAGUUUUGUCAAUAGAUAAGUCUGGGAACUCAUGGAAAUACUAAGCUUCAAAGGGUUUAUUUGAGUAGCAUGGCGAAGCAGUGCUACUAUGCUUGUUUUAGAGUCAUUUCCAUGAUAAAGCAGGGGCAAGUGCCAGCAAUCUGAAACAAAAUAAAGGGAAUAAACACUAGAACAGGUGUCAGGAAAGUCAAGUGCUGGAAACCACCACUAAGUUUGUAACUGACAAAUUUUCUUUGUUGAAAUAGGGGAAAAUUCGCUUCACUUAAUUCAGCUACCAUUGGAAAUGGACAUCUGUGAGAUUUUACUUUCUGUUCAGAACCCUCCUGAAAAACGGGAUUUUACCUUCUAUUCAGGACCCUCCUGCAAAAUGGGAUUUUACCUUCUGUUCAGGACCCUCCUGAAAAAUAGGAUUUUACCUUUUGUUCAAGACCCUCCUGAAAAAUAGGAUUUUACUUUAUGUUCAGGACCCUCUUGAAAAAUGGGAUUUCACUUUCUGUUCAAGACCCACCUGAAAAAUGGGAUUUCACUUUAUGUUCAGGACCCUCCUGAAAAAUAGGAUUUUACUUUUUGUUUAGGACCCUCCUGAAAAUGGGAUUUUACUUUCUGUUCAGGACCCUCCUGAAAAAUAGGACUUUACUUUCUGUUCAGGACCCUCCUGUAAAAUGGAACUUUACUUUCUAUUCAGGCCCCUCCUGGAAAAUGGGAUUUUACUGUCUGUUCAGGACCCUCCUAAAAAAUGGGAUUUUACUUUAUGUUCAUGACCCUCCUGAAAAAUGGGAUUUUACCUUAUGUUCAGGACCCUCCUGAAAAAUAGGAUUUUACCUCCUGUUCAGGACCCUCCUGAAAAAUGGGAUUUUACCUUCUGUUCAGGACCCUCCUGAAAAAUGGGAUUUCACUUUUUGUUCAAGACCCUCCUGAAAAAUGGGAUUUCACUUUAUGUUCAGGCCCCUCCUGAAAAAUAAGAUUUUACUUUCCGUUCAGGACCCUCCUGAAAAUGGGAUUUUACUUUCUGUUCAGGACCCUCCUGAAAAAUAGGACUUUACUUUCUGUUUGGGACCCUCCUGAAAAAUGGAACUUUAAUUUCUGUUCGGGACCCUCCUGGAAAAUGGGAUUUUACUGUCUGUUCACGACCCUCCUGAAAAAUAAGAUUUUACUUUCUGUUCAGGACCCUCCUGAAAAAUGAGAUUUUACUUUCUGUCCAGGACCCUCUUGGUGAAUGGGACAUUACUUUCAGAAAAAAUGAAAUCUUUCUUUAUUAUAAUCUUUGUUUGGGAUAAUUUUUGUUCCAGUUUUGAUUUUGAUUUCAAAAGCUCGCAUGAAAAACUGGGUGAUGGAACUUCAAGUUAGGAGCCCGCCUGAAGUAUAGGGUGA